This 348692-nucleotide long non-coding RNA is filed under the name Hordeum vulgare. RNAcentral describes it as "long non-coding RNA (HVUL_LNC014237)". Lineage: Eukaryota; Viridiplantae; Streptophyta; Magnoliopsida; Poales; Poaceae. The record is from RNAcentral.
GUCGCCGCAUGUGGCCCCCGAGCGCCUGGCCCAUCUCGAACCCGAGCCCGCAGAUGUGGCACUCGUGUUGCCGCUCCUCCUGCUUCUUCCGCUCCCUGAUGGCCCUGGCAACGCCGACGCCGAGCUCCAGCCCGUGGCGGCCCCGGAGGUGGCUGGUCCGGUGCCCGCCCAGCGCCUGGAAUGACGCGAAGGCGCGGCUGCAGGUCUUGCAGACGAACUCCCCCUCCCCCGACGUGGCCACCAUCCUGCCCCGCCGCGCCCUCUUCCUGGACGCCGCCGCCGCAGGCCCGCCGGCCGAGUCGGCCGACGUGGUGGACGACGCCGCCGAGUCCGUGGUCAGCGCCAGCGCCAGCGACACCGGCUCCUCCUCCCUCGCUCGCUUCAUCCCCACUCCCAUGGCCGGAUCCGUGUGGACUCUGACGCCUUUUGUUGGAGCAGUCCUUGAUGCGUCUGUUGUGUGGCAAGCAGGGAAAGAUGAUGGAUGGAUGGAUGGGUUGAUGGAGCUAAGCUAGCGGCGGCGCGGUUUUAUAUAUAGGUUGCGUCGCGACGGGUGGAGGCGGUGGCGUGCCGGCCGCGUAGUGGAGCGGGGGAGCUUACGUGGGUGUCAAGUCGGCGGGUGGUGGCCGACCUCGGGUGGCCGGCCAAUCGUGGGAAGCCACGGCGACGUGGAUGGAUGUCACGCGACGGAUCGGAUAUGCUCGGGCCGACGCGCGCGACGAGCGUGUGGUGCGCCGCGAGGCGCGUGGUGGCUUAGCCGCGCGGGCAACGUAGCUUAGCCGCGUGGGCGGGUUCGGCGGUCUGACGAUUUAUUAAUGGGAAUGAGAUAGUUUUGUACUACUGUAGAAUAGUCUGCGCGUUUCGGCAGGAGGCUCACUGGAUCGAGCUGGGGACGGGAACGUUCUGGAGUUUCUUCCUGUCCAAGGUCGACCGUCCGGGAUAUUUUUCUGCCAGACGUGUGUGUAAAAGUACUUCGCUGCGUCGACAAAGAUGGGCAAGAGCUGGCAUGACGUGCGGGGGUAGUUGCGCUGCGAUGGUGACCUGCUCUCUCGCUUCUUCUUUCCAUGGCAGAUCUGGCGCUUGCAUGGACUAUUUUUUAAACAAAGCAAAUGUAUUUAAUAUUGUGAAGGUACAAAUUACACUUAGCUUUGAAGAAGACACAAAGAAAAUUCCGCCACUACGAUGAUUCCUUCCAACUAUACGGAAUAAACCACCAUCAAAGACAACACCGAGUGUUCAUAUUCUUCAAAAGGGACGCUUACAAGAAAAAAAAAACAAUACGUCGUCGCCGUCGCUUGAUCAAAGACUUUAGGUUUUCACCUGGUAAAAAGUCGGCGCUCUCAAAACAAUACUUUCAACAAGGUCAUUGCCGCACUGAAUCGAUUACGGCCAGACUUAGAGAUUUCAUCAUGAACGAUAAGAUUAUGUACUCCUCCAGUAUUGCUUCUUCCACUUGCCAAUGCCAAUGGCGGAGCUAUAGGGUGGUCAGGUGCGCCGCGACCCACCCUGGAUUUAAGAAUCAGGCUUUAUACAAUGGCGAAACAAAUCAAAUAAAAAAAAUCAUUAGUGUAUGAACUGUUGGCCCAUCCUCGCCUAUUAGGCUGGGUCCACCACUGGUCGAUGCCGCAGCUACAACUCACGACACACCAAGCAUGUAUUCAUCGCCUUGAAGACAGAGUCCACCAUUACUGGUCCUCAAAUCUCAUUCGUCAUGACAUUCUCUGGCACUGUAUACAAAAUUGAAAGACCGCAUGCCCCACAAUGUUAACAUGCAAAGGAGCUUCGCGCCACACCCUCCCGAAGCUACACAUCCUCAAAUGCGGACAUACACGCUCGGAUCCCAUUCGAUCCAACAAUCUAGAGGCACAACCUUCUGGAACUCAUCAACGGGGAGAUCAAGGAGGACAUGCAUCAAGUAGAGCACCGCCUUGACGCGAGAAGAACCAUAGGAUCGCCUCCUUAUAAAAGCAAAUAUAGCAGUUCCCAUGCCGUCGAUAAGAUUAGCGAAGAGAAGGCGACCACGACGUCGCACACUCACACAUACCCAGAACGCCUAGAUCAGACCCAGAUGCCCGGUUUGGACCCGCCGUAGCUGCAAUGUCGAUGCACAGACGUCGAGUCGCACGCCUCUGCCUCACCUCAUUGGCUUGUGACAUGACCCCGACCACUAGGGCCGCGACAUCUUGCGUCUCGAUCUCCCGGAGGCAACCAAAGGCAUCGAAGAGGUUCAUCAACAACCUAGAUUUUUUGUGAGCGACCCCUGAAGCUAACGAACAAUGCCACCUCUGCGAGGUCCUCGCCACCUGGAAGAUUGCCGCGAGUAUACCAACGCUGGGCGUCGCUCUAGUCCCCAUGCGUCUACGAACCACCGUCAUCACCCCAACAGCUCCCAUAGUCACCUACCAUCCGCCCCAUACUACCUUUGGUAGCUUGUCCCACCGUCGUGGUGAGGGCCGACGGGAGUGUAGACGAGGGGAGCCAGGGAUGGGGGAGGAGGCUGGCGGUGCGAGGUGUUGCCCUGGGGAUCGAUACGGGAGGGGUCAUGGAGAGCAUCACAUUUGGGAACCACUCUGGAUCUAUAUAGAGUAUGUGUUUUCUGUCAAACAACCGCUCAAACUCGUAAACUUUCAGCAAAAGCAGAAACCCUGUAAACUAAUAGAAAUUCCACCAAGGUCCCUUGGGAACUGACCAAUUCCAUCAUCCUGAGCAGGCCUUGGCACGUCGCUGCCGCUACUCAAUAGCCAUCGCGUUAUGGGUCUGUCACUACUUAGAUGAUGUGGCAAUUAGAAAGUCACUGUACCUAGGCCCCUGGACAACCUAUACCCUUGAAGCAAGGUCAUGAUCGUCGGAAAGAGAAUAUAUCUCGAAGCCGAUGCACUGGAUCCCACAAUGAUGACGAGCAUCGCUGCAACGAGGAAGGUGGCAAAGGACAUAACUCCAUUACACAACUAUCGUUCUUGCCUCAACGUCGGCACCUGGAACCACCAAACGACCGCCCAUGUAGGACGACGACCAUAUCAAACUUGCACUCCUCCACGCCAUUUGCAAAAGCUACCAACUUGGUGGAUGAAAAGACGGGGAACUUUAUUUCACUUGGCGACAUCGUCCCCCCCUCCCUCCACCGCGCCACCGUCGGAGAAGCCUAACCUAGGGCUAGACGGCAUAUCUAUUAUUCUCUAUGUUCAAGUAUUCAACCAUGAACCGUUAACUAAAAGUGUAGUGAAAGUUAUAAAGGUGCCGACCAAUUGACGGUGUGUGACGAAAAGAUCUCCAAACAAAUACUUGGGGUCUAAGCUUCUCCCCUAGGUGGAGUGGAUAUCAGGUGAUUCACCUAGAAACUUUUAGGUAGACUUGGCGGUUGAACCAGAAUUUCUUUCCCUACAAGAACUUUCACAAUCAAUGGCAUAGGCUUUUUCCUUUUUGGAGGGACUCAGGCAAUUGCGCACUUAGGACUGCACAUGGUUUGGCAACACCAUCCUCGAUAGCCAAAUACCCAUGCCUGAGUGGUUGUUUGGGUAAACGAAAAUAGUGCCUACCUUUAGUAUAUUUUUUCUGGAAAAAUAUAGUUUUAUUAGGAACUCCAUUAAGAACAAGUAUGCAUGUAAUCUCGUUUGCAUAAAAAUGCAUGCAAGAGAUUUCCUAUUUUGGUUUAUAGAAAGGCUGGAACAUGGUUUUGUGGUUUUACGAAAACAAGGGUAUGCUUAUCCAAACAUUUGUAAAGUUAAUCAAACUAAACUAUUGUAGUUAUAACCAUGUAAUUUUUUUAUGCCAAUCAAUUAUUUUACGUACUACUACACGGGUGAGGGUCUGAGCAAAUUAAAGCUCCAGGUUGUUGUGAGUCUGCUUCUUCUGUCUAGGCUCCCAGUGAAAAUUGUAGAAGUGUAUGCUCUAGAAAAUGAAACCAAAAGACCGAUCUGAUGGAACAGACUAGGCAGCACAUUAUAUGUCAACGCUCCCCCUCACGUGUGGCUCCCUCAGGCCUAAACGUGGACCGAAAGUGGGCUGCAAUUUAAUUGCGUCAGCCGGGUCUUGAACCCGAGACCUCUUGACUCUGAUACCAUGUAGAAGUGCAUGCUCUAGCCAAUUCAACCAAAAGACCGAUAUGAUGGAAGAAGACUAGGCAAUACAUUUAUACGUCAACACUCUCCCUCAAGUGUUGCUUCCUCAUGCCUAAACGUGGACUGAAAGUGGGCUGCAAUUUAAUUACGCCAGCCGGGUCUUGAACUCAAGACCUCUUGGCUCUGAUACCAUGUAGAAGUGCAUGCUCUAGCCAGUGCAACCAAAAGACCGAUCUAAUGAAAGAGACUAGGCAUCACAUUAUACGUCAAUAAAAAUGCUAGUUUGUCAUCACACGUAUUGACGGAGCGGCAACUUCGUGUAUGCUUUGAUCCUGGUGUCUAGCUCCCUCGGCUCUAGCAUGGGACGGUCUCGGUUGUACCCUAUCCUCUACACUGUCCUAGUUGCCAUCGUUCUUGGUCCGCGCUAUCCAUGGACAGGAGUGGGGUUCCACAGCAUAGUGUGAUAGGGCAGACAAACCUCUUUGGCAAUUAUUUGAUGUGUUCAGUGCAACAAAAAUACCUAUGAAUUUUCUUGAAGUAGCGGUUUCGUUUCGUCUAAUAGUCUCAUUAGCUUUUUUGCUAGUGUGAUGUCUCAUUUAUUAAGUUCUGCUUUGAGUUGAUGGCGUUUAAUGUUGCUCGGUUGUCACCUUUUGUGCUCUAAUAUGUACGAGGGUUUUUCGACCAUUUAUAUUGAUCCAGAAACCUAAUAUAAAGUGGGGCUAAACAUGUUAUAUAAUGUCAGACUAAGACAAUCAUCUAAAUCUUGCGAAUUUUGUUGAACAAAUGGACGAUUAAGAAUACUUAUAGUCGUAUUUGUAAUGAGCACCCCCUGCUUGACAAAAGGCAGCUCGAGACAAUAAAUAUUGGUGCUGAGAGGAUAAAUAUGAAAGACACCUUAUAAAUUACACGUCGAUUCAAACAUAUAUAACAAUUCUGCUAGAGUGCUAUUUUCUCCGUUUUUAGAUAUAAGUCCUUUUAAAGAUUUCACUUUUAAAACGUAUGUUCAUUCACUUGCACCGUGUGUAGUGUCUUAAUGAAAUGUAUAAAAAGACUUAUAUUUAAGAAUGAAGGGAGUAUUUUUUUUUCGAAAUCAUCAUCGUAUUGACGGGCACUCUCGUACCAUCUGAUGGAGGGUACAGUCAGCUUCACGCGGCUUUACGACGGGUACGUACGUAUGUAUGCCACUGCAACUUGCCAAGCCGGCUCGGUCGCUGACAGCUAGUUUCGGAGCCGACGGUGAGGCAAACACGACCUACAUACAAGCUGGGGCGCCGCCUCGGCACCUGGUCCGCACGAUAAAGCCGUCAACAGCUACACACGACAAAAAAAUGGGCAGAACCAGUGAACCACAUCCACAUGUCAUCGUCAAUGGAUUACUCCUGUACGUACACAGCUCGGUUCCAUACCUGCAUUCGCCGCACGUUUUCUUGUCUGUUCCCAACUGCAUGUCCACAGCUGCACACGGCUCCCGCUUACCUCCGGAGUAAGCAAGCAAGCAAGCUAGCAAGCUCACGCGGCAGCUCGUCAGCCGGAUAACCAUUGAUAUCAACUCGUAGCCCGGUUGUAAUUGAUAUCGUCGUGAUAUUAAUAUAUCCUAUAAAAAACAGUUCCGGCCGGUGCGCCUACGCGGACGAGCUUGUCAAGUGUCAACUGCAAGCUACCUGAUUCUAUUUAGUACGACUAGUUUAUUUGUGCUUUCCGGUGCUGCACUUUUGGGUUUCUAUAAUCUGCAGGCAAGCGAGCCGGCGUGAUGAGCUGCUCUUGCACUCAACGAGACGAUGGGGUGGUGUAUGUUGACCAAAAUACCAAUCACCAAAGCGGUGUGCAUGUGCAUGCAACAUGGUCCAUCGUACUAGUCGUGGCUGAUGAGCUGAUCGAAGGUCCGCCAAGUUGAAUCGCACCAACACCACAUGGUCGCUCGUGUUUACUCCUUCUGGAUGGCGCGCGGUGCUGGGUGCUCGAUCCGAUCGGCACAUGUUUCAACCGAGGACGAAGUUUCAUUACAAGAGAAAAAUAAAACGCCGGACGAGUCAACUGUUUCACCAAGUGGUGUAGCAAGUGCAUGGAAUAUUUUCGAUAAGCAGUGAUGUCAUGAUUUCGCGCUAGUGUUAUAUAUGUGAGCACCGAGGACGUGCCCCUCGCAUUAAAGAUUAACCAUUAUUUUUCACCGAGGUCUCUACACAUAUACUCCUUUUCAUGAUGCUUUUUGUCGUAGUCCAUUUGUUUUCAACCAUUAAAUCUCGACCGAACGGUCGCCCAACCCUCUUCCUUCUUGCACAGCCCGACGAGGGCCGCCCCUAUACUGUCCUGCACUCCAACCAAAGCUUAACCACCGACCUCCACCACCAAUGGAUGGCGCUGUUGCUGGGCCAUCAAAUCGCCCCUUAAACUGUGCAGCCACCAAGCCAAUCAUCAUUCUAUGCCGCCCCCUUCUACUUUGGUGCUAAGAGUAUGGUUAGAGCAUGGUUAACAGUACAGCCAGCUGCUGGUUAGACACGUCAUCUAUAGCCAAGCUUAUAGCCCGCAAGUACAAUAGAUAGAUGUAAAUAAGUACUACUUUAUUGAUACAAGGUCCACCAUCCUCUCUCACACAAUGUGUCUAGGAGCACGUGUUACAGCUGGCUAUUAGUUUUGUAGCCCGAUUCUCUUCUCUCUCAUCUUCUCUCUCUUUCAACUCAUCAGAAAUAUAUUAUUUAAAGUCUUGCAGCCCGUCUACGUCAUCCUAUUGUACUUGCUCUUAAUAGUACUCCCUCCGUUCCUAAAUAUAAAACAUUUUAGAUAUUGCACUAUGAACUAGAUACGAAGCAAAAUGAAUGAAUCUACAUCUUAUAAUAUGACUACAUACAUUCAUAUGUAGUUCAUAGUGAAAUUUUUAAAAGGUCUUACAUUUAGGAACGGAGGGAGUACUACUAUAGCCAACUGCUGGCUAUAAGCAGUCUUAUAGCUCAUCUUAUAUCUACCUUGUACUAUUUUUAUUAUAUAUGAUCCAUCUUUCAUUCUCACAAAACGCCUAGGAGCACGUGCUAAAGCUGACUCUUCACGAAGAGCCCGCUUUCCUUCUCUCUCCUCUUCUCUUUUAUCCAACUCAACAAAAAUAUAGUAUUUUAAUUUUUACAGCCUGUUGACUAUACCUUAUUGUACUUGCUCUAAUGGUCCAUCAUGCACCUGCAUUCAUAUUGAAACUGCCAGCCGCCGUUGCACCUCCAUCUGUGACCUUGGGCGCAACAUUUCCAUUGAAACUGCCAACGCCUCUUCUUUCAGAUUUCCAUCUAGUCGUGACAUUUCCAUCUAGAGCCGCCAUAUUCUAUUUAUGUUUUUGUGCACCGAGGAUUACAAAUUUGAACAAAUUAACUAUGUUCUACUCACAUUACUUCAAAUCUUGACAUUAUACAUUUCUCAAAAGUUAAAUCAAUAUACAUUUGACCAUAUUUAUGUAAAUAGAUGCUAAUAUCUAAAACAUCAAAUACCUAUAUAUAUAUAUCGUACGGAAACAUUAUUAUGAUGUAUUUUAUAGACUUAACCAAACUUAAAUAAAUGUGACUUGGAACAAAUUAAUUUAUAUGGAACUAAAGGAGUGCAUAGGGCCGAACACAAUUAAAAAUUCUCGCACACAGACUUUCCAGGUUCCUAACACAUGACACGUUGUUACAGAGAUGAACGGCAGUCCGAAGGGAAGAAAAAGAAGGGAGGGCUCGGUCACAAGGUACCAAUGACUGACACCCAGGUGACUAGCGGGUGAUGGUAACACACUCUCUCCUAGACUAGUGAAGUUGUUAGAGUUUUUGUCGCAUGGAUGCAGAUUUUUUUUUCUUUUGACAAAAGGGAUUUCUUCACAAUUUCGUUAAGAAAACUGAAUUGUGAAGGUUUUUUACUCCCUCCGUUCCUAAAUAUAAGUCUUUUAAGCGAUUUCAAUAGAUGUCUACAUACGGAGUAAAAUGAUUGAAUGUAUACUCUAAAGUAUGUCUAUAUACAUCCGUAUGUAGUCCACUAGUGAAAUCUCUACAAAGAUUUAUAUUUAGGAACGGAGGGAGUAUAUGUUAUUGCAAUCACGACCCAAAAUAAAGAGAGCGGGAAGUUUACAAGCCGUUGGACCACAAAAGAUAGGAAACGAGACAUUGAACAUCUAAAAAACAGAUAGUCAAUAGAUUCAUCAUAUAUGAGGAACUUUGCCACAGUUCUCAGAGGAAAUAGGGCGGAGGGGUACUUCUUUUUUCUUUAUAUGUCUGGUCAUUUACACUUGAUUGAUGGAGAGGACGAGAGAGAAAGAAAAUAAUGAGCAAAGAAAAGAAAAAUAUGAACCGGGAUAGGGUCACGUCCUAUGUGACGGAUUGACCGGGCGUCGCGUCCGCGAGCCCUCAUUUCCUUUCCAUAUUUGAGAUGUAUAUGAGGGUUUCGAACAAUCCGGACAUAUAAGAACGAUAUAAAGGGUCCCGUUGGGUAAUUUUUUUCAUUUUCUCAUGUCAUGUCGUUGACAGGAUGCAUUCGCACAUGUUAUUUAAGAGUAUCUCGGGCAGACCCCCUAUAAUGCCGACCCGUAAAAGUUGUUUACGGUUCGUGAAAAACGGAUUUUACGGGUCGGCGCGGACGCGGACAAAGACAGACCUCCAAAACAGACUCGUAUAAAAGAAUAUUCACAGAAGAUGCUAUUAUAUAGGUCUUCAGUGCCGGAUCUUCUCGGGCGCCACCGCGUCGUCCCGCAAACCUAAUACCCCAUAAAUCAAAAUUACUCAUCAUGUGCAAUUCAGACGCUUUCCUACUUUUGGGUUCUUUGAUGCUACGCACAAAUGCGCGUCAAGAAGGGUAUAUACCAUCUCAAAGGUAGUAUCCUUUUGUGUAUUCAUGUUCAUUGAUAAUGUAGUUGCAAGUUGGAGCAUCACCACUAGCAAGCCUAUCAAGCAAAUGAGACCGCUGCAACGCAUUGAUAUUAUUUAGAGUACCCGACAUACCAAAAACCAAUGCCAAAUUCAUAAAUCAUGUGAAGCCACGGCAUCUAACAUAAUUGUUGCAUCACGAGACUUGCCAUAAUACAUUGUCUGCCAUGCUUUUGGGCAAUUUUUCCUAGUCCAAUGCAUACAUUCUAUGCUUCCUAGCAUGCGAGGCCAACCUCUUCUUUCGUUAAAUGCCAUGAAAUUUUUUGUCUCUUCCUCGUUCGGUGCCCGAAGAUAUUCAGGAGCAAAGACACGGACAAACACUUUGGUAAACCAACGCACUGACUCAAUUGUACUAUCUUCCCCAAUGCGAAGGUACUCAUCGGUAUAUAUAGUCAGCCGGAACGUCGUACGAAAUUAUCCGCAUAGCUAUCGAAAUUUUCUGAUAUGCACUAAAUUCCUUCAAGUCCGCGACAUUCCUUCUUUGAGUAAAAUAUGGACAAUUGGCCUCGCAAGCUUCAACAAUUUUAACAAAGAGGGAUCUGCGCAUACAGUACCUUCUCCGGAAGAGUUGCGGCGGAUAUGUUGCAUUGCCGGCGAAGUAGUCUCGCAUCACCAUCUCGUUGCCGAGAUGGCGAUUUCAAGGAAUGCAAAGAUGGCCGACAGUCGAUCGAUGCCGCCUCUUUCGGUUCUCGUCUUCGUACUUCUUCAUGGCAAGGGCCAUCACCAAACUCUGCUAGCGAAAUGUGUGAAGCAUCGUCUCAACAUCCGAGUCAUCCGAAUCGGAUGAAUCCUCGAACAGAAACUUCUCGCACAGGCUCAAGUCCAUCUCCGGUGAUGUCUCUCUCGCCGCCGUGGAUUGACGGAUCCAGGUAGCAGGGGCAGCGGCGCGCGAGCAACACGAUUCACCCCGCAGAUUCGGCGAAAAUCGCCGGCGGCUGACUGGGGGAAUCAAUGGCGGCGCGGCGGCGGAAGGAUGUGAAGGAAGGGUGCGGGCUGAAAUGUUCGUGACGCCAACCGCUUUUCUGGGAUACAUGGCACCGUAUAGGCCAGGCGAAAACCUGUCUUUUCGCAGGUCGGGGAGGGGAUUUUGCCGCGUUCCUUACAGUACGGAUCGAACAUGUUUGCGAGGUCUGAUCUGACAGCAUUUUUCACAUAGAUCCUUAUUUUAUCAGUUAUAUUAAGGAUUGGGGUACUAUACGAGGUCUGUUAGAGAUGUUGUAAGAAUUGCGCUCGUAGAUGCUCACGGCUCACCCGUACCCAACAACAGUUCACCUGGAUCAGUGUCGUUGCUAUCGCUUUCUCCGGUAUCCAUCCACAAGGUCAUGAUCUGCCGUGCAAAAGAACUGAUCAGUGCAUCCGUAUUGAGGUUAGGUUGUCCGAAUUUCAGAAAAGAGACGCGCGCACCCGCGUACGGCUGUAAAUGCACAUUGACGAUGGAUCGAGUGCGUGGUGCGUGUACCUCGACGAGAAAUCCCACCGCUGUGGUGCAGCAAUUUAUGUGAACGCGGCAAGCCGUUUUUGGACUAGAGUAGGGAAAGAGAGCCAAAAUCGGAAAUGUGGAAUCGUGUGAGUUCUUCUCGCACAAGGCUUGUCCCUUACUAGCCUGUCAAAUCGGGUGCCUCUUGAAUUAUCGCUCACAGCAAAUUAACAUGUGAUUAGAUGCUUAUAGGGAUACAGUGAAUUAACAUACGGUUGGCUAGUUAUAGGAACAAUGAUAUUUUCAAUUCAUCAUGGUUCAAGUCCUUAUACUCAUCUUUUUUUUUAAUUUAUUUCAUAAGUUUCAACUAUUCGUUUUUAAUGAAAGGAAACAUUUCACUCGACGAGGACAUACCUACGUGAAUUCAUAAAUCUGAAGAUAAUAUGAUAGUUCAGUCUUUUAAAAAUAUUCAUAAGGUUAGAUGUGCAUCUGCGCAUUCAUAUGAACGAGGGUAUGUAAAGUCUUGCGUCUUUAUUGUGUUAAGAAAAAAUUAGGGUGCACAUUUGCAACAACAAUCUAUGUUUGGGUACCACGCAACAGACAAGGAGUGCGUGCGACCCCGGUCUCUCUGGGUCCCACAGCUCAGUAGUUCAUCAACGCCUUGUAUCUUUUGCACCAUGCUUAACACCGUCAGCUAAUUAUUAAUUAAGCUCCGGUCCCAUUUCGCGUGCCCUUCCGUCCAACCGCGUCUGCCGUCUGGGCUACCUGGGGAGCAAGCUAACUAAGUACUACUCCCACUCCCAACUGACGCGAGCGAACCCAGAAGAUUCUGCCUUUUCAGACAUGCGCUUGAGCCGGGUCGACGCCGAUCGCGACUGCGACUGGCUCCAAGCUCAUAACCCUCCACACGUCAAGAACGACGUGGUGUAGACGUGACGCAACCUGGCUCCUACAACUCCACAUGCCUAGUAUAAAUAGCCAACAAUCCACACGACCCAACCACACCCACAGCAAAUUCCGAGCUCUUCCAAGUGAGCUCAUUCCACCUCCCGCCUCGCUCCUACAUCCUUUUGCACUUCGCACAGACGCACGAGCUCCCGUUGUGCAGCUCAUACCUGACCAGACGCCCAUGGUUUCCUCAAUGAAGCAGUGCAGAGACCAGGCCGAGGUGCCCUUCGUGUCCCUCUCGCUCUCCCUCGGCGCCAUGGCCGACCGCAUCAGCAAGAAGCAGCGCCGCGGCGCGGACGGCGAGUUCGUCUGCAAGACGUGCAGCCGCGCCUUCCCGUCGUUCCAGGCGCUGGGCGGGCACCGGACAAGCCACCUGCGCGGCCGCCACGGGCUCGCGCUCGGCCUCGCCGCCGGGUCCGAUCAGCCGGCGACCAAGAGGACCACGGACCAGAAGCAGGCGCACCAGUGCCAUGUCUGCGGGCUCGAGUUCGAGAUGGGGCAGGCGCUCGGCGGCCACAUGCGCCGGCACCGCGAGCAGGAGGCGCCCGCCACCACGGCGCAGGCGCCGCCCGUCCUGCUCCAGCUCUUCGUCUAGCGCUGGAUUGAUUUCUCUCAAGUUCAAUAGCUAGGCAUAUAGAGUAUAUCUGGUUCUGGUCCAGAUUUACAGGUUGACCUAUGUGUGCUAUUUGGUUUGUACAUUUGCUGCACACUAGGUUGUCUACUCUUGAUCCUUGGCUCGUUUGAGCAUUGUAUUGGGUAUAUAUGUACAUAUUUAGGACUCGUUCAUUCGUUCAUUACUGUUAUUAUCCAUACUUUUUGAUUCAUACUUUUAUUUUGUUCUACUUGAAUCGACUACGAGUUCGAGUUGAGUUAAUCCUAUUACUGAUCUCCCUAACACGGAUUUUCUUUUCUUGAAAAGGAGGCAGGACGGGUCUCGGCAUAUGCAUCAAUUGACACACAAAACAAUUUUUAGUAUAAUAAAAAUCUAGGUUAUAUGUAAAAGUGCAAAAAGGAAAAACAUUAGGCAAAAAGAUUACGUAUGUAUGAGUCCAAAAAGUUAUAUGGAGUAAUGACUUUGUUGCAAGAGGUGGAAUUGGCGGGCUGAUUGACACGAGUAGAUCUACAAUGUGGAUGAUGUGGUGAUUAUGUGCAAUGAGAGCUCUAUUGUUGUGGCACUCGAUAAUUGGAGCGUCGGUAUUCGUCUGAGAGGCAUAGUAUGUGGUAUGUAAAGAUAACAAAGAAGAAUUUAUCUUGAGAUGUGCUUGGGAGAGCAUGACUUUGAUUUAAUGGUGUGCCCUGCUUAGGUCUAACGAGCCAAGCAAGGAAGAGAGUUGAAUCACUCGCUGACUUGUCGCUGGUUCUUUGAAGUACAGGACAUGCACAAUGGUUGAUAAGAUAGUCUUAUUUUAAAACUUGCAUAUAAUUGAAAGAUGAUAAAAAAAGAGUCUACAAUGAAUCAUCUUUUAGCCUUAUCUUUUAUAAUUAGUUAUUCUUAAAAACAUGAUGAGACAUAUUGUGCUAAGAGAUCACCACUUGACUUCUCUUAAAUAAGAGAAGGCAAAACUUUUUUUUUUGAGUUCUCUCUCUUUCACUUCAUCAUUUAUCCUAUGUGGAUUCGCUGGUCCACUUGUCAACGCCAUCAUUUUGCGGGAUAGAGAGAGGGACCAGGUUCAAUUAAUAAUUCAGCAGCUACCCUUUUAUAGUAACAAACAUCAACAAUUAUGUGCUAGGGCUUUUUGCUGAGCCUCCCUUUUGUGCAUCUAUUCUUUUAAAUCAAUUGAGGUAUUUGUUAGGUUUUAUUGUUACUGUAAUUUCAGCCACUUCAGCUGACUUGUUGUACUUUUGUUCGCACAAACGUAAAAAUCAAGAUAAACAUAAAAUCGAGAGAAAUCUCCUCAGGUUGUCUAAACAGACAAACAUAGUAAAAGAGAGACUAGUUCAACACGUCUCAUUUCUCUCUAACAAAUAGUGCACUAGCUCAGUAUUUUAGUGAUUUAUAAAACGUCUUAUGAUAGUUUAUUUAUAGAGGAAGUAGACCAAUAGGACGAUGGGCGUGUUUUUUACAAUUUAACUUUAAUCAUCAAUACGACAAAUAAGAUUUAAGUUAUGUGACUCGAAAAUUAUUACCAGGAAAGCCUCAUUGGAGAGAAGAGAGCCAGCACCAUUCCGUAUGUCAUGACGAUAGUUCACCUAACAUUUUCCUCUCUAUAGAAAUACAGGAGUACAGACAAGGUACGUAGCAAACUCGUAUACCUGUGAAGCACGGACGUACUGACGUACGUACUGUAGCGUAUUCCCCAAAAAGAUACUUGUACAUACGUAGCCUUGACGAGUCUGAAAGUUCCUUCUCGAUCAAAAAAACAUUCCAUGAAAAAGAAAGAUAUUUUCGAACACACAAAAAAAGAAAGAUCAAAGAUGUUUUCCCGGGCUCUGGAACGUUCCAGGCCUUUAAUAUCCUCACACCCACGCUAACGCUCGCGCCGCCGGCCAACACAAACUAAAUUAUUCAGCGACGCCGGUUACUGGCCGGAUGUGCCGCUGAAUCCCGCCCACCGUCCCGGCGGCCAAGCAGCGUCGCGCCGCCACGCGUCUUGUGGCGUGACAGCUGACUCCACUCCGCACCACACGUUUCGUCUCCGGUCGGCCGCGCUACGCACGACGGAAAUAUCCUUCCUAUCGAGCUCGGUCCAAUCCAUCACGUCGUGGUGGAUUCCAGCGAAUGGUCCACAUACGUCAAAGGUAACUGGCCACACGUAAGCUCCAUCCGCAGCAACACGCACGCCACCUCAUCCUCGCUGCCUAUAUAUAACUGCUGCGGCCGCCUCCCCUGCCGAUCCAUCCAUCCAUUCUUGAUUCUUCCUAGUUCCUACCGAGCUCUCACACAACUUAUUACAACAACGCAUAAGAGUAGAGCAUCGACCGAAAUCCAGUAGAUCAUCAGGAGGAGGAGCAAAUCCAUCUCCAUGGGAGCGGGGAUGAAGCGCGCGAGGGAGGAGCAGCCAAUGGUGUCGCUCGCGCUGUCCCUCACCACGGACUCCUCGGCGUCCACCACGUUGUCGGACAACUCCUCCACCGGUGCGCCUAGGAAGAGGACGCGGCGGGGGAGGGUGGUGGCCACGUCGGGGGAAGGGGACUUCGUCUGCAGGACUUGCGGGCGCGCCUUCGAGACGUUCCAGGCGCUGGGCGGGCACCGGACCAGCCACCUCCGCGGCCGCCAUGGGCUGGAGCUCGGUGUCGGCGUCGCCAGGGCCAUCAGGGAGCGGCAAAGGCGUGAGGACAAGCAGCAACACGAUUGCCACAUCUGCGGGCUGGGCUUCGAGACGGGCCAGGCGCUCGGCGGCCACAUGCGCCGGCACCGCGAGGAGAUGGCGCUCGACCGGUGGGUCGCGCUUUCGGAUCAGGAGGCGGGGCACCAGGCCGCCGCCGCCGACCGGCUGCCGAUCUUGCUCGAGCUGUUCGUCUAGCCUGCUGCUAGCUGGAGUAGAUCUCAAUGCUUGUUAAUUCAGGACUGCUCCAGCUGUUCGUCUAGUCUGCUAGCCUUCUUAGUCCACCUUGUAUAGAGUAUGUUCUUGCUGGUAGCUGGUUAGAGAAUGUUUUUGCAAGUUAGCUGGAUGUUUGCUUUGGAUCUGACAUUGUUUUUAACUGAUGGACUGGAGUGGAGAUUUACAUGCACUUGUAUACAUAUUGCAGAUAAAUUCGUUUGUUCUAAAUGCAAUUGAGAGAUUCUUGCACUCAGAUUCCUCUUAUGUGAAUGUGCUUUCUGUUUUUUGCGGGAACUUCUAUGAAUCGGCUCGACCUCGGAUUCAUUUUCGGCCAAGAAAUCCGGAUUUUGGCCAUCUCGGCCUCGGACGAAACAUAGCUUUCAGCCGAGAAGUGGAUUUUGAUCAAAUUUCCUCCAAUUUUUGGUUAAAUGUUGGUAAAAAUUCUAACCAAUUUUUUUGAAAUAACCAAAAUUUGGCCAUCUCGGUGUAGGACGAAAAGAGUCCCAAACCCAAAGAAGUCCCAAACCAAAAACUCUGGUUCACCCCUAUUGUAUAGAUGACCAGUAGAAAUGACCAUGCGUUGCAUCGGGCAAGAAAAAAAAUACAAAACCUUCUUGUUAUAUCAUUAUGCGGCAUUAAUUGUAAUAAACAUGUAUAAUAAUGUUAAAUGUUUUUUAAAAAAAUAUUAGGUACUGCUUACAUAAAAAUGGAUGAAUUUUUUAUAAUAGUUAUAUUUUUUGUUAAAUUUUUAAAUUUCUUGUAAAAGAUAAAUUGUUAAACAUUUUUUUCAAAAGGAUCUUUUUAUUGUGGGGUAAUAAUGUUGUUUUUUUGAUGGGUAAUGGCAUUUUUAUGUAGAACAUAUUUCCAUAAAUAUUUUUUGAAUCAUAUUUUCUUAUUUUUUUGCACAACUUGCUUCAUGUGCCAUUAUGCAUCAUUUUUAUAUGGAUUUUUAAUAAUUGUUGAUGAUAAGUUAAAUGUUAAAUUAUUUUAAAAAUUGAUGUAUGCAUAAAAAUUGUAAUACUUUCUAGGAAGUAUUGUUUUUAUGAAUUUUUUGCUUUUCUUUGAAAAGGAACUUUUUAAAAUAAUUUUUUUCUUUAACAUUUUAUGAAUUUUGGGCUUGACCCAAACAACUCGCAGUACAAUAACAAUUGACGGUAUUAAAAAAACAUUAUCGUUUGGUACAGAAAAUGCAGCAUCAUCUCUUUCGUCUCUCCCGUUCCCAUUUCAUUUUUCGCAUUGGCUACCUGUUUCCUCUGCAUCGAGGCUACACCAAACCCGCACGGCCCGAGCGAAAAAACAUCACCACACCACGAGCAUUGGCUCGGCUGUCUCCUUGCCCACGAAGUCGCCGCCACUGCCGCCGCCACCACCCACGCUGGCCGCUUCCGACGACCUACGGCUCCGCGCAGCACGCUCCCGAGCUCCCCACGGUCCGCGCGUCCCUCCCCUCCGGCCAAAAUCUUCGCUCCCGUCCUCUACCGCCCGCUCGGAACCACCCUGUGGCUAGGGUUUCGGGCAGUGCUGCACCGGCGCAUCUCCAGCGGCCUUAGGUUAGUCCCUCCGACGCAUCUCCAGCGGCCUUAGGUUAGUCCCUCCUUCCUUCUUGGCUGGGAUCCGCCACCGUGCCUUACCUCUUCGUCGCCCCCCUGUUGCCUUCCUGCUGCUCUCCAACUCCCCCUCUCUCAGUUCGUCUCUCUCUGUUUUCUGCAGGAGCUCCGUGGCGUCGAGUCUCUCCGACGUUUGCUCACCAGCAGCGGACGGACCUCGCCGGCGACGUGCAGGUCAUAUGCCAUGGUAAUGAACUUCCUGCAGUUCAGUUGCGUGAUUUUGCCUAUAUGGUAUUUUCAUAAAUUCAUAAAUAAGUCAAAAGGUAUUAGAAUCUAGGUCUUUAUUGUGAGAUGCAACUAAAAGAGCUUUUACUGUAGGCUACUACAAUUAUUUUCUGUAUUCCUCUGCUUGCCAAGUUAUUAAGCGUAGAGAAACGUAUGCACUAAUCAGGCUAGAGAGACUUACACACUACAAAAAUAUUUUUCUGCUCCUACUAGUUACACCGUUGCUCUCCUCUGUGUUCAUGUAACUCCACAUAUCUUUCUGCUUCACAAGUUAUUGUGCACCUUUAGCUGUAUAACUUACACACAAGGGCCGGGUGAUUUCGCCACAGGCUCUAGCUAGCAGCCACAAGUCCAGGAGCAAGCAGCAAGAAGCGAUAGCCACAAGUCCAGGAGCUAGCUAGCGAUCCGGGUGUUUUCGCGGCCACCACAAGAGCAAGAAGCACAAGUCCAGGAGCCAUUGCGCCAUGGUAGGACCUCGAGCUCCUGGCCCGCUUCCAUGUAACCUUCAUGACCUCGCCAAGCCUCGAUCUAGCUGGCCACCGACCGGAUCCGCCGGAUCCCACCCUCCCCGACUCGUUCCCGGCUUUCCCUUCGCGUGACAUCGUCGUUCAUCACCAACUUGUUGCCGCUGCUGCUCCUAUUUGUCAGAGAUCGAGGAGGACCUUGCUGCGUUGACCACGCCCCCGUCGUCUGUUUCCUCCCACUCGAUCUGCCCACAUGGACCCAACCUGUUGCCAGCCCGCGAUCGAGCCGAGCAAGCUAGCCCACGCACGCACCUCACCUCGCCGCUGCACCGCCCCUCACCUCGCUGCUGCAGAGUCUGGAUACAGUAGACUAAAUACAGUAAAAUACAGAAGAAACUCAGAUCACUGUAUUUGUUCCUCGCAAUGGACCUCAAUAACAUGGUCGGAAUAAUCCAUUUUUUCCGCUGAUUUACAGCACAAGAUCCUUCAUUAUUGACAAAUGAGUUCUGCAGACCGGCUAGCACAGAAUCAAAAUUACUUUCUUCAGGUAUACUAUCGUGACCAGAUAGAUGUUGACGCCGCAGCAGGUGACUGCAUCCAUUGUUGUCCCAUGGAGUCGUCUCCAUGUUCAGCAAAAUUUUCAUUAACAGUGUGAAAUUGUCUAGAUUCUGGAAUGGUUCCAUUAUCCACUUUCGGGGUAAUUAAAUCAGUGUUUGCAUUAUAAAAUACCCGAUGUUGCUCUGCAAAAUGAUUUUAUCAACACAAAGAAGUUUUUUGAGAUGAAAAUAGGAAGUAAUGAGAAAAGAAGAAAUUUGUAUGACAUUUAGUGGACCAGAUGAGUGCAGAAAUCUUACCAUGAAUAUCUGAAUCGUCAUUCGUGUUUGCAUCAUUGUCAUCUGCAACACCAUUCGGGAGGACAUUACGGAUAACAUAAUCUGCUGGCAGCUUUCUCCUCCCCCAACUCAUACCGCUGGAACCAAGGCUAUAGGCGGGGACGAACGCAUCAGGGUGCUCUUCCAGGCGGCGGCGAGGAGGCUGGGGGUGACCAAGAUGGAAGGAGGGACGUCGUGGGUUGUGAGCGGGCGGUAGAGGACUGGAGCGGGCAGCUGGCCGGAGGGGAGGGAGGCGAGGACCGUGGGGAGCUCGGUGGCGUGCUGCGUGGUGCCGGAGGUCGGGUGGUGGCGGCGGCAACUUUGUGGGCGAGAGGGAGAGGAGGCGAUCCCGAACGAAACUUGACUACGUCUCGACAUUGACAAUACAAUGAUUCGAUUGCCCGUCGGAGUUGAGGACAAGGGCGCGGAUCAUUGCAGAGGAACGUGGGGACAGAGUGGAACGUCGAGGCAAAGCGUGAUCUUCAACUUGUUGGCGCCAUCUUUUGAUAGGAAGAAGAGGGAAGAGGUUCAGUUUGUUAAUCAACAGCUCCCUUUUCGUAGUAGUAACAAUCAUCUACAAUUAUGGGCAACAAAUUUUCGCCGAGCUUCCCAUUUCCGCCUCCAUUCUAUGUAAAUAAUUAAGGUACUUAUUAGCUUUUAUUGUUGCCCUAACUUUAGCCACAUCAAUUGAAUAUUGUUGUAUUUUUGUUCCAUCAACCUGAAAAGCAACAUAAACAUAAUAUCAAGAGAAAUCCGCUCAGGUUUUCUAUAUAUACAAAUAUCAUGAAAGAGAGACUACUUCGAUACAUUUCAAUUUUCUCUACAAAUAACACCUUUGUACUUUAGUGAUCUAUAAAAUGUCUAAUACUAGUUUAUAGAGGAAGUACUUAAUACGGUCAAUAAGAUUAAGUUAUGUAACUUGAAAAUUAUUACCAUGAAAGCCUCUUUCAAGAGAAGAGAGAGAGAGAUCAUUCCAUAUGUCGUAACGACAGUUGACCUACCAUUAUUUUCUCUCUAUAUAGAAAUAUGGAGUACUCCCUCAGUUCCUAAAUAUAAGUUUUUUUAAAAGAUUUCACUAGGAGUCUAUAUACAGAGCAAAAUGAGUGAAUCUACACUUUAUAGUAUGCCUAUAUGCAUCCGUAUGUAAUGUGGAACCUCUAGAAAGACUUAUAGAAAUUACACCAAGGUCCCUUGGGAACUGGCCAAUUCCAUCAUCCUGAGGAGGCCUUGGCGUGUUGCUGCCGCUACUCAAUAGCCAUCGCUGCAUGGGUCUGUCACUACCUAGAUGAUGUGGCAAUUAGGAAGUCACUGUACCUAGGCCCCUGGAUGACCUAUACCCUUGAAGCCAGGUCAUGAUCGUCGGAAAGAGAAUAUAUCUCGAAGCCGAUGCACUGGAUCCCACAAUGAUGACGAGCAUCGCUGCGACGAGGAUGGUGGCAAAGGACAGAACUCCAUUACACAACUAUCGUUCUUGCCUCAACGUCAGCACCUGGAACCACCAAACGACCGCCCCUGUAGAACGACGACCACAUCAAACUUGCACUCUUCCACGCCAUUUGCAAAAGCUACCAACUUGGUGGAUGAGAAGACGAGGAACUUUAUUUCACUUGGCGACAUCGUCCACCCCCCCCCCCCUCCACCGCGCCACCCAUCCGAUCCGACCCAACAAUCUAGAGGCACAACCUUCUAGAACUCAUCAACGGGAGAGAUCAAGGAGAACAUGCAUCAAGCAGGUCACCGCCUUGACGCGAGAAGAACCAUAGGAUCGCCUCCUUAUAAAAGCAAAUUUAGCAGUUCCCAUGCCGCCGAUAAGAUUAGCGAAGAGAAGGCGACCACGACGUCGCACACUCGCACAUACCCAGAACGCCUAGAUCAGACCCAGAUGCCCGAUUCGAACCCGUCGUAGCUGCAAUGUCGAUGCACAGAUGUCGAGCCGCACGCCUGUGCCUCACCGCAUUGGCUCGUGACAUGACCCCGACCACUAGGGCCGCGGCAUCUUGCGUCUCAAUCUCCCGGAAGCAACCAAAGGCAUCGGAGAGGUUCAUCCACGACCUAGAUUUUUUGUGAGGAACCCCUGAAGCUAACGAACAAUGCAUGCUCUGCCAGAUCCUCGCCACCUGAAAGAUUGCCGCGAGUAUACCAACGCUGGGCGUCGCUCUAGUUCCCGCGCGUCCACGAACCACCGUCAUCACCCCAACAGCUCCCAUAGUCACCUACCAUCCGCCCCAGACUACCUUUGGUAGCUUGUCCCACCGUCCUGGUGAGGGCCGACGGUAGUGUCGACGAGGGGAGCCAGGGAUGGGGGAGGAGGCUGGCGGUGCGAGGUGUUGCCUUGGGGAUCGACACGGGAGGGGUCAUGGGAGAGCAUCACAUUUGGGAACCACUCUGGAUCUACAUAGAGUAUGGGUUUUCUGUUAAGAAUGCUUAUGCACUAUCUAUUUGUUACAUUUUUGUUUUGUGAAACAAUUGCUCAAACUCGUAAACUUUCAGCAAAAGCAGAAAUCCUGUAAACUAAUAGAAAUUACACCAAGGUCCCUUGGGAACUGGCCAAUUCCAUCAUCCUGAGGAGGCCUUGGCGUGUCGCUGCCGCUACUCAAUAGCCAUCGCUGCAUGGGUCUGUCACUACUUAGAUGAUGUGGCAAUUAGGAAGUCACUGUACCUAGGCCCCUGGAUGACCUAUACCCUUGAAGCCGGGUCAUGAUCGUCGGAAAGAGAAUAUAUCUCGAAGCCGAUGCACUGGAUCCCAUAAUGAUGACGAGCAUCGCUGCAACGAGGAUGGUGGCAAAGGACAGAACUCCAUUACACAACUAUCGUUCUUGCCUCAACGUCAGCACCUGGAAUUUAUAUACGGAGUCUAUAUACGGAGCAAGAUGAGUGAAUCUACACUUUAUAGUAUGUCCAUAUGCAUCCGUAUGUAGUGUGGAAUCUCUAGAAAGACUUAUAUUUAGGUACGGAGGGGGUACUUGUGAAGCACGCACUUACAGUAGUGUAUACGUAAUUACGUAGCCUUCACAAGUCUGAAAUACCCUGCUCCGUCAAAGAUAUUUUCUAAGGCUCUGGAACAUUCCAGACCCUUCCGAUCCUCACGCUCGCGCUUGCGCUUGCGCUUGCGCCGCCGUCCAAACCAGGGUCUGGACCAAAUUAUUCGCUCCGGUUAGCCGCCGAAUUGAUCCCGCACACCGUCCGGCGACCAAGCAGCGGCGAGCCGCCACGCGUCUUGUGGCGUGACAGGUGACGCAUUUCCGCACCACACGUUUCGUCUCCGGUCGGCCGCGCUAUGCACGACGGAAAUAUCCCAGCUAUCUGCCAAACUAAUACUCUAUCGAGCUCGAUCCAAUCCGUCACGUCGUGAACGUCGCGGUGGCUUCCAGCGACUGGUCCACAGACGCUAAAGGUAGGCCAACCCACACCAACUGGCCACACACGUAAGCACCAUCCGCAGCAACACGCACGCCACCUCAUCCUGACUGGCUGCCCAACCUAUAUAUUCUCCCCCGCCGAUCCAUCCAUCCAUUCUUCCUCCUACCGAGCUCCCAGAGAACAUACUAUCAAGAGAGCAUCAAUCAAAGUCAGCAACAAAUCCAUCUCCAUGGGAGCGGGCAUGGUGUCGCUGGCGCUGUCCCUCAGCACGGACUCCUCGGCGUCCACCACGACGUCGGACAACUCCUCCACCGGUGCGCCGGCGACGACGGCGGCAAGGAAUAAGGUGCGGCGUGGGAGAGUGGUGGCGACGUCGGGGGAGGGAGAGUUCGUGUGCAGGACGUGCGGCCGCGCCUUCGAGACGUUCCAGGCGCUGGGCGGGCACCGGACCAGCCACCUCCGCGGCCGCCAUGGGCUGGAGCUCGGCGUCGGCGUCGCCAGGGCCAUCAAGGAGAGGAAGCGGCAAGAGGACAUGGAGCAGCACGAUUGCCACAUCUGCGGGCUGGGCUUCGAGACGGGCCAGGCGCUCGGCGGCCACAUGCGGCGGCACCGCGAGGAGAUGGCGCUCGACCGGUGGGUCGCGCUGUCGGAUCAGGAGGCAGGGCACCAGGCCGCCGCGGCCGACCGGCUUCCCGUCUUGCUCGAGCUGUUCGUCUAGCCUGCUGCUAGCUGGACCUCAAUGCUUGUUAAUUCAGGCCUGCUCGAGCUGUUCGUAUAGUCUGCUAGCCUUCUUAGUCCAGGACUUGUGUAUAAAUUUCUUCAGAAUCAUAUAGGUUCAUUGUUCCACCUUGUAUAGAGUAUGUUCUUGCUGGUUGCUGGUUAGAGAAUGUUUUUGCAGGUUAGCUGGAUCUUUGCUUUGGAUCUGUCAUUUUUUUUAACUGAUGGACUGGAGUGGAGAUUUUUUUUUUCUUUUUUUUUGCGAUAGAAAGAGAGUUUUAUUCCAUAAUUAUAGGGUUACAAUCAAGAGGCACCAACUCCUCAAUACAAGGUAGGCUCCUCCCCAGCCAUACGGCAGUAGUAGACUCCGUACGACUGUACAAUGCCAACCGAUGUGCUACCCUAUUUUGCUCACGCUUUAGUUUUGAUGGAACAAACUCUCGAUCCUGAAGAUGACGCUUGAUCUCUAAUACCAAGUGCCCAUAAGCUGACCUGGAUAAGCUAUCCCCGGUCAGUGCGCCUAGUGCCGUAGAUGAGUCUGACUGAACCACAAUUGGCAGGGCCGAGUGCUGCAGGGCCAAGGCCAUGCCCUGCAUUAUCGCAUGUAGCUCCGCUUCCAGCGCAUCGUUGCAGUUAAAGAUGCAUCUAUACGCCGCGAAGAUCACACUUCCUUCAUGAUCCCGAAGUAUCAUACCUGCUGCCGCCGACCCGUCCUCUUGCAUGAAUGCCCCGUCCACCGAUAGCGCCGCCCAGCCCAAGGGCGGUCGUGGCCAGUGCAGACCCGUUGGAGGAGCGGGAACCUCGACGAUUGCAUCCCGAACGACAGGCAUUUUCCCUUUGAGGAUAUCAUCUGUAGAGAAUCGACCACACAAGUUCAAGGAGUUCAUAUAGCUCUGAAGGAAGUCCGACGUUGCCGUUACGGGAGGAUCAUCCUUUUCGUGCGUAAGGCCCGAUCGUAACGACCAGAUCCUCCAUAUUAACAUGAUCGUGCAAUCCCGCAUGUGGUCAUCGCAGUUAGCCAGGACAUUUAAUAGCCACUCCUUCCCUGAAUCCUGGAGAAGCUCUUGGCUCGGAAGACGCCAUACUGUUCUCAUCUGAUUCCAUAUCCUCUGCGCAUGCUCACAUGACACUAGAGCAUGGAAGCUAGUCUUCUUUUCUCGUCCGCACACCCGACAGCUAUCCCUAGUCGAGAUGUGUCUAUACUUCUUGCACUCAUUUGUGGCGAGAGCCCCAGAGACAACCUUCCACGCCAUAAUUCUCAUCUUAAGAGGCACUUGAGAGCUCCAAAUUCGCUGCCAGAUGGGCCUUCGACCUGAAGCAUUAUUACUUGACGAGCUUAGCUGCAUUGAGAAUUGAGCUUCUGUAGCUAGAUGAUAGACGCUACGAACGGAGAACUGUCCAGACCGCUCCGGAGCCCAAGCGAUGAAAUCCUGCCCGUUCCUUGGAGAUGUGCAGAUCAUCAAGAUCGCCCUAACAUCCAUGUCCCAAACAUGCUCCCUAAGCCGUUCCAAAUCCCAUGCACCAUGCUCAUUCAGAAAAUCAGUCACCCGAUUGUACCGACAGUUCCCUUUAGGGGUGAUCGGCCUGAAGUUGUGGCCACGAGGAAUCCAAGCAUCUCUCCAGGUUUUAAUCAUAAGACCGUUGCCGACUCGCCAUAUAAUGCUCUUUUUCACCAGCUCAAGACCAUGAACAAUACCCUUCCAGACCGCCGAACUGUUAGACGAGAAUACCGUGUCUAGCAAAUUUCCCCUUGGAUAAAUUGCAGAUAAAUUCGUUUGUUCUAAAUGCAACUGACAGAUUCUUGCACUCGUAUUCUUCUUAUAUGAAUAUGCUCACGUCUUUUUACAGGAACUUCUAUGAAUCGGCUCGAGCUGUCGUUCACCCCUGUGUUUUAAUUUUCGGCCGUGAAAUCCCGAUUUCGACCGAAUUUCGACCGUCUCGGCUUAGGGCGAAUAGUACCUUUCAGCCAAAAAUGGAUUUUGAUCAAAUUUCAUCCAAAUUUCAGUUAAAUGUUGGUCAAAUUUCAGUCAAAAUUUUAAAAUGACUGAAAUUUGACCAUUUCGGUCUAGGUCGAAAAAAGUCCCAAUCUGAAAACUCUGGUUCACCCCCAUUUUACGUAUGAUAAUUCCAGUACGGGGCUUCCAUUUGUAAAUUCCGGCAAUAUAAACUAGCUUCACAACUUGAGCCCGCCGGAGUUAAUGACGACGAGGGCGCGGAUCAUUGCAGAGUGAUGUGAGAACAGAGUGGAACAUCGAGGCAUAGGGAGCUCAAGGGAGAUCUCCUUGGUUCUCUUUGUGUUGCCGUGGUAAUGUGGACUUGCCUUCGAACAAAAUCAAAGACGCCUAGUCUUCCGCUAGACCGGAGGCUUGAUGGCGAAUAAAUGCAAUCUCAAAAAUGGCGUGUGCCAUUGCCAUCGCACUCCACCACCUCCAUCCCGGUUUGAUUCGUGUUGCUCACUUGUAACGGCCACACGGACACGGGAAGUGUGCCUGAACACCCUCAGCAAUCCUCUCUUUUCUUCGCAGCAUACGCGAUUAUCGAUGACAUGGCCCUACUUGUUGAGAAUAAUAGGUGCUCGAUGGAACUUUAGAUCAUCUACAACAGGUUACUCAAACUUCUUCUACAUGCUCAGGCAGAUGGUUCGGUCCGUGACCGAUCAUAAAAUCUUGAUUCACACGUGCUGCUCAAACAGGUACUAUACGCCAGGGCUGACAUGCAUCCCAUAUAUCCUGUCCAUAUCAAGGCAGAUAUAAGAAGGCACGAACCUGGCCGGACGCGUCCACCGCGUCCCGUUGAGGUGCGCGACCCAACGCCCACGUCACAAACUACACUACACGGACGUCACGCUGUAGGCGUACCUAACAGCAAUGGACUUGGAUCGGCGUCGUCGCAAUGGAUCUCUCAAGAGUCUCCCCAUGGUCAAGGCUUGCUUUGCAAAAGAACUACAAUUCAGUUCGUAUCGAUGUUAGCUAAUCAGAAUUCUCAGCUUUUUCGGUAUAUAUAAGUCUAACGCAAACUAACGAUCGCGUGUAACUCCAAUGCACGGAGAAAUUCCAUAGCCGUGGUGCAGCAAUUUUGGUGAACGCGGCAAGACAUAUUUGCACCAGAGAACGGGAGCAAGAGCCAAAAUUGAAAAUUUGGAAACGUGCCGGCAAAAGAAAAGGAAGUGUGGAAUCGUCCUCCGCGGUUUCUUGUUCUACUGGCUGAUGACUGGUCGUCGACUGGCCAGUCAAUUAGGUUCCAGUCAAAUUAACGUUCACCGGUGCAACCACAAAUACGUACCAGCGAUAUGUGGUGGCGUCCAACGGCACCGGAUAUGGAUUGCGUCCGCGUCCCACCGCGCACCAACUUGUACAACUUGUAAUGUACUUCCUCCGUUCCAAAAUAUAAGACCUUUUAAAGAUUUCACUAGAAGACUACAUACGGAGCAAAAUGAAUGAAUCUAUACUCUAAAAUAUGUCUAUGUACAUCCGUAUGUAGUUUAUAGUGCAAUCUUUAAAAGGUCUUAUAUUUAGGAACGAAGGGAGUACGUAACUUGUGCAGUAUGCUUUGCUUAACAUAGUGAACUAAUUAAUGAAGGUUCCGUUCAUUUCGUGGGAACUUCCGUCCAACCGCGUUAGGCGAGUACAUGGGAGCUAGCUAAGAAUAUCUACAACCGUACGCCUCAAAAGAUCCAUCAUACGCUUGUAUAACUGAUUGAUCUUGUAACGCUUUUGCUGGUUAGCGUUCCUGUUCUUUGCUGAAGUAUCUGCAUUGUAUUGGUCUACUUUUUUCUAGCCAGCUAUAGAUUUACGUGCUUGUAUUGACAAGGACAAUUUUUAUUGUGCUAAAUGCAAUUAACAAAACCUUGUCCUCAGACUGUUGAUCUAUGAAUAUGUUGUUGUUCACUCCAUUGAUUAGUACAUGUUCCAGUGUGUUGCAAUGUAUCAAUCCAAAUAUCACUCAUCCUCCACACGGUCCUCCAGCGGUCCCUCGUGAUGGCGGUGACGGAUGCGUGGUGGCUCCGCAGCAAGAACGUCAAAGUUCUCUGGCUUGUCAUGAGCAGUCGGAACACGAGGCAACGGCGAAGGCGUCGGGCAAGGUGCAUGACCGCAUGGUCUGGAGAAUGACCAACAAUAUCUCCGUUCGACGACGAUUAAGACCUCACCGACGUCUUCGGUCGAAGGCAAACUCCUACACGGAGAGGUAGAGCCGUACCUAUGCAAAGGGAAGGAACCGGCGAGGAAAUGAUGAUUUCCUCUGCCCUUCUCCAUCUCUGCAUAAUAUGUAAUUUUUAGUACUGUCCGACGAUGAACACUUGUUCUUUUGAUUGUACGAUGACUACUAGUAUGUGAAUUACGUGCUUUGAUUGCUACUGUGUAGUUCAUGUUUUACAUUGCAUGAGUUUGGGGGUUCGGAUGUGAAGAAACAUUUGCGGUGACAGCAAAUUAAGGGGUGCCCAGCUAGUCACGGUGCGGGAACGCUCCAGACGCGUCCUCAGACAUUAGAGGGGCUAGAUAAGCUACUCGCAGUUGUAGAUGUUCUAAUGAGCGCACAGGAGAGUAAUAACGACGUGAAAAGGAGAGAGAUGUACGUCAUAAGCUCUAGAACAUGGACGUCACGCCAAUAGCAAUUGACUUGGAUCGGGGUCGUUGUAUGGAUUUCUUGAGAGUCUCCGCGUGGUCAUGGUUUGCCGUGCAAAAUAACUAACCUAGCCCGUAUUGCUGUUAGCUCGUCAGAAUAUGUAGUAAUUUCCGUGAAAAACAAGCACAUGCACACGCGUACGAUUGUACUACAUGAACACUGACGAUCGUUCGAGUCGCGUGGCGCAUGUGCCAGCACGGAGAAAUGCCAUAGCUGCAUGUACGCGCUGCAGUAAUUCAGGCGGACGCGGCAUUUGGAUCCAACGUCCAACUCUUGAAACCCAAAACGAUCCUUGCCACCUGCCAACAUAAAAGGGAUUAGAGGACGCACCACCAUGACGGUGCACGGUUUCUUCUCUCAUGAUUAACCUUGGCUUCAAUACUCACUUUUUUUUGUCUAACAUGAAUGACUUGAUCGGCAUGAAAACAAAAACGUCGAUACGAGAAAGUUGACGACAUCUUUGAGAAGGAAGGAGGUUUUUUCUUUUUUUUUAAAGAAGGCAUAGCCUCGAUCUCUACAUCGAAAGAUGCAUGCGGUCAUAUAUUAAAAACGAUACCAAGUCUCAAAAUAGUACACAGAAGUCUUAACAAAAAUAAAAAGAUACACGACGUCUGACACGUCACAACUGAAGGUGAACAUAGGCCUAGACGACUAACCAUCUUUUUUUUGAAAAGGAGAUGACUAACCAUCUAUCCUAUUAAUAUGUCGCCAUUCAAACCGGUUGAAGAUACCCUUGGCUACCAUCUUUCAUCGGACACACCCAGUAACCAUAGGCUCUCUGACUUUCACAGGAGUGAGUAAGGACCACGUGCGGAUCAAGGCAGUAGCCUGAAAAUGACCUGCAAAAAGUGAAUAUGUCGUUGUUUGUUAAAUACUAAGUCAUUUCUAAAAUUCCAUGUAGCCCAUAAAAGUGCACAUGAUCCUACACGGAUAAGUUUAGCAGUUUUAACAUCGAUCCCCUUUAACCAUCGAAGGAGGGUGGCAGAGGGACAUUUUAGAUGUUCUAUUUUUUAAUGAUAUAAUUUUUAUGUUAAACAAUAUAUUUUAUAUAAAUCAAAUUGACGAUCUAGAUACACGUGCAUGUCUUCUAAACUGUGAUGGAGGGAGUAUUAUUUAUGUAGUGUUUUCACAAACAGAAACACGAGUUCAGAUUUUUAUUUUUGCAUGCUGCGAACUUUUUAUGGCUCUGCCCAUGCUCAUGCGUAUGGAGCUCUAUUCCUGGCUCCGUCUCUGAUUCCCGGUAGAUUUAUUUUCCUUUGUACUCUCUGAACCUUGUAAAAUUUUGCCGAAUCCAAUUUAUGGGGCUAUAUUAUAUAAAACAGGGUGUACCCUAAGAUUUUCGUCUAAAAAAUAAUGCCAUGCCUGACGGAGUGUGGAUGCAAGGUUGGGUGCACCACUUGAUGCAGAAGUCAGGGGCAAUUCUUUUUUUAAUAGAAAAAUUGAGCGUGGAUACGAGAAAGUUGACGACAUCUUUGAGAAGGAAGGAGGGUGGCAGAGGGACACUAAUGAGACUAUAUAUUAAGAGAGUAAUGACGCGAAAGGGAGAUAAAAUUAUGUCAUAAGCUCUAGAGCACCGACGUCACUGCCCAGCCGUACCACCAACAGCAAUUGACUUGAAUCGGCGUCGUCGCUAUCUGUUUCUGCAGUCUCGAUCUACAUGCUUAUGUCUUGCCGUGCAAAAUAACUAAUUUAGCGCGUAUUGCAGUUGGCUAGUCAGAACUUGUAGUCAUUUGCGUGAAAAACAAGCACAUGCACACAUGUAUACGAGUCCAAUGCAUGCACACCUAUGAUCCGUUCGAGCGCGUGGCGCAUGUGCAGCCACGGAGAAAUUCCAUAGCUGCAUGCAUGUGAUGCAGUAACUCAGGCAGACGCGGCAAGCCAUUUCUGGAGCGGAGAACAGAUUAAAGCAGGAGCCAAAACUGGAAAUACGGAACCGUCCCGGCAAAAGACGAGAAGGGAAUGUGGAAUCGUAUGUAUGCGUGCUCUCGUUCUUCUCGCCAAAGAAUCGUCGUCAAAUCAUGGUUGAACAACAAAACACCCAACUACGUACGUACAAGUACAACGGACAUGGACUUCCUGCUAAACCGUCCACAUGCACGUAACCGCGUGACGGGCUACCUGGGACGACCGGGAGCAAAGCUGAGCAAUUACUCCAAGCUGACGCGAUCGAGCAGAGGAGAAGGUUCUAUAUAUCUUUCCAGACCUGCGCUUUAGCUAGGUCGCCGUCGAUCGCGACGGACUCCAAGUCGUGCCUCCGCAGUCGUCAAGCCAGACAUGGUCUACAAGCGAUGUACCUGGUGGCUACUACUAGUACCAGCCAGUACCCAGCACUAUAAAAGGCCAACCAUGCACGAUCCCAGACACAUCCACAGCCAACUCCGAGCUCUAACGACUGACUGAAUCCGCGCAGAACUACGAACUCUUGUGACUCAUACCCGACUAGCCGCGAUAUGGUUUCGUCAAUGAAGCAGUACAGGGAUGAUGCCGAUGCGCCCUCGUCCGUCUCCCUCUCGCUCUCCCUCGGCGCCGUGGCCGACCGCAUCAGCAAGAAGAUGAGGCGCGGCGGCGCAGACGGCGAGUUCGUGUGCAAGACAUGCGGCCGGUCGUUCAGCUCGUUUCAGGCGCUGGGCGGGCACCGGACAAGCCACCUGCGUGGCCGCCAUGGACUUGCCCUCGGCCUCGCCGCGGGGUCAGAACAGGUGAGCAGGAAGAGCAGGGACCAGAAGCAGGUGCACCGGUGCCAUGUCUGCGGGCUCGAGUUCGAGAUGGGUCAGGCCUUAGGAGGCCACAUGCGCCGGCACCGCGAGCAGGAGGCCACCACCACGGCGCAGGCGCAGCCAGUUCUGCUCCAGCUCUUCUUCUAGCGCUAGCUCCAUUGGUUUCUCUCUAGUCCGAUAUGGAUAGACUGCCUGCUGUGUAGUUCUGCUGGUGUUGAUCGAUGGUUCGUUCCUUCACUUUGACGAACAUGUACAUAUGUCUCAUUGAUUCCUUCGUUAUUUCGGUCCAGUUUAGUUCCCUACAAGUUGAGCCUAUCAAUAUCCUGAUAAAUAACUCUCGGAAGAAGAAUUCCAAGUGGAAUACUUUUUGUUUCGGAAUAGGUCGUUGAACAAAUCCCUUGCUACCCUCUCCAAAUGGCUGCAUCCCUAAUCCCUUGCUACUUCUCCGGCGGGUGCAGCGGUUGCCGGUCUUUUUCUUUUAUUUUUCGUUUGAGUUUCUUGUGAUGUGGCCCCGGCAAGCUGCAUGUAUCGGUUGGUUUCUUUGUAAUACAAAGUGGGGGGAAAACCCUUUUUUCAUCAGUUGCUACUUGCUACCAUCUCCUAAUGGCUGCAUCCCUAAUCCCUUGCUAGUUGCUACUUGCUACCAUCUCCAAGUGGCUACACUAGAGGAAAGAAACUCCCGGCGCAAUUCUUCAGAACCUUCUACUCUUCAAUGGAUCACAUAGUAUGGAAAGCUUGCAUGCNNNNNNNNNNNNNNNNNNNNNNNNNNNNNNNNNNNNNNNNNNNNNNNNNNNNNNNNNNNNNNNNNNNNNNNNNNNNNNNNNNNNNNNNNNNNNNNNNNNNACCUCCACCGCAGAGGGGCCCGAACUCAUACAUCCUCGCCGUAGCUGGGACUUUGCCCAUCCUUUUCGUACCCUACACAUCUACUGUCAGGCUUAUACCCACGACAGUUGGCGCCCACCGUGGGGCAGGCGUCUAAGCGACUUCCGGCGAGUUUGCGACUACUUCCUUUCGUCAUGUCGUCCGGUGGAGAUUCAAGCAUGGGUCACCAGAUCUUCUUCGGCGAUCUCUCCUUCAUCAUCGACAAUUCGGCGUUGCUUCGGGAUGCGCCCCUCGACGUCGAGGCGCUUCCCCGUCACGGGGCUACGCACUUCCGUGCCGGCGCCCGCGGCAUUCUUCUUCUCCAGCAGUCGGCUCCGGUGUUGACCUACACCGCCGUCACGCGCCACGUCAAGUGGUCCCGCCGUCCGCGGCUCCAGCGUUGGGUGCAACACGCCCAGGCGCGCCAGAACGCAUCUUCACAAGUGGCGGUUCUAGAGUCAGUUGUGGUUGCCCUGCUGUCCCAGCGCUCGGGCUCGGUUCCGACUGAGUUUCCUUCCAAGUACGCGGGUCACGGGCCUGCAGCAGAAGUACACAUGGCCAAUUCCCAUGAAGAUCCCCGUCAAGCUGGCCGGAACGAGCACGAGAUCGGCGAAGCGUCCGGCGCGCGUCGUCCACCUCGCCGUUCUGCUAGUCGGCACACUCGGCGGAGCAACGUGGAGCUGUUCCGCACACCCCUCCUCAACUUGGUUGCAGCUGCCAAGAUAGCCGAUUCCCUCCAGCCGACUGAUUCAGAGGCUGGUAGAGGGAUCGAGCAGAUCCGAGCCCUGUUGCACAUGGCGCAGCAGCAGAAUUCGGCGGUCUCCCAGUCGCACAACAGGAUCUAUAUAGUUCUGUUCAUGCGAAUACGCAUCGGUCGGUUCACAGCCCAGGUUCCCAUCAGCGGCACAGAGGAGGCAGCCGUUCCAUAAAUCACGAAGAUCGCCGCCGUUCACGCACCCCUCCGUGGGGUGGGCCCUAUGGGCCCCGACAUCAUGAUGAUCGGUGUUCAGUCGGUGACACUUACGACCCAAGGCCCGACGCAAGAGGGCAUAUCGCCCAGCGGAGGGUCGACAGGGGUCGGGCCCACCGCGAUGGUCACGAUAUCGACCGUCCGAGUGGAAGCAGGGCCACCUUUUUCUGGUCCCGAGUGUUUCAGUCGAGCCAUCCGUUCGGCUGACAUCCCUCCCAACUUCCGAUUGGCAACGGGAAUUAGCAAGUUCACAGGAGAGUCCAAGCCAGAAACGUGGCUGGAUGACUACCGAGUGGCAGUCCAGAUCGGAGGAGGGGACGACCAUGUCGCCAUGAAGCACCUCCCUCUGAUGCUCGACGGCUCGGCGCGAGCGUGGCUGAACCAGUUGGCCCCCUCAAGCAUCUACAGUUGGGCAGAUCUGGCCCGAGUGUUCAUCAGGACCUUCGAAGGGACGUGCAAGCGCCCUGCUGGCCUUGUGGAGCUCCAGCACUGCGUCCAGAAGCAGAAUGAGCCCCUGCGUGACUUCAUCCAGCGCUGGACAACUCUCUAUCACACGGUGGAGAACGUCACCGAGCAUCAAGCAGUCUGCGCCUUCAAGGCAGGCGUGCGGUACACGGAUCUGUACCUGAAGUUCGGCCGAACAGGCGACAUCUCCAUGAGCAAGAUGAUGGAGAUAGCAACACGCUAUGCAAAUGGUAAAGAAGAGGACCGCAUCCGAAGCGGCAAGCACAAAACAGUCGCUGAUGGCGAUGGGGGCCACACUCGGAAGCAGAAGCAGAAAGCUCCGACCGCUCCGCAAGCAGAAGCUGCAGCCGUAACCAAUGCCAAGUUCAAGGGCAAAGGGAAGGCUCAGUUCACCCUCAAGAAGAACCAGUUCAAUAACCCCAUCCUGGACCAGCCAUGUCCGGUUCAUACGAAGAUGGAUGAAGAGGGAAACCCCAUAUAUGCGAAGCAUACCACUCGACAGUGUCGCCUCCUGAUCCAGGGGUUCAGCGAAGGGCAACUGAGUGAGAAGGACCAUGAACAGGAUGAGGAGGAUAAGGAGGAUCCGUUCCCCCAAGUCCAUGCAACCCUGAUGAUCUUUGCUUACGUCGAGAGCAAGAGCCGACUGAAGCUGGUGAACAGAGAGGUGAACAUGGCCACCCCUACCAACCCCAAGUUCCUCAAAUGGUCUCAGACUGCGAUCACCUUCGACCAGUCGGAUCAUCCAGCACAUGUACCCACCCCGGGGAGACAGGCCCUAGUCAUCGACCCGGUGGUAGAAGGAGUCCGACUGCGCAAAGUCCUCAUGGAUGGCGGCAGCGGCUUGAACAUCAUGUACGCCGACACCCUCAAGGGGAUGGGCAUCCCGAUGUCCAAACUCAGCGAGAGCAGCAUGCAGUUCCACGGAGUCGUCCCUGGACGGAAGGCCAAAUCACUCGGCCAGAUCGCGUUGGACGUCGUUUUCGGCUCCGACAAGAACUUCCGCAAGGAAAAGCUGACGUUCGAAGUGGUUGACUUCCAGAGCGCUUAUCACGCAAUUCUAGGUCGCCCAGCGUAUGCGCACUUCAUGGCCCGUCCAUGUUACGUAUACCUGAAGCUGAAGAUACCAGGCCCGAAGGGUGUGAUCACCAUCACAGGCAAUCGGCAGCGGGCUGAAGAGUGUCUGCAGCAGGGAUCAAGAAUCGCCGACCAGCAGAUGGCCGUCCUCGAGCUGGACGAGUACAAGAAAAUAGUCGACCCCGCCGACCUGAUGCGCUCGAAGAAGCCAGCUUCAGAGUCUGCAUUUCAGUCGGCAGGAGAGACGAAGAAGGUCAGCAUCCACCCGACGGACGCCACUGCUGCCCCGACGAACAUCUCCACCACCCACGAUCCUAAAUAGGAAGCCGAGCUCACCCAAUUCCUCCGUGAGGACUAGGACAUCUUCGCAUGGAAACCCUCCGACAUGCCAGGUGUACCCAGGGAGUUAGCUGAGCACCGACUGCACGUGGAUUCCACGGCUCGGCCUGUCCGAGAGCACCUGCGCCGGUCCGCCGCGCACAAGAGGAAGGCAAUCGGGGAAGAGGUGGACAAGCUGCUGGCAGCCAACUUCAUUCGCGAGGUUCACUACUCCGAGUGGCUCGCCAAUGUUGUCAUGGUGCCCAAGAAGGACAAGUCGCUCCGAACGUGCAUCGACUUCAAGCAUCUCAAUAAGGUCUGCCCGAAAGACCAUUUUCCGCUCCCCCGCAUAGAUCAAAUUGUCGAUUCGACUGCGGGUUGCGAGCGUCAGUCAUUUCUUGAUGCCUACUUGGGCUAUCAUCAGAUCCUUCUGUAUGGUCCCGAUGAGUUAAAAACAGCCUUCAUCACCCCAUUCGGGUGCUUCUGCUACAUCACUAUGCCGUUCGGUCUGAAGAAUGCAGGAGCUACCUUUAUGCGCAUGAUCCAAAAAUGUCUCCUCGAUCAGAUCGGUCGGAAUGUGGAGGCGUAUAUGGAUGAUAUCAUAGUCAAGUCACGCAAAGGUUCCGACCUGCUGACUGACUUGGCAGAAACAUUCGCCAACCUUCGUAGGUACGAUAUCAAGCUCAACCCCGCCAAAUGUUCAUUCGGCGUUCCCAGCGGAAAGUUACUCGGUUUCUUCAUUUCCGAACGAGGGAUCGAUGUCAACCCCGAAAAGAUCAGGACCAUCGUCCGAAUGGAGAGGCCGGUCAGAAUACACGAUGUUCAACGUCUCACAGGUUGCCUAGCGGCUUUGAGCAGGUUCAUCAGUCGACUCGGCGAAAAAGCACUUCCUCUGUACCGACUCAUGAAGAAAUCAGAUACUUUCGAGUGGACAGAUGAAGCCCAAGUCGCAUUCGACGACCUCAAAGUCCUACUUUCCACCCAGCCGGUUCUUACUGCUCCGCUCAGUAAAGAGCCCCUUCUUCUGUAUAUCGCGGCUACAAAUCAAGUCGUCGGUACUGUUCUUACAGUCGAACGAGAAGAAGAAGGCCAAGCAUACAAAGUUCAGCGGCCAGUGUACUACAUCUCCGAAGUCCUGACCCCUUCCAAGCAGAGGUAUCCCCACUAUCAAAAACUUAUCUACGAGAUUUACAUGACUGCGACGAAGGUGGCCCAUUAUUUCCAAGACCACGCGGUGUCUGUCGUUUCUGAUGCUCCAUUGUCGGAAAUUCUCCACAAUCGAGAUGCGUCAGGCCGAGUGGCGAAGUGGGCGAUGGAGAUGCUGUACUGCGAUAUUAAGUUCGAGGCCAAGAAAGCUAUUAAGUCUCAAGCUUUGGCUGACUUCAUAGCAGAAUGGGUAGAACAACAGCAACCGACCCACAUCUGCUCGGCCCAUUGGACAAUGUUCUUCGAUGGGUCCAAGAUGUUGAAUGGCUUCGGCGCUGGCGUUGUGAUCAUAUCACCAAAGGGCGACAAGCUCAAGUUCUGGUCAUGGAGAUUCUUGCCGUCAUCCCCGAUUGGACUGUGCCGAUCGUUGCAUAUAUUCUGAGGCAGGAACUACCAGAAGACGAAGUCCAGGCCAGGCAGAUAGUCCGCAGGUCGAAGUCAUUCACUGUCAUUGAUGGCCAAUUGUACAAAGAAAGUAUCUCAGGCAUUCUUCAACGAUGCAUCUCCCCAGAGGAGGGGCAGCUGAUUCUGGAGGAUAUUCACUCGGGGACCUACGGUCAUCAUGCUUCUUCGAGAGAAAUCGUCGCCAAGGCAUUCAGGGCUGGUUUCUUCUGGCUGCAGGCUAACGAGAUGGCUAAAGAUAUGGUUGAUCGAUGUGAGGGCUGCCAGUUCUACUCCAACAAGUCCCACAAGCCGACGUCUGCGUUGAAGACGAUCCCUCUUGUGUGGCCGUUUGCAGUGUGGGGAUUAGAUACAGUCAGCCCGUUCAAGACAGGCCUAGGUGGAUACACACAUCUGUUGGUGGCAGUCGACAAGUUCACGAAAUGGAUCAAAGCGAAGCCCAUCAAGAAGCUCGACGCCUCAACAGCCGUCAAGUUUGUCAGGGACAUCAUCUUCAGAUUCGGUGUACCUCACAGCAUAAUCAUGGACAACGGGACAAACUUUGACUCGGACAGAUUCAAAGGUUUCUGUACAAGCCAAGGCAUCCGAGUGGAUUUUGCUUCCGUAGCGCAUCCUCGGUCCGAUGGACAAGCAGAGCGGGCAAACGGACUUAUUUUGCAAGGUUUGAAGCCCCGACUCCUGCGAGAGAUAGGAUAUGCCGCUGGCGCUUGGGUUACCGAGCUACCUUCAGUGCUUUGGGGACUUCGCACAACCCCGAACAGAUCUACAGGGCGAUCAUCGUUCUUCCUCGUUUAUGCAGCAGAAGCGGUCCUUCCGAGUGAGUUGCUUCACAAUGCGCCACGAGUCGAACUCUUCUCCGAAGCCGAAGCAGAACAAGCAAGGCAAGACGAAUUGGAUCUCCUGGAGGAGGAGCGCGAGAUGGCACUAACUCGCUCGACCAUUUAUCAACAAAAUCUGCGGCGUUUUCAUGCACGCCACGUCAAAAGUCGCACGUUCCAAGCAGGCGACAUGGUGCUCCGAGUGGAUCAGCAAAGACCUCACAAGUUGGCUCCGGCCUCGAAGGACCCUUCAUCAUCUCCAAGGUGCUGAACAACGGAGCAUACAGACUCUACAACAUCGAGAGGGAGACAGACGAGCCGCGUGCAUGGAACGGAGAUCUCCUGAAGCGCUUCUACACGUGACCGUCGACUGAAGCAAUGUAAAGAACAAGUAUUGGUGAAAUAAUAUAAAGCAGAUUGAGUUUUUUGCAGGUUCAAAGUUCUUCCGCGGUCGCAGACUCCGGUCUAAACAAAAAACUUAGUUGCGAUCCAGAAUCGCCUAAGUAUUAACUUUCUCCGAGUGUGCACUUCACGUCACACGUCGGGGACUUAGCUGCGAUCCAGAAUCGCCUAAGUAUUAACUUUCUCCGAGUGUGCACUUAACGUCACACUCGGGGGCUUAGCUGCGAUCCAGAACCGCUUAAGUAUUAACUUUCUCCGAGUGUGCACUUAGCGUCACACUCGGGGGCUUAGCUACGAUCCAGAAUCGCCUAAGUAUUAACUUUCUCCGAGUGUGCACUUAACGUCACAAUCGGAGGCUUAGCUGCGAUCCAGAAUCGCCUAAGUAUUAACUUUCUCCGAGUGCGCACUUAACGUCACACUCGGGGACUUAGCUGCGAUCCAGAAUCGCCUAAGUAUUAACUUUCUCCGAGUGUGCACUUAACGUCACACUCGGGGACUUAGCUGCGAUCCAGAAUCGCCUAAGUAUUAACCUUCCCCGGGUGUCCACUUAACAUCACACUCGGGGACUUAGGGAAUUCCACGGACCCUCAAUGAGGUUCAUGCAGAUGUCAAAACAAAAACAUGUCCCGAAUGUUUGCCUUUGGCUUCACCAAGAAACGCCAAACAAAAACUCGAUUCAACAUUGCAACAGAAGAGCAAAAGAUUCGAUUCAAAGUUCAACCAAAGAUAGUAGUUCGGUGUGGAUCAAGCUUACCCACACCGAACCACGAAUGUGACGGCCAACAGCAGUGGCCAAAGUUUCUUACAGAUUAACACUCGGCAUACUGAGAAUAAAAGUGUUUUUACGCUUCAUCUGGAUUAACACCAGGACUGGAGGGCUCUACGAACGUGUCCAGAUCAAUACCGUCGGCGAUGCGGGUAGCACUUUCAAGGAAGGUUUCCAUGAAGUCUUCAAAUCAAAGUUUCUUCGUGUUGGCCACCUUCAACGUCUUGAACUUCUCCUCGCGCACCUCCUUGCAAUGGACUCGGACCAGAGAUAGAGCAACAUCUGCACCACAACGAGCUGCAGAUUUCUUCCACGACUGCACUCGGUUCGGAAUCUCCUCCAGUCGGGUCAUCAGGUUCUCCAUCUCCUGCGGCGACUCAUCUUCUGGCCAAAGCUCCUUGUUGAUUCGGCCGACGACUUCUCUUAGUCGACCGAUGAAAGGACCAACUUUGCCCACGCGGAUGUGCGCACGGAGCAGAUCUCGAUUGGCGUCCUCGCCGAGUGGAACAUUCUCGAGAAUCGGCCGCUCUACAUCCGCCGCUUCAGCUUCAGCGUCAAAGCAAAAAUCUGCGACAACAGGACAAGCAGACAAUAAGUGCCGAGUGUGACGCGCAUAACACAACCACUCGGAAAGAGCAAGACUUACCAGCCAGACGCGUCAUCAUCUGCCGAGCCCAGUCGCUGACGUAUUUCUCCUGUGCUCUGCAUCGUUUGUUCAGCACGUCCAUCUGACCCAUCAGCGCAGUCCUCUGUUUCCCCAUCUUUUCCACUUCCUUAGUCAACACCUGGUUCGCUUCACGCGCCUGCUCCAAUGACUUCUCUCGUCCCGCCAGAGCAUCCUUCAUGCCAGCCAUUGCAAGCAGCGCCGCAUCAAGCUCACCAGCUAACUGAUUCUUCUCCGCCCUAAGAGUCUCAUAGGUUGUUCCCAUUUCACAAGUUUUCUGCCAGCAAACACCAAGGGACAAUCAGAAAAUCCAACAACAAAAGUUUAAAUUCUUCAGACUCCUGCCGACGCAAGCAGUCGACAACGGCCUCGGGGACUACACCCAGUGGGUUCACUAAGAGUGACCCCACUGGCAUGCAACUCAAGCAGGCCCGCCCUAUUGAGAUGCAUGUUACCACCUACGCCUACGAGGCCAAUACUACCCGACCUGAGUACAAAUUACUCUCGGGGACUCUUACAGUAAGUGCACUCCGAGUGCCACAACUACGCGCACUCGGUCAUGUUAUUUACAGACCUGACCAAAGCAAAGACAAUAUGUAUAAAGACAACUGCCGGUGCAAGCACUCGACAGAAGUCUCGGGGACUACACCCACUGGGUUCACUCAGAGUGAACCCAUUGCGAACAACAGAUGCUAUCCAAAAACACCCAGUGGGUUACAAGAGAAAAGUAAAUACUUACUAGCCCACUUACUCGGAUAUCAUCCCGCAGCUCCAGGCUCCGCUGGUACAAGGACGCGACGGAGUCGUAGGCCCUCUUGGCCUCCCCAGCCAUCAGCUCCGCCUGCACCAUGGCUCCCUUCGCCGCUCCCACCUGCUCCUCCGGGAGACGCUGGACGUUGAACUCGACAUUCGACGAGCCUGGCAUCGUCGGAAGCUCCUGAGGCAUCCCGAGGUCUGCUCCAGUCGGCACCUCAACCACCAGCGCCGGUACAGUCGGCGGCACGUUGGCGGUGAGAGCAGCAACAGGCAGAGCGGCCUCAAGAACGGGCUCUGCAGCCUGUUCAGCUCUCCCCUGAUCGCCCUCGUCCACGCAAAUCGCCCCUCAUAGACCGAACGACGCAAGACCUCAGAAAAAGAAAGAGGCAGAACCUAUGAUAGAAUAAAACACUCGAAGUCACUACAACGCACCUGGCUGGGACGAGACGACGUUGUCCGUGUCCAUGGGGUCAUCUUCUUGGCGCGCCGGAGAGGUGGCAGAAGUAGCAACUCUGUCAAGUGAAGUCCGUUCGACCAAUGAACAAGAAUUCACUCGGAUAUCAGAAGAAAUUAGAGGAUCGAUACACUUACGUGGAGGUGACGGGGACAACAACCCUCAUCCGCGGCAGAGCCUUCCGAGGUUUGGACCCACUCGGUUUGGCCGCCUUGGAAGACUGACCCGCAGGCUCAGCGGCAGCAUCCCUGGCCCUUUUGGUGCUCCGAGCACUCGGGACCACCAGGGCAGUGGGCGGAGCACUCGAAGAUGCUGGAGGGGCCGAGGGAACGGCAGGCUCGUGUCGGCGCUUGGUCCGAUGCUCUGUUUGCGGAGGCGGCGAGUCCUGCUCUUCGUCUUCCUCCUCUUCCUUGCUGGUCUCUUGCUCCGACUCCCCGCUGUCGGAGACAUAUUCAGCGCUCUCCACGCUGCCCUCCUGGCUGCCUUCCUCCUCCUCGGUCGGGUUCCCGUUCGAGACAGGAGAAAACCAGUUGGUCCACUCCUGCAUAAAAUUCAGUCGGCGACAUCAGACGUCACACAGAUAUUCAAGCAAGCGAUAAGAUUAAGACAGUUAGGAGCACUCGACAAGUGCCACUCACCUGAUUCGGAGGAGAAUUAUCCGCGCAGAAGGGCUUCACUCGCCGAGAUCCUUUGGGAUUCUCGCAGGGGCCUGUGAUCUGGAGCACCCACGAGGUCACCCUCUCCUCAGUCACACCCACGACGUUGGUCCGAGUGGAAUCCUCGGGCCCCGUAUAAUGCCACAUGGCGUGGUCGCGAGCCUGCAGGGGCUGGAUACGCCGACCGAGGAAGACCUCCAGCAAGUCUAUGCCAGUGACCCCCCUCUCGACGACAUCUACGAGCACCCCGACCAGAGGCUGGAUGUCGUUCUUCUCCGCCCUCGUGAGCGCGAGUUGCUUAGGUGGGGCGGGCCGAUCUAAGCUAAAGGGAGGCAGCCAUGUCGAAGCAUUCGGGCAGGCGAUAUCCUGGCAGUAGAACCACGUCGACUGCCAGUUCCUGACCGACUCACUUAGCUGGAGGGUGGGAUAACUGCUCCGACUCUUUUUCUGGAACCUAGACCCCCGGAGAGAUGGAGAAGAUGUGUUUUAUCAUCCGACUGGCUAAGUCGUUUGAUGGUCUGGGAUCUAGCAGAAAAUAUGUGCUUGAACAGCCCCCAAUGGGGAGGACAGCCAAUGAAACACUCGCACAGAACUAUAAAGGCAGAGAGAUGGGCAAUGGCGUUCGGGGGAAAGUGGUGAAGUUGUGCCCCGAAGUGAUUCAUGAUGCCCUUGAAGAAAGGAUGCGGGGGCAAGGAGAAACCUCGAUAGACGUGGCUGAGAAGCAAGACGCGCUCCCCCUCCCGGGGCGCCGGCUCGACCUCGUUCUCCGUCGGCGGCCUCCAAGUCUUGUGCACGAUCAUCCCGUGCUCGACCAGCUGCAGCAGAUCCCCCUCCGUCACCGUGGAGGGGAGGAAGUCGCCUUGAAUCCACCCCGCCGGCAGCGGCCGCUGCCGCCGCUGAGCAGGAGCCGCCGCCUUCCCCUUCUUCUUCCUAGCCUCCAUCUUGCUCGUCUGACCCUUGGUCAUGGCGGAAGCUGCGAGCCCGCGGGAGGAAGGGGGAGGGAAGAGUGUAGAGGCGCUGGAGGUGGCGAGAGAGACGGAGCAGGCGAAGGCAAGAGAUUCGGCGAGCGUAACGAAGAACCCUCGCCACCGAGAUUUAAGUAGGGCUCCGACUAGGUCGCUCACGGGUGGGCCCGAAACCUUAUCCCCCGACCCACCGCGGCGAUAUUAGUGGAGAGGUUGAAGGCGCGAGAAUCGAGGCGUCAGGCGCUACUCGAGCGCGAUGGCGUCAUCCCCGCUGAGCGCGCGGAACCCGAAAUUUGAGAUCCAGGAAAAUCCGCCGCUGUCAGUUGACCGGUCGCGUCAAAAGAUGCCGCAGAAGCACUCGGCUUCUGACAGUCUGUUUCGCGAGUACUUCCACUCGAAUCGUUGGUCAGAAAAGAUAAAAUGGAUCGGGGCAGGCAACGCCCAAGCCAAAUCUGUUCCAGUCGGAUCCAAACUUCAAGCACCGCUUCGUCGUUUCAACCCCAAUCCAUUCGGGGACUAAUGAUGGGGUCAUAGUCCUAGGGUAGGGUCAUAGGCCUGUCAUGUAGGUCCUACCCAAGGACUACCCCUCACAAAGGACAACGCCCUUAGUCAGUCCCGACUGAAUUAAGGAGUCCCCAUCAUCCAGUCGGUAACAGGUCCUCAACCAUCCAGUCGGAGACUAGCAUUCGGAGGAUACCAAGCUAACCGACUGGCUACACUCGGUACAUCGUAACCUCUCUGGAGGGAAACGGUCGUACGUUUCCGAGUGCAUUUAUUAGCAUUUAGAGCAUACGUUACCUGUAACGUACGCAUUCAAUCCCCACUACUCCACCCCUGUACCGGAACCGUUGUGGAGGACAUCGCACUCUAUAUAAGCCGCCCUCCCCCACUGGUAGAGGGGUUAGCAACUCAUUGUAUUCCCUAUUCCACUCGACAACAAAGCUCCCUGAGCACUGAGACGUAGGGUUAUUACCUCCACCGCAGAGGGGCCCGAACUCAUACAUCCUCGCCGUAGCUGGGACUUUGCCCAUCCUUUUCGUACCCUACACAUCUACUGUCAGGCUUAUACCCACGACAGUGAUGCAUGGGAUUCGCUCAUWAGCGACUUCCGGCGAGUUUGCGACUACUUCCUUUCGNNNNNNNNNNNNNNNNNNNNNNNNNNNNNNNNNNNNNNNNNNNNNNNNNNNNNNNNNNNNNNNNNNNNNNNNNNNNNNNNNNNNNNNNNNNNNNNNNNNNACUAAACAUUUCUAGAAUUAGCAUCUACUACCACUAGAAAAGGAAGAGAGGGCAGAUCCAACUUUAAAUCUGGACCUUCUAAUCAUUAAACAAUGCUCUAAAAUCUAUGUUAACGAAACGAACGAAUCUUCGUUAGCGCUAAUCGAACGGCUCGCUCACCUCACACGUCGUCUCGCCCGCACACCUCGUCCGCGCGUUAACUGGCGACUCGCCUUGACUACGCCGGUCGCCGCCCCCUCGCCCCGCACGCUCGCAGUGCCGUGCCGGUCUCUGCCCCUCGCCCCGCCGCGUCGGUCUCUGCAUCGCCCCACACGCUCGCAGCGCCGUGCCGGUCUCCGCACCCUCGUCCCGCCACUCCAGUCUCCGCAGAACCACUGUUGGGGAACGUCGCAUGGGAAACAAAAAUUUUCCUACGCGCACGAAGACCUAUCAUGGUGAUGUCCAUCUACGAGAGGGGAUGAGUGAUCUACGUACCCUUGUAGAUCGUACAGCAGAAGUGUUAGUGAACGCGGUUGAUGUAGUGGAACGUCCUCACGUCCCUCGAUCCGCCCCGCGAACCGUCCCGCGAUCAGUCCCACGAUCUAGUGCCGAAUGGACGGCACCUCCGCGUUCAGCACACGUACAGCUCGACGAUGAUCUCGGCCUUCUUGAUCCAGCAAGAGAGACGGAGAGGUAGAAGAGUUCUCCGGCAGCGUGACGACGCUCCGGAGGUUGGUGAUGACCUUGUCUCAGCAGGGCUCCGCCCGAGCUCUGCAGAAACGCGAUCUAGAGGAAAAACCGUGGAGGUAUGUGGUCGGGCUGCCGUGGAAAAGUCGUCUCAAAUCAGCCCUAAAACCUCUGUAUAUAUAGGUGGGAGGGAGGGGAGGAGGCAGCCUCAAAACCUAAAGGUUUGGCCGAAAUUGGAGGUGGAGGAGUCCUCCUUGCCUUGGGGCUCAAGGAUCCCCAAGGGGGUCGGACGAACCAAAGGGGGGAAGGUCUCCCCUUCCAAACCGAAUCCAACUUGGUUUGGAAGGUGGAGUCCUUCUUCCCUUUCCCACCUCCUCCUUUUUUNNNNNNNNNNNNNNNNNNNNNNNNNNNNNNNNNNNNNNNNNNNNNNNNNNNNNNNNNNNNNNNNNNNNNNNNNNNNNNNNNNNNNNNNNNNNNNNNNNNNGGCCCCCGACCUCCUCCUUCCUCGCUGCUCGCCCCGCUGUUGUUACUGAUGCUCUCGCCGAUGCUCUUGUUGCUUGCUGCCUGCCAGCUGCCGCCUGCUGUAGCUGUGCCUGCUUGCGUGGCCUGCUAGUAGCUUGCUGCUUGCCAUUGCUGCCGCUUGCCGCCGUUGCUGCCAGCUUGCUGCUGUUGCUAUGCCUGCCUGCCGCUAUGUUGCUGUUGUUACUUAAGCUGCCGCUGCUGUCGAGGCUUGCUGCUAGUUGUUGCUGUCGCCGCCUGAUGCAUGCUGCUGUGCUUGCUUGCUAUUGCAAUGUUGAUGCUGUUGUUGCUUGUUGCCUGCCUACUGCUGUCGCCGAGGCUGCUAGUUGUUGCUGCCGUCAUCGCCGUGCCUGAUAGCUGUUGUCGCUGAUGCCGCUGCUGCCGUAGUUGCUGUGCUCGUGCUGUUGUGUAGUGCUGCUGUAGCGGCUUGUGUGCUCGCUUGCCGUUUUUAUUGCUAGGCUAGGUUGUCGUGCUUGGCAGGCUUGCUGUAGAUGCAUAGCUGUAUUUGCUGUUGCUUAGUGUUGUAGUUGCUAUAGCUAUUGCCCUGGCUGCUGCAUGCCGAUUGCCUUGCGUGAGGCUUGCAUUUUGUUGCUGUGUUGCUGCCGCUUGCGUCGCUGUGUGCACCAUCCCCGCCGCCGAGGAACGUCGACAAGAUCGGUGAGUACUACGAUGUCCUCGCCGAACCCCGAACAUCGACGGAGACGUGACCGACUACCGACGCCAAAGACCGUGAACCACGACGCCGAGCGAACGACUACCAUCGACGAGACCCGAGUACCACGACUUCCACGACGACCACGAUGACCACUACUUCCAGGACGUCCACCACGAUCGUUGAUCUCCUUCACCGAACCGAUUCGCUUCGAAUUGCACGCUUCGAAGGUAUACCGAUGAGAUGUGUCGUGUAACGAACGAAUGUGUUGUAUGAGUGGAAUGUAUGUUGCAUCGUAUGUUGCCCGUUGCACGUGUACCUCUUUUGUUGUGCCCUCGANNNNNNNNNNNNNNNNNNNNNNNNNNNNNNNNNNNNNNNNNNNNNNNNNNNNNNNNNNNNNNNNNNNNNNNNNNNNNNNNNNNNNNNNNNNNNNNNNNNNUAUUUAACAUGUGGUAGGCAACGAGACAUAAUCGAUAGAAGCGAUGAAACUAGCAUGGCAAUGAUAGUAAUGGUAUCUGGGGAAAUGAUCAUCUUGCCUGAGAUCCCGCUUGGAAGAAGAAUGACUUCGUGAAGCAGACGAACCAACGUAGUCGAACGGGUCCUCACAAUCCGACACGCUUGCGGAACUCUAUUGAGACGAAGGAAACCGGAAACAAGAAUCAACACACGAUAUUCACCACACGAUGCACAACACAUAUGAUGCAUGAGCAGCUGAAUACAUGCAAGUCACGACAUGGCAAAUCACACAAACAAACACUACACAUUAAGUGAAGUUCAAUAUGCAACGAGUUGCAUAUCGACGAAACUCCACGAUUGAUUAUUUAGUUCACUCCCGAUUAUUAAGACGACAAUAUUUAAUUGUUGUUAACAUGGCAAGGGUGAAGCGAUGAUCCUACAUGGCAUCCUAGACGGUUAACACGCAGAACAGAGAACGGAGCUACGACACAAGAACAUGCAACACAAGAUUAUAUGCCAUGAAUGCGUUAUGCAUGCAAGUUCAACCACGACAAGAAGGGAGAGAAGCAGGUGUCGCCACGGCGACCGAAAGGGGAACUAUGUCGGCAAGACGGAAACGAUGCCAUGGCAACGUACCUAUCCCGAUACUCAACGAGAUAUCGGUGCUACGAUCUGGAAGCGUGUGCGGGAACGUUAAAUAAAGAUGGGGUGAUCCCGUAUCUCGGGUUCCCAUGUGUCGAGGGCACAACAAAAGAGGUACACGUGCAACGGGCAACAUACGGUGCAACAUACAUUCAACUCAUACAACACAUUCGUUCGUUACACGACACGUCUCAUCGGUAUACCUUCGAAGCGUGCGAUUCGAAGCGGAUCGGUUCUGUGAAGGAGAUCAACGAUCGUCGUGGACGUCGUGGAAGUAGUGGUCGUCGUGGAAGUCGUGGUACUCGGGUCUCGUCGACGGUAGUCGUUCGCUCGGCGUUGUGGUUCACGGUCUUCGACGUCGGUAGUCGGUCACGUCUCCGUCGAUGUUUGGGGUUCGGCGAGGACGUCGUAGUACUCGCUGAUCUUGUCGACGUUCCUCGGCGGCGGGGAUGGUGCACGCGGCGACGCAAGCGGCAGCAACACGCAGCAACAAAAUGCAAGCCUCACGCAAGGCAAUCGGCAUGCAGCAGCCAGGGCAAUAGCUAUAGUAACUACAGACUAAGCAACAGCAAACGCAACUAUGCAUCUACAGCAAGCAUGCCAAGCACGGCAACCUAGCCUAGCAAGCAAAAUGGCAAGCGAGCACACAAGCCGCUACAGCAGCACUACACAACAGCACGAGCACAGCAACUACGGCAGCAGCGGCAUCAGCGACAACAGCUAUCAGGCACGGCGAUGACGGCAGCAACAACUAGCAGCCUCGGCGACAGCAGUAGGCAGGCAACAAGCAACAACAUCAUCACUAUAGCAAUUGCAAGCAAGCACAGCAGCAGGCAUCAGGCGGCGACAAAAAAAACUAGCAGCAAGCCUCGGCAGCAGCGGCAGCUUAAGUAACACCAACAACAUAGCGGCAGGCAGGCAUAGCAACAACAACAAGCUGGCAGCAAUGGCAAGCAGCAAGCUACUAGCAGGCCACGCAAGCAGNNNNNNNNNNNNNNNNNNNNNNNNNNNNNNNNNNNNNNNNNNNNNNNNNNNNNNNNNNNNNNNNNNNNNNNNNNNNNNNNNNNNNNNNNNNNNNNNNNNNUAAGGGCUGGUGCGCCACCCCCAAGGCCUAUGGGCUUCCCCGGGGUGGGUUGCCCCCCCGGUGAACACCCGGAACCCAUUCGUCAUUCCCAGUACAUUCCCGGUAACUCCCAAAACCUUCCGGUAAUCAAAUGAGGUCAUCCUAUAUAUCAAUCAUCAUUUCCGGACCAUUCCGGAAACCCUUGUCACGUCCGUGAUCUCAUCCGGGACUCCAAACAACAUUCGGUAACCAACCAUAUAACUCAUAUACGCAUAAAACAACGUCGAACCUUAAGUGUGCAGACCCUGCGGGUUCGAGAACUAUGCAGACAUGACCCGAGUGACUCCUCGGUCAAUAUCCAAUAGCGGGAUCUGGAUGCCCAUAUUGGAUCCCACAUAUUCUAUGAAGAUCUUAUCGUUUGAACCUCAGUGCCAAGGAUUCAUAUAAUCCCGUAUGUCAUUCCCUUUGUCCUUCGGUAUGUUACUUGCCCGAGAUUCGAUCGUCAGUAUCCGCAUACCUAUUUCAAUCUCGUUUACCGGCAAGUCUCUUUACUCGUUCCGUAAUACAAGAUCCCGCAACUUACACUAAGUCACAUUGCUUGCAAGGCUUGUGUGUGAUGUUGUAUUAUCGAGUGGGCCCCGAGAUACCUCUCCGUCACACGGAGUGACAAAUCCCAGUCUCGAUCCAUACUAACUCAAUGAACACCUUCGGAGAUACCUGUAGAGCAUCUUUAUAGUCACCCAGUUAUGUUGCGAUGUUUGAUACACACAAAGCAUUCCUCCGGUGUCAGUGAGUUAUAUGAUCUCAUGGUCAUAGCAACAAAUACUUGACACGCAGAAAACAGUAGCAACAAAAUGACACGAUCAACAUGCUACGUCUAUUAGUUUGGGUCUAGUCCAUCACAUGAUUCUCCUAAUGAUGUGAUCCCGUUAUCAAGUGACAACACUUGCCUAUGGUCAGGAAACCUUGACCAUCUUUGAUCAACGAGCUAGUCAACUAGAGGCUUACUAGGGACAGUGUUUUGUCUAUGUAUCCACACAUGCACUGUGUUUCCAAUCAAUACAAUUAUAGCAUGGAUAAUAAAAGAUUAUCAUGAACGAAGAAAUAUAAUAAUAACUAAUUUAUUAUUGCCUCUAGGGCAUGUUUCCAACAGUCUCCCACUUGCACUAGAGUCAAUAAUCUAGUUCACAUCACCAUGUGAUUCCAACGAAUCCAACACCCAUAUAGUCAUGGGGUCUGAUCACGUCUUGCUCGUGAGAGCGGUUUUAGUCAACGGUUCUGAAACUUUCAGACCCGUGUGUUCUUUACAAAUCUUUAUGUCAUCUUAUAGAUGCUGCUACUAUGUGCUAUUCGGAAAUACUCCAAAUAUCUACUCUACUAUACGAAUCCGUUUCAGUACUCAUAGUUAUUCGUAUUAGUGUCAAAGCUUGCAUCGACGUAACCCUUUACGACGAACUCUUUAACCACCUCCAUAAUUGAGAAAAAUUCCUUAGUCCAUCAGUUACUAAGGAUAAAUUUUGACCGCUGGUAGUGAUUCAAUCAUGGAUCACUCUCUGUACCUCUCAAGAGAUUUUGAGUCAAGGUACACAUCAGGUGUGGUACCCAGCAUGGCAUACUUCAGAUUCUACGGCCAAGGCAUAGAAGACGACCUUCGUCUAUUCUCUUUAUUCUGCCGGGGUCGGGUUUUGAGUCUUACUCAAAUUCACACCUCACAACGCAACCAAGAACUCCUUCCUUGCUGAUCUAUUUUGAACUCCUUCAAAAACUUGUCAAGGCAUGGAUCUUGUUGAAAUUUCCAUUAAGUGCUUUCGAUCUAUCUCCAUAGAUCUUUGAUGCUCAACGUUCAAGUAGCGGAAUACAGGUAUUCCUUUGAAAAACUCUUUUCAAACAACCUUGUAUGCUUUACAGAAAUUCUACAUUACUUCUGAUCCACAAUAUGUCAACCACAUAUACUUAUCAGAAAUUCUAUAGUGCUCCCACUCACUUCUUUGGAAAUACAAGUUUCUCAUAAACCUUGUACAAACCCAAAAUCUUUGAUCAUCUCAUCAAAGUGUAUAUUCCAACUCCGAGAUGCUUGCACCAGUCCAUUGAAGGAUCGCUGGAGCUUGCAUACUUGCUAGUAUCUUUAGAAUCGACAAAACCUCCUGGUUGUAUCACAUACAAUGUUUUCUCAAAGAUGUAACUACUAACAACAAUGUUUUGACAUCCUAUGUGUAAUAUUUCAUAAAAAAUGCAGUAACUACUAACAUAAUUCUAACAGACUUUUAGCAUCGCUACGAGUGAGAAAGUCUCAUCAUAGUCAACUGUUUGAUCUUGUCGGAAACAUCUUUGCGACAAGUCGAGCUUUUCUUAAUAGUGACUUAUCACCAUCAUCGUCUAUCUUCCUUUUAAAGAUCCAUCGUUACUCAAUAGUCCUAUGACCAUCAAGUAGUUCUUCCAAAGUCUACACUUUGUUUUCAUACAUGGAUCCUCUCUCGGAUUUCAUGGCCUCCAGCCAUUUGUCGGAAUCCGGGCCCACCAUUGCUUUCUCCAUAACUCGUAGGUUCACUGUUGCUCAACAACAUGACCUCCAAGACAGGGUUACCGUACCACUCUGCAGUAGUACGCGACCUUGUCAACCUACGAGGUUUGUAGUAACUUGAUCCGAUGCUCGAUGAUCACCAUUAUCAGCUUUCACUUCAAUUGGUGUAGGCGCCACAGGAACAACUUCCUGCGCCCUGCUACACACUGGUUGAAGUGAUGGUUCAAUAACCUCAUCAAGUUCUACCACCCUCCCACUCAAUUCUUUCGAGAGAAACCUUUCCUCGAGAAAGGAUCCGUUUCUAGAAACAAACACUUUGCUUUCGGAUCUGAGAUAGGAGAUGUACCCAACUGUUUUGGAUAUCCUAUGAAGAUGCAUUUAUCCGCUUUGGGUUCGAGCUUAUCAGACUGAAACUUUUUCACAUAAGUGUCGAAGCCCCAAACUUUCAAGAAACGACAGUUUAGAUUUCUCUAAACCUCAGUCUAUACUGUGUCAUCUCAAAGGAAAUACGUGGUGCCCUAUUUAAAGUGAAUGCAGUUGUCUCUAAUGCUUAACCCAUAAACGAUAGUGGUAAUUCGAUAAGAGACAUCAUAGCAUGCACCAUACCAAAUAGUGCGUGGCUAUGACGUUCAGACACAUCAUCACACUAUGAUGUUCCGGGUGGCAUGAACUGCGAAACAAUUUCCACAUUGUCUUAACUGCGUACCAAAACUCGUAACUCAGAUAUUCAUUUCUAUGAUCAUAUCGUAGACAGUUUAUCCUCUUGUUACGACGAACUUCACUCCGAAACAGAAUUGAAUUUUUCAAUAUUUCAGACUUGUGAUUCAUUAAGUAAAUACUCUUGUAUCCACUCAAAUCGUCAUUGAAGUAAGAACAUAAUGAUAUCCAAUGCGUGCCUCAGCACCCAUUGGACUGCAUACAUCAAAAUGUAUCACUUCCAACAAGUUACUAUCUUGUUUCAUCUCAAUGAAACCAAGGCCUUGCUCAUGUGGUAUGAUUUGCAUGUCACUAGUGAUUCAAAAUCAAGUGAGUAUAAAGAUCCAUCAGCAUGGAGCCUCUUCAUGCAAUUUAUACCAACAUGACUCAAGCGGCAGUGCCACAAGUAAGUGGUACUAUCAUCAUUACCUCGUAUCUUUUGGCACCAAUAUCAUGAACAUGUGUAACACUACAAUCGAGAUUCAAUAAACCAUUGAAGGUGAUUAUUCAAGCAAAUAGAGCAACCAUUAUUCUCUUUAAAUGAAUAAUCGUAUUCCAAUAAACAUGAUCCAAUCAUGUUCAUGCUUAACGCAAGCACCAAAUAACAAUUAUUUAGGUUUAACACCAAUCCCGAUGGUAGAGGGAGCGUGCGAUGUUUGAUCAUAUCAACCUUGGAAACACUUCCAACACGUAUCGUCACCUCGCCUUUAGCUAGUCUCUGUUUAUGACGUAGCUUUCAUUUUGUGUUACUAAUCACUUAGCAACCGAACCGGUAUCCAAUACGCUCAUGCUACUAGGAGUACUAGUAAAGUACACAUCAACAUCAUGUAUAUCAAAUAUACUUCUUUCGACUUUUGCCAGCCUUCUUAUCUACCAAGUAUCUAGAGUUGCUCCGCCUCAGUGACUGUUCCCCUCAUUACNNNNNNNNNNNNNNNNNNNNNNNNNNNNNNNNNNNNNNNNNNNNNNNNNNNNNNNNNNNNNNNNNNNNNNNNNNNNNNNNNNNNNNNNNNNNNNNNNNNNNNNNNNNNNNNNNNNNNNNNNNNNNNNNNNNNNNNNNNNNNNNNNNNNNNNNNNNNNNNNNNNNNNNNNNNNNNNNNNNNNNNNNNNNNNNNNNNNNNNNNNNNNNNNNNNNNNNNNNNNNNNNNNNNNNNNNNNNNNNNNNNNNNNNNNNNNNNNNNNNNNNNNNNNNNNNNNNNNNNNNNNNNNNNNNNNNNNNNNNNNNNNNNNNNNNNNNNNNNNNNNNNNNNNNNNNNNNNNNNNNNNNNNNNNNNNNNNNNNNNNNNNNNNNNNNNNNNNNNNNNNNNNNNNNNNNNNNNNNNNNNNNNNNNNNNNNNNNNNNNNNNNNNNNNNNNNNNNNNNNNNNNNNNNNNNNNNNNNNNNNNNNNNNNNNNNNNNNNNNNNNNNNNNNNNNNNNNNNNNNNNNNNNNNNNNNNNNNNNNNNNNNNNNNNNNNNNNNNNNNNNNNNNNNNNNNNNNNNNNNNNNNNNNNNNNNNNNNNNNNNNNNNNNNNNNNNNNNNNNNNNNNNNNNNNNNNNNNNNNNNNNNNNNNNNNNNNNNNNNNNNNNNNNNNNNNNNNNNNNNNNNNNNNNNNNNNNNNNNNNNNNNNNNNNNNNNNNNNNNNNNNNNNNNNNNNNNNNNNNNNNNNNNNNNNNNNNNNNNNNNNNNNNNNNNNNNNNNNNNNNNNNNNNNNNNNNNNNNNNNNNNNNNNNNNNNNNNNNNNNNNNNNNNNNNNNNNNNNNNNNNNNNNNNNNNNNNNNNNNNNNNNNNNNNNNNNNNNNNNNNNNNNNNNNNNNNNNNNNNNNNNNNNNNNNNNNNNNNNNNNNNNNNNNNNNNNNNNNNNNNNNNNNNNNNNNNNNNNNNNNNNNNNNNNNNNNNNNNNNNNNNNNNNNNNNNNNNNNNNNNNNNNNNNNNNNNNNNNNNNNNNNNNNNNNNNNNNNNNNNNNNNNNNNNNNNNNNNNNNNNNNNNNNNNNNNNNNNNNNNNNNNNNNNNNNNNNNNNNNNNNNNNNNNNNNNNNNNNNNNNNNNNNNNNNNNNNNNNNNNNNNNNNNNNNNNNNNNNNNNNNNNNNNNNNNNNNNNNNNNNNNNNNNNNNNNNNNNNNNNNNNNNNNNNNNNNNNNNNNNNNNNNNNNNNNNNNNNNNNNNNNNNNNNNNNNNNNNNNNNNNNNNNNNNNNNNNNNNNNNNNNNNNNNNNNNNNNNNNNNNNNNNNNNNNNNNNNNNNNNNNNNNNNNNNNNNNNNNNNNNNNNNNNNNNNNNNNNNNNNNNNNNNNNNNNNNNNNNNNNNNNNNNNNNNNNNNNNNNNNNNNNNNNNNNNNNNNNNNNNNNNNNNNNNNNNNNNNNNNNNNNNNNNNNNNNNNNNNNNNNNNNNNNNNNNNNNNNNNNNNNNNNNNNNNNNNNNNNNNNNNNNNNNNNNNNNNNNNNNNNNNNNNNNNNNNNNNNNNNNNNNNNNNNNNNNNNNNNNNNNNNNNNNNNNNNNNNNNNNNNNNNNNNNNNNNNNNNNNNNNNNNNNNNNNNNNNNNNNNNNNNNNNNNNNNNNNNNNNNNNNNNNNNNNNNNNNNNNNNNNNNNNNNNNNNNNNNNNNNNNNNNNNNNNNNNNNNNNNNNNNNNNNNNNNNNNNNNNNNNNNNNNNNNNNNNNNNNNNNNNNNNNNNNNNNNNNNNNNNNNNNNNNNNNNNNNNNNNNNNNNNNNNNNNNNNNNNNNNNNNNNNNNNNNNNNNNNNNNNNNNNNNNNNNNNNNNNNNNNNNNNNNNNNNNNNNNNNNNNNNNNNNNNNNNNNNNNNNNNNNNNNNNNNNNNNNNNNNNNNNNNNNNNNNNNNNNNNNNNNNNNNNNNNNNNNNNNNNNNNNNNNNNNNNNNNNNNNNNNNNNNNNNNNNNNNNNNNNNNNNNNNNNNNNNNNNNNNNNNNNNNNNNNNNNNNNNNNNNNNNNNNNNNNNNNNNNNNNNNNNNNNNNNNNNNNNNNNNNNNNNNNNNNNNNNNNNNNNNNNNNNNNNNNNNNNNNNNNNNNNNNNNNNNNNNNNNNNNNNNNNNNNNNNNNNNNNNNNNNNNNNNNNNNNNNNNNNNNNNNNNNNNNNNNNNNNNNNNNNNNNNNNNNNNNNNNNNNNNNNNNNNNNNNNNNNNNNNNNNNNNNNNNNNNNNNNNNNNNNNNNNNNNNNNNNNNNNNNNNNNNNNUAUGAAUUGCUAUUUAACCUCAUCCAAGGACCUCCUCGGUCAAAUCCGAUUCAACUAAAGUUGGAGAAACCGACACCCGCCAGUCAUCUUUGAGCAACGGAGUUACUUGUAGCGAUGAAACCAGUCUCUCGUAAGCGUACGAGUAAUGUCGGUCCAAGCUGCUUCAAUCCAACAAUACCGCGGAAUCAAGAAAAGACUAAGGAGGGCAGCAAAACGCACAUCACCGCCCACAAAAUUUUUUGUGUUGUUCUACUCGAGAAGACAUCUACGCAUGAACCUAGCUCAUGAUGCCACUGUUGGGGAACGUCGCAUGGGAAACAAAAAUUUUCCUACGCGCACGAAGACCUAUCAUGGUGAUGUCCAUCUACGAGAGGGGAUGUGUGAUCUACGUACCCUUGUAGACCGUACAGCAGAAGCGUUAGUGAACGCGGUUGAUGUAGUGGAACAUCCUCACGUCCCUCGAUCCGCUCCACGAACCGUCUCGCGAUCAGUCCCACGAUCUAGUGUCGAACGGACGGCACUUCGAUCCGCCCCGCGAACCGUCCCGCGAUCAGUCCCACGAUCUAGUGCCGAAUGGACGGCACCUCCGCGUUCAGCACACGUACAGCUCGACGAUGAUCUCGGCCUUCUUGAUCCAGCAAGAGAGACGGAGAGGUAGAUGAGUUCUCCGGCAGCGUGACGGCGCUCCGGAGGUUGGUGGUGAUCUAAUCUCAGCAGGGCUCCGCCCGAGCUCCGCAGAAACGCGAUCUAGAGGUAAAACCGUGGAGAUAUGUGGUCGGGCUGCCGUGGCAAAAGUUGUCUCAAAUCAGCCCUAAAACCUCCGUAUAUAUAAGUGGGAGAGGGGGGGGGCCUUGCCUUGGGGCUCAAGGAGCCCCAAGGGGUUCGGCCGAGCCAAGGGGGGGAGUCCUCCCCUGGCCUUGCCUUGGCGCUCAAGGAGCCCCAAGGGGUUCGGCCGAGCCAAGGGGGGGAGUCCUCCCCUUCCAAACCGAAUCCAACUAGGUUUGGAAGGAGGAGUCCUUCCCUUUUUUUCCACCUCCUCCUUUUUUUCCUUUUUCUCUUUGAUUUUCUUCCUAUGGCGCAUAGGGCCUUCGUGGGCUGUCCCACCAGCCCACUAAGGGCUGGUGCGCCACCCCCAAGGCCUAUGGGCUUCCCCGGGGUGGGUUGCCCCCCCGGUGAACACCCGGAACCCAUUCGUCAUUCCCAGUACAUUCCCGGUAACUCCAAAAACCUUCCGGUAAUCAAAUGAGGUCAUCCUAUAUAUCAAUCUUCGUUUCCGGACCAUUCUGGAAACCCUCGUGACGUCCGUGAUCUCAUACGGGACUCCGAAUAACAUUCGGUAACCAACCAUAUAACUCAAAUACACAUAAAACAACGUCGAAUCUUAAGUGUGCAGACCCUGCGGGUUCGAGAACUAUGCAGACAUGACCCGAGUGACUCCUCGAUCAAUAUCCAAUAGCGGGACCUGGAUGCCCAUAUUGGAUCCCACAUAUUCUACGAAGAUCUUAUCGUUUGAACCUCAGUGCCAAGGAUUCAUAUAAUCCCGUAUGUCAUUCCCUUUGUCCUUCGGUAUGUUACUUGCCCGAGAUUCGAUCGUUAGUAUCCGCAUACCUAUUUCAAUCUCGUUUACCGGCAAGUCUCUUUACUCGUUCCGUAAUACAAGAUCCCGCAACUUACACUAAGUCACAUUGCUUGCAAGGCUUGUGUGUGAUGUUGUAUUAUCGAGUGGGCCCCGAGAUACCUCUCCGUCACACGGAGUGAAAAAUCCCAGUCUCGAUCCAUACUAACUCAAUGAACACCUUCGGAGAUACCUGUAGAGCAUCUUUAUAGUCACCCAGUUACGUUGCAACGUUUUAUACACACAAAGCAUUCCUCCGGUGUCAGUGAGUUAUAUGAUCUCAUGGUCAUAGCAACAAAUACUUGACACGCAGAAAACAGUAGCAACAAAAUGACACGAUCAACAUGCUACGUCUAUUAGUUUGGGUCUAGUCCAUCACAUGAUUCUCCUAAUGAUGUGAUCCCGUUAUCAAGUGACAACACUUGCCUAUGGUCAGGAAACCUUGACCAUCUUUGAUCAACGAGCUAGUCAACUAGAGGCUUACUAGGGACAGUGUUUUGUCUAUGUAUCCACACAUGCACUGUGUUUCCAAUCAAUACAAUUAUAGCAUGGAUAAUAAACGAUUAUCAUGAACAAAGAAAUAUAAUAAUAACUAAUUUAUUAUUGCCUCUAGGGCAUAUUUCCAACAAAAAAGUAUGGUGUCAUCCGCAUAUUUUAGAACAGAUAGACCAUUUUCUAUCAAAUGAGGAAUGGUACCGCUAAUCUGACAGGCCACCUUAUCCCGCUCAAUAAGGAUGGCUAACAUGUGAGCCACAAUGUUAAAGAAAAUAGGGAUAUGGGGUCCCCUUGCCGAAGCCCCUUCCUAGUCUGAAAGUAGUUGCCAACAUCAUUGUUGACUUUGACAGCCACAUCACCUCCAGAAACAAAGCUCUCUACCCAUCUACACCAUUCUAGAGAAAACUCUUUCAUGCGUAAAGUUUGCAAAAGAAAGGACCACUUAACGUGAUCAUAGGAUUUUUUGAAGUUAAAUUUGAAGAUGAUUCCACUCAACUUUUUAUGGUGAAGAUCGUGAACAACUUCAUGUAGUGCAAUAACUCCAUCUAAUAUGUUGCGUCCUUGCAUAAAUAUUGUUUGAGUGAGUUUGAUCACGUGGUUAGCCACCCCGAUCAACCAAUUGGUUGCAACCUUGAAAGAUUUUGAAGUUGGCAGUCGGAAGGGAAAUUGGUCGAUAUUGUUGAAUACGACUAGCCUCGUUACUCUUGGAUAGUAGAAUAAUUUCCUUAAAUUUUAAAUGGACAAUAUCAAGGUUUUCGGCAUGCAGUCUGUUAAACAAAAAAUCAAGUCCGCCUUAAUGACAUCCAUAAACAUUGAUAAAACUCCGCAGAAAAACAGUCCGGUCCCGGAGACUUGUUGUGUUUCAUUUAAAAGACAGCGGUCCGAAUUUCCUCCUUUGAAAAUGGAGUGGUUAAAUACUCAAUUUUGGCCUCCAAAACUCAAGGGAUGUCAUAAUAGUAAUAUAGAUUUGUAAUAUUACUCGUCUAAAUUACUUCCAAAUAUAGGUAGUCUAAUUGACUGGCUUCAGUUUUGAACAUGGAUAACUGUGUCAAGUAUGGAACCUGCAUAAAGGCGUGGAUGGAACUUAUCCGAACCAGCUGUCCACUACCGAAGAACUAACCAGGAUCAAUGUCGCUAAUGACAUGAAGUAAGCCAGAGUGCCACAUAUAUACAUGUCUGGAGAUGUCACUGCAGGCUCAUUGUGACGUAGCUGCCGGGUCGCCGGUUGCGCUGCGGCUACCUUCAACGGCACUAAAGAACAAGUAAACUAAAUCAAAUCCUUGGAAAAAAAGAUCGAUCAACAUUUAGUCUCACCUCGAAGCCUUGGGGUUGAGCAGGGUCACGGUUGCGUAAAUAAAUACAUAGUGGCGGAGAUUCGUGGGGUCAACCUUGGCCAUGGCCCCCAAGCUCACAAGAAAAUACAUAUACACCCAUUUGUAUUAGGUCAUUUUUUAAACUCAAAAUCAGUAGAAAGUAACUGUGUUUGCCCCCCCAACCCAAUUGUAUCGGCUCAACAAUGAGCGAAUCCCAUGCAUCACUGUCGUGGGUAUAAGCCUGACAGUAGAUGUGUAGGGUACGAAAAGGAUGGGCAAAGUCCCAGCUACGGCGAGGAUGUAUGAGUUCGGGCCCCUCUGCGGUGGAGGUAAUAACCCUACGUCUCAGUGCUCAGGGAGCUUUGUUGUCGAGUGGAAUAGGGAAUACAAUGAGUUGCUAACCCCUCUACCAGUGGGGGAGGGCGGCUUAUAUAGAGUGCGAUGUCCUCCACAACGGUUCCGGUACAGGGGUGGAGUAGUGGGGAUUGAAUGCGUACGUUACAGGUAACGUAUGCUCUAAAUGCUAAUAAAUGCACUCGGAAACGUACGACCGUUUCCCUCCAGAGAGGUUACGAUGUACCGAGUGUAGCCAGUCGGUUAGCUUGGUAUCCUCCGAAUGCUAGUCUCCGACUGGAUGGUUGAGGACCUGUUACCGACUGGAUGAUGGGGACUCCUUAAUUCAGUCGGGACUGACUAAGGGCGUUGUCCUUUGUGAGGGGUAGUCCUUGGGUAGGACCUACAUGACAGGCCUAUGACCCUACCCUAGGACUAUGACCCCAUCAUUAGUCCCCGAAUGGAUUGGGGUUGAAACGACGAAGCGGUGCUUGAAGUUUGGAUCCGACUGGAACAGAUUUGGCUUGGGCGUUGCCUGCCCCGAUCCAUUUUAUCUUUUCUGACCAACGAUUCGAGUGGAAGUACUCGCGAAACAGACUGUCAGAAGCCGAGUGCUUCUGCGGCAUCUUUUGACGCGACCGGUCAACUGACAGCGGCGGAUUUUCCUGGAUCUCAAAUUUCGGGUUCCGCGCGCUCAGCGGGGAUGACGCCAUCGCGCUCGAGUAGCGCCUGACGCCUCGAUUCUCGCGCCUUCAACCUCUCCACUAAUAUCGCCGCGGUGGGUCGGGGGAUAAGGUUUCGGGCCCACCCGUGAGCGACCUAGUCGGAGCCCUACUUAAAUCUCGGUGGCGAGGGUUCUUCGUUACGCUCGCCGAAUCUCUUGCCUUCGCCUGCUCCGUCUCUCUCGCCACCUCCAGCGCCUCUACACUCUUCCCUCCCCCUUCCUCCCGCGGGCUCGCAGCUUCCGCCAUGACCAAGGGUCAGACGAGCAAGAUGGAGGCUAGGAAGAAGAAGGGGAAGGCGGCGGCUCCUGCUCAGCGGCGGCAGCGGCCGCUGCCGGCGGGGUGGAUUCAAGGCGACUUCCUCCCCUCCACGGUGACGGAGGGGGAUCUGCUGCAGCUGGUCGAGCACGGGAUGAUCGUGCACAAGACUUGGAGGCCGCCGACGGAGAACGAGGUCGAGCCGGCGCCCCGGGAGGGGGAGCGCGUCUUGCUUCUCAGCCACGUCUAUCGAGGUUUCUCCUUGCCCCCGCAUCCUUUCUUCAAGGGCAUCAUGAAUCACUUCGGGGCACAACUUCACCACUUUCCCCCGAACGCCAUUGCCCAUCUCUCUGCCUUUAUAGUUCUGUGCGAGUGUUUCAUUGGCUGUCCUCCCCAUUGGGGGCUGUUCAAGCACAUAUUUUCUGCUAGAUCCCAGACCAUCAAACGACUUAGCCAGUCGGAUGAUAAAACACAUCUUCUCCAUCUCUCCGGGGGUCUAGGUUCCAGAAAAAGAGUCGGAGCAGUUAUCCCACCCUCCAGCUAAGUGAGUCGGUCAGGAACUGGCAGUCGACGUGGUUCUACUGCCAGGAUAUCGCCUGCCCGAAUGCUUCGACAUGGCUGCCUCCCUUUAGCUUAGAUCGGCCCGCCCCACCUAAGCAACUCGCGCUCACGAGGGCGGAGAAGAACGACAUCCAGCCUCUGGUCGGGGUGCUCGUAGAUGUCGUCGAGAGGGGGGUCACUGGCAUAGACUUGCUGGAGGUCUUCCUCGGUCGGCGUAUCCAGCCCCUGCAGGCUCGCGACCACGCCAUGUGGCAUUAUACGGGGCCCGAGGAUUCCACUCGGACCAACGUCGUGGGUGUGACUGAGGAGAGGGUGACCUCGUGGGUGCUCCAGAUCACAGGCCCCUGCGAGAAUCCCAAAGGAUCUCGGCGAGUGAAGCCCUUCUGCGCGGAUAAUUCUCCUCCGAAUCAGGUGAGUGGCACUUGUCGAGUGCUCCUAACUGUCUUAAUCUUAUCGCUUGCUUGAAUAUCUGUGUGACGUCUGAUGUCGCCGACUGAAUUUUAUGCAGGAGUGGACCAACUGGUUUUCUCCUGUCUCGAACGGGAACCCGACCGAGGAGGAGGAAGGCAGCCAGGAGGGCAGCGUGGAGAGCGCUGAAUAUGUCUCCGACAGCGGGGAGUCGGAGCAAGAGACCAGCAAGGAAGAGGAGGAAGACGAAGAGCAGGACUCGCCGCCUCCGCAAACAGAGCAUCGGACCAAGCGCCGACACGAGCCUGCCGUUCCCUCGGCCCCUCCAGCAUCUUCGAGUGCUCCGCCCACUGCCCUGGUGGUCCCGAGUGCUCGGAGCACCAAAAGGGCCAGGGAUGCUGCCGCUGAGCCUGCGGGUCAGUCUUCCAAGGCGGCCAAACCGAGUGGGUCCAAACCUCGGAAGGCUCUGCCGCGGAUGAGGGUUGUUGUCCCCGUCACCUCCACGUAAGUGUAUCGAUCCUCUAAUUUCUUCUGAUAUCCGAGUGAAUUCUUGUUCAUUGGUCGAACGGACUUCACUUGACAGAGUUGCUACUUCUGCCACCUCUCCGGCGCGCCAAGAAGAUGACCCCAUGGACACGGACAACGUCGUCUCGUCCCAGCCAGGUGCGUUGUAGUGACUUCGAGUGUUUUAUUCUAUCAUAGGUUCUGCCUCUUUCUUUUUCUGAGGUCUUGCGUCGUUCGGUCUAUGAGGGGCGAUUUGCGUGGACGAGGGCGAUCAGGGGAGAGCUGAACAGGCUGCAGAGCCCGUUCUUGAGGCCGCUCUGCCUGUUGCUGCUCUCACCGCCAACGUGCCGCCGACUGUACCGGCGCUGGUGGUUGAGGUGCCGACUGGAGCAGACCUCGGGAUGCCUCAGGAGCUUCCGACGAUGCCAGGCUCGUCGAAUGUCGAGUUCAACGUCCAGCGUCUCCCGGAGGAGCAGGUGGGAGCGGCGAAGGGAGCCAUGGUGCAGGCGGAGCUGAUGGCUGGGGAGGCCAAGAGGGCCUACGACUCCGUCGCGUCCUUGUACCAGCGGAGCCUGGAGCUGCGGGAUGAUAUCCGAGUAAGUGGGCUAGUAAGUAUUUACUUUUCUCUUGUAACCCACUGGGUGUUUUUGGAUAGCAUCUGUUGUUCGCAAUGGGUUCACUCUGAGUGAACCCAGUGGGUGUAGUCCCCGAGACUUCUGUCGAGUGCUUGCACCGGCAGUUGUCUUUAUACAUAUUGUCUUUGCUUUGGUCAGGUCUGUAAAUAACAUGACCGAGUGCGCGUAGUUGUGGCACUCGGAGUGCACUUACUGUAAGAGUCCCCGAGAGUAAUUUGUACUCAGGUCGGGUAGUAUUGGCCUCGUAGGCGUAGGUGGUAACAUGCAUCUCAAUAGGGCGGGCCUGCUUGAGUUGCAUGCCAGUGGGGUCACUCUUAGUGAACCCACUGGGUGUAGUCCCCGAGGCCGUUGUCGACUGCUUGCGUCGGCAGGAGUCUGAAGAAUUUAAACUUUUGUUGUUGGAUUUUCUGAUUGUCCCUUGGUGUUUGCUGGCAGAAAACUUGUGAAAUGGGAACAACCUAUGAGACUCUUAGGGCGGAGAAGAAUCAGUUAGCUGGUGAGCUUGAUGCGGCGCUGCUUGCAAUGGCUGGCAUGAAGGAUGCUCUGGCGGGACGAGAGAAGUCAUUGGAGCAGGCGCGUGAAGCGAACCAGGUGUUGACUAAGGAAGUGGAAAAGAUGGGGAAACAGAGGACUGCGCUGAUGGGUCAGAUGGACGUGCUGAACAAACGAUGCAGAGCACAGGAGAAAUACGUCAGCGACUGGGCUCGGCAGAUGAUGACGCGUCUGGCUGGUAAGUCUUGCUCUUUCCGAGUGGUUGUGUUAUGCGCGUCACACUCGGCACUUAUUGUCUGCUUGUCCUGUUGUCGCAGAUUUUUGCUUUGACGCUGAAGCUGAAGCGGCGGAUGUAGAGCGGCCGAUUCUCGAGAAUGUUCCACUCGGCGAGGACGCCAAUCGAGAUCUGCUCCGUGCGCACAUCCGCGUGGGCAAAGUUGGUCCUUUCAUCGGUCGACUAAGAGAAGUCGUCGGCCGAAUCAACAAGGAGCUUUGGCCAGAAGAUGAGUCGCCGCAGGAGAUGGAGAACCUGAUGACCCGACUGGAGGAGAUUCCGAACCGAGUGCAGUCGUGGAAGAAAUCUGCAGCUCGUUGUGGUGCAGAUGUUGCUCUAUCUCUGGUCCGAGUCCAUUGCAAGGAGGUGCGCGAGGAGAAGUUCAAGACGUUGAAGGUGGCCAACACGAAGAAACUUUGAUUUGAAGACUUCAUGGAAACCUUCCUUGAAAGUGCUACCCGCAUCGCCGACGGUAUUGAUCUGGACACGUUCGUAGAGCCCUCCAGUCCUGGUGUUAAUCCAGAUGAAGCGUAAAAACACUUUUAUUCUCAGUAUGCCGAGUGUUAAUCUGUAAGAAACUUUGGCCACUGCUGUUGGCCGUCACAUUCGUGGUUCGGUGUGGGUAAGCUUGAUCCACACCGAACUACUAUCUUUGGUUGAACUUUGAAUCGAAUCUUUUGCUCUUCUGUUGCAAUGUUGAAUCGAGUUUUUGUUUGGCGUUUCUUGGUGAAGCCAAAGGCAAACAUUCGGGACAUGUUUUUGUUUUGACAUCUGCAUGAACCUCAUUGAGGGUCCGUGGAAUUCCCUAAGUCCCCGAGUGUGAUGUUAAGUGGACACCCGGGGAAGGUUAAUACUUAGGCGAUUCUGGAUCGCAGCUAAGCCCAGGGUGUGACGUGAAGUGCACACUCGGAGAAAGUUAAUACUUAGGCGAUUCUGGAUCGCAGCUAAGCCCAGGGUGUGACGUGAAGUGCACACUCGGAGAAAGUUAAUACUUAGGCGAUUCUGGAUCGCAGCUAAGCCCAGGGUGUGACGUGAAGUGCACACUCGGAGAAAGUUAAUACUUAGGCGAUUCUGGAUCGCAGCUAAGCUCCCGAGUGUGACGUGAAGUGCAUACACGGAGAAAGUUAAUACUUAGGCGAUUCUGGAUCGCAGCUAAGCCCAGGGUGUGACGUGAAGUGCACACUCGGAGAAAGUUAAUACUUAGGCGAUUCUGGAUCGCAGCUAAGCCCAGGGUGUGACGUGAAGUGCACACUCGGAGAAAGUUAAUACUUAGGCGAUUCUGGAUCGCAGCUAAGCCCAGGGUGUGACGUGAAGUGCACACUCGGAGAAAGUUAAUACUUAGGCGAUUCUGGAUCGCAACUAAGUUUUUUGUUUAGACCGGAGUCUGCGACCGCGGAAGAACUUUGAACCUGCAAAAAACUCAAUCUGCUUUAUAUUAUUUCACCAAUACUUGUUCUUUACAUUGCUUCAGUCGACGGUCACGUGUAGAAGCGCUUCAGGAGAUCUCCGUUCCAUGCACGCGGCUCGUCUGUCUCCCUCUCGAUGUUGUAGAGUCUGUAUGCUCCGUUGUUCAGCACCUUGGAGAUGAUGAAGGGUCCUUCGAGGCCGGAGCCAACUUGUGAGGUCUUUGCUGAUCCACUCGGAGCACCAUGUCGCCUGCUUGGAACGUGCGACUUUUGACGUGGCGUGCAUGAAAACGCCGCAGAUUUUGUUGAUAAAUGGUCGAGCGAGUUAGUGCCAUCUCGCGCUCCUCCUCCAGGAGAUCCAAUUCGUCUUGCCUUGCUUGUUCUGCUUCGGCUUCGGAGAAGAGUUCGACUCGUGGCGCAUUGUGAAGCAACUCACUCGGAAGGACCGCUUCUGCUGCAUAAACGAGGAAGAACGAUGAUCGCCCUGUAGAUCUGUUCGGGGUUGUGCGAAGUCCCCAAAGCACUGAAGGUAGCUCGGUAACCCAAGCGCCAGCGGCAUAUCCUAUCUCUCGCAGGAGUCGGGGCUUCAAACCUUGCAAAAUAAGUCCGUUUGCCCGCUCUGCUUGUCCAUCGGACCGAGGAUGCGCUACGGAAGCAAAAUCCACUCGGAUGCCUUGGCUUGUACAGAAACCUUUGAAUCUGUCCGAGUCAAAGUUUGUCCCGUUGUCCAUGAUUAUGCUGUGAGGUACACCGAAUCUGAAGAUGAUGUCCCUGACAAACUUGACGGCUGUUGAGGCGUCGAGCUUCUUGAUGGGCUUCGCUUUGAUCCAUUUCGUGAACUUGUCGACUGCCACCAACAGAUGUGUGUAUCCACCUAGGCCUGUCUUGAACGGGCUGACUGUAUCUAAUCCCCACACUGCAAACGGCCACACAAGAGGGAUCGUCUUCAACGCAGACGUCGGCUUGUGGGACUUGUUGGAGUAGAACUGGCAGCCCUCACAUCGAUCAACCAUAUCUUUAGCCAUCUCGUUAGCCUGCAGCCAGAAGAAACCAGCCCUGAAUGCCUUGGCGACGAUUUCUCUCGAAGAAGCAUGAUGACCGUAGGUCCCCGAGUGAAUAUCCUCCAGAAUCAGCUGCCCCUCCUCUGGGGAGAUGCAUCGUUGAAGAAUGCCUGAGAUACUUUCUUUGUACAAUUGGCCAUCAAUGACAGUGAAUGACUUCGACCUGCGGACUAUCUGCCUGGCCUGGACUUCGUCUUCUGGUAGUUCCUGCCUCAGAAUAUAUGCAACGAUCGGCACAGUCCAAUCGGGGAUGACGGCAAGAAUCUCCAUGACCAGAACUUGAGCUUGUCGCCCUUUGGUGAUAUGAUCACAACGCCAGCGCCGAAGCCAUUCAACAUCUUGGACCCAUCGAAGAACAUUGUCCAAUGGGCCGAGCAGAUGUGGGUCGGUUGCUGUUGUUCUACCCAUUCUGCUAUGAAGUCAGCCAAAGCUUGAGACUUAAUAGCUUUCUUGGCCUCGAACUUAAUAUCGCAGUACAGCAUCUCCAUCGCCCACUUCGCCACUCGGCCUGACGCAUCUCGAUUGUGGAGAAUUUCCGACAAUGGAGCAUCAGAAACGACAGACACCGCGUGGUCUUGGAAAUAAUGGGCCACCUUCGUCGCAGUCAUGUAAAUCUCGUAGAUAAGUUUUUGAUAGUGGGGAUACCUCUGCUUGGAAGGGGUCAGGACUUCGGAGAUGUAGUACACUGGCCGCUGAACUUUGUAUGCUUGGCCUUCUUCUUCUCGUUCGACUGUAAGAACAGUACCGACGACUUGAUUUGUAGCCGCGAUAUACAGAAGAAGGGGCUCUUUACUGAGCGGAGCAGUAAGAACCGGCUGGGUGGAAAGUAGGACUUUGAGGUCGUCGAAUGCGACUUGGGCUUCAUCUGUCCACUCGAAAGUAUCUGAUUUCUUCAUGAGUCGGUACAGAGGAAGUGCUUUUUCGCCGAGUCGACUGAUGAACCUGCUCAAAGCCGCUAGGCAACCUGUGAGACGUUGAACAUCGUGUAUUCUGACCGGCCUCUCCAUUCGGACGAUGGUCCUGAUCUUUUCGGGGUUGACAUCGAUCCCUCGUUCGGAAAUGAAGAAACCGAGUAACUUUCCGCUGGGAACGCCGAAUGAACAUUUGGCGGGGUUGAGCUUGAUAUCGUACCUACGAAGGUUGGCGAAUGUUUCUGCCAAGUCAGUCAGCAGGUCGGAACCUUUGCGUGACUUGACUAUGAUAUCAUCCAUAUACGCCUCCACAUUCCGACCGAUCUGAUCGAGGAGACAUUUUUGGAUCAUGCGCAUAAAGGUAGCUCCUGCAUUCUUCAGACCGAACGGCAUAGUGAUGUAGCAGAAGCACCCGAAUGGGGUGAUGAAGGCUGUUUUUAACUCAUCGGGACCAUACAGAAGGAUCUGAUGAUAGCCCAAGUAGGCAUCAAGAAAUGACUGACGCUCGCAACCCGCAGUCGAAUCGACAAUUUGAUCUAUGCGGGGGAGCGGAAAAUGGUCUUUCGGGCAGACCUUAUUGAGAUGCUUGAAGUCGAUGCACGUUCGGAGCGACUUGUCCUUCUUGGGCACCAUGACAACAUUGGCGAGCCACUCGGAGUAGUGAACCUCGCGAAUGAAGUUGGCUGCCAGCAGCUUGUCCACCUCUUCCCCGAUUGCCUUCCUCUUGUGCGCGGCGGACCGGCGCAGGUGCUCUCGGACAGGCCGAGCCGUGGAAUCCACGUGCAGUCGGUGCUCAGCUAACUCCCUGGGUACACCUGGCAUGUCGGAGGGUUUCCAUGCGAAGAUGUCCUAGUCCUCACGGAGGAAUUGGGUGAGCUCGGCUUCCUAUUUAGGAUCGUGGGUGGUGGAGAUGUUCGUCGGGGCAGCAGUGGCGUCCGUCGGGUGGAUGCUGACCUUCUUCGUCUCUCCUGCCGACUGAAAUGCAGACUCUGAAGCUGGCUUCUUCGAGCGCAUCAGGUCGGCGGGGUCGACUAUUUUCUUGUACUCGUCCAGCUCGAGGACGGCCAUCUGCUGGUCGGCGAUUCUUGAUCCCUGCUGCAGACACUCUUCAGCCCGCUGCCGAUUGCCUGUGAUGGUGAUCACACCCUUCGGGCCUGGUAUCUUCAGCUUCAGGUAUACGUAACAUGGACGGGCCAUGAAGUGCGCAUACGCUGGGCGACCUAGAAUUGCGUGAUAAGCGCUCUGGAAGUCAACCACUUCGAACGUCAGCUUUUCCUUGCGGAAGUUCUUGUCGGAGCCGAAAACGACGUCCAACGCGAUCUGGCCGAGUGAUUUGGCCUUCCGUCCAGGGACGACUCCGUGGAACUGCAUGCUGCUCUCGCUGAGUUUGGACAUCGGGAUGCCCAUCCCCUUGAGGGUGUCGGCGUACAUGAUGUUCAAGCCGCUGCCGCCAUCCAUGAGGACUUUGCGCAGUCGGACUCCUUCUACCACCGGGUCGAUGACUAGGGCCUGUCUCCCCGGGGUGGGUACAUGUGCUGGAUGAUCCGACUGGUCGAAGGUGAUCGCAGUCUGAGACCAUUUGAGGAACUUGGGGUUGGUAGGGGUGGCCAUGUUCACCUCUCUGUUCACCAGCUUCAGUCGGCUCUUGCUCUCGACGUAAGCAAAGAUCAUCAGGGUUGCAUGGACUUGGGGGAACGGAUCCUCCUUAUCCUCCUCAUCCUGUUCAUGGUCCUUCUCACUCAGUUGCCCUUCGCUGAACCCCUGGAUCAGGAGGCGACACUGUCGAGUGGUAUGCUUCGCAUAUAUGGGGUUUCCCUCUUCAUCCAUCUUCGUAUGAACCGGACAUGGCUGGUCCAGGAUGGGGUUAUUGAACUGGUUCUUCUUGAGGGUGAACUGAGCCUUCCCUUUGCCCUUGAACUUGGCAUUGGUUACGGCUGCAGCUUCUGCUUGCGGAGCGGUCGGAGCUUUCUGCUUCUGCUUCCGAGUGUGGCCCCCAUCGCCAUCAGCGACUGUUUUGUGCUUGCCGCUUCGGAUGCGGUCCUCUUCUUUACCAUUUGCAUAGCGUGUUGCUAUCUCCAUCAUCUUGCUCAUGGAGAUGUCGCCUGUUCGGCCGAACUUCAGGUACAGAUCCGUGUACCGCACGCCUGCCUUGAAGGCGCAGACUGCUUGAUGCUCGGUGACGUUCUCCACCGUGUGAUAGAGAGUUGUCCAGCGCUGGAUGAAGUCACGCAGGGGCUCAUUCUGCUUCUGGACGCAGUGCUGGAGCUCCACAAGGCCAGCAGGGCGCUUGCACGUCCCUUCGAAGGUCCUGAUGAACACUCGGGCCAGAUCUGCCCAACUGUAGAUGCUUGAGGGGGCCAACUGGUUCAGCCACGCUCGCGCCGAGCCGUCGAGCAUCAGAGGGAGGUGCUUCAUGGCGACAUGGUCGUCCCCUCCUCCGAUCUGGACUGCCACUCGGUAGUCAUCCAGCCACGUUUCUGGCUUGGACUCUCCUGUGAACUUGCUAAUUCCCGUUGCCAAUCGGAAGUUGGGAGGGAUGUCAGCCGAACGGAUGGCUCGACUGAAACACUCGGGACCAGAAAAAGGUGGCCCUGCUUCCACUCGGACGGUCGAUAUCGUGACCAUCGCGGUGGGCCCGACCCCUGUCGACCCUCCGCUGGGCGAUAUGCCCUCUUGCGUCGGGCCUUGGGUCGUAAGUGUCACCGACUGAACACCGAUCAUCAUGAUGUCGGGGCCCAUAGGGCCCACCCCACGGAGGGGUGCGUGAACGGCGGCGAUCUUCGUGAUUUAUGGAACGGCUGCCUCCUCUGUGCCGCUGAUGGGAACCUGGGCUGUGAACCGACCGAUGCGUAUUCGCAUGAACAGAACUAUAUAGAUCCUGUUGUGCGACUGGGAGACCGCCGAAUUCUGCUGCUGCGCCAUGUGCAACAGGGCUCGGAUCUGCUCGAUCCCUCUACCAGCCUCUGAAUCAGUCGGCUGGAGGGAAUCGGCUAUCUUGGCAGCUGCAACCAAGUUGAGGAGGGGUGUGCGGAACAGCUCCACGUUGCUCCGCCGAGUGUGCCGACUAGCAGAACGGCGAGGUGGACGACGCGCGCCGGACGCUUCGCCGAUCUCGUGCUCGUUCCGGCCAGCUUGACGGGGAUCUUCAUGGGAAUUGGCCAUGUGUACUUCUGCUGCAGGCCCGUGACCCGCGUACUUGGAAGGAAACUCAGUCGGAACCGAGCCCGAGCGCUGGGACAGCAGGGCAACCACAACUGACUCUAGAACCGCCACUUGUGAAGAUGCGUUCUGGCGCGCCUGGGCGUGUUGCACCCAACGCUGGAGCCGCGGACGGCGGGACCACUUGACGUGGCGCGUGACGGCGGUGUAGGUCAACACCGGAGCCGACUGCUGGAGAAGAAGAAUGCCGCGGGCGCCGGCACGGAAGUGCGUAGCCCCGUGACGGGGAAGCGCCUCGACGUCGAGGGGCGCAUCCCGAAGCAACGCCGAAUUGUCGAUGAUGAAGGAGAGAUCGCCGAAGAAGAUCUGGUGACCCAUGCUUGAAUCUCCACCGGACGACAUGACGAAAGGAAGUAGUCGCAAACUCGCCGGAAGUCGCUUAGACGCCUGCCCCACGGUGGGCGCCAACUGUCGUGGGUAUAAGCCUGACAGUAGAUGUGUAGGGUACGAAAAUGUGUCGGCGUACAUGAUGUUCAAGCCACUGCCGCCGUCCAUGAGGACUUUGCGCAGUCGAACUCCUUCCACCACCGGGUCGAUGACUAGAGCCUGUCUCCCCGGGGUGGNNNNNNNNNNNNNNNNNNNNNNNNNNNNNNNNNNNNNNNNNNNNNNNNNNNNNNNNNNNNNNNNNNNNNNNNNNNNNNNNNNNNNNNNNNNNNNNNNNNNCGCCUCACAGCUCCCCUGCGCGCCGUCAGCCCGUGCCCCGCCGUCCCCGUGCUCGCCAUGGCCGCCGUUCCCCUGCCGAUUUGCUGCUGCCGUGAAUGUUGCUGCUACGCUAAGCUGUUGCGUUGCGUGCUGCCGAAGCUGCUGGUUCCUGCUGCUGCCUGCUAGUGCUGAUGCAUAGGCUUGCCUGCGUGAGGUUGUUGUCCCGUUUUGCGUUGCUUGUCCGCUGUGCUGGCUGCAGACAGUUGUUGUUGCUGUUGCCUGCAUGCCGCUGCUGCUCUUGCUGCCUGUGUGCCUGUUCCUGUUGCUGUUGAUAGCUGCAGCUGUUAUGUUUGCCAGAUGCUUGCUUGCUUUGCUGUUGCGGGCUACUGCUUGGAGAUGCUCAUGCUGGUGCUUGCUGCUGGCCGAGCUUGCUAGCUUUGCUUUGCUGCUUGCCUACAGAUGAUGUUGCCGUUGCUUGCUAGUAGCUGUUGUCGAGUUUAGUGUUUGCUGCUAGGUGUAGUUGCUAGUUGCUAGGCUUGCUGAUAGAUGCUAGGCUUGGUUGCUGUGCUGCUUGCCGUUGUCUGCCGGCGCCGAUGCAUUUGCUGUGGUGCCACAUGCGUCGCCGCGUGCGCCGUUCCCCUCAGCCGAGGAACCGACAAGAUCACCAUGCACCACGUCGUCCUCGACGGCCUCUUCAGAAACGUGUUUGACUCCCGACGCCGAAGAUCAUCUACCGACGCAAGAGAACGACUACCGUCGACGAGACCGUGUACGACUACUUCCACGACGACCGUUGGUCCGCUACGACCCGAACCGCUUCGAAUAGCACGCUUCAAAGGUAUACCGAUGAGACGUGUCGUGUAACGAAUGCUUGUGUUGUAUGGGAUGAAAGUAUGUUUUGCGUCGUAUGUUGCCGUAGCACGUUGUAUCACUUUUGUUGUGCCCCGACACAUGGGAACCCGAUAUACGGGAUCACCCCAUUCUUUAUUUACCGUUCCGCACAUGCUCCCUAUUCGUUGGCUCCGAUACCCCGUUGAGUUAUCGGGAUAGGAACGUUGUCGUGGCAUCGUUUUUGUUUUGCCGCCCUCUCGCUCGCCGUGGCGACAUAUGCUUCUUUCCCUUCUUGCCGUGUUGUUGUAACUCGCAUGCAUGAUGCAUUCAUGGCAUAUAUCUUGUGUUGCAUGUUCUUGUGCCGUAGCUCCGAUCUAUGCUCCGCGUGUUAACCGACUAGGAUGUCAGGUAGAAUCACUCGCUUCACCCUUGCCAUGUUAACAACAUUUAAUAUUGCGUGUUAAAUUAACGGGAGUGAACUAAGAAUUAAUCGUGGAGUUUCGUCGAUAUGUAACUCGUUGCAUAUCGAGCUUCACUUAAUGUGUAGAGUUUGCGUGAGGUGAAUUGCCAUGCCAUCCCAUGCAUUUUGAACUAAUCAUGCAUCAUAUUAGGUUGUGCAUCAUGUUGUGCANNNNNNNNNNNNNNNNNNNNNNNNNNNNNNNNNNNNNNNNNNNNNNNNNNNNNNNNNNNNNNNNNNNNNNNNNNNNNNNNNNNNNNNNNNNNNNNNNNNNAGGCUCCGUCCAAGGGGAAGUUUUUCGCCUGGCUUACCAUCCAGGAUCGGAUUUGGACGGGUGAUCGCCUAGCACGCCGGGGAUGGCCGAAUUGCCAUCUUUGCCCCCACUCCAAACGGGAACAUGAGUCUGGGCCACACAUCUUUGUCAAGUGUCGUUUCAAAACAUCGAUAACCUUGACACUUCAACAUCGCACCUUCAGGAUCCCAUUAAGGAUUGGUGAGUGAGCCAAUUGACUUCGACAACUCCCAACAGGAAAGUCAUCGCAUCUCUCACCAUGCUCAUUGGAUAGACCAUUUGGAACGAGAGGAAUGUCCUGUGCUUUCGCAACAAGAGCAUGACACCCCCAAUUCUGCUAAACAAUAUCAAGAGUGAAGCCCUCACUUGGGUCACCACCGGGGCUAAGAAACCGGGUACUAUAAUGUCGGGAGACUAACACCACUUUGUACUUGUUGGCUCGUGUAUUUGAAAACUCUAUUUAUUCUCCCUUAAUUAAUGUAGAACAUGAUCAAAUAUUUUGCCUUGGUUUCAAAAAAAAAAAGCACAACAUGAUCAAAUGUGUAUGCUUUAUGUCCUACACCCCUUCUUCAUCGGCACGGAUGGUCAAUCCCACACCCAAACCCACACCCGAACAAUCAACUGCCGCCCAGCCUCACACCACGAUGUUGCGGCCACCCGCGUCGUCGCCACCCUUGUUAUUGAUGAGUCUUCGAUCACAGUGUUCUCUUCUCCAGUUCGAUGUUGCCUCUUCUCUCCUCUCAUCUCAUAUCUAAAAUUGGUUAAUCCAACUUUUGUUUGUAGGCAACUAAGGAUUAGAGCAUUCAAACAAAUUAAAUAUGUUCUACUUAUUUUGUGGCAAUAUUUGAAAUUGUAGUUUUCUCCAAAUGUCAAUUCUAUAUAUAUUUGACCAUGUUUAGGAAAAUACACGUUUUUGAUUGAUAUAACAAAAAUUCAUGCUAAUAUAUAAUAUAUUGAAUAUCAUUCUAUAUAUAAAUAUGAAAAUAUAAAUUUGAUGAAUUUAGUGUGAAUAAUUUGGUGUAGUUAUCAUUUGUAUUUAUCUAUGGACCUAAGUCAAACUUAAAUAAAUAUGACUUAGAAUAAAAUAAAUUUUUUUGGAACUGAUCAAAGGAGUGCAUAAGAUAAAACACGACCAAAAAUUCUGGCACACGGAUAUUCCAACAUCCUAAGACACGACAUGAGCGUGGGUAGGGAGGAAUGAGGAAGAAAAUGACAAGACGAAGGCGGGAAGGCCUCGACGACAAGGAGGCAACAGUGACAACACCGAGGAUGCCUAGGAGGUGAUGGGUAAGACACUCUCCUAGACUAGAUAAGCGCAUGAUGAUGCGCGAUGGCUCCUAGAGUUGGGUUCGGUGCGAAUAUGAAGAACUUGACGCCAGCUUUGAGGAGAAGUGGCAAGGGUAGAGUGAUACCAACGAGAGCAUGACCAUCACUCCAGCAUGGACGAGUGGCCCCGUGUAUUCAUGUAGGCUUGGAUACCAAGUGAAGGCAAAGGUAUAGCUCCGAAAAUGUCAGGUGUAUCCAGUAUCGUGCAUUUGCAGAGCUCGGUGCUUUGGGACGAAAUGGUGAAGUUAUCAAAAUGAUGAGAGAGGAAAUGAGAAAAGAAUGGAGAGAGAAACCCCUGUACUACGACAGUGAAUGAUUGAAGAAGAAAGCAUGUAGGGGGGAGAUGUGGUUCGGGCCAUCUUCAAAAUGAUGCUACUGCAGUCUACAUUAGACAUUCAUCAAUCUACCAGAAGGGUUGAGCACAGUUCACUGCACCGUUGGUGUUGUUAAAAUUUCAUAUUUUUUGUUUAUUAUUUAGUUUGGCACGUGGAAAAAUGGUGUGUAUUUUAUUUUGGUGGGCUUUCUUUGUGUGAUUUUGUGAUGUCUGUUAAUCAGCUCAUAAUUAUUAUUAUUUUCUGUUGGGGGGGGGGGGGNNNNNNNNNNNNNNNNNNNNNNNNNNNNNNNNNNNNNNNNNNNNNNNNNNNNNNNNNNNNNNNNNGGGUGGGGGGGGGGAGGUUAUCUUAUUAGGCUGGUUGUUGCUAAUUAAUUGUAGGAAUCGUCGAGCCGGUUAAAAUUAUGAAUCCAAUUCAAAUUUUAACACAUUAACUAAAUGUGAAGAGUCUAAAAUUAGAAAGCAUGGUGUAUUAUAGAUGAUUCGGUUGUUUCACGUCAGUUAAUCAUAUGAAUGGCACAUAGCUCAUACAUGAGACAAUCGGCAGUAAUGACGUGGAAGGGACGGAGAAAUAUGUCAUUAGCUCUAGAACACUGACGUCACGCACUAGCUAUGCCCAGAGAUAAUUGAUUUGGAUCGGCGUCGUCACUAUCGAUCUCUCGAGUCUACACAUGGUCGUGUAUUGCCCUGCAAAAGAGCUAGUCAGUCUGUACCGUUGUUUGUCAUAAUUUAUACAGUAGUCAUUUCCGUGCAAAACAAGCACAUGCACACGCGUACGAGCGUAAUGCGCAGUGAAGAAUCUUCGAGUGCGUGGAGCAUGAUGGGCGACCACCGAGAAAUUCCAUAGCCGCAUGUCGUGCAGCAAUUUAGGUGAACGCGGCAACCCAUUUUUCGAGUAGAGAACAGGGGCAUGCCUCCAAUUUUUUUUCUGUAUCCGUCUGCGGACACGAGGACGAUCAGCCCAGGAACAUAGAUGCGGAAGACUGUCAUCCGAUACUAUCCGCAUACAACCAAAUAUUUUACGAACCAAUAGGACAGCAUUGGUUGAAACACGACGAAUUUCAUAUAAACCGGAUAAAAACAUAUAUAUUUCAAACAUAUUUUAACUAAACAGGUAAAAUUAUAUGCACGUCGGACCGCGGGGAGCUACAUCCGUACAACGCUGAUACACUAUAUAUACUAGUGUACGUCUGGCCACGACGGAUCUCUUGGUCUUCCCAUGUCCGAGAGCCCGAUUAUCAGACUGUCGGGAUCUCCGGAGACACAUUCCUCUCCCUUUCCCUAUCUCUGACUGCGACGCUUGCCAGAGUGACAAAGAAGAUGCUUCAUCCGGAGGGGAAGGGUUGUAUUCGCUUCCGUGAAGCGCAAAUCCUUGCUUUUCUUGGGGGCUACGGGUGAACAAUGGCGUGCGUUAGAGGAUUGGACACUUGUUUUGGACGUUGGCGACUCACAUGUGGUGACCUUCUUGGGACCAAAGCGGCGACGGCCUCCCGUGUUUUAAUUUUCCUUGUCGUCGUUGGUGGCCGCGAACGCCCUGGCCAGUGACUCGUCCAGUUUCGUGUAGCCAACUUCUUCUUUCAUUGAUUAGGCGCGAUUUUGACAACGUUGAUAACCGAUGGCACGAUGUUUAACAUUGCCCCCUCGUGAACGGACGUGUGGCAGGAGAAGGUUUCUCGGCUUUGAUGUGAGUUUAAUGAAGGCGUUUGACUGCGAUGAGGAGUCGUAUUCAGUCGGACAUGCAAAGGGCAGCGCCCACGACCGGCACGCCGCUUCAAUGGCGGAUGCAGCGAGAGAUCUUGUCCGGUAUGAGUAGUCUUCAACAUAGAGCGGUACAAUCUACAACAGCAUAAAUGCGCGCAACUCGUGCCGGUUAAGAACGGGCACGAGCAAGGGAGGAGGGGAUUUGAUGGCCAGGGUGAUGAGAUGCGGGCUUGGGUGCUGUCCGGACACGUGCAAAGCCUCCCCCAUCACACAUUUGUCUUCGAUUUGUGAAAGAAAGUACGUCCGGACCACUUACAGAUCGAUACAAACCUGUGUUGUAUGAAUUUCACAAUCUAGACAGCACAAUUCAAACGGAUGAGGAUGAUGAUUUACGAGUCGUCGUUGGAGAUGGCGUAGAGCCCAAACUUGAAAUCGGCCCGAGAAAAGUAAGGAAUGUGGAACACCAUGCGGUUUCUCCUUCUUAAAAUCAUCGUUGACUGACCAUUCAAAAAUCGGUGCCUGUCAAAUUAACGUUCACCGGUGCAACAAAUGACCCCAACCUCCGGUGAUACCUGGGUACCACAGCACAGCAAAGCUCCCUUCACUGUCCUUAACAUCGUGAGCUUGCUAAUUGAGAUUCCGUCCCAUUUCGCGGUCUCCUCCGUCCACUAGCAUUUAAUCUCGUCAGGGGCGACUGCCUAGGAAGCAAGCAAGCAAUUACGUACUCCAAGCUGAUGCGAGCAAGCAAUUACGGACUCCAAGUCGUGCCUGCGCAGGCGUCAAGGCUCAUGCCAGACAUGGUCUACAAGCGAUGUACCUGGUGGCUACUUCUACCAGCCAGCAGCCACCGCUGGCACUAUAAAAAGGCCAACCCUGCACGAUCCGAGACACAUCCACAGCCAAUUCCGAGCUCUUCCNNNNNNNNNNNNNNNNNNNNNNNNNNNNNNNNNNCUCUUCCGACUGACUGAAUCCAUAUCUCAUCUCCUACUCCGUCGUUCCGCGCGCACAGAACUACGAACUCUUGCAUGUUGAGCUCAUCCGACUAGCAGCGAUGGUUUCGUCAACGAAGCACUACAUAGAUCAGGCCGUCGCGUCCUCGUCGUCCCUCUCCAUCUCGCUCGCCCUCGGCGCCGGCCGCAGCAAGGAGAUGUGCCGCGGCGCCGAUGGCGAGUUCGUAUGCAAGACCUGCAGCCGUUGGGCGGGCACCGGACAAGCCACCUGCGCGGCCGCCAUGGGCUUGCGCUAGGCCUCGCUGCAGGUUCCGAACCGGACCACCAAGAAGACCGCGGACCAGAAGCAGGCGCACCAGUGCCGCGUCUGCGGGCUCGAGUUCAACAUGGGGCAGGCGCUCGGCGGUCACAUGCGCCGGCGUCGCGAGCAGGAGUUGGCUACCACGGCGCAGGCGCAGCCAGUUCUGCUCCAGCUCUUCGUUUAGCCUUUAGCGCAAGCUCCAAUGGUUUCUCUGUAGUCUGAUAUGGACUAUGGAUAGACAUCCUGUAUAGGUUCACUGGUUCACUUGUGCGCAAUUGGACUUUGUACAUUUGCUGGUUGCUGCACACUAGUCUCUACUGUUAUAAGGGAUCUGCCGUCGUCGUGAUGGUUCAAUCUUUUAACGCUAGCUAUCCUCCCACCCACAUCCUUCCACUGAUUUUUUUUUCAACCCUUUAAAAAUCAAUUGGUUUAAUAAAAAAAAGUACAAUAAAAAGCCCCUCUACCUCUCGUUCGACCACGCCUCUUAUCCCUCGCACGACCUCCUCGCUUCCACCGAUUUUUUGUGACCCAACCUCUUCGUUGCCGGUUUGUUUCUCAGCUCAUCCUAUGUGCACAAAAGAGAACCAAAAAACCAAUGAAAACCUACCCACGUACGUCAUCACUUGCCUAAUCUCUGAUCGUGCGGGUCUCUUCCUUCGGGUUUCCAUCGCCGCCGUGGCACACUCUCCCGAUCUCCCAUCGCCACCGCGCACCCCUAUCACUCUCCCAAGCCACCGUGCAGCGUCCUUGAUCCUCCCCUCUACGCGUCACCGUUGCACGGUCUCCAUCAUAGUCGCGCCGAUCGUGGCCCUUUCCAGGCGAAUAGGAUGGCGGUGGCACUCUUCUUUGGAUCCGGUUAACUGCAGGUGGUGGAGGGCACUCUUCUUCCUCUCAGAGCGGUUGACUAUCGGGCUGCUCCGGUCGCGCCACAUCGCCGUCUUUAGGCGUGCGCCCAUGCCAUGCGGCAGGCCAGAUGGAGCGAGCGCCGCCGCGCCUCGCGUUGGAGGUCGCGGUUGUGCCUCAGCCAUGCUCCGCUCUGGGAGUCGCCUCCGCUGCCGGAGGGUCUUGCGCCGUUGCGCUAUGAGCGGCCGUGGCGUGUGGAGAUGGGCGGCCACGGGCGCGGCGUGGCCGUGCGGCAGCCGGGCGGCUACGGACUCCACGGCCACUGGCAUGGCGCUGGGCACGGCCGGACGGCCACGGUCCUGCGUGACCAAGGUCAGGCGCGGCCACGGACACGCGCGGGCGACGAGGCCAUGGCGCCAGCACGGACUGGCGCAAUCACGACCAGCGGCCGGAGCGGCUGCUCGACGGCGAGCGCCCGUGCGCGAUGAAGGCGACGCCAGAGCGCCUGUUCUUCUCAGAUGUCGAGCUUGCUGGAUGGAGCGCUCAAACUGCUUGCUGGCUGUUGGUCGUCCAUACCGUGGAUUCGAACCGAGGCUGCUGCCUUCAGUCUUGGAUAUGAGACCGCAUCAUGGACAACCUCAUUCACCGUUUGAGGUUAGUGCCCAAUAGGAAAAGUAAUGAUAAUAGAAUAGCAUCACCUGAUGAUUUAGUAAUUAAGAUCAAUAAGUUUGAUCGGUAGGCUUCAUAGAUGAACUAGAGAACCAAAACGCUGGUUGUUCGUGACUUGAUUUUGGCGAUUUGUGCUUCUGGUUCUCCCAUUGAUCCAUCUUUGAUCUGCUCUUUUACUUCCUGUGAAGAAAACCACAGGAAGAGUGUCGAGAGAGUCUCGGCGUCGGCAGUGUGGCCGCCUCAGGCUGGUGCAGGAGGUCGGGGCUGCGGGGUCACCCGACGACUGGAGACAUGCGCCGACGUGCCAUCAUCAGUGUACGAGGUCCCCCGGAGCCCCGAAUGUCAUCGUACGGCAGCAGCAAUCUCACCAUCUCCCUGUUCCAUCCGUAUUCAUAUGAAAUUUUUUAACUGACUGUUUAUGGAGUUGAUAUAGGAUGGUUUGUUGUCAGAGAUCAGGUCGCUACUGGAUUCAAGUCUGCACUCUUCUCCCCACGUUUUUCUUCCCCCACACAUACUGAACCACAAGGAGAGCAAAACGAGGAGGCGAAGUACCAGCGAAGGCGACGAGAACGGCGUUGCAGGUGAGUUCAUGUUCCGCCCGUGAAGCCAUGUCUCUCUUUUUCCCCAUGUCCAGCGCAUAUAGACCCACCUGUACAAAUUCCACUCUCUCUUUUUUUACGUUGAGUAGAAAUUUCUCUCUUCUUUUCCAUGCUUAGUUGCACAUUACUCUGGCACUUUUGGUCCCUUCUGAUGUCAUAGCAUUCUGUGAUAUAAUAAAUAUAAACAACUAGAUGCUCCAAAUGCACCGUCACGCCAUCAUCAGUGAGGGACUAGGAAGGAAGAUACGUAACAACCACUACAGAAAUCAGCUUCUUUGCCGUCUGCCAUCACAGACGGCAAAGACAAUAUCCCGGACGGCAAAGACAAUAUCGCAGACGGCAAAUAUUCUCACGACCGGCAAAAUUUCUGCGUCAGCCUACGACGGCAUAGGACCUUCUUUGCCGUCUGCCCAGGCAAAACGGACGGCAAAGCUCUUUGCCAUCAGCUUUCAUUAGGAGCAGUCGGCAAAGUGCUCGAGACGGCAGCCGACACACGUUGCCUCCGUUAGGGGUUAACGGAGGCUUUGCCGUCUGCCUCCCCAUCCAUCUUUGCCGUCUGCCUCCCCGUCCAUCUUUGUCGUCUGCCUUCUCCUCCCCUCCCCUCCCCCCCUCCAUCUUUGCCGUCUGCCUCCCCGUCCAUCUUUGUCGUCUGCCUUCUCCUCCCCUCCCCUCCCCCCCUCCAUCUUUGCCGUCUGCCUCCCCGUCCAUCUUUGUCGUCUGCCUUCUCCUCCCCUCCUCCUCUCUCCACUCUUUGCCGUCUGCCUCCUCCUCCCCCCUCCUCUGUUCCCUCUUCUUUGCCGUCUGCCCACCCAGCAGGCUGACGACAAAGAGACUACAUAAACACCCCAGGAUGCACAGCUGGGUGCCAUGUGGCACCUUUGCCGUCUGCCAGCUGAUGGCACAGGUCUUUGCCAUCAGCUGGCACACGGCAAAGAGCCCAUAUAGUUCCUAUUUUUUUGUUUUAUAUUAUUUCACAGCACACACACACACACACACACACACAUAUAUAUAUAUAUAUAUAUUUGAUAGCACAUUUAUAUAAUUCACCACACAUAUAUGAUAUAUAGUUCACCACACAUAUACUUGCCAACACAUAUAUAUAAUUCACCACACAUAUAUGAUUCACCAAUAUACAUCCCCAUAUAUCCAAAGAACCAACAUACCAAGUAUUGCACUGUUUAUCCAUAUAUACAUAUACAUAUAGUUGGACAUUGUUCAUCAACUCAAAUGAAAACUAGAUGAUAUACAUAUAUAGUUCAUUCAUUGACAUUGUUCAACUCCAUGAAUGCCAGCUUCCAUGCAUGUAGUAUAUCCAAUCUGCAAAAAUGUGAAUAAGAAAGUUAGGAGAAGAACAAAAUAUGAUGUUUCUCAGCUAAUUAUGUCAUUUUAGCGGAAAACAAGCUAAGUAUAUGUGUGGUGAACUAUAUAUCAUUUAUUGGAGCUAAAUUACCUAAUUAUGUCUUUUUUGAGCUAAAUGGGCUAAUUAUCCCAUUUUUGAGGACAACUAGCUAACUAUAUAAUAUUAAUGAGCUAACCAAGGUUCUUAUGCCAUCUUGAGCUUAUUAUGGUAUUUUGGAGCUAAAUGGGUUAAUUAUGUCAUUGUUGGGUUAAUUAAAGCAAGGAUAAUAUGAAAGAGGAGAAGAAAGAGGAGGAGGAGGAGAAGAAGAAGAAAUCAAGAAGAAGGAGGAGGAGGAGGAGAAGGAUAGAAGGUCCUUGGCCUUCUCCUCCUCCUCCUCCUCCUCCUUCUCCUUCUUCUCUUCUUCUUCUUCUUCUUCUUCUUCUUUCUUUUCAUUUUGCCUAUUUCUUCUCCUCUUCUCCUCUUGUUGGAGCUAAAUUACCUAAUUAUGUCUCUUUUGAGCUAAAUGGGCUAAUUAUCCCAUUUUAGAGGAAAACUAGCUAAGUAUAUAAUAUUAAUGAGCUAACCAAGGUUCUUAUGCCAUUUUGAGCUUAUUAUGGUAUUUUGGAGCUAAAUGGGAUAAUUAUGUCAUUGUGGGGUUAAUUAAAGCAAGGAUAAUAUGAAAGAGGAGAAGAAAGAGGAGGAGGAGGAGAAGAAGAAGAAAUCAAGAAGAAGGAGGAGGAGGAGGAGGAGGAGAAGGAUAGAAGGUCCUUGGCCUUCUCCUCCUCCUCCUCCUCCUCCUUCUCCUUCUUCUCUUCUUCUUCUUCUUCUUCUUUCUUUUCAUUUUGCCUAUUUCUUCUCCUCUUCUCCUCUUGUUGGAGCUAAAUUACCUAAUUCUGUCUUUUUUGAGCUAAAUGGGCUAAUUAUCCCAUUUUAGAGGAAAACUAGCUAAGUAUAUAAUAUUAAUAAGCUAACCAAGGUUCUUAUGCCAUUUUCAGCUUAUUAUGGUAUUUUGGAGCUAAAUGGGCUAAUUAUGUCAUUGUUGGGUUAAUUAAAGCAAGGAUAAUAUGAAAGAGGAGAAGAAAGAGGAGGAGGAGGAGGAGAAGAACGUUAAUUACCCUCGUGCAUGGACAUGCACCUACCACGCAAAGUUCGCAGGUCCAGAAGUUGCCCUUUUGGUCCACAGGACUUUCCAGGUUACCUAUACUACUUUUCAGGUUAUAUAAAACUUUUCGAUAUUUUCUACAUUUGAGGAUGGCAAUAUUAUUUAUGUUGUCCUGUUUUGCUCCGGUACCAAUAAAUAUAGACGAUACAUUAUUUUGACAGACUUGAUUUCAACAAAAGAACAUGUGAUCUUCUUUGAAGUAGUCUUGAACCUAAGCAAUAAUGAUGGGCGAAUAAACUAACAUAAUCUACCACUAAAUCUACUAAUUAACUAACAGAAUCUACCACUAAAACUACUAAUUAAUUCCAAAAAACUAAAUACCAAACAUGUGAUCUUCUUUUUGUCUUCUCCUCCUCCUAUUCUUCUUCUUCUUCUUCUUCUCCUCCUCCUCCUCUUCUCCUCUUCUCCUCCUCCUCCUCUUCUUCUUCUUCCUAUUCUUUCUAGUAAUCUAACUAACUAACUAACCUAACUAACCAAGCUAACUAAACCUAUCGCUAAACCUAGAUAGCACUAAACAGCAAAAAAUAACAAAAACACCACAACGGAGAUAUAUGAAUUGCUAUUUAACCUCAUCCAAGGACCUCCUCGGUCAAUUCCGAUUCAACUAAAGUUGGAGAAACUGACACCCGCCAGUCAUCUUUGAGCAACGGAGUUACUCGUAGCGAUGAAACCAGUCUCUCGUAAGCGUACGAGUAAUGUCGGUCCGAGCCGCUUCGAUCCAACAAUACCGCGGAAUCAAGAAAAGACUAAGGAGGGCAGCAAAACGCACAUCACCGCCCACAAAAACUUUUGUGUUCUACUCGAGAAGACAUCUACGCAUGAACCUAGCUCAUGAUGCCACUGUUGGGGAACGUCGCAUGGGAAACAAAAAUUUUCCUACGCGCACGAAAACCUAUCAUGGUGAUGUCCAUCUACGAGAGGGGAUGUGUGAUCUACGUACCCUUGUAGACCGUACAGCAGAAGCGUUAGUGAACGCGGUUGAUGUAGUGGAACAUCCUCACGUCCCUCGAUCCGCUCCACGAACCGUCUCGCGAUCAGUCCCACGAUCUAGUGUCGAACGGACGGCACCUCCGCGUUCAGCACACGUACAGCUCGACGAUGAUCUCGGCCUUCUUGAUCCAGCAAGAGAGACGGAGAGUUAGAUGAGUUCUCCGGCAGCGUGACGGCGCUCCGGAGGUUGGUGGUGAUCUUAUCUCAGCAGGGCUCCGCCCGAGCUCCGCAGAAACGCGAUCUAGAGGAAAAACCGUGGAGGUAUGUGGUCGGGCUGCCGUGGAAAAGUCGUCUCAAAUCAGCCCUAAAACCUCUGUAUAUAUAGGUGGGAGAGGGGGGGCCCUGCCUUGGGGCUCAAGGAGCCCCAAGGGGGUCGGCCGAGCCAAGGGGGAAGGUCUCCCCCUCCCAAUACGAGUCCUACUUGGUUUGGAACGUGGAGUCCUUCUUCCCUUUCCCACCUCCUCCUUUUUUUUCUUUUCUCUUUGAUUUUCUUCCUAUGGCGCAUAGGGCCUUCUUGGGUUGUCCCACCAGCCCACUAAGGUCUGGUGUGCCACCCCCAAGGCCUAUGGGCUUCCCCGGGGUGGGUUGCCCCCACCCCCCCGGUGUACUCCCGGAACCCAUUCGUCAUUCCCGGUACAUUCCCGGUAACUCCGAAAACCUUCCAGUAAUCAAAUGAGGUCAUCCUAUAUAUCAAUAUUCGUUUCCGGACCAUUCCGGAAACCCUCGUGAUGUCCGUGAUCUUAUCCGGGACUCCGAACAACAUUCGGUAACUGUUGGGGAUAUUGCGUGUUAAGUGACCCGCCGAAUAUGGGCCGGGUUACAGUUAAGGCGAUUCAUCCUUUAGGGCUAGUUGGGCCUCAGCCUGGGCGGUUCAAAGUCGCAGGAUGGUUAUGAUUUAUGGAAGGACUCUGGGUUUUGCAAGACGGUGACUUAGAGACCGCGGUGGUCACGAUUUGUAAAAAGGAAGGGACUCUUGUAAACCCUAAGGCUUCGACCUAUAUAUAAAGGCGAGUUUGGAGGGGGAGAGGUAGGUUAGAAAUCAUCGAGUGCUAGGUUUAGGCGAGUUACGCCUUCCUUGUAAUCGAAUCCAUAUCAAUACACACAAAAGCAGGACGUAGGCUAUUACCUCUUCUCGAGGGGCCGAACCUGGGUAAAUCGCCGUGUCUCUCCCGCUUAACCCCUUUGAGUCGCCACCAAGGUGCGAUGGCUCCAGUACUAAGUCCUUUCACGAGGACAUCUGCCGUGACAAAACCACGGCAGUUGGCGCCCACCGUGGGGCCUGCGCACGGUGGAGUUGAGUUCUCAAAGGGAGCCCUACCAGGGUCUGGGAGUUAUGCGGCGGCGCUCAUGACUUGGAGCCGACGCGGCAUCGCCUACAUCGACAACCGGCGAUGGGGACCUGAAGCAAAUUCUCUCGAAUCAGGCUACAGGGUCCCCUUCGGCAAGAUCAACGUCUUCAUCGGCAUGAUCGGGUCAUCUGCUCCUGAGCCGGACAUCUCCUCCGACAUCGUCGAGCCGGCCAGGUACGUUCAUCCAGUCGUAACCCGGAAUCUGACCCGCCCGGUCUUUGUGGGCUUCACCCAGGGGUCGGAGGAGCCAGAGCACGCGGCAGCUCAGGAGGUUACCCCCAUCAACUCUGACGACGAGUCAUCCAUGGGCGAUUCCGAUUCCAUCCAGUCCCUCCACGGAGACGGCCUCGGGGGCUUGUCAUUGGCCAUGGAUCCGGAAAUCCUCGAUCGAACCCGCCGCCAGAUCGCCAUCUACAUGGCCGGGGUGACUCAACCCGCACACAAUCCCGCCGGAGGCGAUGGAACCGGCGGGACGUCCAGAAGUGCGUCAGCAGUCCUCGUGGAUUUAGCGGCGGAAAUCACAAGACUAAUGUCAACCCCCCUCACGCCUGAGAACCAAGAAGAGAUAAAUGCGGAGUUAGCAAAACUGAGGGAGGCGGUGGCAAAGGCCCAUCAGGAUGCCGAGACGGAGUCCACCAGGAUGGAAACUCGACAAGCCCAGAUUACGGCCGAAAGGAUGCGGUUGAACACCGACAAUUGGCGGCUUGAAAGACAGCAGCGCGCAUCCGACGCCGUCCAUCAGCGGAGGCACCAGGGACGCCUGCCCCAUGAUCUUAAUCCAACUCGCCUGUUCGACACUCCCCAAACACCCGGGAUGGGAGCCGCUCCAGCAGGAGGGCUCGGCCGCCCUCCUAACCCGCCGAUUCAGACGACUGAGGGUCAAAUUCCUCGUUUCCGUACCCCUCGAGGCCACUUCUCUAACCUGGUGGAUAACGUGCUUGCCGCAACUCGCCAUUUGGAGUCUCUCCCGAUCCACGGCAACACCCCAGCUGAGAUCGAAGCAAGGAACGCCAUCGAGAUGUUGAAAACGGCGGUGGUCCAAAACGCACAGUUCUCGCACAGCCCCGAGCGAUUGCACUCCACCCCCCAGGCGAGCUAUACCAGGGGUUGUCCGGAGGAUCAGCCAGCCGUAAACAGCGCCCCGCGACACCUCCCGCAGGACAACCCGCCCGAGCGGGACCCGCCGGGCAAAGGCCCACCCAACAUUCAAGAGGCCCAGACUCAUCCCGCGGGGACCGGAGGGCGAGUUGGGGUGCCCUGCUUGUCCCUGGCCCUUCGAAACGAGAGAAUGCCCAAGGAUUUCAAAGGACCGAGAAAGGUGCCUAAUUACACACCAGAUCUCGAACCAACAUCUUGGAUCGAGGGCUAUGAGAUCGCCAUGGACAUGCUCGACGUAAACGAGGCGGUUUGCGCCAGAUAUUUCACCAUGAUGCUCGAGGGAUCGGCGCGCACUUGGCUGAAAAAUUUACCCCCCAAUUCUAUCCAGUCCUGGGCCGAGUUGAAGGAGCGUUUCAUCAAAAACUUCCGGGGAACCUGUAAACGGCCGAUGACAAUCGUCGACUUGCAACACUGCGUGCAACGCCCGGAUGAGUCGGCGCAUCAUUGGUCGCGGCGAUUCGCGGAAAUUAUCCAUUCAUCGGAUGGCAUCACGGCAGCGCAAGCUGUGCUUAUCCUCGAGCACAACUGCCACUACGAACCGCUGGUCCAGAAACUGGGACGACUCAAACGGAAAGUUCAGGAUAUGGGCGAGCUGAUGGAUACCCUCACUAGGUACGCCGAAGCCGAUGAUACCAAGGAUCCCGACGAGGAUGGUAAGGGUAACUCGCCCAAGAAGGGCGAUUCAACGAAUAAGCAUACCCGCCUCCAAGGCCGCAACCGUCAUAACCAGGGGACCAACGGCAAGCGUAGGCCGCAUGAGGAGCCCUCGGAUCUGGUUGCCAACACCAACGCCAAUGACGGCAAAAAGAAGAAUCGAGGCUUCAGUGGGAAAAGACCGCGUAACUACGAAGAGCUGCUCAAAGGCCCUUGCCCGCACCACGCCACGGCCGACGGCCCGGCGGGCCACUCCUGGGAGAACUGCUUCGUGAUGCGGGAAUUUCGGGCCGAGGCAAUCAAGAAGAGCCAGAGCGAAGAUCCGAACCAUCGCCAAGACCAACUCGCCGCGCCCAACCAAAGGCACAACCCCUUCGGUGGUUUUCCCGAACAAGAGGCUCAGGGGGGGCCGCAGCCAGGCGGCGACCAGUACCCGGUGCACCACCAUCGGCGGUACAACCCGUCGGGAGUUUUCCAAAAGCCGCCCCCACAGGGGGCUCCGCAGGACCAGGAUGACCAUGGGGGCUUCCGCAACAAUCCUAAACAGCUAAGUAAUGGGCAAUAUCAUGUUUUCACCACUAAUACUUGCAGACGUGAUAAAAAGGUAAAUCACCGGGCGUACAGCGUAAUUGAGCCGGCAGUUCCCAGAUAUCUCCACUGGUCCGAACAGACCAUAACAUGGAGCAGAGAGGAUCACCCGCCGAGAAUAGAUAACCCGGGCGACCUGGCCUUGGUCGUGGCUCCCCAAGUGGCGGGUUACACUCUAUCGAAAGUACUAAUGGAUGGCGGCAGCAUCAUUAAUAUCCUAUACUUCGACACCUUCCGGAGGAUGAAUCUAUUAGAGAAAGACUUGAUGCCUUCAACCACGGUUUUCCACGGCAUCGUCUCGGGCAAAUCGGCUUAUCCGAUUGGCCGGGUCAGGCUCUCAGUAGCGUUUGGAACUGCACAGAACUACAGGUCGGAGUCUCUGCUCUUCGAGGUGGUCAAAUUAAAAAGCCCGUACCAUGCGCUGUUCGGGCGACCGGCUUACGCUCGCUUCAUGGCCCGCCCGUGCUACGUCUACCUCAAGCUCAAAAUGCCUGGUCCUAAAGGGCCCAUCACGGUCGACGGAGAUAGAAGAAUUGCAAAGGAGUGUGAGGAAGGAGACGUAGCCUAUGCGGAAGUCGCCUGCGCGGCGGAAGAGUUCAAAAACCACCGGGCCAAUGUUGACCCGGCAGACAUGUCACCACUCAAGAAACCGACUACAGAUUCCGAGUCGCCCCUCAAGUUUAAACCAACGGAUGACACGAAGACAGUCGACUUCGUCCCUGGCGAUUCAUCCAAGCAGUUUACCAUUGGAACGGGUCUGGACCCCAAAUAGGAAAGCGCGCUCAUCGAAUUCAUCCGUGAGAAUCGGGACAUCUUCGCAUGGAAACCCUCUGACAUGCCGGGUGUACCGAGAGAAUUCGCUGAGCACCAUCUUAAUAUUGACCCAAAAUGCAAACCUGUCCAACAAUACCUUCGCAGGUUUAACGAGGAGCGACGGAAGGCUAUUGGAGAGGAAGUCGCCCAUCUUUUAGCCGCCGGGUUCAUCGUGGAACUCUUUCACCCCAAAUGGCUAGCUAACCCGGUGUUAGUACUCAAGAAGAAUGGCACGUUCCGUAUGUGUAUUGACUAUAUGGACCUCAACAGAGCUUGCCCCAAGGAUCCUUUCGCUCUUCCUCGCAUCGACCAAAUCAUUGACUCAGUGGCGGGAUGCGAACGAUUGUGCUUUUUGGACGCUUAUUCAGGUUAUCAUCAGAUCAAAAUGGCUGUGGAAGAUCAAGAGAAGGCUGCUUUCAUAACCCCCUUCGGGGCCUUUUGCUAUGUGUCCAUGCCGUUCGGGCUCAAGAGCGCAUGAGCGACUUACCAACGUUGCAUCCAGAAUUGUCUUCAUAGCCAAAUUGGCCGCAACGUCCAUGCUUAUGUUGACGACAUUGUGAUCAAGACCCGCCGGGAGGAGACACUUCUAGAAGACCUUAAGGAAACCUUUGAUAAUUUACGGGUAUAUCAGAUGAAGCUAAAUCCUACCAAGUGCGUUUUCGGCGUACCUGCGGGAAAACUAUUGGGUUUCUUGGUAUCGGAGCGCGGCAUCGAGGCUAACCCGGACAAAAUUGAAGCGGUUACUUCCCUCGGCAAGCCGACGAAUGUUAAUCAAGUUCAGCGAUUGGCGGGUCGCAUUGCGGCUCUCAGUCGUUUUGUGAGCCGCCUCGGAGAAAAGGCGAUUACUCUUUAUCAAUUGUUGAGGAAGUCUGACCGAUUCGUGUGGACAGAGGAGGCUGACGAGGCACUUCAGGCCUUGAAACAUCAAUUGGUUAACCCGCUGGUCCUGGCGGCCCCGACUAAAAAGGAGCCUAUGCUCCUGUAUAUCGCCGCGAAUUCCAAAGCGGUGAGCGUGGCUGUGGUCGUCGAAAGAAAGGAGGAAGGAAAGGAAUACCCGGUACAACGCCCGGUGUACUUUAUCAGUGAGGUGUUAACUCUUUCCAAACAGCGAUACCCACAUUGGCAGAAACUGGUCUAUGGGGUGUUCAUGGCGAGUCGAAAGCUUAAACAUUAUUUCCAAGAACACCCGAUCACCGUGGUCAGUUCCGCGCCCCUCGGCGACGUCAUCCAAAACCGCGAGGCAACAGGGCGAAUCGCCAAAUGGGCAAUAGAACUUGGGUCACAUCACAUACAGUAUACCCCCCGCACGGCCAUCAAGUCCCAGGCACUAGUUGAUUUCGUCAAUGAUUGGACGGAGCUUCAGGCUCCGGAAGAUCGGCCUGACCUUACCUAUUGGACUAUUUAUUUUGAUGGAUCCAGGAAGUUGGAGGGCUCGGGGGCGGGUGUGGUGUUGAUAUCCCCUCAAGGAGAUAAGUUCUGCUACAUCCUCCGACUCAUGUUUCCUUGUACAAAUAAUGUAGCAGAAUAUGAAGCUCUGCUUCACGGUUUGCGACUAGCAAAAGAGAUGAACCUAACCCGAGUCAGAUGUUUUGGGGACUCAGAUUUGGUGGCGCAACAGGUUUCGGGCACCUGGGACUCUCGAGAUCCUAUGAUGGCGGCUUACAGGCGAGCCGUAUCUGACGUGGCGGGCUAUUUUCAUGGGUACCAGGUUGAUCAUGUUGAUCGGCGACUCAACGAAGCAGCUGAUGCCCUCUCGCGACUCGGCUCACAGAGAAAACCGGUCCCCCCUAAUGUCUUCUUGGAUGUCCUGCAUAAACCGUCCGUAACUGUACCCACGGAGGAGGAAUUGGCGAUACCAGAUCCCGAGUCUCAGCUUGUGGCGGCUCUCCAUGUCGCUCCGGAUUGGGCUCUUCCUUAUCUAGCUUAUCUUGCUCGUGGCGAGUUACCCACUGACGAAGUUUUGGCUCGCCAGAUUGUUCGGCGUAGCAAGUCCAUGGUCAUCAUUAAUGGCGAGCUAUAUAAACGAAGUGCUUCAGGGGUCUUUCAGCGGCGCGUUUCCUCCGAGGAAGGAUGCAUAAUCCUAAAUGACAUCCAUUCUGGAGACUGCGGACAUCACGCCGGGUCACGUUCUUUGGUAUCAAAAGCCUUUCGACACGGUUUCUUCUGGUUGACGGCUCACGCAGAUGCAGAAGAUAUAGUACGGCGGUGUGAGGGGUGCCAACGUUAUGGGAGACAGGUUCAUGUGCCGGCUCAAGAAUUGAGGAUGAUCCCCAUUACUUGGCCUUUCGCGGUCUGGGGGCUGGACAUGGUCAGUCCCUUUAAGAUGUCCUCCAACAAGAAAACUCACUUAUUGGUGGCGGUUGAUAAAUUCACUAAAUGGAUUGAGGCGGAGCCUGUUGGGACUUGCGAUGCGGAUACUGCGGUAAAUUUUUUGAAGAAGCUGAUUUUCCGUUUUGGAUAUCCACACAGUAUCAUCACGGACAAUGGUACUAACUUGUCCCAAGGAGCGAUGCUGGAUUUCUGUCGCCGUGAACAUAUCCGGCUUGAUAUCUCUGCAGUUGCUCACCCGCAGUCAAACGGACAGGCCGAGCGGGCGAAUCAGGAAGUUUUGCGAGGGAUCAAACCUCGGCUCAGAAUUCCCCUGGAAAGAACUCCAGGAUGUUGGGUGGAGGAGUUACCUUCGGUAUUAUGGAGCAUCCGGACCACCCCGAAUUGGUCCACGGGGUUCACCCCUUUCUUCUUGGUCUAUGGUGCAGAGGUCGUCCUCCCUACCGACAUAAGGCAUGAUUCUCUUAGAGUCGCCGCAUAUGUGGAGCGAGACAACGAGCUGGCGCGUCAGGACUCUUUGGAUGCCUUGGAAGAGGCACGUGACUUAGCAGCGGCUCGUUCGGCGAUCUAUCAGCAAGAUCUGCGGCGUUAUCAUAGCCGCCGGGUGAAGAGUCGGACCUUCCAGGAAGGCGAUUUGGUGCUUCGACUGAUACAAGAUCGGGCAGGCAUGCACAAGCUUUCGCCCCCUUGGGAGGGACCUUUCGUUGUCAGCAAGAACCUCCGCAAUGGUUCUUACUACUUGAUGGAUCUUCGGCCUGAUCGACCGACUACGGGGGCUGAGUCAACUCGCCCUUGGAAUAUUGCCCAUUUGCGGCCUUAUUACACUUGAGUUCUUAAAACUCCAUGCUUUGUAAGUUUUUCAGUUUUCAUUAUGGAAUAAUAUAAUGUUUCCCUGACUCGGGGGCUUCUUCUUUAAGAAAAAGAGAGAGCAAUUUCAUGACAUCCUGUUGCGACCUUAUGAGCCGACAGAACAUGCAUUAAGGGUGGGUGCGCGAGCUUUCUGACUCGCCUCCCCCUGUCGCGACCGUAUGAGCCGANNNNNNNNNNNNNNNNNNNNNNNNNNNNNNNNNNNNNNNNNNNNNNNNNNNNNNNNNNNNNNNNNNNNNNNNNNNNNNNNNNNNNNNNNNNNNNNNNNNNUCUUGGAGGUCAUGUUGUUGAGCAACAGUGAACCUACGAGUUAUGAAGAAAGCAAUGGUGGGCCCGGAUUCCGACAAAUGGCUGGAGGCCAUGAAAUCCGAGAGAGGAUCCAUGUAUGAAAACAAAGUGUAGACUUUGGAAGAACUAUUUGAUGGUCAUAGGACUAUUGAGUAAAGAUGGAUCUUUAAAAGGAAGACAGACGAUGAUGGUGAUAAGUCACUAUUAAGAAAAGCUCGACUUGUCGCAAAGAUGUUUCCGACAAGAUCAAACAGUUGACUAUGAUGAGACUUUCUCACUCGUAGCGAUGCUAAAAGUCUGUUAGAAUUAUGUUAGUAGUUACUGCAUUAUUUAUGAAAUAUUGCACAUAGGAUGUCAAAACAUUGUUUCCUCGAUGAUUUCCUUGAGAAAACAUUGUAUGUGAUACAACCAGGAGGUUUUGUCGAUCCUAAAGAUACUAGCAAGUAUGCAAGCUCCAGCGAUCCUUCAAUGGACUGGUGCAAGCAUCUCGGAGUUGGAAUAUACACUUUGAUGAGAUCAUCAAAGAUUUUGGGUUUGUACAAGGUUUAUGAGAAACUUGUAUUUCCAAAGAAGUGAGUGGGAGCACUAUAGAAUUUCUGAUAAGUAUAUGUGGUUGACAUAUUGUGGAUCAGAAGUAAUGUAGAAUUUCUGUAAAGCAUACAAGGUUGUUUGAAAGGAGUUUUCAAAGGAAUACCUAGAUUGAGCUACUUGAACGUUGAGCAUCAAGAUCUAUGGAGAUAGAUCAAAACGCUUAAUNNNNNNNNNNNNNNNNNNNNNNNNNNNNNNNNNNNNNNNNNNNNNNNNNNNNNNNNNNNNNNNNNNNNNNNNNNNNNNNNNNNNNNNNNNNNNNNNNNNNUCCGCCAUGAAUCGCCUCCUUCGUCGUUCGCGCUCGGCCGAUCUCGACUCACCAGCCUCUGACGGCCGCCCCUUCGCUGCUGUUCCCGUCGCCGUCGCUGCCACGCCCGUCGCCACUCGCGUGGCCGCCGCCGCGUCUGCCGUGCUCCCCACAGCUCGACUCGCACCUGCUGUCGUCCAGGGGAAGGCGCCUGUCCCCGAGGGUGCCAAUGCGCCCUCCUCGACUGCACCCGCCGUCCACCUCACGCCGCCACCUGUAGCGGGCAUUCUCCGGACCGCCGGGAGCUUCCCCGUCCCGCACGUCGACCUCGGGGUCCCAAACGGCGACCUCGUCCCGCAUGUCGGCUCCUCCGAUGCCGGCCCUUCUUCCGUCAAUGGACUACCGUCGUCCAUCACACACUACUUCAACUCCAAGCUGGCGCUUGAAUCCGGUAACUAUUCUAAAUGGCGCCACAUCUUUUACAUGGUCUUGUGCAAGUACAACGUCCAGCACCACCUUGCCAUCGCCGCCAUGCCACUCGAGCAGAGUGCCGUCUGGCGCAAUGACGACCUGACCAUGGUGCUCUGGAUGCACGGCGUCGUCGCCGAGGAGCUCAUGGACGUCGUCGCAUCCCCAACAAGCACCUCCUACGACGUCUGGACGUAGCUCCAUAUCUUCUUCAUGGACAACCAGCCAGGGCGCGCCGUCAUCCUCGGCGCCGAGUUCCGCAACCUCGUUCAAGGCGACCUCACCGUCACCGAGUACAGCUGGCGGCUCAAGUCGCUCGCCGACGCACUCGAGGAUGUCAGCGAACACAUCUCCGACCAGUCGCUCACUCUGCAGCUCAUCCGCGGCCUCAACCAAAAGUUUCAUGUGAUGGCGACACUCCUACCUCUGCAGUCGCCGUUUCCUUCCUUCGUACAGGCACGAUCUCGGCUGCUCAUGGAGGAAAUCUCGGCUAACGAGCGGGCCCGCCUGGAUGGUCGUCCCGAAGCCACCGCUACCGCGCUCACCAUCGGGCAGGGCGGCCCCGACCGUGGCGCCUCCGCCCCUGACCGCGGCGGCUCCUCCUUUGACCGCGGCACCAACACGCGGGGCAGGGGCCCUGCCUCCUCCUCUCCCACCGGCGACAAGGGGGCGCGUGGACGUGGCCGCGGCCGUGGCCGUGGCCGCGGCGCCCAACCCUCUUGUGCUGCUCCGACUGGACGCGGAGCGCCUCCUCCAGCCCACGGCAUGCAGCUGCCCACAGGCUACUUCACGCCUUACGGCACCCUACCCCCCGGCCUCCCACCGCCUCGUGCGCCUUGGGCUGCACCCAACGCCGUCGGCGUCCUCGGGCCGCGCCCACCACCACCACACCAGGCAUACCCGGUGGCUGCCGCGUCAUCGUCCAGCGGGCCGACAUGGGAGCAGUACCAUCAGCUGUACGCUGCCCUUCAGAACCUCUCCGUGCAGCACCAGCAGGCCGGCGGCGCCUCAGGCUGGUUCCUUGACACAGGCGCGACUUCGCACGUUGCAGGUAACACGAGCUCACUCACCUCGUAUGAUUCUCCAUCUGCGCGUCAUUCUUCUGGCAUACUCGUCGGUGACGGGUCUCGCAUCGCCAUUACUGCUGUCGGCUCCACCUCUCUCUCAAAUUUCUCUCUUAAUGAUGUUCUUAUCUCUCCCACAAUUAUUAAGAACUUAAUCUCUGUUCGUCGUUUCACCAUCGAUAANNNNNNNNNNNNNNNNNNNNNNNNNNNNNNNNNNNNNNNNNNNNNNNNNNNNNNNNNNNNNNNNNNNNNNNNNNNNNNNNNNNNNNNNNNNNNNNNNNNNNNNNNNNUUUCUGUGAAGGACCUAGCCACGGGGAGGAUACUCCUGAGAUCCAAUAGCCACGGAGAGCUCUAUCCCUUCUUCAACAACUCCAGCGUUCAGGCAUCGCUCUCCGUCGUCACCAAUGGCCUCUGGCAUCAACGUUUAGGGCAUGCUAGCAAUAAAUCUGUCUCUAUAUUAGCUCGUCACUUCCUUCCAACUUGUAAUAAAAACCAGCCUAGUUCCUGUGUCUGCACCGCAUGUAACUUAGGCAAGCAGCCUCGGCUGCCCUUUUCACAUUCUGUAUCCAAGACUAGUGCUCCCUUUCAGUUGGUACAUUGUGAUUUAUGGACCUCCCCCGUACUUAGCUUCUCUGGAUUUCAGUACUACCUGUCAUUCUCGAUGAUUAUUCGCAUUACUCGUGGACAUUCCCAUUGCGCAACAAGUCCAACACCGUCGACACCAUCUCGCGCUUCUUCACUUACAUGCUCACGCAAUUUCAGGUUCCCAUCCAGUGCAUGCAAUGCGACAACGGUGGUGAAUUCCUCACUUCUUCCUUGCGUGAUCUCUUCUCUCGCCACGGUACAUCCUUCCGUCUCUCCUGCCCUCACACCUCCCCCCAAAACGGAAAGGCUGAAUGCCUCAUCCGCACCACCAACGAUAUACUACGAGUCCUUCUCAUACACGCCAACCUCCCACCUCCCUUUUGGGUCGAGGCCUUACACACCGCCACCUACAUCUUAAACCGACGCCCAUCUUCAGCGAUCAACUUCGCCACACCUUUCUUCCUCCUCCUCGGACGUCAUCCCACGUACGAUCACAUGCGUGUGUUUGGAUGCCUCUGUUUCCCUAACACCAUUGCCACGAGUCCUCACAAACUCGCGCCGCGCUCAACUCGGUGUGUUUUUCUGGGCUAUCCUCUAGAGCACAAAGGAUACCGGUGCCUGGACUUGUCCGCCCGCAAAGUCAUCAUCUCUAGACGCGUCACAUUUGAUGAAACAAGAUUUCCCUACUGCCCACCCAGCACUUCUCCAGCCACAGACAAACCCGGCACUCCGGUACUCCCUGAUCUACAGGCGUCUUUCCCGCAGCAUGCCCACCUGCGAGCGUUAUCUCCUCCGGGGUUUGCGCCCGCCGCCACGCCGGCUAGCUCGCUCGCUGAGCCGGCUCGUUCAUCCACCACACGCACGCCACCCAGCUCUCCUCGUGUCUCUGCUAAUUCUCCUGCACCAUCCACUCCCUCACAUGCAUGUAGUUCCCAUGCACGUAGCAGCACCAGCCGCUCCCCUAAUGAUGUUUCCCAUGCACCUUACCAUUCCCCCCAUGCAUCCAGUCCAUGUGCGCCACGUGCCCCGCCCCUAUCACUGCGCGCCCAUGCAUGUGACCAUCACCAUGCACGUAACGUACCCCGACCCUCCGCUAUUGCUGGUUCUCCUGCACCCUCCCAUACCCCUGAUCGUCCCCAUGCAUCGAGUCCCAGCGCGCCGCAUGCCCCGCCUUUACCACCGCGCGCCAUACCGGUGGUUCCACCCACAAACGCGCAUCGCAUGCAGACCCGGAGCAAAACCGGUUUUUCUCAGCCUAAAACUCUUCAUGUCGCUGCUUCUGCCAUCAGUCCACUCCCUUCCUCCUACCGCGUUGCCCUGCGAGAUCCCAACUGGCACGCUGCAAUGCUAGAGGAAUAUAAUGCACCGAUGCAGAAUGAUACUUGGUGUCUAGUGUCUCGUCCUGCAGGUACAAAUGUUGUCACGGGCAAGUGGAUUUUUCGGCACAAGUUUCAUCCGGAUGGUACCCUCGCCCGGUACAAAGCACGGUGGGUGCUUCGAGGCUUCACCCAGCAGGCCGGCGUUGACUACGCCGAAAUAUUCAGCCCCGUCGUCAAGCCGGCCACCAUCAGGACCUUCUUGAGCAUCGCCGUCGGUAGGGCGUGGCCCAUUCACCAGUUGGACGUGAAGAAUGCGUUUCUUCACGGUCACCUCGCCAAGACCGUCUACAGUCAGCAGCCGUCCGGCUUCGUCGACGCUGCCUCGCCCUCGCAUGUGUGCCGGCUGAACCGUUCUCUAUACGGUCUCAAGCAGGCGCCUCGCGCGUGGUUCACUCGCUUCACCACCUACCUGCGAACACUUGGCUUCGUCGCGUCGCGGGCGGACUCUUCGCUCUUCGUCCUACGCCGCGGUGAUCAGCUGGCCUAUCUUCUUCUGUACGUCGACGAUAUCAUCCUCACCGCCAGCUCCACCGCCGUUCUCGACUCCGUCAUCCAGGCUCUUCAUCGCGAGUUCUCGAUGAGUGACCUCGGCACGCUCCAUCACUUUCUCGGCAUCAACGUCACCACCAUCGCGCACGGGUUGUUCCUCUCCCAGGAACAAUACGCCCUGGAGAUACUCGACCGUGCGGGCAUGCUUAACUGCAAGCCCAUCUCCACUCCGGUCGACACAUUGGCCAAGCUCUCCGCCGACACCGGGCCACUCUUCCACGACCCGUCGCUCUACCGCAGUUUGGCUGGUUCUCUACAGUACAUCACACUGACGCGCCCCGGGCUCUCCUACGCCGUCCAGCAGUGUUGCAUGUUCAUGCAUGCGCCUCGCGAUUGCCACUUCCAGCUUGUGAAGCGCAUCCUUCGCUACCUGCGCGGCACCACUCACCUUGGGUUGCAGAUUCAUCGCGGAACCGACACCGAGCUUGUCGCCUACUCCGACGCCGACUGGGCCGGUUGCCCUGACACACGGAAGUCCACCUCGGGCUACUGUGUCUUCCUCGGCCCCAACCUGCUCUNNNNNNNNNNNNNNNNNNNNNNNNNNNNNNNNNNNNNNNNNNNNNNNNNNNNNNNNNNNNNNNNNNNNNNNNNNNNNNNNNNNNNNNNNNNNNNNNNNNNGCUUUAAAUAUAUAUAUUCACUCUGUAUCAAUGACGUGGACGCGUGUUCUACAUGCCCGCCAUUUUCCCGUCAUAAAAAACCCAAGGGUUGCCCCCACAUUUAAUAAAAGGAUCUUUUAAAAGAAGAUGAAUCUUUUGACGGGGUNNNNNNNNNNNNNNNNNNNNNNNNNNNNNNNNNNNNNNNNNNNNNNNNNNNNNNNNNNNNNNNNNNNNNNNNNNNNNNNNNNNNNNNNNNNNNNNNNNNNNNNNNNNNNNNNNNNNNNNNNNNNNNNNNNNNNNNNNNNNNNNNNNNNNNNNNNNNNNNNNNNNNNNNNNNNNNNNNNNNNNNNNNNNNNNNNNNNNNNNNNNNNNNNNNNNNNNNNNNNNNNNNNNNNNNNNNNNNNNNNNNNNNCCAUGCAUGAUGCCAUGAUGCAAACUACAUGAUGAUGCAACAAAUAAAACUAACCACACGACGGAAACGGAAAAGAAGGGGGAAUCUUCUGGGGUGUCGGCAUCGGGCUGUCACAGAAACCAAAGGAGAUUGUUGCGAAUCAAGCCAGUUGGAGCAACUUUCUUGAAGAGAGCAUUGUCAACAAGCGCAACAGAGUGAAAGACGACCUUCCAUACGACCGCAUGCGCUCGUUUGAGCGGUCGUUUGGAGUGCACAUAGCUCCUACUCCUCUAUACAAGAAACUUUAGUGAAGGGACCAUGAGGAGAAGAGAACCCUAGGCGCCACCACACCAUCUAGNNNNNNNNNNNNNNNNNNNNNNNNNNNNNNNNNNNNNNNNNNNNNNNNNNNNCGCCACCACACCAUCUAGAACAUGAGAAGGGAGGAUCUGAAGAACUCGUGAGGAUCAUCGUAAUUUUUAGUCCUUUCAUUUCCAUCAUCAUCAUCACCUCCUUCAUUAUUGUAAGAGGGAUAGGAACUUGUGAUCUCUACUCCAUCUCAGCUGAGAUCAAGACUAUUUGAGCACCAUUUCAUCUCAUUGUGGAUCCCCUCAAUAUUAUUGAUAUCGUUUUCAUGGUUUUUCUCUUUGUUGUGAUUAAUUCCCCUCUUAUGAUGUGUGAGUAAUUCCCCUAGGUGUGGGAGACGUAGGUAAGUAGUAUUGNNNNNNNNNNNNNNNNNNNNNNNNNNNNNNNNNNNNNNNNNNNNNNNNNNNNNNNNNNNNNNNNNNNNNNNNNNNNNNNNNNNNNNNNNNNNNNNNNNNNCGUCAGUACACACUCCUCCACUCCCCCUGUUUGACUUUGAGCAUCACUACCUGGGUGGAUUUCUUAGGAUUCAAUCAGCUUCAAUCGAUCUAGAUUCUGUACUGUGCCUAAAUGUUCAGCUUAGUUUGCUCGAUCGAUUCUGUACUGUGACUCGCUCUUGACUUUAGCUGCUGUUCGGUCUGAAGCUGGAUUGCAGGGACAAGCUGCGGGAGCAAGAAACAGAGGAGGACGGGCUCGGAGAUGAGCAGCGCCGCCAUGGCGAUGGAGGCAACUACACCUACGGGGCUCGGAGAUGAGCAGCGCCGCCAUGGCGAUGGCGGCAACUACACCUACGGGGACCUGGGGGAGCGAUGCUUCGGCCCCGUCGGCAGGCACUUCACGGAGGCCAUCAUCGUCCUCUGCCAGACCGGCGGCACCGUGGCGUACCUCGUCUUCAUCGGCCAGAACAUCAGCUCCGUGCUCCCCGCGCUCUCGCCGGCCACAGUCGUGCUGGCGUUCCUGCUGCCGGCCGAGGUUGCGCUCUCCUUCGUCCACUCCCUCUCCGCGCUCGCGCCCUUCAGCAUACUCGCCGACGCCUGCACCGUGCUGGCCGUGGCUGCCGUGGUCAAGGAGGACGUCGAGCUCCUGGUGGAGCGCGGGCGGCCGUNNNNNNNNNNNNNNNNNNNNNNNNNNNNNNNNNNNNNNNNNNNNNNNNNNNNNNNNNNNNNNNNNNNNNNNNNNNNNNGCGCGUUCGCGGGGCUAUGGGGCGUCCCGUUCGCCUGCGGCGUCGCCGUGUUCUGCUUCGAGGGGUUCUGCCUCACGCUGGCGCUGGAGGCGUCCAUGUCGAACAGAGCCAAGUUCAGGUCGGUGCUCCUCCAAGCCAUCGCCGGGGUCACGGUUGUGUACGUCGGCUUCGGCGUCUGCGGCUACCUGGCCUACGGCGACGCCACCCGAGACAUCGUCACCCUCAACCUCCCGAACAACUGGUCCACCGCCGCCGUCAAGGUGGUGCUGUGCGUCGCGCUGGCGCUCACGUUUGCGGUGAUGAUGCACCCGAUCCACGAGAUCGUGGAGUCGCGGCUGCUGGCGCCGNNNNNNNNNNNNNNNNNNNNNNNNNNNNNNNNNNNNNNNNNNNNNNNNNNNNNNNNNNNNNNNNNNNNNNNNNNNNNNNNNNNNNNNNNNNNNNNNNNNNGUUGUAGUUAUUUCUGUUAACUAUACCUUUGAUUUAACCCUUAACUAGCAAUUGCACUCAAUGUUUAAUUGAAUGGUUAAUUUAACUGUUAGCUGAAGUACAUAUUUAACUGUUAUCUAAACCUUCCAGUUAAUUGUUAUGUGAAUCUUUAAUUUAACUAUUAAGUUUGAAAAGAACAAAAUAUUUAUGUGAAUAUUUAAUGCAGGGAGAUGGUAAUUAUGGAGUAGUGGAAUGGCUAGAUGUAGACUCGCCACAUCAUCUGUAGAAUGCUCUUCACAAACUUUGGCUUAUGUAUGAGGAUAGCCAUCAUUUUCAUAGGAUUGCAUGCGUGGAACAUUCAGCUACUAUCCACAAUCUGACAGAACAGAAAAAUGAGUUGUAGGUGACUUAUGAGAAUCUUGUUGAAGAUGUGAACAACAUAAUGGAUUUCCAGGAUAACCUUCCACAGCCACAUACCAACAUUGGUGAGGAUAACAAUAGUAUCCAUGUGGAUAAGAGCAAUGGAGUAUAUCUAAAUGAACAACUGGUUGUAAAGGAUGCUGAGCUCACUAAAUUGAAGGAUGUUAUUGNNNNNNNNNNNNNNNNNNNNNNNNNNNNNNNNNNNNNNNNNNNNNNNNNNNNNNNNNNNNNNNNNNNNNNNNNNNNNNNNNNNNNNNNNNNNNNNNNNNNNNNNNNNNNNNNNNNNNNNNNNNNNNNNNNNNNNNNNNNNNNNNNNNNNNNNNNNNNNNNNNNNNNNNNNNNNNNNNNNNNNNNNNNNNNNNNNNNNNNNNNNNNNNNNNNNNNNNNNNNNNNNNNNUGUGCAUUGAGAACAGUAACCUGGAUUGCAUCAUUGCUCAUCUAAUGAAAUAUAAUCAGAAGUUGGCCAGUGAUAAUAAUUCUUUUGAGUGCUCCAUUGCAUACAUGAAGAAAGUUGGUGAAAACCACAAGAGAAAGCUCAANNNNNNNNNNNNNNNNNNNNNNNNNNNNNNNNNNNNNNNNNNNNNNNNNNNNNNNNNNNNNNNNNNNNNNNNNNNNNNNNNNNNNNNNNNNNNNNNNNNNNNNNNNNNNNNNNNNNNNNNNNNNNNNNNNNNNNNNNNNNNNNNNNNNNNNNNNNNNNNNNNNNNNNNNNNNNNNNNNNNNNNNNNNNNNNNNNNNNNNNNNNNNNNNNNNNNNNNNNNNNNNNNNNNNNNNNNNNNNNNNNNNNNNNNNNNNNNNNNNNNNNNNNNNNNNNNNNNNNNNAAGUUGUGUCAAUUAUGGUCACUUUGAUGUGUUACUUCAUUUAUGUUAUGGUUUGUGAUUAAUGCCAUGUGAGGAAUGAGUAAUUAUAACAACCAUCAUCAUUAAUAAUAGAUAAGCAAUCAUUAGGCUGUCCGUAAUGGUAGUAUCAUAGGUAGUAUCAUGCAUGCCAACUAGGCAAUUUUGAUGAGGUGGCAUAGAAUUAAAUGAAGAAAGAGAGGGUUGAGUAUCAUAUCAUGAUACUGUAUCAUAUUAAAUGAUGUGCUACUAUGUGUCUUGCAUGACAAUAAAUGAACUACCUUAUCAUACUAACAUAUGAUACUAUGCAUUACGGAUGUGGUAUCAUAUGCUAGUAUCAUAUGCAUGAUACUAGUAUAUGAUACUACCCAUUACAACCAGCCUUAUAGCAACCAUCAUCAUCAACAAUAGAGAAGGAAUCAUCAUAACAACCAGCACUCAUGCAUCAAAGUCUUCNNNNNNNNNNNNNNNNNNNNNNNNNNNNNNNNNNNNNNNNNNNNNNNNNNNNNNNNNNNNNNNNNNNNNNNNNNNNNNNNNNNNNNNNNNNNNNNNNNNNGUCACAUCAGUACAUUACAUAAUCAUCAAGAGUAAGAGCAGGGUCUGACUACGGACGAAAACAAACGAGAAAAAUAAGAACGACGUCCAUCCUUGCUAUCCCAGGCUGCCGGCCUGGAACCCAUCCUAGAUCGAUGAAGAAGAAGAAGAAGAAGCAACUCCAAAUGAACAAUCAACGCGCUCGCGUCAAGUAACCUUUACCUGUACCUGCAACUGGUGUUGUAGUAAUCUGUGAGCCACAGGGGACUCAGCAAUCUCAUUUCCAAAGGUAUCAAGACUAGCAAAGCUUAAUGGGUGAGGUAUGGUUAAGUGGUGAGGUUGCAGCAACGGCUAAGCAUAUAUUUGGUGGAUAAACUUACGAGUACAAGAAGUAAAAGGGAGAAGAUCUACGCAUAGCGGACGUGAACUACAGAUGAUCAAAUGAAUGAUCCUGAACACCUACCUACGUCAGACAUAACCCCACCGUGUCCUUGAUCGGAGAAGGAACUCACGAAAGAGACAGACACGGUUACGCACACAGUUGGCAUAUUUUAAUUAAGCUAACUUCAAGUUAUCUAGAACCAGUGUUAAACAAAGUUUCCACGUUGCCACAUAACCACGGGCACGGCUUUCCGAAAAGAUUUAACCCUGCAGGGGUGCUCCAACUAGUCCAUCACAAAUUACCACAAGCCGCAUAGAAAUCCUCAAUCACGAAGCUCGCGAUCUCGUCGGAUUCCCUAGUGGAAAACCUCAACUCUGAGAUUACCCAAAGCAUCACCGGAAUCCCGAUGCACAAGAUACCUCGUCAAAGGUAAAACUAAUCUCUGUCAAAGGUAAAACCAAUCCAGCAAGGCCGCCCGACGUGUCGACGAGCCCGAUAGGAGUCGCGUACCUCGUUCUCAGGACACGGCGGAUGAGCUAGACGUCGGGCGUAUCUCGUUCUUAGGACACGACGGAUAAGCGAAGUGUACGAGUGCCAAACCUCGAGUUUCCUCGCGGUGGCCCCGCACAGUGCUCUGUUUUGGACCAGCACCAUCAGCACUGGCCCUCCCUAUAUUAUGUAGAAUUACUCCUCGGGUAGCGCUAACUCCCUAUGCAUUUCAAUAUUAUCAAAUUAUUAUGUUGGGCAAAUAGUACCAAUGUUGGGCCUUGCCAGACCAGCUUUAAUCUAAAACGAAUUAUCAAGGGGGUCCCCAUAACAACCCCGAUCGUGUUAGGAGCGCUCAUUUAUGGAACAUAACACCGGUAGCCGAAACUAAGGGGGCAAAGGUGGAACAAAACGCCAGGAUAGAAAGGCCGAGCCUUCCACCUUUUACCAAGUAUAUAGGUGCAUUAAAUUAAAUAGCAUUUAAUAUGGUGAUAUAACAAGGAACCCAUGCUUUCACAUGGAAGCAUCUGCACCUGCAACUAGCAACGCUAACAACAGGGUUAAGCAAGCGGUAACAUAGCCAAUCAGUGGUUUGCUAGGUCGUACAGGUUGNNNNNNNNNNNNNNNNNNNNNNNNNNNNNNNNNNNNNNNNNNNNNNNNNNNNNNNNNNNNNNNNNNNNNNNNNNNNNNNNNNNNNNNNNNNNNNNNNNNNCCUCGUCUUCUCAUCCACCAAGUUGGUAGCUUUUGCAAAUGGCGUGGAAGAGUGCAAGUUUGAUGUGGUCGUCGUUCUACAGGGGCGGUCGUUUGGUGGUUCCAGGUGCUGACGUUGAGGCAAGAACGAUAGUUGUGUAAUGGAGUUCUGUCCUUUGCCACCAUCCUCGUCGCAGCGAUGCUCGUCAUCAUUGUGGGAUCCAGUGCAUCGGCUUCGAGAUAUAUUCUCUUUCCGACGAUCAUGACCUGGCUUCAAGGGUAUAGGUCAUCCAGGGGCCUAGGUACAGUGACUUCCUAAUUGCCACAUCAUCUAGGUAGUGACAGACCCAUGCAGCGAUGGCUAUUGAGUAGCGGCAGCAACACGCCAAGGCCUCCUCAGGAUGAUGGAAUUGGCCAGUUCCCAAGGGACCUUGGUGUAAUUUCUAUUAGUUUACAGGAUUUCUGCUUUUGCUGAAAGUUUACGAGUUUGAGCAAUUGUUUCACAAAACAAAAAUGUAACAAAUAGAUAGUGCAUAAGCAUUCUUAACAGAAAACCCAUACUCUAUGUAGAUCCAGAGUGGUUCCCAAAUGUGAUGCUCUCCCAUGACCCCUCCCGUGUCGAUCCCCAAGGCAACACCUCGCACCGCCAGCCUCCUCCCCCAUCCCUGGCUCCCCUCGUCGACACUACCGUCGGCCCUCACCAGGACGGUGGGACAAGCUACCAAAGGUAGUCUGGGGCGGAUGGUAGGUGACUAUGGGAGCUGUUGGGGUGAUGACGGUGNNNNNNNNNNGGACGCGCGGGAACUAGAGCGACGCCCAGCGUUGGUAUACUCGCGGCAAUCUUUCAGGUGGCGAGGAUCUGGCAGAGCAUGCAUUGUUCGUUAGCUUCAGGGGUUCCUCACAAAAAAUCUAGGUCGUGGAUGAACCUCUCCGAUGCCUUUGGUUGCUUCCGGGAGAUUGAGACGCAAGAUGCCGCGGCCCUAGUGGUCGGGGUCAUGUCACGAGCCAAUGCGGUGAGGCACAGGCGUGCGGCUCGACAUCUGUGCAUCGACAUUGCAGCUACGACGGGUUCGAAUCGGGCAUCUGGGUCUGAUCUAGGCGUUCUGGGUAUGUGCGAGUGUGCGACGUCGUGGUCGCCUUCUCUUCGCUAAUCUUAUCGGCGGCAUGGGAACUGCUAAAUUUGCUUUUAUAAGGAGGCGAUCCUAUGGUUCUUCUCGCGUCAAGGCGGUGACCUGCUUGAUGCAUGUUCUCCUUGAUCUCUCCCGUUGAUGAGUUCUAGAAGGUUGUGCCUCUAGAUUGUUGGGUCGGAUCGGAUGGGUGGCGCGGUGGAGGGGGGGGNNNNNNNNNNNNNNNNNNNNNNNNNNNNNNNNNNNNNNNNNNNNNNNNNNNNNNNNNNNNNNNNNNNNNNNNNNNNNNNNNNNNNNNNNNNNNNNNNNNNCAAAAUGCAAACCUGUCCAACAAUACCUUCGCAGGUUUAACGAGGAGCGACGGAAGGCUAUUGGAGAGGAAGUCGCCCAUCUUUUAGCCGCCGGGUUCAUCGUGGAACUCUUUCACCCCAAAUGGCUAGCUAACCCGGUGUUAGUACUCAAGAAGAAUGGCACGUUCCGUAUGUGUAUUGACUAUAUGGACCUCAACAGAGCUUGCCCCAAGGAUCCUUUCGCUCUUCCUCGCAUCGACCAAAUCAUUGACUCAGUGGCGGGAUGCGAACGAUUGUGCNNNNNNNNNNNNNNNNNNNNNNNNNNNNNNNNNNNNNNNNNNNNNNNNNNNNNNNNNNNNNNNNNNNNNNNACGCUUAUUCAGGUUAUCAUCAGAUCAAAAUGGCUGUGGAAGAUCAAGAGAAGGCUGCUUUCAUAACCCCCUUCGGGGCCUUUUGCUAUGUGUCCAUGCCGUUCGGGCUCAAGAGCGCAUGAGCGACUUACCAACGUUGCAUCCAGAAUUGUCUUCAUAGCCAAAUUGGCCGCAACGUCCAUGCUUAUGUUGACGACAUUGUGAUCAAGACCCGCCGGGAGGAGACACUUCUAGAAGACCUUAAGGAAACCUUUGAUAAUUUACGGGUAUAUCAGAUGAAGCUAAAUCCUACCAAGUGCGUUUUCGGCGUACCUGCGGGAAAACUAUUGGGUUUCUUGGNNNNNNNNNNNNNNNNNNNNNNNNNNNNNNNNNNNNNNNNNNNNNNNNNNNNNNNNNNNNNNNNNNNNNNNNNNNNNNNNNNNNNNNNNNNNNNNNNNNNGCUGGCAGCGACAAUCCUCUCCAAACAUAUAGCAUCCCCUUCUCCAUCAAUUCCCAAGUCUGGGCCUUCCAAGGCGAAACUUUCUGACUAUGGAGGUCUGGAGUUUAAAUAACUCUAUUCUGGCUUCGCAAGUCGCCUGGAAGCGAGUUACGAGAUGGAAAAGAAUCUGCUGAAGAUGUUAAAUAACACGCAUGAGGUAAAAUUUAUACUCUAUAUUACCCCCAGUAACCCCCAAGGGCCGGGUCAUCAGUAAAAUGAUGAGCCGGGUCUUUUAAAAGCNNNNNNNNNNNNNNNNNNNNNNNNNNNNNNNNNNNNNNNNNNNNNNNNNNNNNNNNNNNNNNNNNNNNNNNNNNNNNNNNNNNNNNNNNNNNNNNNNNNNNAGUAACCCCCAAGGGCCGGGUCAUCAGUAAAAUGAUGAGUCGGGUCUUGAUUUCUGUAUAAUUUCCCUUGAGAAAUUAUACAUUAGCCCCCAAGUGUCAGGGGUAUUGCCUUGCAAUAAUUCUGAGACUUGUCUUUGUUUUAAAUUUUGAACAGGAAAGCCUUGCCCAAACCGAACUGGCCCUGGGCGACUUAAGGAAAAACUUGGCUGACCAACAAGAUGCCCGAACUCAGUCGGAAGACAAAUAUAAGUUGGCUCUGGUNNNNNNNNNNNNNNNNNNNNNNNNNNNNNNNNNNNNNNNNNNNNNNNNNNNNNNNNNNNNNNNNNNNNNNNNNNNNNNNNNNNNNNNNNNNNNNNNNNNNGAGAACUAUGUAGACAUGACCCGAGAGACUCCUCGGUCAAUAUCCAAUAGCGGGACCUGGAUGCCCAUAUUGGAUCCUACAUAUUCUACGAAGAUCUUAUCGUUUGAACCUCAGUGCCAAGGAUUCAUAUAAUCCCGUAUGUCAUUCCCUUUGUCCUUCGGUAUGUUACUUGCCCGAGAUUCGAUCGUCAGUAUCCGCAUACCUAUUUCAAUCUCGUUUACCGGCAAGUCUCUAUACUCGUUCCGUAAUACGAGAUCCCGCAACUUACACUAAGUCACAUCGCUUGCAAGGCUUGUGUGUGAUGUUGUAUUACCGAGUGGGCCCCGAGAUACCUCUCCGUCACACGGAGUGACAAAUCCCAGUCUCGAUCCAUACUAACUCAACUAACACCUUCGGAGAUACCUGUAGAGCAUCUUUAUAGUCACCCAGUUAGGUUGCGACGUUUGAUACACACGAAGCAUUCCUCCGGUGUCAGUGAGUUAUAUGAUCUCAUGGUCAUAGGAACAAAUACUUGACACGCAGAAAACAGUAGCAACAAAAUGACACGAUCAACAUGCUACGUCUAUUAGUUUGGGUCUAGUCCAUCACAUGAUUCUCCUAAUGAUGUGAUCCCGUUAUCAAGUAACAACACUUGCCUAUGGCCAGGAAACCUUGGCCAUGUUUGAUCAACGAGCUAGUCAACUAGAGGCUUACUAGGGACAGUGUUUUGUCUAUGUAUCCACACAAGUAGUGUGUUUCCAAUCAAUACAAUUAUAGCAUGGAUAAUAAACGAUUAUCAUGAACAAAGAAAUAUAAUAAUAACUAAUUUAUUAUUGCCUCUAGGGCAUAUUUCCAACAGAUAGGGGCGGCGACGCGACGGUGGUGGCGGCGGCCGUUACAGAGAGAGGGGCGCACGGGGUGGGGAGAGAGAGAGAGGGGCGCGCGGGGUGACCGUUACAGAGAGAGAGGGGCGGGUGGGGGGAAGGAGCCAUUAACGGUGUUAGAGCAUUGCCGUCUGCCAGCGGACGGCAAAGAGUCUAGACUCUUUGCUGUCUGCCUCCGGACUCUUUGCCGUCCGCUAGCAGACGACAAAGGUCCGACUCCUGUUUGACCUAGCCACCCCGCGAUCAGGUGGGCCUAUCUAUAUCUUUGCCGUCUGCCUCUGGACUCUUUGCCGUCCGCUAGCAGACGGCAAAGAUGUGACAGAUGGCAAAAAGACUGUAUGCCAUCAGCCUGUGCUUUGCCGUCUGUUUUGCUGAAGCUGACGGCAAAGACACUCUUUGCCAUCAGCUAGCAGACGGCAAAGACUAGGCAGAUGGCAAAAAACUGUUUUCCAAUAUUGAACAGUGUGGGAUGUCGUGCUAAAAUAAAGAACAUAGAUAUAUGUGGGCAUUGAGCCACAUUUUUAUUAGAUUAGGGCAUUAUAUUUUUAUAUUUCGUUGCAACGCACGGGCUCUUUUGCUAGUUACUAGUAGGUGUUGAUCGUUUGUUUAUUUUUUUUACAUCUGUGCCAUUGGUUUCUUAACUGUACUCAUUCAUUCCUAUGCUUUUAACGUUUGCUCAGUUUUUUCUUACUUUAUUGUCUGAAACCCAUAAAAAUGGUCACAAUGAAGGAUGUCGACGGGUCCAUGGUUUGACCGUUAACUGCUGAUGAGUGGGUCGCGUUGGACUAUGUCGUCCGUUGGACCUGACGAGUGAGUCCGGCUCACCCCAUUUUCGGCCACACAGACGCUGAACGGACGUACACGCACUUUCUCCUUGUUCGUCUUGGGACGCGUGGCGGCCUUUCAACUACCCCCACAGCCAAAGUAAAUGCGCACGUGUGGCGGGUCCCGGUCGUCAGCCAUCAAUGUUCGGGUCGUCAUCCUUCUUUAAGUGGAAUCUCGUGGGCCGGCCAGUCCACCCUUGCAAAGUCAAGUUUGUCCCUUGAUGACCCACAAGUAUAGGUUGUCAAUCAUAGUCCUUUUAAUAAGUAAGAGUUUCAAACCCAACGAGGAGCAGAAAAAAAUGACAAGCGAUUUUCAGUAAGGUAAUUUAUACAAACACUGAAAUAGGGGUAACAAGUUGUUUGAUAUCAAGAUAAUUGUAACAAAAACAAGUAGCCAUAGUAACAACAGGUGGAGCAAGGUAGCCCAAUACUUUUGUGGCAAAGGACAAGCCAGAACAUUUUUUUAUAAUAGGCAAAGCGUUCUUGAGGGCACACGGGAUUUUCAUCUAGUCACUUUCAUCAUAUUGGGUUAAUUCACGUUUGGUAUUUUGAUAAUUUAAUAUGUGGCUGGAACGGUGCUUGGGUGUUGUUCUUACUUCAACAACCUCCCACUUAUGAUUAACCCUCCCGCAAGCAUCCGUAACUAUGAGAAAAGUAUUAAGGAUAAAUUCGAAUCAUAGCAUUAAACAUAGGGAUCCAAAUCAGCCCCUUACGGAGUAGUCAAUAGACGGGGGUUUAAGUUUUUGUCACUCUCGCAACCCUCCCUCUAAUUACUACUCCACAAUACAUUUCCAUAGGCCCAAAGAUGGUGAAUUAUUAUAUAGUCGAGGUUCACAUAACACCCAUAAGGGAAUCACAAUAUUCAUAUCAUCGAAAUAUCAAAUGAAUAUCAACUUCACAUGACUGCUUACAACAUGAUCCCUCUCCUGGCCUCGAGAACAAGAGUAACUACUCACAAGUGAUAAACAUAUUCAUGAUCAAAGAGGUAUUAAAUAGCAUAAUGGAUCUGAACAUAUGGUCUUCCACCAAAUAAACCAUAAAGCAUCAACUACAAGAUGUAAUCAACACUACUAGUCACAGCCCAGGUACCAAUCCGAGGUUCCGGUAUAAGAUUGAGUACAAGAGAUAAACCAGGGUUUUGAGAGGAGAUGGUGCUGAUGAAGAUGUUGAUGAAGAUUGGCCUAUCCAAGAUGAGAGGGUUGCUGGUGAUGAUGAUGGCCUCGACUUCCUCCUCCGGGAGGUAAGUUUCUCCGACGGAAUCGUUCCGCCGGAGGGCAAAAGUGCUCCUAUCAAGGUUUUUGCCCCGAGAUGGCGGUGCUUCUUCUCGAAAGUCCUCCUCUUUUUUUUCAGGGUAAAAGAGAAUUUAUACAAGAAGAUGAUCGGCAGAGGUGGGCCAGGGGACCCACUAGACAUCAGGGCGCGCCAGGGGGCUUGGCGCGCCCUGGUAUCUAGUGGGCCCCUGGUAGCCCCCCUCCGGUACUUAUUCCCUCCAAUAUUUUUUAUUUAUUAUAAAAUAAAUCUCUGUACAUUUUCAGCUCAAUUGGAGAUGUGCAGAAUAGGUAUAUCUGACGUAGCUUUUUCAUGUCCGGAAUUCCAUCUGCGGGCAUUCUAUCACUUGAUGUAAACCUUGCAUAUUAUGAAAAAAAAGGCAUUAGAAUUACUCCACCAAGUGGCAAAAUGCAUAAAAACACUAUAAGUAACUAUAACAAAACAUAGUGCAAAAUGAACGUAUUGCCCUCCACCCCCGGCAGGAUCUACAAACCCUAGCCCGCUCGCGAAAAACCCUCGCUAUGUUCACGGAGAUUGAUGAGGUGGUGGAGGAAUUUUAAGACGGUGCCGAUGCCUUCACCCGCUCCGCGUCGGCACGCCUCGCUGCCAUGACGACGAGACGGCCGACACGUCCUUGGGCGACAUCGAUAAUGUGGAGUGAUAGAAUAUGGGAGGCUGCGAUCGCUCCAAAUUCACGAAAGCCACCGCCACGUCUCGGCGGGCCUCCCAGUCGGUAAGCUUGCGUGCUUUACAAAGGCGGGAGCCACUAUUCUUCCCCUUGCGCUGAAGCUAAACUUGGUGGACUCAUCGCCGGCCGGUAAGCUUGCCCGCUUUGCGGAGGCGAAGGGAUACUCUUCCCUUCCCGCUGAAGCUUUGGUUCUCUGGCCUCAUGGCCCACCGACGAGCUUACAACUAGACAUGAAAACAUAUGUUGUGGAAAAUGGAUGUCGGCGACCAUUUAAACUAGGUUAGAAUAGGAUUUAACUAAAUAUAUCAAAAUGUAAUAAAUGCGUUCUAGUUUAGAUGAAAAUCAUCCGGUCUCAUGUAAAAAAUCAUCUAAUUUUGAAUUGAAAGUUGUCUAUUUCUUUUAAAUUUGCAUCAAAUAUGACCGAGCGUUUGCGGUCAUCUUUGAAUGGUCGACUUUCUUAUUAAUAUCGUAACACCGUAUGAAUACGCGAAUCGUUCCGCUGACGAAUGCAGUGUCUAUUUUAGGGGUCGUGUUGAAGAUGCCAUAAUUCCCUAUUGGAGAGAGGAUCCAUCAGAAAAGAGGCAGCAUCACUAUGUGUGUUACGACAGGUGACCUAACCCUUUUUUUUCUUUUAUACCCGAUGGCGUACGUACGUACGUACGUGCUAGAUUACUCACCACAAAAGUGUCAACAGUGAAAGAUUUGGCCCGAUCGAAGAUCUCUCCACAUACUAGAACGUUCCAGACCCCUCCUGCCUGCAUGAUCACGCACGCAGACGCCGCCGUCCAACUCUAGAGUCUGGAUUAUACUAUGAUUAUGAUCGAUUCCGGCCACCGUCCUCGCGGGCGAGCAGCGGCGCGCCGCCACGCGCCUUGUGGCGUGACAGCUGACGCUACUCCGCACCACACGUUCGCCGCCGGUCGACCGCGCUACAUACGAUACGACGGAAAAAUAUCCAGCCGAGCCAGCUGCCAAAACAAUAUAAUAUCCGAGCUCGAUCCAAUCCGUCACGUCGCCCACGUCGCGGUGGCUUCCGGCGAUUGGUCCGCAGACGCGGGAGGUCGGCCGGCCCCCACCAACUUGGCACACACGUACGUAAGCUCCCUCCGCAGCAGCACGCACACGCCAGACGCCUCCUGCCCACACAACUCCUCGACUGGUUCUCCGUAUAUAUAUAUAAUUGCGGAGUUCUCACAGACACAGCAGAGCAUCGAUUGGAAUUCGAGAUCAUCAAGACAAGCAGCGAAUCCAUCGCCAUGGGAGCGGGGAUGAAGCGCGCGAGGGAGGAGGAGCCAUUUGUGUCGCUGGCGCUGUCGCUCAGCACAGACUCCUCGACGUCCACCACGACGUCGGACAACUCCUCGACUGGUUCGCCGGCGACGGCGCCCAGGAAGAGGACGCGGCGGGGGAGAGCUGUGGCCACGUCAGGGGAGGGAGAGUUCGUCUGCAAGACUUGCGGCCGGGCCUUCGAGACGUUCCAGGCGCUCGGCGGGCACCGGACCAGCCACCUCCGCGGCAACCAUGGGCUGGAGCUCGGCGUCGGCGUCGCCAGGGCCAUCAAGAACAACAAGAGGAGGAUGCCGCAGGAGGACGAGCAGCAUCACGAUUGUCACAUCUGUGGGCUGGGCUUCGAGACGGGCCAGGCGCUCGGCGGCCACAUGCGCCGGCACCGCGAGGAGAUGGCGCUCACCGCCUCCAUCGACCGGUGGGUCGCGCUGUCGGAUCAGGUGGCGGCCGCCGACCGGCUGCCCGUCUUGCUGGAGCUGUUCGUCUAGCCUACUAGCUGGGUCUGUCAGUUUCUUAGCCAAGGACUUUACAUAUUAUCUCUUUAGAAUGAGAAAGGUUAAUUGAUCGACCUUGUAAUUACGAACUUACAGUUAUACUAGUACCAUAGCAUAGACUACUUCUUAGCUCUGGUUAGUUUUGUUAACUGAUAAACCACUUGGGAUUUAUACAUGCACUUGUACUUCCUCCGUUCUUAAAUAUAUACGUCUUUUUAGAGAUCUCGCUAAAGGAAUAUAUAGAAGCAAAACGAGUGAAUUUAUACUUGAAAACAUAUGUAUAUACAUCUGUAUAUAGUUUUUUAGUAAAUCUUUUAAAAAAAUUAUAUUUAGAAACGAAGAGAGUACAUGGUUAAGACAGGUUCUUUUGUUAUAGAUGCGAUUGACAGAAUCUUGUCCUCAGAUUGCUGUUCUAUUAAUAUGAUGCUAUUCACUCCAGUUUGCACAUAUUUUUUGCGAGGCCAUUUUGUAUAUAUGAUCAAGAGGAAAACGGAAUUCGGAGCCUAAAGUUGUAAAAUUUGGCAAUAUAAAGCUACAUUCAAAAUUUAAUAUUGUCGAAACGUUGACAGUAUAGUGGUGUCCGGAACAUUAGGCGGUUUGAGAUUUAGAAACGGCGAUCCACUACGUGUCUUUUAUCCAUGAUUUGACGGCUCCAAAACAACUGCAAUAAAGUCUACAUCCUGACAAAGUGAUACAUCGAGAGAUACGAGCACAGUAUUGACAAGUGUCGAGAGAUAUGAGCACACUAUUGACAAGUCUCGACAUUUGGGUGGGAGUGGAGUGGCUACUGUUUGGUUUGAGAUGUGCAUACGAACGGAUGUGUGUGGGAUGAGGGUGGACCAACUUUGGUUGGAUCUAAACGAGGGACGCGCCCGGAACCGUCCUCCCUCCCUGUAUCCGCCUUAGAUAUGGACAAAUAUGGUCUGGAUGUGAAUAGUGCCGGUCCACCCAAACGUAUGAUACUCGUAUGAGGGGCCGACAGGAUCGCGAUUGUUCGGCCGGUUACCGACCAAAAAGUCUACUCGGAUGUACAAGGGGCAUUGGAGGAGUCCGUUGUACAUGCCCUAAACUGGUAUCCCUAGAAUUUUUUACAUUCCCUUGAACUCUCUCAAGCUUGUAAACCUUUUGUUGGUUCUGCUUUAUGCAGUGGGUGUUUCUUUUGUCUAAGAAAAACGACCUAGUGACCCUCUUGAUAGGUGCUCCAUGGGACUUUAGAGCAUCUUCAUGUGAUUCAAACACCUUCUACAUGCUAGGACAGAUGGUUCGGUACGUGAUCGAUCAUAAAAUCUUGAUUUACAUGUGCUCCUCAAACAGGUCGAUAUACAUCCCGUGUAUCAUGUCCAUAUCAAGGGAGCUAUGAGAAGGCGCCAACGUGGCCGUUGACAUGCGCGACCCAAAGGCUUACGUCACAAACUAUACUACACUGACGUCACGUUGUAGCCGUACCCAACAACAAUUGACUUGGAUCGGCGUCGUCGCUAUAGAUCUCUCAAGAGUCUCCGCAUGGUCAAGGCUUGCCUUGCAAAAGAACUACAAUUCAGUUCGUAUCGAUGUUUGCUAAUCAGAAUUCUCAGCAUGCCGGAGUAAAACAUACACACGCACACGCGUAUAUAUGAGUGUAACGCAAACUAACGAUCAAUCGAGCGUGUGGCGCAUGUAACUCCAUGCACGGAGAAGUUCCAUAGCCGUGGUGCAACAAUUUUGGUGAACGCGGCAAGAUAAUUUUGGACUAGAGAACAGGAGCAAGAGCCGAAAUUGAAAAUUUGGAACCGUGUCGGCAAAGGAAAAAAGAAUUGUGGCAUCGUCCUUCACGGCUUCUUGUGUUGGAAAUAUGCCCUAGAGGCAAUAAUAAAAUGGUUAUUAUCAUAUUUCCUUGUUCACGAUAAUCGUCUAUUGUUCAUGUUAUAAUUGUAUUAACAGGAAACAGUAAUACAUGUGUGAAUAAUAGAUCACAAUGUUUCCCUAGCAAGCCUCUAGUUGGCAAGCUCGUUAGUCAAUAGAUGAUCAUGGUUUCCUGAUCAUGGUCAUUAGAUGUCAUUGAUAACGGGAGCACAUCAUUGGGAGAAUGAUGUGAUGGACAAGACCCAAUCCUAAGCAUAGCACUAGAUUGUAUUGUUCGUAUGCUAAAGCUUUUCUUAUGUUAAGUGUCUUUUCCUUCGACCGUGAGAUUAGGCAACUCCCGAAUACCGUAGGAGUGCUUUGGGUGUAUCAAACGUCACAACGUAAUUGGGUGACUAUAAAGGUGCACUACGGGUACCUCUAAAAAUGUCUGUUGGGUUGGCACGAAUCGAGCUCAGGAUUUGUCACUCCGUGUGACGGAGAGGUAUCUCUGGGCCCACUCGGUAGAACAUCAUCAUGAGCUCAAUGUGACUAAGGAGUUAGUCACACGAUGACGUGCUACGGAACGAGUAAAGAGAAUUACCGGUAACGAGAUUGAACAAGGUAUAGGUAUACCGACGACCGAAUCUCGGGCAAGUUCUAUACAGACGGGCAAAGGGAAUUGUACACGGGAUUGAUUGAAUCCUUGACAUCGUGGUUCAUCCGAUGAGAUCAUCGUGGAGCAAGUGGGGGCCACCAUGGGUAUCCAGACCCCGCUGAUGGUUAUUGGCCGGAGAGGUAUCUCGGUCAUGUCUGCCUGUCUCCCGAACCCAUAGGGUCUACACACUUAAGGUUCGAUGACGCUAGGGUUAUAGGGAAUUGUUAUACAAGGUUACCGAAAGUUGUUGGAAUUAUGCCCUAGAGGCAAUAAUAAAUAUAGUUAUUAUUAUAAUUCCUGUAUCAAGAUAAUUGUUUAUUAUCCAUGCUAUAAUUGUAUUGAAUGAAGAGUUAUAUACAUGUGUGGAUACAUAGACAAAACACUGUCCCUAGCAAGCCUCUAGUUGGCUAGCCAGUUGAUCAAAGAUAGUCAGGGUCUUCUGACUAUGUACAAGGUGUUGUUGCUUGAUAACUGGAUCACGUCAUUAGGAGAAUCACGUGAUGGACUAGACCCAAACUAAUAGACGUAGCAUGUUGAUCGUGUCAUUUUGUUGCUACUGUUUUUUGCGUGUCAAGUAUUUGUUCCUAUGACCAUGAGAUCAUAUAACUCACUGACACCGGAGGAAUGCUUUGUGUGUAUCAAACGUCCCAACGUAACUGGGUGACUAUAAAGAUGCUAUACAGGUAUCUCCGAAAGUGUUCGUUGAGUUAGUAUGGAUCGAGACUGGGAUUUGUCACUCCGUGUGACGGAGAGGUAUCUCGGGGCCCACUCGGUAAUACAACAUCACACACAAGCCUUGCAAGCGAUGUGACUUAGUGUAAGUUGCGGGAUCUCGUAUUACGGAACGAGUAUAGAGACUUGCCGGUAAACGAGAUUGAAAUAGGUAUGCGGAUACUGACGAUCGAAUCUCGGGCAAGUAACAUACCGAAGGACAAAGGGAAUGACAUACGGGAUUAUAUGAAUCCCUGGCACUGAGGUUCAAACGAUAAGAUCUUCGUAGAAUAUGUGGGAUCCAAUAUGGGCAUCCAGGUCCCGCUAUUGGAUAUUGACCGAGGAGUCACUCGGGUCAUGUCUACAUAGUUCUCGAACCCGCAGGGUCUGCACACUUAAGGUUCGACGUUGUUUUAUGCGUAUUUGAGUUAUAUGGUUGGUUACCGAAUGUUGUUCGGAGUCCCGGAUGAGAUCACGUACGUCACGAGGGUUUCCGGAAUAGUCCGGAAACGAAGAUUGAUAUAUAGGAUGACCUCAUUUGAUUACCGGAAGGUUUUCGGAGUUACCGGGAAUGACGAAUGGGUUCUGGGAGUUCACCCCAGGGGGGGGGGUAACCCACCCCGGGGAAGCCCAUAGGCCUUGAGGGUGGCACACCAGCCCUUAGUGGGCUGGUGGGACAGCCCAAAAGGGCUCUAUGCGCCAAGAAGAGAAAAUCAAGAGAAAAGGAAAAAAAAAGGAGGAGGUGGGAAGGAAGGGGGACUCCCUCCCACCAAACCAAGUCCAACUCGGUUUGGGGGGAGUCCUCCCCCCUUGGACUCGGCCGACCCCCUCGGGNNNNNNNNNNNNNNNNNNNNNNNNNNNNNNNNNNNNNNNNNNNNNNNNNNNNNNNNNNNNNNNNNNNNNNNNNNNNNNNNNNNNNNNNNNNNNNNNNNNNGGCAGGCUCGUGUCGGCGCUUGGUCCGAUGCUCUAAUUGCGGAGGUGGCGAGUCCUGCUCUUCGUCUUCCUCCUCUUCCUCGCUGGUCUCUUCCUCCGAUUCCCCGCUGUCGGAGACAUACUCAGUGCUCUCCAUGUUGCCUUCAUGGCUGCCUUCCUCCUCCUCCUCGGCCGGGUUCUCGUUCGAGACGGGAGAAAACCAGUUGGUCCACUUCUGCAUAAUAUUCAGUCGGCAACAUCAGACGUCGCGUAGAGAUUCAAACAAACAAUAAGAUUGAGAUAGUUAAGCGCACUCGACAAGUGUUACUCACCUGAUUCGGAGGAGGAUGAUCCGCGCAGAAAGGCUUCACUCGCCGAGAUCCUUUGGGAUUCUCGCAGGGACCUGUGAUCUGGAGCACCCACGAGGUCACCUUCUCCUCAGUCACGCCCACAACGUUGGUCCGAGUGGAAUCCUCGGGCCCCGUAUAAUGCCACAUGGCGUGGUCGCGAGCCUGCUGAGGUUGGAUAAGUCGACCGAGGAAGACCUCCAGCAAGUCUAUGCCGGUGACCCCCCUCCUGACAACGUCUACGAGUGCCUCAACCAGAGGCUGGAUGUCGUUCUUCUCCGCCUUCGUGAGCGCGAGCUGCUUAGGCGGGGCGGGCCGAUCUAAGCUAAAGGGAGGCAGUCAUGUCAACGCAUUCGGACAGGCGAUAUCCUGGCAGUAGAACCACGUCGACUGCCAGUUCCUGACCGACUCACUUAACUGAAGAGCAGGAUAACUACUCCGACUCUUUUUCUGGAAACCUAAGAUGUGUCUUAUCAUCCGACUGGCUGAGUCGUUUGAUGGUUUGGGAUCUAGCAGAAAAUAUGUGCUUGAACAGCCCCCACUGGGGAGGGCAGCCAAUGAAACACUCGCACAGAACUAUAAAAGCAGAGAGAUGGGCAAUGGCGUUCGGCAGAAAGUGGUGAAGUUGUGCCCCGAAGUGAUUCAUGAUGCCCUUGAAGAAAGGAUGCGGGGGCAAGGAAAAACCUCGAUAGACGUGGCUGAGCAGCAAGACGCGCUCCCCCUCCCGGGGUGCCGGCUCGACCUCGUUCUCCGCCGGCAGCCUCCAAGACUUGUGCAUGAUCAUCCCAUGCUCCACCAGCUGCAGCAGAUCCCCCUUUAUCACAGUGGAGGGGAGGAAGUCGCCUUGAAUCCACCCCGCCGGCAGCGGCCGCUGCCGCCGCUGAGAAGGAGCCGCCGCCUUCCCCUUCUUCUUCCUCGCCUCCAUCUUGCUGGUCUGACCCUUGUUCAUGGCGGCAGCUGCGAGCCCUCGGGAGGAAGGAGGAGGGAGGAGUGUAGAGGCGCUGGAGGUGGCGAGAAGGACGGAGCGGGCGAAGGCAAGAGAUUCGGCGAGCGUAACGAAGAACCCCCGCCGCCAAGAUUUAAGUAAGGUUCCGACUGGGUCGCUGGCAGGUGGCCCCGAAACCUUAUCCCCCCGACCCACCGCGGCGAUAUUAGUGGAGAGGUUGAAGGCGCGAGAAUCGAGGCGUCAGGCGCUACUCGAGCGCGAUGGCGUCAUCCCCGCUGAGCGCGCGGAAACCGAAAUUUGAGGAUCCCGGAAAAUCCGCCGCUGUCAGUUGACCGGUCGUGUCAGAAGAUGCCGCAGAAGCACUCGGCUCCCGACAGUCUGUUUCGCGAGUACUUCCACUCGGAUCAUCGAUCGGAAAAGACAAAAUGGACCGAGGCAAGCAACGCCCAAGCCAAGUUCGUUCCAGUCGGAUCCAAACUUCAAACAUUGCUUCGUCGUUCCAACCCCAAUCCAUUCGGGGACUAAUGAUGGGGUUAUAGUCCUAGGGUAGGGUCAUAGGCCUGCCCUAUAGAUCCUACCCAAGGACUACUCCUCACAAAGGACUAGGCCCUUAGUCAGCUCCGACUGAAUUAAGGAGUCCCUGUCAUCCAGUCGGUAAAGUACCCUCGAUCAUCCAGUCGGAGACUAGCAUUCGGAGGAUAUUGUUAGGAAUAAAAUAUCUUUAGAUUUAGGCUAAUUAGGCAAUUAGCAUAUUCCUUGGAAUAUUCUAUUUAGCAGUUAGGAUAUUGGCUUUGUCCAUAUGCUGUGUCUCUCAACCAUCGUCGUGCCUUUUCCAAACGACGCAACUAUUGUAACCGGCAUGUACUCACGACUGUUCAGGACAUAUAAAUACUUGCAGUCACUAUCAAUGAAAUCACUCCAUUCACUUUAAUCACUCUUUUCUCUUCACGUUAUCAUGCACGCAUCGCUCUUACAGAGAGAAUAGGCUACAGGAGAGAAGAAAGGUGAGAAGAGAUGGAUUCUCUGUCGGACCUUGCUUUUGCUUUUGCCAGGUUUGUGGCCAGGGAGCAUCGUGGUUUUCGCUUUCCUCGUCGGACCUUCGGUCUGGCCGUCGCUCGUCGCCGGAACUUCGGCCGCCGCUAUCAGCGUCGCCCGAACAGGAACGGUGGCCUCCGUCACCGUGGGGCACCAUACCGUGUUCCUCGAUGUCGAUAUGGACCGGGUGGUGGCCUCCGCCGCCGCCAUACCCAUCGCCAGCACUUCCAUCAUGUGCAUCGCCGAGUGGUAGUCGAGCCAAGGGAAGAGGCCCCGAUGAUACCCCAGGAAGUUGUUGUUGCUCCAAUGGUGGUUGCUGCAGUGCCGGAAGUUGCUGCAGACGUUGGCAUCGAUGAGGCCUCUGCCUCCAACAUCACCACUCAACUGCCGCCUCCUCCGCCGGUGUACGCACCUAUGGAAAGGAUGCUUGCCGGACCAAGCGCCGGAUGGCUCGUUGAUGACCCAGAUCGCUCCUUCACCGACGAGGAACUCGCGGCACUGCCUCCGCCUCCGCCUCCGCUGAUGUAUUCUUGCCCAGCCUACCGGUACGGGUCGAGACUCCCGUCCCCAACACCAUCCGACGAAGAUACGGAGCACUUCAAUCCGCCGGGCUAUGAUGCACUGCCGGAUUUCUCCUCGCUGCCGGCUGCAGUCCCUCUGGACACGCCCAAGCACCGGCUCGUCAUCAACCUCCUGCCGCAGGUGAAGACAGAGGAGAUCAAGGCCGCCGCACCGACGGUUGCUGUCCCGAUGCUUCCCGAUCUCAACCACCCAACAUCAGAUGUGGAGGAGGAGGAACAUCAGGAAGCAGCACCGCCAUCCGCCCUCCCGAGCCCUCGCCGGAAGCUCGUGUGCUACUGCGCCGCUUUGCAUCCGCCAUGGCUGCUCGCCCCGCUGGAGUCCGCGUUGGCAGCUGGUCGCCCGUGGCACUCGGCCUCACCGGCCGGGUCGCGGAUCUCCGCCUCCACGAGGCCGACCUUCCCUCCUCCUCUACAGAUGAGCCGCUCCGUCGCUGAAGGAGGAGCCGGCCCUGCGCGCUGCCAUGGAGGAGAGCCUGCAGUAGUACUCUCGAAUGGAUGAGAAUGGAUGCGUGGUGUGGUUUGUCCCUUAUCCAUUCGAUUCCUGUUUAACUAGAUGCUUCAGCGGUGCUGGUGCUAGCUAUGAGCCACGAUGCAUGGGCCACAAAAAGACAAACCGGCCACUCUGAUUGGGAUGUGCUAAUCAAGCUUGUGAUGUGUUAAUUUACUAUUGUAUUUUCUAGUUGAAAAUCUAUCCCUUUAGCAAUAUUAAGUGUGCUAUANNNNNNNNNNNNNNNNNNNNNNNNNNNNNNNNNNNNNNNNNNNNNNNNNNNNNNNNNNNNNNNNNNNNNNNNNNNNNNNNNNNNNNNNNNNNNNNNNNNNCAUCAUUCGAAUCAUCUGCAUUGCAUCGGCAUCUCCGUUGCCGCCAGUUUUCAAAACUCGCAUCCGUUGUUAGUUGCCGGUUCUCGUCGUUGACCGUUCUGAGCCCGACCGCACUCGCACGCGCCCGCGGCAUCGUCGAAACCCUGUUUUACACGCGCCCGCGGCAUCCUCGAAACCCUGUUUUAAAAGUGUGCGUAAAACUUUCUCUGAUCAAGGUGAAAGCACCUUGUUCGCUUCACGAGCCUGCUCCAAUGACUUCUCUCGUCCCUCCAGAGUAUCCUUCAUGCCAGCCAUUGCAAGCAUGGCCGCAUCAAGCUCACCAGCGAACUGAUUCCUCUCCGCCCUGAGAGUCUCAUAGGUUGUCCCCAUUUCACAGGUUUUCUGCCAACAAACACCAAGAGACAAUCAGGAAAUUCACCAAUAAAAGUCUAAGUUCUUCAGACCCCUGCCGACGCAAGCAGUCGAUAGCGGUCUCGGGGACUACACCCAGUGGGUUCACUAAGAGUGACCCCACUGGUAUGCAACUCAAGCAGGCCCGCCCUANNNNNNNNNNNNNNNNNNNNNNNNGGCCCGCCCUAUUGAGAUGCAUGUUACCACCUACGCCUACGAGGCCAAUACUACCCGACCUGAGUACAACUUACUCUCGGAGACUCUUACAGUAAGUGCACUCCGAGUGCCACAACUGCUCGCAGUCGGUCAUAUUAUUUACAGACAUGACCAAAGCAAAGACAAUAUGUAUAAAGACAACUGUCGGUGCAAGCACUCGACAGAAGUCUCGGGGACUACACCCACUGGGUUCACUCAGAGUGAACCCAUUGCAAACAACAGAUGCUAUCCAAGAACAUCCAGUGGGUUACAAGAGAAAAGUAAAUACUUACUAGCCCACUUACUCGGAUAUCAUCCCGCAGCUCCAAGCUCCGCUGGUACAAGGAUGCAACGGAGUCGUAGGCCCUCUUGGCUUCUCCAGCCAUCAGCUCCGCCUGCACCAUGGCUCCCUUGGCCGCUCCCACCUGCUACUCCGGGAGACGCUGGAUGUUGAAUUCAGCAUUCGACGAGCCUGGCAUCGUCGGAAGUUCCUGGGGCAUCCCAAGGUCCGCUCCAGUCGGCUCUUCAACCACCAGCGCCGCUUCAGUCGGCGGCAGCACGUCGGCGGCGAGAGCAGCAACAGGCGGAGCAACCUCAAGAACAAGCUCCCCAGCUUGUUCAGCUCUCCCCUGAUCACCUUCAUCCACGCAAAUCGCCCCUGAUAGACCGAACGGCGAAAGAUCUCAGAAAAAGAAAGAGGCAGGACCUAUGAUAGAAUUCGAGACGCGAUAGUAUAUAACACUCGGAGUCACUACAACGCACCUGGCUGGGACGAGAUGACGUUGUCCGUGUCCAUGGGGUCAUCCUCUUGGCGUGUCGGAGAGGUGGCAGAAGUAGCGACUCUGUCGAUUGAAAUCCAUUUGACCAAUAAACAGGAGUUCACUCGGAUAUCAGANNNNNNNNNNNNNNNNNNNNNNNNNNNNNNNNNNNNNNNNNNNNNNNNNNNNNNNNNNNNNNNNNNNNNNNNNNNNNNNNNNNNNNNNNNNNNNNNNNNNUUCUACCUCUCCGUCUCUCUUGCUGGAUCAAGAAGGCCGCGAUCAUCGUCGAGCUGUACGUGUGCUGAACGUGGAGGUGUCGUCCGUUCGGUACUAGAUCGUGGGACUGAUCGCGGGAUUGUUCGCGGGGCGGAUCGAGGGACGUGAGGACGUUCCACUACAUCAACCGCGUUCACUAACGCUUCUGCUGUACGAUCUACAAGGGUACGUAGAUCGGAAAUCCCCUCUCGUAGAUGGACAUAACCAUGAUAGGUCUUCGUGCGCGUUGGAAAAUUUUUGUUUCCCAUGCGAUGUUCCCCAACAGGAACCAGCCCCUAGGUGGGCUGGUGCGCCUCCCCACUCAGCCCAAUGCGCAGGGGAGAGGGAAGGGGGGCAAGGGUGCGCACCACCCCUCCUCCCCUCCUGGCGCAGAUGGGGCUGUCGCACCCCUUGGGGGUGGGAACCCUAAGGGCUGCGCCCCCCUCCCUCUUCCCCUAUAUAUAGUUGAGGUUUCGGGGCUGUUUCGCACACGGUUUUCUGAGUAACUCCGUUGCUCAAAGAUGACUGGCAAGUGUCGGUUUCUCCAACUUUAGUUGAAUCGUAAUUGACCGAGGAGGUCCUUGGAUGAGAUUAAAUAGCAAUUCAUAUAUCUCCGUUGUGGUGUUUACGUAAGUAAGAUGCGAUCCUACUAGAUACCCAUGGUCACCACGUAAAACAUGCAACAACAAAAUUAGAGGACGUCUAACUUGUUUUUGCAGGGUAUGCUUGUGAUGUGAUAUGGCCAAUGAUGUGAUGUGAUAUAUUCGAUGUAUGAGAUGAUCAUGUUGUAAUAGAAAUAUCGACUUGCACGUCGAUGGUACGGCAACCGGCAGGAGCCAUAGGGUUGUCUUUAUACUAACGUGUGUGCUUGCAGAUGCGUUUACUAUUUUGCUAGGAUGUAGCUUUAGUAGUAAUAGCAUGAGUAGCAUGACNNNNNNNNNNNNNNNNNNNNNNNNNNNNNNNNNNNNNNNNNNNNNNNNNNNNNNNNNNNNNNNNNNNNNNNNNNNNNNNNNNNNNNNNNNNNNNNNNNNNUUUCCUCUAGAUCGUGUUUCUGCGGAGCUCGGGCAGAGCCGUGCUGAGAUUAGAUCACCACCAACCUCUGGAGCGUCGUCACGCUGCCGGAGAACUCAUCUACUUCUCAGUCUCUCUUGCUGGAUCAAGAAAGCAGAGAUCAUCGUCGAGCUGUACGUGUGAUGAACGCGGAGGUGUCGUCCGUUCGGCACUAGAUUGGAGCGGAUCGUGGGACGAAUCGCGGGAAGGUUCGUGGGACGGUUCGCGGGGAGGCUCGAGCGGGAAGGUUCGUGGGACGGUUCGCGGGGAGGAUCGAGGGACGUGAGGACGUUCCACUACAUCAACCGCUUUUAUUAACGCUUCUGCUGUGCGAUCUACAAGGGUACGUUGAUCUGAAAUCCCCCUCGUAGAUGAACAUCACCAUGAUAGGUUUUCGUGCGCGUAGGAUUUUUUUUCCCACGCGACGUUCCCCAACAAAACCUACCUACAAAGCACCAUGUCCUAAGAAAGGUUGCGGACUGUCGGCACUGUGGGGCAUUGCGGUUUCCAUUCAAGGGGCCAGCAUUUUGUUGCAGAAAAGGAAAAGUCGGAUUAUUUACUCGAGAUGUUCCAGAAGAAUUGAAACGGUUGUUCACAAGUCAAGAUGACGAGGACGCUAAACAUUUCAGAGAGCAUAUACGGUAUUUCAACUCGCACUUCUCAUUCACAAGUCUAGGAGUCACCCUUGAUCGUCGAGUAAGCACUGCGGCAGGAACUGGCGUAUAUACAUUCCGCGCGUGUGGUGGGUUGUACCACGCUCUCGACGAUCUGGUGCCCGCUAAUAAUGGCCCUCGACAUUUGCAACUCUAAUACGUAUCCAGAUCUUAAUAUAGACCUCAUACGAAAGAUUCUGAGAAUACUAGAGCGUAACCCUUAUGCACAAGCUUUCAGAAGCCUUGGGUCGGUUCCAAAUCUAGAUGAGUACAAAAUCUCACUAAACACGGAUAUCAAGUUGGAUCAACGAAGGUACAAUGCCCCAACGACCUCCCAAGUGGCAGCCAUAUGGGUUGAAGGGAGUGACUGUGAUAGCCCAACACCGACGCUCCAGAAGAUUCCCCUUUUAAUUCGUUGUCGCAGUGUGUUUUAUUUUGUUUGUUGCAUUCAUCACGCAUCAUGCAUCAUCUCCAUCAUCUUUGUUGUGAUUGCUUCCCUUAUUGUGUUCAUGUUUUUUUCUUCUUCUUCUUCUGCUACUCCUAGCCACUCCUUGACCCUUCAUUUUUUCCUAUUCUCAACUUAUUUCAAUCCAUUGCAUCCNNNNNNNNNNNNNNNNNNNNNNNNNNNNNNNNNNNNNNNNNNNNNNNNNNNNNNNNNNNNNNNNNNNNNNNNNNNNNNNNNNNNNNNNNNNNNNNNNNNNUAACUGUAACCCGGCCCAUAUUCGGCGGGUCACUUAACAGGCAAUAUCCCCAACAUUAGGCCCCAAAUUGACUUGAAUCUUCAUGCCAAUGCUACCAUUUUAGUCGAAGGCGAUUCACUCUUCUGUGUUCCUCCGUACACCAGAAAUCUUAACUCGCCAACUGGUACCGGAAAAAGUCUCUGAGCCGCCAACGCAUUUCCCAUCAGUACUUUCCUUAGCCCUCGAUUUUCGGGAACUCCAACACAAUCCCAACGGAUAUUUUAGUGCGUCAUUAUCCCAAAAUUUUCGGACGUCAUCAUGGCGAAUCUUUCCUUCCUCGACGGUUCCCGCUCAUAGCGCCUCGAUCCCCGCGCCCGUCCUGAUAAAUAGGCGGAAGGGACAGGGCUGACACCGGCCACCUACCAGUCUCGUCAAUCCCUCCACCAUCAUCUCAGCGAGAAGAAACGCUCCGCAUCCCGAAGGCUUUGCCGCCGGCCGCAAUCUCCACCCCCGUCUGAAGAACUCCAGUGCUGCCCGCAAGCUGUUGCCGUUCGAGGAGCUCCGGCGCCGCCCGCAAGCCGUCGCCGUUCGAGGAGCUCCGGCGCCGCCCGCAAGCCGCUGCCGUUCGAAGAGCUCCGGCGCCGUUCGAGGAGCUCCAGCGCCGCCCGCACGUCGUCACCGUCGCCAGGUUCCGCCGCCGCCGAGGGUCCCCUCAUUCUCCAACAGCCUCCAUCAUCGCCGAUCUUCUUCGACCAAGAUCUUCAGGUUAGGCCACUGUUUCCCCUUCUUUAAGGGUAGAUUUAUUUCUUGUUCUUGCUGCCGCCAUUGCCAUAGUUCCGAAGCUCUAUGCUGGUCACCAUCUUAACUGUCGAACUGAUUAGUCCGAGCGCCAUUAGGGCACCCAGUGCUUCGAACAAUCCUAUCCAUCUGUCCCUUGCAAAUUUUCUAAAUAGACUAGUCUUUUCAAACAUGAGGCACCAUCCUGAUCACACAUCGUUCAUGUUUUAGCCACGUCCGUAAGCUUUUAUAUAUGUUGAAUAGAUCCAUUCCUCUUUCACUGUUUGCAAAAAGCUGUUUGGAAACCUCGUCCUUCCCUUAGUGUUUCGGAAAGAAUAAAUUUUACCACCCACAGUAGCGUCGCUUCUGAGAAUAGCCCUGCUCCGGUAGGUCGCCACAUCAGCCCAACCCGGCCUCCCAAUCCGGCGGGUUAAGCAGAAGCUAGUCCCGACUCACAUAGUAAAUGUUCGAGACAUGUAAUACCAUUUCCUUGCCUAUUUGUAGCAUGGGUGCCGUUUUCAAGAGCGAUUGGCUUCCCACCAAAGUCGAUGAUGCUGUUUUGGCGAAUUACGUGAAAGCGGGCUGCUUGGAUCCUCAAGACGUCAUUGGAUGGCGCACCGGGUUAGGAGAAGACCUACCCAACCCCAAGGAAGGGGAGAUAGUAGUUUUUGUGGAACACUUAGAACGGGGUUUUAAGCCGCCCGGAUCUAAAUUCCUUAGAGACGCCCUGAAUUUUAUGAACGUCCGACUCCAGGAUUUGGGACCCAAUUCCAUAAGCAACCUAAGUCAAUUCCAAGUCCUUUGCGAAGCUUAUUUGCGGAUCGAGCCUUCCGUCCCUCUGUUUUGGUACUUUUUCCACUUGAAUCGCCAGACGGAAUUCCACAAUGGCCCCAGUUUGGAACUCGGCGGGGUCAACGUCCAGCGUCGCAGGGACAGUCCGUUCCCUUCACUCACUAUGCCUAGCCAUCCCAAAGGCUGGGGUGAAUCUUGGUUCUACUGCAAAGAAACAUCCCCUGCCGACGAGAACAAACUUCAGGGCUACAGGCCAAGCCGCCUUCCGGUCAACUUCAAGCUCCCUGACAAGCUCACCGAGGAAGAAGAGUCGGAAUUCGUCCCAAUUCUGUCCGAACUGAGAUCCUUGACUAACAACGGCCUCACCGGGGUUGACCUGAUCCGCUGCUGGGUCGAAUGGCGGAUCCUUCCUCUGAGCCGCCGAGAAGGCUUGAUGUGCGAAUUUGACGGUACUUUGGAUCAUCCCCAAUGCUACUUUCACGCAGCAUUAACAGAAAAAGACAUCGUCGCCAUCAUCAAGAAGCUGACCGGCGAGGCUACAGCAAAGUGCGGCCAAAUCGGCCUUAAGCCCUUCUGCAAGAUUAACCCGGCGCCCAAGGUAACCAAGGCUAACUCGCCCUCAAUUUUUAUUCCAUCUGUUUUACUGUCAUCUUGACUUCAUGCCACAUCCCUUUCCAGAAAGGCGACAAGUUCUGGUCUCGGAGACCUAAGAAACAAGCCAUGAAGAGUGCUAAGCCGCCUUCCAAGAAAAACAAAGGCAAAGGUAAAUCGGCUGCGGCCGAGCCAUCUGAAGUCGACGAAUCUCAAGCUGGCGACGCACUCUCCGAGGUACCAAUCCGUCCUCUUUUUCACUCGCCACCUAUUACCUUUUAACUUUAAUUUAUCUCUCACUCCUCUUAUAAUAGAAUGAAGAUAACGAAAGCCAGGAAGAUUCUGUCGAGGUAAUUUCCGUCUCCUCCGAUUCAUCUCCUUCUCCACCUAAGCCGGCCCGGCGAAUAUGUGGAAAAGUACCUCUCUCACAUCCAAAUGCCCAUUUGGACCCAAAUUUCUUACUGAAGAAAACGCAGCACGCCUCGAAACGGAAAACGGGAAGUCAUUCUGGCGACCUAACAUCUCGCUUGCCAACAACGAACAAAAGAAAACCAAGUGAGGUACCUCCUUUUUUUUAUUUGAGCAACCAUUGUUCGUGUUGCUUUGGAUCACAGUCAUAACACGCCUGUAUUAUCGAUGUACAAAUUCUACAGGAUUCUCCCCCUACUUCUGGCGACUCAGUGAUGUCGACCCUUCCACCAAUGAUCCGAGUCCCGGGGUAAGUUUCUUGUCCUGAUCCUUGAGAAUAGCACUCUUUUUAAUUUUUUAACACGCCUAUCUCAUUCAUUAGGGCGCAAGCCAAAAAGAGGAAAACCAGUGGAUCAAUCCCUGACGCCACUUCUGAACCUCCGAGGAAAGCAACUCCGACUCAAGAAGAUCCGAGUCAAAACGAGCCGACAAUUCAAGCAAACUCUCCUGAGUCGCCCAAAGGAUCAACGGAUGUCCCUAGAUCACCGGUCGUAAUGGCGACAGCUGAUGACCCAGAUGCUGUGGUCAUUACUGGUUUUGGUUUCUCCAAGCCGGCAGCGACAAUCCUCUCCAAACAUAUAGCAUCCCCUUCUCCAUCAAUUCCCAAGUCUGGGCCUUCCAAGGCGAAACUUUCUGACUAUGGAGGUCUGGAGUUUAAAUAACUCUAUUCUGGCUUCGCAAGUCGCCUGGAAGCGAGUUACGAGAUGGAAAAGAAUCUGCUGAAGAUGUUAAAUAACACGCAUGAGGUAAAAUUUAUACUCUAUAUUACCCCCAGUAACCCCCAAGGGCCGGGUCAUCAGUAAAAUGAUGAGCCGGGUCUUUUAAAAGCUUCGCGACCAGUAACCCCCAAGGGCCGGGUCAUCAGUAAAAUGAUGAGCCGGGUCUUUUAAAAGCUUCGCGACCAGUAACCCCCAAGGGCCGGGUCAUCAGUAAAAUGAUGAGCCGGGUCUUUUAAAAGCUUCGCGACCAGUAACCCCCAAGGGCCGGGUCAUCAGUAAAAUGAUGAGUCGGGUCUUGAUUUCUGUAUAAUUUCCCUUGAGAAAUUAUACAUUAGCCCCCAAGUGUCAGGGGUAUUGCCUUGCAAUAAUUCUGAGACUUGUCUUUGUUUUAAAUUUUGAACAGGAAAGCCUUGCCCAAACCGAACUGGCCCUGGGCGACUUAAGGAAAAACUUGGCUGACCAACAAGAUGCCCGAACUCAGUCGGAAGACAAAUAUAAGUUGGCUCUGGUUGAACUGGAAAAGCUCAAAGCCGAGUUAGAAAGAACUCAGGCUGACCACAGCUCGGUUUUGACGAGAGUCGAAAAAGCAGAAGCAAAGCUGGCAACUGUGCAGCAGGAGCUAUCCGGCUUAAAGCGCCAUAUUUCCAACAUGACACAAGCCAUCUUUGGUAAGAUUUACCUAACUCUCCAAUCUUAUCCUCUUCCUUGGGCAAAUUCCUUAAUGUUUAACUUACCGGUUAUUUAAUCACAGGCUCGAGAGUCGCCAAUCUGCAAGACGACAGCGUGUUGAUGCUGAAGGCGAUCUAUACACUGACGGAACAACUGUACACAGGCAGUGUGCUGACUGUCAAAGCUGUGAUAGGUGCAAAGGAGCCCAUAACUUCCAUCAAGAAGGUGCUUGGAUAUCUAUCCACACUGCCUCCCUAGAUCGGCGAGUUAACCCGAUCAGCCGCCCGGAAGGGUGUCCUGACGGCUCUGAGUCGCUGCCUGGCGUAUGCUCCAGAAAUUAAUUUGGAAGAAGUAGCUGCCGGCUUCCCUCAGCUUAAAGAUGACGGCUCGGAGUUCGUGGAAGAAGACUACCAGAAGGUUGUCAAGGAUUCUCGACUGGCCGCGACUCAACUCGCCGCCAGCCUUGACUUGACAAAAUAUCAGGCGGCUUACAAUGACAAGAAUAAGAAAAUCAGCCCGCCAACCUUCGUGGUGACCAACCUUAUCCCUCGGCGACCCAAGAAUCCCUUCGACUGGGAAACAGACCUGGCAUCAAUCUUGACCGAUGAAGACGAUUUUGCCUCUUUGUCCAGAUGCAAUUGGGUCUUGGGCGAUUUACAAAUCGAAGCUGGUCAGAGCUCACGCCAGGACUUAGCGGAAUAGAUUUUCCUUGAUUUUGGCCCAAGAGCCAUGUAAUAGUCAGUACUAUCAUUUGAUGACAUCUUCUGCAAAAAACCCUUAUACCGCUUUUGAGGCGGUUUUAAAAUAUUUUGUUAAUCCUUAUCAGAAUCGCCUGAAAUGCUCAAUUCGCCAAGGAUGAAAACCUUGAGCACAUUAUCUGUGAAAAUAAAAGAACUACAAACAGUUUCAACGAAUAAGCAGUGAGGAUAAAAAUCUUCAAGGUCAAAUCAUAACACGAGUAAUUUCGUCGGCUCAUACGGUCGCGACAGGAGGGGGCGAGUCAGAAAGCUCGUGCACCCAACCUUAAUGCAGGUUUCGUCGGCUCAUACGGUCGCGACAGGAGGGGGCGAGUCAGAAAGCUCGUGCACCCAACCUUAAUGCAGGUUUCGUCGGCUCAUACGGUCGCGACAGGAGGGGGCGAGUCAGAAAGCUCGUGCACCCAACCUUAAUGCAGGUUUCGUCGGCUCAUACGGUCGCGACAGGAGGGGGCGAGUCAGAAAGCUCGUGCACCCAACCUUAAUGCAGGUUUCGUCGGCUCAUACGGUCGCGACAGGAGGGGGCGAGUCAGAAAGCUCGUGCACCCAACCUUAAUGCAGGUUUCGUCGGCUCAUACGGUCGCGACAGGAGGGGGCGAGUCAGAAAGCUCGUGCACCCAACCUUAAUGCAGGUUUCGUCGGCUCAUACGGUCGCGACAGGAGGGGGCGAGUCAGAAAGCUCGUGCACCCAACCUUAAUGCAGGUUUCGUCGGCUCAUACGGUCGCGACAGGAGGGGGCGAGUCAGAAAGCUCGUGCACCCAACCUUAAUGCAGGUUUCGUCGGCUCAUACGGUCGCGACAGGAGGAGGAGAGUCAGAAAGCUCGUGCACCCACCCUUAAUGCAGGUUUAGNNNNNNNNNNNNNNNNNNNNNNNNNNNNNNNNNNNNNNNNNNNNNNNNNNNNNNNNNNNNNNNNNNNNNNNNNNNNNNNNNNNNNNNNNNNNNNNNNNNNCGGGGGGCGUUAAGCUCGUCUCCAGCAUAUUCUAUCGCACCCCGUCUCCAUCCUCAACCGAUUUUGGUCACUCGUGGCACUAGAACACCUCCACCGUCGACUCCUUGGUUUUUCUUCCUCUGCCCGAGCCGCCUCCUCGUCCCCAACCGAGCACCUCGGACGACCACCCAGGUCAUGUCGCUGCCCUCUCCUGCUGCUUCUCUCUUCCCUCUUCCCUCUUCCCUCUCUCACCUCGUCUCUCUCUCUCUCUGUUCACACGAGCAGCACCACCCCUNNNNNNNNNNNNNNNNNNNNUCACACGAGCAGCACCACCCCUCCAUGGAAAUAAAAGAAGCUUGUAGCUCGUGCUCCACUCGUCCCCAACUUCGAUUCGAGCUCCUGGUGAUGGGAAUGGAGCCCCAACCGCCGGGUCUGGCACCUCUGUUCCCCUAGGAUCCGCGCGGGAGAGCCGCUGCAGCACCGCGCCGCCGCGAGCAGAGCCAGGGUCGGCCGUGUUCGUCAGGUUCCGUUUCCCCCUUCUGUGAUUCAGAUUUGUUCAGGUUCCACGUUCAGUGUGGACUUUGUACAUGUAGCAUAGGAAUCUCUUUUUUCCACAAGACUCCACCUAGCCCAGCUGGUCAGCGCGCUCAGUAGCAACCCUGUGGUCCAGGAAUCAAAUCCCGCCGGCGCCCCCUUUUGUUUAAUUCGUUUUUUUCCUGUUGCAGUACCAGUACAGUGAGUUAAUUCGUUUUCCCCUCUGUUGCAGUAGCAGUAGAGUGAGUUUAGCUAUGUUAAGUCCCCAUCUAUGGUCAGCUAAGCUGCAGUAGCAUAGUGGUGUGGAGUUGUGCAUAGGGUACCCUAGGUUCAGGGUUCGAUUCCCCGUGCACCCCAUUUUAUUUUUUCUUUUAGGUGUGUGGUGCUGUAGUUGGGGUGUGUGUGUAUUGUGGGGGUAUGACCCACUUGCAUACACCCAUUAGGGGCCCUGGUGAGUAUGACCAGUGGGACCCCCUGAUGUUUAUAUGUUUUUCUUGUUUAGUUUAGUUUUGUGAAGUAUUUCCAAAUCUGGAAUACUCCAGAAGAGGAACAUGCCAAGUCUGGCAUAUCAAGAACAGCCCCUGUUCUUGUUAUUAGCGGAGUUUGAUCUUGGUAGUUUUUCCUUUGCUGUUUCUGGUGUUUUUCCGCACGCAUAUAUAGCAGUGUUAUAUAUGGUUUUGGGGUAGGAGAACCCAAGGAUUCCAAUGGAGACACUAGUUUCCAGUUCUGAACAGUUCCGCAGAAGUGUCACUUUGUGAUGAGGUGGCACUUGAUUACCUUUGUAGGUUGGAGUAAGAGCAUAGUUAGGGAUUGAGCAUCCAUGCAUCAUUUUAGUUAGUGCUUCCUGUUGUGCAUGUCUCUUGAAAUGUAGCUCCGUUCUAUGUUCCACGUGUUAACCGACUAGGAUGACACGUAGAAUCAUCCGCUUCACCCCUUGCCAUGUUAACAACAAUUUAAUAUUGUUGUGUAUAUAACCGGGAGUGAACUAAGUAAUUAACCGUGGAGUUUCGUCGAUAUGCAACUCGUUGCAUAUCGAGCUUCACUUAAUGUGUAGUGUUUGUGUGAUGUGAAUUGUCAUGCCGUGGCGUGCAUAUUUGAUCUGUUCAUGCAUCAUAUUAGGUUGCGCAUCAUGUUGUGCAUCGUGUGGUGAAUAUCUGUGUUGAUGUUUGUUUCCGGUUUGCUCCGUCUCGAUAGAGUUCCGCAAGCGUGUCGGAAUGUGAGGACCCGUUCGACUACGAUGGUUCACCGACUUCACGGAGUUGUUGUUCUUCCAAGCGGGAUCUCAGGCAAGAUGACCAUUUCCCCAGAUACCAUUACUAUCAUUGCCAUGCUAGUAUUACCGUUUCUAUCGAUUAUGUCUCGUUGCCUACCACAUGUUAAAUAUCAGCCUCUCAACAAUGCCAUGAAAACUUUCAACCUGUUCGACCUAGCAAAGCACUGAUUGGCUAUGUUACCGCUUGCUUAACCCUGUGUAGCGUUGCUAGUUGCAGGUGCAGUUGCUUCCAUGUGAUUACAUGGGUUCCUUGUCAUAUCACCAUAUUUAAAUGCUAUUUAAUUUAAUGCACCUAUAUACUUGGUAAAAGGUGGAAGGCUCGGCCUUUCUAGCCUGGUGUUUUGUUCCACCUUUGCCCCCUUAGUUUCGGCUACCGGUGUUAUGUUCCAUAAUUGAGCGCUCCUAACACGAUCGGGGUUGUUAUGGGGACCCCCUUGAUAACUCGUUUUAGGUUAAAGCUGGUCUGGCAAGGCCCAACUUUGGUACUACAUUUGUCUAAUCACCUAAUAAAAUUCCAUAGGGACUUUCCGGACCCCGAGGAUAAUUUAAUCAACCCCCGGGCCAGUGCUCCUCAUGAGUCUUGGUCCCACCUGAGCGAUGUCCGGCGCCCCUCUGGUCACCCAGAGGUUUAGCGAUCCCGACGUCUAGCUCAUCCGUCGUGUCUUGAGAACGAGAUACGCGGCUCCUAUCGGGAUCGUCGACACGUCGGGCGGCCUUGCUGGAUUAGUUUUACCUUUGACGAAAUAUCUUGUGCAUCGGGAUUUCGGUGAUGCUUUGGGUAAUCUCAGAGUUGAGGUUUUCCACUAGGGAAUCCGACGAGAUCGCGAGCUUCGUGAUUGAGGAUUUCUAUGCGGCUUAUGGUAAUUUGUGAUGGACUAGUUGGAGCACCCCUGCAUGGUUAAAUCUUUUCGGAAAGCCGUGCCCGCGGUUAUGUGGCAACGUGGAAACUUUGUUUAACACUGGUUCUAGAUAACUUGAAGUUAACUUAAUUAAAAUAUGCCAACUGUGUGCGUAAUCAUGUCUGUCUCUUUCGUGAGAUCUUUCUCCGAUCGAGGACACGGUGGGGUUAUGUCUGAUGUAGGUAGGUGUUCAGGGUCAUUUAUUUGAUCAUCAGUAGCUCACGUCCGCUGUGCGUAGAUAUUCCCCCUCUUAUUUCUUGUACUCGUAAGUUUAGCCACCAAAUAUAUGCUUAGCCGUUGUUGCAACCUCACCACUUAACCAUACCUCACCCAUUAAGCUUUGCUAGUCUUCAUACCUUUGGAAAUGAGACAGUUGAGUCCCCUGUGGCUCACAGAUUACUACAACACCGGUUGUAGGUAUAGGUAAAGGUUACUUGACGCGAGCGCGUUGAUUGUUCAUUUGGAGUUGCUUCUUCUUCUUCAUCAUCGAUCUAGGAUGGGUUCUAGGCCGGUAGCCUGGGAUAGCAAGGAUGGACGUCUUUCUUCUUUUCUCGUUUGUUUUUGUCCGUAGUCGGACCCUGCUCUUACUCUUGAUGAUUAUGUAAUGUACUGAUGUGACUCUGAUGUAGCUUGUGGCGAGUGUAAGACAAUUCUAUAUAUAUCUCUCUUCUUUUCAGUACAUGUACUUGUAACGAUAUCCAUUCUUGCGACACGACGAGAUGCGCUUCUAUCCUUGACGAGGUCUUCAUGCCAAAUUGAGGAUAGGCUCGCAUCUUGGGCGUGACAAGUUGGUAUCAGAGCAGUACCGACCUAGGAGUCCCCUUGAUUGAUCGAACUUGGCCGAGUCGAGUCUAGUAAAAACUAUUUUGAGUCUAGUUAUAUAUCGGAGAGUAGGAUUCUUUUUUCUCCUCUUCUAUGCUCUGGUGAGGAAUCUUGACGUAAUAAUAUAUUCUACUCCUUUUCUCGCUCAAAUUUUUUUAGGAUCACGCGGGUAUUUGUGAAAUCUAUAUGAUUUCGAUGUGACGGAGUCCUGUCCUGGUGCCUCCUAUCUGCUUUGAGUUUCAGGGGAGUUGAGCUCCAGGGGAUUCUUGCGCACAUCGCCAUCAUUCAGGUUUCUUAGUAUCUAAGAACGAAGGAUGUUCGUAAUUGCUUCAAUACUAGUAGUGGCGAGAUAACCCCGAUGUCCCCAGUACUGGUGCUGAUUGUUCGGGAGUACUGCCAUACUUUGUAUCGUUGUGAUCACGAGGGUGUGUUGUAGAUGAAGCUCCGAGAUUCUAGUUGUGUGUUGACGGAUGUGAUACAGGUGACGGGUUAGUAUAGGAGUUGUGUGAUAUUACUCCUUGUAUCCGUGUACCAGAUUGCAUUACCAGAUAUUUCGGGAAUUCAUAGGUGGGAAUUCAAGUAGUUGCUUAUAGGACAAUCUUCCAACAAAUGCAUGAUGUUAGGUUGGGGUUCGACAUCUAGUGGAUUCGUUUGUUCAUGGUCGACUUACAGCGGUACACGUUGUGUCUUAAAGAGUCCUUGUAGCUUGCUACGACUCGGGGACGCUUCGUAUGUCGGGUGCACUGCCUUGCACUUGAUGGCUACUGUAAAAUCGAGCUCGUGCGAUCUUGUCCACAAAAAUAUCGGACGAAAUCUUUCUCAUGAGUUUGUUCUAGCUUGANNNNNNNNNNNNNNNNNNNNNNNNNNNNNNNNNNNNNNNNNNNNNNNNNNNNNNNNNNNNNNNNNNNNNNNNNNNNNNNNNNNNNNNNNNNNNNNNNNNNUCCUCUACCCGAGCCGCCUCCUCGUCCCCGACCGAGCACCUCGGAUGACCACCCAGGUCAUGUUGCUGCCCUCUCCUGCUGCUUCUCUCUUCCCUCUCUCACCUCGUCUCUCUCUCUCUCUCUUUGUUCACAGGAGCAGCACCACCCCUCCAUGGAAAUAACAGAAGCUUGUAGCUCGUGCUCCACUCAUCCCCAACUUCGAUUCGAGCUCCUGGUGAUGGGAAUGGAGCCCCAACCGCCGGUUCUGGAACCUUGGUUCCCCUAGGAUCCGCGCGGGAGAUCCGCUGCAGCACCGCGCCGCCGCGAGCAGAGCCAGGGUCGGCCGUGUUCGUCAGGUUCAGUUUCCCCCUUCUGCGAUUCAGAUUUGUUCACGUUCCACGUUCAGCGUGGACUUUGUACAUGUAGCAUAGGAAUCUCUUUUUUCCACAAGACUCCACCUAGCCCAGCUGGUCAGCGUGCUCAGUAGCAACCCUGAGGUCCAGGGAUCAAAUCCCACCGGCACCCCCUUUUGUUUAAUUCGUUUUUUCCCCUGUUGCAGUAGCAGUAGAGUGAGUGUUGGGGCAUAGUUUAUGCCUAAGUAAUUUUGGUGAUUGAUGACAGUAUCGUAAAGGACUAACCGUGUGUGUUAAGGUUUCAGAUAACACACGUCAAUGGCACAAGACGACUCAUCUCCUCAUUCAUGGAACGGAAGCACGGCGCUCUCUACGAUUCUCUUUAUUUGAGUCAUAGGAAAGUCGUACUAUUAAGAGGGGAUCCGUAGUGGAAAGGUUUGGGUGGAAUCUAUCUUUGCACGCGCACACUUCACAUAUUCUCCCUUACCUUCUUCAUUGGAGCGGCCCCCGCCACUGUGUUUCUGUCCUCCUUGCAAAUUGGUCCCCAGCGGUAGUACCGCUGGCCCUAGAGGUAGUACCGCUGGAAUGCUAGCGGUAGUACCGCUGCAGCCAGCGGUAGUACCGCCCCUGGUCAGCGGUAGUACCGCUGGCUGGCGGUAGUACCGCCCCUGGUCAGCGGUAGUACCGCUCCAGGAGCUCAGUACCGCCUGCCUAGCGGUAGUUCGUGGACGGACCUUUUUGCAAAGACUUUCUUGGCGGUGGUAGUGCUUUUUGCACUACCAGGGGGGCAGCGGUAGUACCGCUCGGGUGCCAGCGAUAGUACCGCUGCAGCCAGCGGUAGUACCGCUAGGCGGCGGUAGUACCGCCCCUGGUCAGCGGUAGUACCGCUGGAGUGCCAGCAGUAGUACCGCUGGAGCUCGGGCAGAGAGUGGGAAAACGGUCUGAUUCCCCCCCCCCCCACUAUAUAAAGGGUUCUUCUAGCUGCGGAACCUUAUCUCUUACCUCUCUAAGCUCCAUUGUUGGGCCCAAGCUCAAAAGUGCCCGAUCUCUCUCCCUAGCCAAUCAAACUUGUUGAUUCUUUAGGGAUUGGUUGAGAAGGCCUAGAUCCACACUUCCACCAAGAGAAAAGUUGAUUCCCCCACCAAUCCCUUGCGAAUCUUGUUAUUCUUGGGUGUUUGAGCAUCCUAGACGGUUGAGGUCACCUCGAAGCCAUAUUCCAUUGUGGUGAAGCUUCGUGGUCUAGUUGGGAGCCUCCAAUCUUUGUGUGGAGUUGCCCCAACCUUGUUUAUAAAGGUUCGGUCGCCGCCUUCAAGGGCACCUAUAGUGGAAUCACGGUACCUUGCAUCGUGCGAGGGUGUGAGGAGAAUACGGUGGCCUUAGUGGCUUUUUGGGGAGCAUUGUGCCUCCACACCGCUCCAACGGAGACGUACUUCCUGUCAAAGGGAAGGAACUUCGGUAACACAUCCUCGUCUCCAUCGGUUCCACUUGUGGUUAUCUCUAUCCUUUACUUUGUAUUUGCUUAUGCUUGUGACUAUAUCUUACUUGUCUUAAUAGCUCUCGUUGUUAGCUUCUUUAGGGUUCACCUCAUUGUCGUAUUAUUUGUGAACCCGUAUGUUGUUUGCCUUAACUUGCUAAGAUUAUUUAAAAAGUGGUCAUUGUCUAUNNNNNNNNNNNNNNNNNNNNNNNNNNNNNNNNNNNNNNNNNNNNNNNNNNNNNNNNNNNNNNNNNNNNNNNNNNNNNNNNNNNNNNNNNNNNNNNNNNNNCAACAAUGACAUAAUUAGCCCAUUUAGCUCCAAAAUACCAUAAUAAGCUCAAAAUGGCAUAAGAACCUUGGUUAGCUUAUUAAUAUUAUAUACUUAGCUAGUUUUCCUCUAAAAUGGGAUAAUUAGCCCAUUUAGCUCAAAAAAGACAUAAUUAGGUAAUUUAGCUCCAACAAGAGGAGAAGAGGAGAAGAAAUAGGCAAAAUGAAAAGAAAGAAGAAGAAGAAGAAGAAGAGAAGAAGGAGAAGGAGGAGGAGGAGGAGGAGGAGAAGGCCAGGGCCUUCUCCUCCUCCUCCUCCUUCUUCUUGAUUUCUUCUUCUUCUCCUCCUCCUCCUCUUUCUUCUCCUCUUUCAUAUUAUCCUUGUUUUAAUUAACCCAACAAUGACAUAAUAAGCCCAUUUAGCUCCAAAAUACCAUAAUAAGCUCAAAAUGGCAUAAGAACCUUGGUUAGCUCAUUAAUAUUAUAUACUUAGCUAGUUUUCCUCUAAAAUAAGAUAAUUAGCCUAUUUAGCUCAAAAAAGACAUAAUUAGGUAAUUUAGCUCCAACAAGAGGAGAAGAGGAGAAGAAAUAGGCAAAAUGAAAAGAAAGAAGAAGAAGAAGAAGAAGAAGAGAAGAAGGAGAAGGAGGAGGAGGAGGAGGAGGAGAAGGCCAAGGACCUUCUAUCCUUCUCCUCCUCCUCCUUCUCCUUCUCCUCCUCCUUCUUGAUUUCUUCUUCUCCUCCUCCUCCUCCUCUUUCUUCUCCUCUUUCAUAUUAUCCUUGCUUUAAUUAACCCAACAAUGACAUAAUUAGCCCAUUUAGCUCCAAAAUACCAUAAUAAGCUCAAGAUGGCAUAAGAACCUUGGUUAGCUCAUUAAUAUUAUAUAGUUAGCUAGUUGUCCUCAAAAAUGGGAUAAUUAGCCCAUUUAGCUCAAAAAAGACAGAAUUAGGUAAUUUAGCUCCAACAAGAGGAGAAGAGGAGAAGAAAUAGGCAAAAUGAAAAGAAAGAAGAAGAAGAAGAAGAAGAAGAGAAGAAGGAGAAGGAGGAGGAGGAGGAGAAGGCUAAGGACCUUCUAUCCUUCUCCUCCUCCUCCUCCUCCUCCUUCUUCUUGAUUUCUUCUUCUUCNNNNNNNNNNNNNNNNNNNNNNNNNNNNNNNNNNNNNNNNNNNNNNNNNNNNNNNNNNNNNNNNNNNNNNNNNNNNNNNNNNNNNNNNNNNNNNNNNNNNGAUUUCUGUAUAAUUUCCCUUGAGAAAUUAUACAUUAGCCCCCAAGUGUCAGGGGUAUUGCCUUGCAAUAAUUCUGAGACUUGUCUUUGUUUUAAAUUUUGAACAGGAAAGCCUUGCCCAAACCGAACUGGCCCUGGGCGACUUAAGGAAAAACUUGGCUGACCAACAAGAUGCCCGAACUCAGUCGGAAGACAAAUAUAAGUUGGCUCUGGUUGAACUGGAAAAGCUCAAAGCCGAGUUAGAAAGAACUCAGGCUGACCACAGCUCGGUUUUGACGAGAGUCGAAAAAGCAGAAGCAAAGCUGGCAACUGUGCAGCAGGAGCUAUCCGGCUUAAAGCGCCAUAUUUCCAACAUGACACAAGCCAUCUUUGGUAAGAUUUACCUAACUCUCCAAUCUUAUCCUCUUCCUUGGGCAAAUUCCUUAAUGUUUAACUUACCGGUUAUUUAAUCACAGGCUCGAGAGUCGCCAAUCUGCAAGACGACAGCGUGUUGAUGCUGAAGGCGAUCUAUACACUGACGGAACAACUGUACACAGGCAGUGUGCUGACUGUCAAAGCUGUGAUAGGUGCAAAGGAGCCCAUAACUUCCAUCAAGAAGGUGCUUGGAUAUCUAUCCACACUGCCUCCCUAGAUCGGCGAGUUAACCCGAUCAGCCGCCCGGAAGGGUGUCCUGACGGCUCUGAGUCGCUGCCUGGCGUAUGCUCCAGAAAUUAAUUUGGAAGAAGUAGCUGCCGGCUUCCCUCAGCUUAAAGAUGACGGCUCGGAGUUCGUGGAAGAAGACUACCAGAAGGUUGUCAAGGAUUCUCGACUGGCCGCGACUCAACUCGCCGCCAGCCUUGACUUGACAAAAUAUCAGGCGGCUUACAAUGACAAGAAUAAGAAAAUCAGCCCGCCAACCUUCGUGGUGACCAACCUUAUCCCUCGGCGACCCAAGAAUCCCUUCGACUGGGAAACAGACCUGGCAUCAAUCUUGACCGAUGAAGACGAUUUUGCCUCUUUGUCCAGAUGCAAUUGGGUCUUGGGCGAUUUACAAAUCGAAGCUGGUCAGAGCUCACGCCAGGACUUAGCGGAAUAGAUUUUCCUUGAUUUUGGCCCAAGAGCCAUGUAAUAGUCAGUACUAUCAUUUGAUGACAUCUUCUGCAAAAAACCCUUAUACCGCUUUUGAGGCGGUUUUAAAAUAUUUUGUUAAUCCUUAUCAGAAUCGCCUGAAAUGCUCAAUUCGCCAAGGAUGAAAACCUUGAGCACAUUAUCUGUGAAAAUAAAAGAACUACAAACAGUUUCAACGAAUAAGCAGUGAGGAUAAAAAAUCUUCAAGGUCAAAUCAUAACACGAGUAAUUUCGUCGGCUCAUACGGUCGCGACAGGGGGRGGCGAGUCAGAAAGCUCGUGCACCCACCCUUAAUGCAGGUUUCGNNNNNNNNNNNNNNNNNNNNNNNNNNNNNNNNNNNNNNNNNNNNNNNNNNNNNNNNNNNNNNNNNNNNNNNNNNNNNNNNNNNNNNNNNNNNNNNNNNNNUGAAGCAGUGCAGAGACCAGGCCGAGGUGCCCUUCCGUGUCCCUCCUCGCCUCUCCCUCGUGCGCCAUGGCCGACCGCAUCAGCAAGAAGCAGCGCCGCGGCGCGGACGGCGAGUUCGUCUGCAAGACGUGCAGCCGCGCCUUCCCGUCGUUCCAGGCGCUGGCGGGCACCGGACAAGCCACCUGCGCGGCCGCCACGGGCUCGCGCUCGGCCUCGCCGCCGGGUCCGAUCAGCCGGCGACCAAGAGGACCACGSGACCAGAAGCAGGCGCACCAGUGCCAUCGUCUGCGGGCUCGAGUUCGAGAUGGGGCAGGCGCUCGGCGGCCACAUGCGCCGCCACCGCGAGCAGGAGGCCGCCUCCGCCGCGGUGGCGCAGCCGCCGCCCGUCCUGCUCGAGCUGUUCGUCUAGGUUGAUGAUUAGCUAACUUUACUUAUGCUACAGAGUUCGUGAUCGACCUGUGUAGAUUUGUACGUCGCUGCACAUCAGACACACAUACUCGUAGCUUAGCUAGGUAUUGAUCGUUAGUUGGUUCAUUCAUUCGUGUACUUUUGUGGACAUAUUUGGUGACUUGAUUCAUUCAUUCAUUCAUUGGUUCGGAGAUUAUGUAUACACGUUAACUGAUUGGGUUGCUCGUCUCUUUUGAUCCAACUAGCCCGGUGUACAAUUUUAACUCGGAGGAACAAGUGUGAUGCUUUUCUUGUUUACAAAUAUCUUCAAAUAUAUGGCCUUUUCGUUCCAUUUUUCUUUCCACUUUAUUGAUUGUUUUUUAGCAUCUUGUGGGAUGACUGCGAGCCACUGUUGUCAAACCGUUGCCGCAUCAAUGUCAAAUGCAUUUAGUGGGGGCGAGAAUUAAAGCAAAUCUUGCUAGUUUGAUAUUCUUGUUUUUUACUGGAAGGCAACUUGAUAUUCGAAGACCAAAGUAAAUUUGGAUUUUGAGAUAUCAAAAUAUGGAAUGUGUUUCUGUCCGCCUAGCAUGCAUUUGUCUCCAGUGGAUCUCAUGGGAUUCGAUCGGCAUUUGUCUUUGAUGGAUCCACGUGCAUCCGGUCUCCGUUAGAUUGUGGGCUACAUGUUUUAUCCCUCUAAUUUAAGCUUUUCUUCAUUUGUGACGAUUGUUGCUCGAGUGCCUGGCCUUGUAGGGUCUUACACUCUUAUCACGACUACUUUUUGAUUGUGGUUCGGGUGAGGGUGAGGCGAGAACGGCGGCACACCUUUGGCUUGCUCUAGUGCUUGUAGUCGUCGUUAGUUGGUAAACGGACCUAUAUGUUUUUUUUUCAUUGUUGAUGGAAUCGUUAACUGGUAACUGCUCAGUUAAUAGGCUAAUCGGUAAGUUAAUCAGUCAUUUAAUCCAUUAAUCGGGUUAUUUAUCAGUUAAUCCACUACUCGGUGACCCUACGAGUAGGAAUUAAUCGACAGGUUAACUGGUCGACUGGACUAAUUUUUGAACAUGAAUUUUUUACUUUUGAUGUUGUUUGUACUGCCUUGAUAGUUGAUGAAUAGAUUGAAAGAUUUCUUGCAAAAAAGGGAUAUCAAAAUAUUGAUCGGUCAUUUCUAUAGUUAAGUGGAAAACAAUCAUUUUUUAUUUUAAUUCUGUUGUUCAGAUUUUUUAAAAGGGUAUUAUAUUAUUAUCAAGCUGAUUUAAAUUACACACAACCUUUUCAACAACAUGAUAUCCAUAGAUGUCGAGACAUCUAAGAUGAACACAACCAAAAACAAAAAGGAAAGAAAGAGAGACCUGACAAAGUAAGACGAGGGAAACAAACUGUUGUAGCACAACAAUAAAAACUACUACCACCAUACGAAACGCCAUAACUCCAAGAAGGUCCCCCAAUAGCGACACCAACUGGAAAGUAAUCAUGCAUGAACGUCAUAUUGGACAUAUCCAAUCAUAUACUGCGUUCGUCUCAAAAAUAGUGUCUCAAAUUUAAUACAAUUUUGACUAAAUCUAGUAUAAAGUUAAGACAUUUAUUUUAAAACGGAAGGAGUAGUACAGAUCAUUGAUUUUUCACCUUUCUAAGAAGGUCUGAGCAGACUCCGGCUAGUGUCUUCUACAAGGGAGCAUAGCCCCCUCUACCAAGUACAACUAAGAGCAUGGUUAAUAGUACCCCUCUACCAAGUACAACUAAGAGCAUGGUUAAUAGUAUAGUCAACUGCUGGCUAUAAGCCAUCUUAUAGCCCAUCUUACAGUUAUCUUGUACAAUGGUUAGCUAUAAAAGAAUACUAUUUUUAUUAUAUAUGGCCCACCUUUCAUUCUCACAAAGCACCUAGGAGCACGUGCUAGAGCUAGCUCUUCACGAAGAGCCCGCUUCCCUUUUCUCUUGUCUUCUUUCUCAUCCAACUCAGCAAAAAUAUAGUAUUUUAAUCCUUACAGUCUGCUGACUGUAUCUUAUUAUACUUGCUUUAAUAAGUGUCAGAGUAGAGUUUUCACCCCAAAACUCCAUGCUUGGUACUCAAAGAGCACCACCAAAAACGAAGCUCCCAAAGGAGUUGCCACCACCAACUUGCCAAGAAGAAGUCUUGCUCUAAUUAAUGUCCAUGUUGCCACCAAAUUCCGAAAACAAGAAUGAAAUAGUCACAUUGGAUACCUGCUAAAGUUCACCCCUCGCAUUGGCAGGGUGCGGAGGGUAAACUGUCAUAAGGGACCACAUGGCCACAUCGCAUGUGCCACCUCCAAUGGCCUCUUUGGCCAAGUUGCGUAGCCUAUGACUCCAUCGGUUGCAUCACCAUCGGUAUCUGCGCCAAAGGGAUCAUGAAGAACAAGACAUAUACGUAGUAGGGGAUGCCAAUUCUCAGCGGAUUAGGCUGGUUGUAAUGGGUAGUAUCAUAUGUUAGUAUCAUGCAUAUGAUACUAGUGUAUGAUACUACAUCCGUAAUGCAUAGUAUAAUAUGUUAGUAUCAUAGUAUAGUUCAUUUAUUGACAUGCAAGACACAUAGUAGCACAUCAUUUAAUAUGAUACGGUAUCAUGAUAUGAUACUCAACCCUCUCUUUCUUCAUUUAAUUCUGUGCCACCUCAUCGAAAUUGCCUAGUUGGCAUGCAUGAUACUACCUAUGAGAUACUCCCAUUACGGGCAGCCUUAGGGCGCCAUCCACUCCUUUGUCGCACCUUGAGGUGCGAGCCAUCACCGCCAUAUGUCCCCUAUAACCAAGACAUGAAAUAGGAUCUCGGUCACACCAUUGGAUGACUAGAACACCUUCCGCUGCAGACGGGAAAAUGGUCAAAUGAUCCACCAUCGUGUCAUGCUGACACGGCAAACCACCACCAGGCAGUUGGGGGGGGGGGGGGGUCCUUCGAUGGAAUUUGGGCUCCGUUGGAGUGCACACUAUCUAGGGCCGCGCCGCUCCCUAGCUGGAGGGCUCCCUGCGGCAAGGUGACGAGCCCACCGCCGUCAGCAGCCUGGUUGGCUUAGCAUGCCGGCUUCUUUCGACGGCGACUUAAUAGGUAGGAGGGCACGGGGGGGAGGCUAGGGUUGCAUGCGAGCCGCCUGAGCGGUGUGAGCAUUUUAUUGACUCUACUAUGGAUGUAUUCCCUCUGUUUUCAUUUAUUCCGCAUAUUUGCUUUGACCUAAGUCAAACUUUAUAAUGGUUGACCUGUUUAUAAAAAAAACUAAGUUUCAUAAUAAAAAUAAAUAUGGUAUGAUAAUAUAUUGAAUGAUGACUCUAAUGGUGUUGAUUUGGUAUCAUGGAUGUUAAUAUUUUUUUGUAUAAACUUGGUCAAAAUUUAAUUUUUUUGACUCUAGACAAAUCUAAUAUGCAAAGUAGAUAAAAAGGGAGGGAGUAAGUACUUAGCAAAGGCAUGCAAGUCUCUUUUAGGGAAUUAACUAAAGCUCUACCAAUUAAUCUGGUGAACGUGAUUAGGUGAACGAAGUGCUUUCCUCAAACAAAGAAUACAUCCUAGAUUGAAACAGUGCACCUAUACCAUAUAUAGCCUAGGUACAAGAACCAACAGAGUAUAUGUUUUAAAUCAGAUCUAAAUCUGGGCUUGUACAUCGUGUGGACAUUAAAUGAGUAUCAAUCUCUUUCCUCACAACACGUCCCAAGAUCGUGUAAGCAAGGUAAUUACUACAACGCAUCAUCUGCUACUACUACAUGCACCAACCAACUUCCUCAGGUUCGUUGGCCUAUAAAUAGCCUGCUAGAACAGCCAUAGGCGAUGUGGAACAACAAAAAGGCAUUGUAACUUCGGCAUGGACUCCAAACUAGUAGCGAUCCUUGUCGCCGGCUUGUUCUUUUGCAUUGCCAACACAGGUAUAGUAUUCCAAACAAUCUCCAAGUCGACAAUCCUAUUACUCCCCAUGCCAUCCACUGUUCAUGAAUCCCCAUGCCAUCCACUGAGACUCUUUUCCUUUCCAGGUGUUCACGCAGGCAAUGCAGAUGCAUCGUUGUGCAGAGCUUCGGAUCUCGUCGUCAACACGAACAUAGAGGCUGGCCCGGGAGGAAGACCUCAGCACUUCGUGAGCGUGAUCAACACGUGCAACUGCGCGCAGAAGAACAUCAAGCUGGCGUGCCCGGGCUUCAACUACACCAUCAAUGUCUUCCCGGCCAGCGCCAUCAGGCGGGACAGCGACGGCGCCAACUGCAUCCUCUUCGGCGGCCGCCCAGUGGGGUCUGCCUGGUCGGUUAGCUUCAUCUACGAGUCGAGCACCAACUUCAGCUUCCAGCCCGUUUCCUCCACCACCGUCUGUUAGAUCGAUCUAUAACGGGUGAAUAGAUAUGAUUGUAUGGCAAAUCUGUUUCGUUUCUUGAGACCAAAAAGAUCUCUCCCUAUUCUGGCAAUAAGAGAUCUGGAGUGUAAUUGGAACUUUUGAAGGGAUCAAGCUCCUCCUUGUAUUUGUCCUCCUUUUCGAAAGGAAAAAGAACUUGGUCGCAGCUUAUGUUUUUCUGCGAAUUUUCUUUAUCUCGUAAUCACAUGUGGUUUCUUCGUUGACAAAUCGGCCCAAUGGGAAUCAUACAUCUUUUUUCUCAACGGGGCAUCCCUCUUUGAAUUAAUUUCUUAACGGAAAUACAAAGUUCGUACAUGAACAUUUAAAUUUGAUCGACAUAUUUAUAGGUUUGUACUAGCAAAAUGGUCUGUGCGUUGCAUCGAGAGAAAAGAAAUCGUAAUCUCUAAUCUCUAAUUAAGCAUUCAUAAAAUGUCAAAAAAGUAUUUGAAAAAGUUUGAACAAUUAUUUGAAAAAAUGCUACUUAAGCAUUGGAAAAAAAUAACAAGUGUUCUAAAAAUCUUAAUCAGGCAUUCAUAAAAUGUUGAAGGUGUAUAAAACAAAUGUUGAUCAUGUCUUUGAAAAAUGAAGAAAUUAUGUGAUCAUGUGUAUAAAAUUUUCAUACAUACUUUUAAAAAAUGUUUAACAAGCAUUUGGAAAAUGUUAAACAAGCAUUUUGAACAUUUUAAUGGUGUAUAUAAAAACUUUUGGCCAUGUAUUAAGAAAUUAUGAGUUUUUUAUCAUUAUAUAAAAAAUGAAAAAGGAAUAAAAAUACGGAGAAGGCAAAAACAAAAAAAACAAAAAAUAAAGGAAAAACAGAGAAAAAUGGCUCUUCUUAGCUCAAGAAAGACGCCACCUACUACUAACCAAAAAAACUAACAACGAACCCCAGGUGGGCAGAGUGGCCAGCAUUGACGUCAUUCAAUCUUGAGUUGCCGGUGUUGAACCCUCCAUGAUUGCAUCUUUUCUCAGUCUUUUCUUUUUAAAGAAGGAUGGUCAUGAGCCGGUCCAGCUACCUGCACGAACGGUGAUUCCUUCAGCGAGAGAGCAGCUUCUGUCUAACCCCCAUAGUUGUCAAACGCAAUCACGUUCAGUCACAUUUUUUUUGCGGGGUGCGUUCAGUUACAUUUCAGUAUGACGGUAUAGCCUUCGCCGGUCGAAGUCCUCUCUCCAUGGAGAACCUCUAUGUCUCACCUUUAGCGAGAUGGAAGGAACCCUCUCUGAAUAAGAGACCAAGAUGUGCCGGCCCAACAGCACGGGUGGCCAUAUCCUCCUUUUUCCUGUUUUUAUUACAUUUUUUCUUUCGUUUUUUCCUUUCUUAUUUAAAUUUUACUUAUACUAUAAAAUAUCUUAAAUAUAUCUCUAAAAAGUGAAUUAAAAUAUUGAAAAUAUGUUAACCGAGCAUGUGAAAAAUGGUAGAUGUGCAUAAAGAAAGUGUUUAUCACGUAUAUGAAAAAUGUAUUAAAAAUGUGUAUAAUUUUUUAGAUAUUGUAUUUGAAAAAUGUUAAUCAAGUAUUUUGAUGUUUUAUGAACAAGUAUUUGAAAACAUUGAUCAAGCAUUUGAAAAAAAUUAAAAGUGUAUAGAAUUUUUGUUUUACAUGCAUUAAAAAUGAUGAAGUUUUUAAUCAUGUAUAUAAAAAUGUUAAUCAAGCAUUCCAAAUUUUUUAUCAAGAAUUUGAAAAAUAUUAAAUAUUUAUAGUAAAAAAUUGACCAUGUAUUAAAAAAUGAUGAACUUCUUUUUCAUGUAUAUCAAAAUGUUAACUAAGCAUUUGGAAAAAAUGUUAAAGAAGUAUUUGAAAAAAAUUCAUCAAGCAUUUAAAAAUGUUGAAUUUGUAUAAGCAAUGUUGGUAGUCUAUUAAAAAAAUAUGAAAUAUUUUCAUUAUAUAUAUAUAUAUAUAAUCGUAAUCAAGCAUUUCCAAAAAUGUUAGACAAACAUUCAGAAAAUAUUAAAUGUGUAUAGAAAAUAUGUUGACCAUGUGUUCAAAAACAUUAAUAUUGCAUAUAUAAAAUAUUAGUCAAGCACUUGAUAAAUGUUAAGUGUGCAUUGUAAAAACAGUGUUUUUUAUUCAAGAUCGUUGAUCAAUCAUUUAAAAAAUGUUAACCAUGUGUAUAGAAAAAUAUAUUGACCAUGCAUUAAAAACUGUUAAACUCAUAUCACAAUAAGUUUAAAUGUCUAUUAGAAAAAUGUUUUGACAUAUAAAAAAUGCAGAAUAAAAAUAUACGAAAAAAUAAAUAGUAAAAACUGAAAAAAUAAAAUAUGAGCCCAAAAAAAUCCGACUAACGCUGAUGAAAAUGAAACAAAUGUAGAAAGAAUUAAACUAAAACUAGAAUAAACUAAAUGUAAAAAAUUUAAAAAUGAAAAAUAAACUAAAACCAAAGAAGAAGAGAAGAGAGGAAACAAAAGAAAACAAGAAAAAACAAAUAAAACGAAGAAACAAAUGAAAUAAACCAAAAAAAAGAAUAAAUAAGAGCAUAAAAACGAAAGAAGGAAGAAAACCGAAUAACACUGAUGAAAAUAGAGAAAGAAAAGAAAAACUAGGGCACACCCUUCUACUUUAUGUCUCAAGUAGGGCACGCCCAACUAAAGAAACACGAGCUCAAGUGUAUCCAAGUGGUUAGGAGGGAGUCCCGGGUUUCCUAUUUUCUUCUGCCUUUUUAUAAGACUAGUAAAUUUGCACAGUUGCACGUUUGAACUACCAUCAGAUAAUUAUCAAACAUGUUUUUUCAUUAUCAUACAAGUUUCAUAACCAAUAAUAGCGUUUGUUGGGCUGAAAGAAAAACAAGAUCACAUGAACAAACUGAAGCGAUCAUCACUAUCUUUAUUAAGUUCAUGUUGUCGAUGGUCGAACAACUAAUCCAAAGACGACAACUUGACGUGUAAUUUUUUUGCUAAUCUUCAUUGCAAGAAAACAAUAAUGUUCAAAUAUACACAAUCUCCAGAACAACAAGAUACGGUAGUUACAUGUCAUUGUUUCAUUGAAACAUCCGACAAAGCACGGAAAAUAGAUGAAUGCUUUAGAAGUUGUUGUGCUACUCGGUAUACUUCAGCAGCAUUUGUACCGGAUGUUGAUUCCAAAGAAAAUACUGAAAGGAGAAAAGGUACAAUAACUAAAGUUACCUACAUAACUCCAUGUAUCAAUACAAAUUUUUUUCAUAUGUACGGUGAUGAACUUCCCUAGAACAAAACAAAAAAGCGAAAGACUAUCAACAAAUAAUCAAUUAAAAAAGGUAACAAGACAGCAUGGUAUAAGUGAGCUUUGCCUUGGUUAGUUCCUACAUCUAGGUGAAAGUUACGCUCCAUCCAACUAAAUGAACAAAUGAGUGUCAUCUAAACCUCAAAGCUUGCAUGCNNNNNNNNNNNNNNNNNNNNNNNNNNNNNNNNNNNNNNNNNNNNNNNNNNNNNNNNNNNNNNNNNNNNNNNNNNNNNNNNNNNNNNNNNNNNNNNNNNNNAUCAGACACGGGGAAUGACGAAUGGGUUCUGGGAGUUCACCCCAGGGGGGGGGGUAACCCACCCCGGGGAAGCCCAUAGGCCUUGAGGGUGGCACACCAGCCCUUAGUGGGCUGGUGGGACAGCCCAAAAGGGCUCUAUGCGCCAAGAAGAGAAAAUCAAGAGAAAAGGAAAAAAAAAGGAGGAGGUGGGAAGGAAGGGGGACUCCCUCCCACCAAACCAAGUCCAACUCGGUUUGGGGGGAGUCCUCCCCCCUUGGACUCGGCCGACCCCCUUGGGGCUCCUUGAGCCCCAAGGCAAGGUCCCCCCCUCUCCCACCUAUAUAUACGGAGGUUUUAGGGCUGAUUUAAGACGACUUUUCCACGGCAGCCCGACCACAUACCUCCACGGUUUUUCCUCUAGAUCGCGUUUCUGCGGAGCUCGGGCGGAGCCCUGCUGAGACAAGGUCAUCACCAACCUCCGGAGCGCCGUCACGCAGCCGGAGAACUCUUCUACCUCUCCGUCUCUCUUGCUGGAUCAAGAAGGCCGAGAUCAUCGUCGAGCUGUACGUGUGCUGAACGCGGAGGUGCCCUCCGUUCGGUACUAGAUCGUGGGACUGAUCGCGGGAUUGUUCGCGGGGCGGAUCGAGGGACGUGAGGACGUUCCACUACAUCAACCGCGUUCACUAACGCUUCUGCUGUACGAUCUACAAGGGUACGUAGAUCACUCAUCCCCUCUCGUAGAUGGACAUCACCAUGAUAGGUCUUCGUGCGCGUAGGAAAUUUUUUGUUUCCCAUGCGACGUUACCCAACAGUGGCAUCAUGAGCUAGGUUCAUGCGUAGAUGUCUUCUCGAGUAGAACACAAAAGUUUUUGUGGGCGGUGAUGUGCGUUUUGCUGCCCUCCUUAGUCUUUUCUUGAUUCCGCGGUAUUGUUGGAUUGAAGCGGCUUGGACCGACAUUACUCGUACGCUUACGAGAGACUGGUUUCAUCGUUACGAGUAACUCCGUUGCUCAAAGAUGGCUGGCAAGUGUCGGUUUCUCCAACUUUAGUUGAAUCGGAUUUGACCGAGGAGGUCCUUGGAUGAGGUUAAAUAGCAACUCAUAUAUCUCUGUUGUGGUGUUUGCGUAAGUAAGAUGCGAUCCUACUAGAUACCCAUGGUCACCACGUAAAACAUGCAACAACAAAAUUAGAGGACGUCUAACUUGUUUUUGCAGGGUAUGCUUGUGAUGUGAUAUGGCCAAUGAUGUGAUGUGAUAUAUUCGAUGUAUGAGAUGAUCAUGUUGUAAUAGAAAUAUCGACUUGCACGUCGAUGGUACGGCAACCGGCAGGAGCCAUAGGGUUGUCUUUAUACUAACGUGUGUGCUUGCAGAUGCGUUUACUAUUUUGCUAGGAUGUAGCUUUAGUAGUAAUAGCAUGAGUAGCACGACAACCCCGAUGGCAACACGUUGAUGGAGAUCAUGGUGUGGCGCCGGUGACAAGAAGAUCGUGCCGGUGCUUUGGUGAUGGAGAUCAAGAAGCACGUGAUGAUGACCAUAUCAUGUCAUUUAUGAAUUGCAUGUGAUGUUAAUCCUUUUAUGCACCUUAUUUUGCUUAGAACGACGGUAGGAUUAUGAGGUGAUCUCUCACUAAAAUUUCAAGACGAAAUUGUGUUCUCCCCGACUGUGCACCGUUGCUACAGUUCGUCGUUUCGAGACACCACGUGAUGAUCGGGUGUGAUAGACUCAACGUUCACAUACAACGGGUGCAAAACAGUUGCGCACGCGGAACACUCGGGUUAAGCUUGACGAGCCUAGCAUGUGCAGACAUGGCCUCGGAACACAUGAGACCGAAAGGUCGAUCAUGAAUCAUAUAGAUGAUAUGAUUAGCAUAGGGAUGCUUACCACUGAAACUAUACUCAACUCACGUGAUGAUCGGACUUGAGCUAGUGUAAGUGGAUCAUGAACCACUCAAAUGACUAGAGAGAUGUACUUUUUGAGUGGGAGUUUAGCGUAUAAUUUGAUUAAGUUAAACUCUAAUUAUCUUGAACAUAGUCUAAGUCCACUUUGAAUGUAUUUGUGUUGUAGAUCAUGGCUCACGCAACAGUCAUCCUGAAUUUUAAUACGUUCCUAGAGAAAGCUAAGUUGAAAGAUGAUGGAAGCAACUUGGUAGACUGGGCUCGUAAUCUUAAGCUAAUCUUACAAGCUGGGAAGAAGGAUUAUGUCCUUAAUGCUGCGUUAGGAGAUGAACCACCCGCUACGGCUGAUCAGGAUGUUAAAAACGCUUGGUUAGCACGUAAGGAGGACUACUCAGUAGUUCAAUGUGCAGUCUUGCAUGGCUUAGAACCGGGACUUCAACGUCGCUUUGAGCGUCAUGGAGCAUUUGAGAUGUUCCAGGAGUUGGAGUUUAUCUUUCAGAAGAACGCCCGGAUCGAGACGUAUUAGACCUCCGAUAAAUUCUAUGCUUGCAAGAUGGAGGAAAACUCAUCUCUCAGUGAACAUGUGCUCAAAAUGUCUGGGUACUCAAACCGUCUAGCUGAGCUGGGGAUUGAACUCCCGCAAGAAGCUAUCACUGACAGAAUCCUUCAAUCACUGCCGCCAAGCUAUAAAGGCUUUGUGUUGAACUACAACAUGCAAGGGAUGAACAAGUCUCCCGGCGAGUUGUUUGCGAUGCUGAAAGUCGCAGAGUCUGAACUCCAUAAAGAGCAUCAAGUGUUGAUGGUGAAUAAGACCACUAGUUUCAAGAGAAACGGCAAAGGCAAGAAGGGCAAUUCGAAGAAGAGCGGCAAGCCUGUUGCCAAUCCGACGAAGAAACCCAAAGCUGGACCUAAGCCGGAAACGGAGUGUUACUAUUGCAAGGGUAUGGGUCAGUGGAAGCGCAAUUGCCCCAAGUAUCUGGCAGAUAAGAAGGCGAGCAAAGAAAAAUCAGGUAUAUUUGAUAUACAUGUUAUUGAUGUGUACUUAACCGGCUCUCGUAGUAGUGCCUGGGUAUUCGAUACCGGUUCUGUUGCUCAUAUUUGCAACUCGAAACAGGAACUGCGGAAUAGGCGAAGGCUGGCGAAAGAUGAAGUGACGAUGCGCGUAGGAAAUGGUUCCAAGGUUGAUGCAAUUGCUGUCGGCACAGUGUCACUUCAGUUACCGUCAGGAUUAGUGAUGAACUUAAAUCAUUGUUAUUUAGUGCCUGCGUUGAGCAUGAACAUUAUAUCUGGAUCUUGUUUAUUGCGAGACGGUUACUCUUUUGAGUCAGAGAAUAAUGGUUGUUCUAUUUCUAUGAGUAACAUCUUUUAUGGUCAUGCACCGAAUGUGAGAGGAUUGUUCAUAUUGAAUCUUGAUAGCGAUACGCAUAUACAUAACAUUGAGACCAAAAGAGUUAGAGUUAACAAUGAUAGCGCCAUAUUUUUGUGGCACUGCCGCUUAGGUCAUAUUGGUGUAAAGCGCAUGAAGAAACUCCAUGCUGAUGGACUUUUGGAGUCACUUGACUUUGAUUCACUUGACACGUGCGAACCAUGCCUCAUGGGCAAGAUGACUAAGAGUCCGUUCUCAGGAACAAUGGAGCAUGCAAGUGACUUGUUGGAAAUCAUACAUACCGAUGUGUGUGGUCCGAUGAGCGUGGAGGCACGCGGCGGAUAUCGUUAUUUUCUCACCUUCACUGACGAUUUAAGUUGAUAUGGUUAUGUCUACUUGAUGAAGCACAAGUCUGAAACAUUUGAAAAGUUCAAGCAAUUUCAGAGUGAAGUGGAAAAUCAUCGUAACAAGAAGAUCAAGUUCCUACGGUCUGAUCGUGGGGGUGAAUAUCUGAGUUUCGAGUUUGGUGCUCACUUAAGACAAUGUGGAAUUGUUUCACAGUUAACACCGCCUGGAACACCACAGCGUAAUGGUGUGUCCGAACGUCGUAAUCGUACUCUAUUAGAGAUGGUGCGAUCUAUGAUGUCUCUUACUGAUUUACCGUUAUCAUUUUGGGGCUAUGCAUUAGAAACAGCUGCAUUCACUUUAAAUAGGGCACCAUCAAAAUCCGUUGAGACGACACCAUGCGAACUGUGGUAUGGCAAAAGGCCAAAGUUGUCGUUUCUUAAAGUUUGGGGAUGUGAUGCUUAUGUCAAAAAGCUUCAGCCUGAAAAGCUGGAACCCAAAGCGGAAAAGUGCGUCUUCAUAGGUUACCAAAAAGAGACAGUUGGGUACACCUUCUAUCUCAAAUCCGAGGGCAAAGUGUUUGUUGCUAAAAACGAAGCUUUUCUCGAGAAGGAGUUUCUCUCGAGAGAAUUGAGUGGGAGGAAGAUAGAACUUGACGAGGUUGUCGAACCUCUCAUCCCUCUGGAUGGUGGCGCAGGGCAAGGGGAAACCUCUGUCAUUGCGACGCCGGUUGAGGAGGAAGUUAAUGAUGAUGAUCAUGAAACUCCAGUUCAAGUUUCUGUCGUACCACGCAGGUCGACGAGACCACGUGCUGCUCCAGAGUGGUACGGUAAUCCCGUCUUAUCAAUCAUGUUGUUAGACAACAAUGAACCUACGAAUUAUGAAGAAGCAAUGGUGGGCCCAGAUUCCAACAAAUGGCUGGAAGCCAUGAAGUCCGAUAUAGGAUCCAUGUAUGAGAACAAAGUGUGGACUUUGGAGGUACUGCCUGAGGGCCGCAAGGCCAUUCAGAACAAAUGGAUCUUUAAGAGGAAGACGGACGCUGACGGUAAUUAAAGCUCGACUUGUGGCAAAGGGUUUUUCACAAGUUUAAGGAGUUGACUACGAUGAGACUUUCUCACCCGUAGCGAUGCUUAAGUCCGUCAGACUCAUGUUAGCAAUAGCUGCAUUUUUCGAUUAUGAAAUCUGGCAGAUGUGUCAAAACGGCGUUCCCUAACGGUUUCCUUGAGGAAGAGUUGUAUAUGAUACAACCCGAAGGUUUUGUCGAUCGUAAGAAUGCUAACAAGGUGUGCAAGCUCCAGCGAUCCAUUUAUGGACUGGUGCAAGCAUCUCGGAGUUGGAACAAACGCUUUGAUGAGGUGAUCAAAGCAUUUGGGUUUAUACAAGUGGUUGGAGAAUCUUGUAUUUACAAGAAAGUGAGUGGGAGCUCUGUGGCGUUUCUAAUAUUAUAUGUGGAUGACAUAUUACUGAUUGGAAACAACGUAGAGUUUUUAGAGAGCAUAAAGGAUUACUUGAAUAAAAGUUUCUCUAUGAAGGACCUAGGAGAAGCUGCUUACAUUCUAGGCAUAAAGAUCUAUAGGGAUAGAUCAAAACGCCUGAUAGGACUUUCACAAAGCACAUACCUUGAUAAAGUUUUGAAGAGGUUCAAAAUGGAACAGUCCAAGAAAGGGUUCUUGCCAGUUCUACAAGGUACGAGAUUGAGUAAGACUCAGUGCCCAGCAACUGAUGAAGAUAGAGAGCAUAUGUGCUCCGUCCCCUAUGCUUCAGCCAUAGGUUCUAUCAUGUAUGCGAUGCUGUGCACUAGACCGGAUGUUAGCUUGGCCAUAAGUAUGGCAGGUAGGUUCCAGAGUAAUCCAGGAGUGGAUCACUGGACAGCGGUCAAGAAUAUCCUGAAGUACCUGAAAAGGACUAAGGAGAUGUUUCUCGUGUAUGGAGGUGACGAAGAGCUCGCCGUAAAAGGUUACGUUGAUGCAAGCUUUGACACAGAUCCGGACGACUCUAAGUCGCAAACCGGAUACGUAUUUAUUCUUAAUGGGGUGCAGUAAGCUGUUGCAGUUCCAAGCAAAGCGUCGUAGCAGAUUCUACAUGUGAAGCGGAGUACAUGGCUGCCUCGGAGGCGGCUAAGGAGGGUGUCUGGAUGAAGCAGUUCAUGACGGAUCUUGGAGUGGUGUCAAGCGCACUGAAUCCAAUAACCUGGUUCUGUGACAACACUGGUGCCAUUGCCUUAGCAAAGGAACCACAGUUUCACAAGAAGACCAUACACAUCAAACGACGCUUCAACCUCAUCCGCGACUACGUCGAGGGAGAGGACGUGAAUAUAUGCAAAGUGCACACGGAUCUGAAUGUAGCGGACCCGCGGACUAAACCUCUUCCACGGCCAAAGCAUGAUCAACACCAGAACUGUAUGGUUGUUAGAUUUAUUACAAUGUAAUUCACAUGGUGAUGUGAGGGCUAGAUUAUUGACUCUAGUGCAAGUGGGAGACUGUUGGAAUUAUGCCCUAUAGGCAAUGAUAAAUAUAGUUAUUAUUGUAAUUCCUGUAUCAAGAUAAUCGUUUAUUAUCCAUGCUAUAAUUGUAUUGAAUGAAGACUCAUUUACAUGUGUGGAUACAUAGACAAAACACCGUCCCUAGCAAGCCUCUAGUUGGCUAGCCAGUUGAUCAAAGAUAGUCAGUGUCUUCUGAUUAUGAACAAGGUGUUGUUGCUUGAUAACUGGAUCACGUCAUUAGGAGAAUCACGUGAUGGACUAGACCCAAACUAAUAGACGUAGCAUGUUGAUCGUGUCAUUUUGUUGCUACUGUUUUCUGCGUGUCAAGUAUUUAUUCCUGUGACCAUGAGAUCAUAUAACUCACUGACACCGGAGGAAUGCUUUGUGUGUAUCAAACGUCGCAACGUAACUGGGUGACUAUAAAGAUGCUCUACAGGUAUCUUCGAAGGUGUUAGUUGAGUUAGUAUGGAUCAAGACUGGGAUUUGUCACUCCGUGUGGACGGAGAGGUAUCUCGGGGCCCACUCGGUAAUACAACAUCAUACACAAGCCUUGCAAGCAAUGUAACUUAGUAUAAGUUGCGGGAUCUUGUAUUACGGAACGAGUAAAGAGACUUGCCGGUAAACGAGAUUGAAAUAGGUAUACGGAUACUGACGAUCGAAUCUCGGGCAAGUAACAUACCGAAGGACAAAGGGAAUGACAUACGGGAUUAUAUGAAUCCUUGGCACUGAGGUUCAAACGAUAAGAUCUUCGUAGAAUAUGUAGGAUCCAAUAUGGGCAUCCAGGUCCCGCUAUUGGAUAUUGACCGAGGAGUCUCUCGGGUCAUGUCUACAUAGUUCUCGAACCCGCAGGGUCUGCACACUUAAGGUUCGACGUUGUUUUAUGCGUAUUUGAGUUAUAUGGUUGGUUACCGAAUGUUGUUCGGAGUCCCGGAUGAGAUCACGUACGUCACGAGGGUUUCCGGAAUAGUCCGGAAACGAAGAUUGAUAUAUAGGAUGACCUCAUUUGAUUACCGGAAGGUUUUCGGAGUUACCGGGAAUGUACCGGAAAUGACGAAUGGGUUCCGGGAGUUCACCGGGGGGGGGGGGCAACCCACCCCGGGGAAGCCCAUAGGCCUUGAGGGUGGCACACCAGCCUUAGUGGGCUGGUGGGACAGCCCAAAAGGGCUCUAUGCGCCAAGAAGAGAAAAUCAAGAGAAAAGGAAAAAAAGGAGGAGGUGGGAAGGAAGGGGGACUCCCUCCCACCAAACCAAGUCCAACUCGGUUUGGGGGGGGAGUCCUCCCCUCUUGGACUCGGCCGACCCCCUUGGGGCUCCUUGAGCCCCAAGGCAAGGUCCCCCCUCUCCCACCUAUAUAUACGGAGGUUUUAGGGCUGAUUUGAGACGACUUUUCCACGGCAGCCCGACCACAUACCUCCACGGUUUUUCCUCUAGAUCGCGUUUCUGCGGAGCUUGGGCGGAGCCCUGCUGAGACAAGGUCAUCACCAACCUCCGGAGCGCCGUCACGCUGCUGGAGAACUCUUCUACCUCUCCGUCUCUCUUGCUGGAUCAAGAAGGCCGCGAUCAUCGUCGAGCUGUACGUGUGCUGAACGUGGAGGUGUCGUCCGUUCGGUACUAGAUCGUGGGACUGAUCGCGGGAUUGUUCGCGGGGCGGAUCGAGGGACGUGAGGACGUUCCACUACAUCAACCGCGUUCACUAACGCUUCUGCUGUACGAUCUACAAGGGUACGUAGAUCACUCAUCCCCUCUCGUAGAUGGACAUCACCAUGAUAGGUCUUCGUGCGCGUAGGAAAUUUUUUGUUUCCCAUGCGACGUUACCCAACAUCAUGAGCUAGGUUCAUGCGUAGAUGUCUUCUCGAGUAGAACACAAAAGUUUUUGUGGGCGGUGAUGUGCGUUUUGCUGCCCUCCUUAGUCUUUUCUUGAUUCCGCGGUAUUGUUGGAUCGAAGCGGCUCGGACCGACAUUACUCGUACGCUUACGAGAGACUGGUUUCAUCGCUAUGAGUAACUCCGUUGCUCAAAGAUGACUGGCAAGUGUCGGUUUCUCCAACUUUAGUUGAAUCGUAAUUGACCGAGGAGGUCCUUGGAUGAGAUUAAAUAGCAAUUCAUAUAUCUCCGUUGUGGUGUUUACGUAAGUAAGAUGCGAUCCUACUAGAUACCCAUGGUCACCACGUAAAACAUGCAACAACAAAAUUAGAGGACGUCUAACUUGUUUUUGCAGCGUAUGAUUGUGAUGUGAUAUGGCCAAACGAUGUGAUGUGAUAUAUUGGAUGUAUGAGAUGAUCAUGUUGUAAUAGUUAAUAUCGACUUACACGUCGAUGGUACGGCAACCGGCAGGAGCCAUAGGGUUGUCUUUAAACUAACGUUUGUGCUUGCAGAUGCGUUUACUAUAUUGCUAGGACGUAGCUUUAGUAGUAAUAGCAUGAGUAGCAUGACAACCCCGAUGGCGACACGUUGAUGGAGAUCAUGGUGUGACGCCGGUGACAAGAAGAUCGUGCCGGUGCUUUGGUGAUGGAGAUCAAGAAGCGCAUGAUGAUGGCCAUAUCAUGUCACUUAUGUAUUGCAUGUGAUGUUAAUCCUUUUUUGCACCUUAUCUUGCUUAGAACGACGGUAGCAUUAUGAGGUGAUCUCUCACUAAAAUUUCAAGACGAAAUUGUGUUCUCCCCGACUGUGCACCGUUGCGACAGUUCUUCGUUUCGAGACACGACGUGAUGAUCGGGUGUGAUAGACUCAACGUUCACAUACAACGGGUGCAAAACAGUUGCACACGCAGAACACUCGGGUUAAGCUUGACGAGCCUAGCAUGUGCAGACAUGGCCUCGGAACACAUGAGACCGAAAGGUCGAGCAUGAAUCGUAUAGUUGAUAUGCUUAGCAUAGAGAUGCUUACCACUGAAACUAUUCUCGACUCACGUGAUGAUCGGACUUGAGAUAGUGGAUUUGGAUCAUGUACCACUCAAAUGACUAGAGAGAUGUACUUUUUGAGUAGGAGUUCUUAAGUAAUAUGAUUAAUUGAACUAAUUGUCGUGAACAUAGUCUAAAGGUCUUUGCAAAUUACGAUGUAGCUUGCGCUAUAGCUCUACUGUUAUUAUAUGUUCCUAGAGAAAAUUUAGUUGAAAGUUGAUAGUAGCAAACUUUGAAGAGGAUUGUCCUCGUUGCUGCGCAGAAGGCUUAUGUCCUUAAUUCACCACUCGGUGUGCUGCACCUCGAGCGUCGUCUGUGGAUGCUGUGAACAUCCGACAUACACGUUUCUGAUGACUACACGAUAGUUCAGUGCAAAAUACUUAAUGGCUUAGAAGCAAGGCACCGAAGACGUUUUGAAACGUCGCGGAACAUAAGUGAUGUUCUAAAGAGAUGAAAUUGUGAUUUCAUGCUCGUGCCGUUGUUGAGAGGUACGAGACCUCCGACAAGAUUCUUUGUCCACAAAGUAAAGGAGAAAAGCUCAAUCUUUGAGCGUGUGCUCAGAUUGUCUGAGUACGACAAUCACUUGAAUCAAGUGGGAGUUAAUCUUCCAGAUGAGAUAGUGAUGGUUCUCCAAAGUCACUGCCACCAAGCUGUGAGAGCUUCGUGAUGAACUAUAACAUAUCAAGGAUAGAUACAAUGAUGCUUGAGCGAUUUGCGAUGUUUGACACUGCGAAAGUAGAAAUCAAGAAGGAGCAUCAAUAGUUGAUGGUUUGUAAAACCACUAAGUUUCAAGAAAGGCAAGGGCUAGAAGGGAUACUUCGUGAAACGGCAAAACAGUUGCUGCACUAAUGAAGAGACCCAAGGUUAAACCCAAACCCGAGACUAAGUGCUUCUGUAAUGAGGGGAACAGUCACUGAGGCGGAGCAACUCUAGAUACUUGGUAGAUAAGAAGGCUGGCAAAAGUCGAAAGAAGUAUAUUUGAUAUACAUGAUGUUGAUGUGUACUUUACUAGUACUCCUAGUAGCAUGAGCGUAUUGGAUACCGGUUCGGUUGCUAAGUGAUUAGUAACACAAAAUGAAAGCUACGUCAUAAACAGAGACUAGCUAAAGGCGAGGUGACGAUACGUGUUGGAAGUGUUUCCAAGGUUGAUAUGAUCAAACGUCGCACGCUCCCUCUACCAUCGGGAUUGGUGUUAACCCUAAUAAAUUGUUAUUUGGUGCUUGCGUUAAGCAUGAACAUGAUUGGAUCGUGUUUAUUGCAACACGAUUAUUCAUUUAAAGAGAAUAAUGGUUACUCUAUUUUCUUGAAUAAUCACCUUCAAUGGUUUAUUGAAUCUCGAUCGUAGUGUUACACAUGUUCAUGAUAUUGGUGCCAAAAGAUACGAGGUAAUGAUGAUAGUACCACUUACUUGUGGCACUGUCGCUUGAGUCAUGUUGGUAUAAAUUGCAUGAAGAGGCUCCAUGCUGAUGGAUCUUUAUACUCACUUGAUUUUGAAUCACUAGUGACAUGCAAAUCAUACCACAUGAGCAAGGCCUUGUUUUCAUUGAGAUGAAAUAAGAUAGUAACUUGUUGGAAGUGAUACAUUUUGAUGUAUGCAGUCCAAUGGGUGCUGAGGCACGCAGUGGAUAUCAUUGUGUUCUUACUUCAAUGACGAUUUGAGUAGAUACUAGAGUAUUUGCUUAAUGAAUCACAAGUCUGAAAUAUUGAAAAGUUCAAUUCUGUUUCGGAGUGAAGUUCGUCGUAACAAGAGGAUAAAUUGUCUACGAUAUGAUCAUUGAAAUGAAUAUCUGAGUUACGAGUUUUGGUACGCAGUUAAGACAAUGUGGAAAUUGUUUCGCGGUUCAUGCCACCUAGAACAUCAUAGUGUGAUGAUGUGUCUGAACGUCAUAGCCACACACUAUUUGGUAUGGUGCAUGCUAUGAUGUCUCUUAUCGAAUUACCACUAUCGUUUAUGGGUUAAGCAUUAGAGACAACUGCAUUCACUUUAAAUAGGGCACCACGUAUUUCCUUUGAGAUGACACAGUAUAGACUGAGGUUUAGAGAAAUCUAAACUGUCGUUUCUUGAAAGUUUGGGAUUUCGACACUUAUGUGAAAAAGUUUCAGUCUAAUAAGCUCGAACCCAAAGCGGAUAAAUGCAUCUUCAUAGGAUAUCCAAAACAGUUGGGUACAUCUCCUAUCUCAGAUCCGAAGGCAAAGUGUUUGUUUCUAGAAACGGAUCCUUUCUCGAGGAAAGGUUUCUCUCGAAAGAAUUGAGUGGGAGGGUGGUAGAACUUGAUGAGGUUACUGAACCAUCACUUCGACCAGUGUGUAGCAGGGCGCAGGAAGUUGUUCCUGUGGCGCCUACACCAAUUGAAGUGAAAGCUGAUGAUGGUGAUCAUCGAGCAUCGGAUCAAGUUACUACAAGCCUCGUAGGUUGACAAGGUCGCGUACUACUACAGAGUGGUACGGUAACCCUGUCUUGGAGGUCAUGCUGUUGAGCAACAGUGAACCUACGAGUUAUGGAGAAAGCAAUGGUGGGCCCAGAUUCCGACAAAUGGCUGGAAGCCAUGAAAUCCGAGAGAGGAUCCAUGUAUGAAAACAAAGUGUAGACUUUGGAAGAACUACUUGAUGGUCAUAGGACUAUUGAGUAAAGAUGGAUCUUUAAAAGGAAGACAGACGAUGAUGGUGAUAAGUCACUAUUAAGAAAAGCUCGACUUGUCGCAAAGAUGUUUCUGACAAGAUCAAACAGUUGACUAUGAUGAGACUUUCUCACUCGUAGCGAUGCUAAAAGUCUGUUAGAAUUAUGUUAGUAGUUGCUGCAUUAUUUAUGAAAUAUUGCAUGUAGGAUGUCAAAACAUUGUUUCCUCGACGGUUUCCUUGAGAAAACAUUGUAUGAGAUACAACAAUGAGGUUUUGUCAAUCCUAAAGAUACUAGCAAAUAUGCAAACUCAAGCGAUCCUUCAAUGGACUGGUGCAAGCAUCUCGGAGUUGGAAUAUACACUUUGAUGAGAUGAUUAAAGAUUUUGGGUUUAUACAAGGUUUAUGAGAAAUUUGUAUUUCCAAAGAAGUGAGUGGGAGCACUAUAGAAUUUCUGAUAAGUAUAUGUGGUUGACAUAUUGUGGAUCAAAAGUAAUGUAGAAUUUCUGUAAAGCAUACAAGGUUGUUUGAAAGGAGUUUUCAAAGGAAUACCUAGAUUGAGCUACUUGAACGUUGAGCAUCAAGAUCUAUGGAGAUAGAUCAAAACGCUUAAUAGAAGUUUCAACAAAAUCGCAUGCCUUGACAAGUUUUUGAAGGAGUUCAAAAUAGAUCAGCAAAGAAGGAGUUCUUGGUUGUGUUGUAAGGUGUGGAUUUGAGUAAGACUCAAAACCCGACCACGGCAGAAUAAAGAGAAUAGACGAAGGUCGUCUUCUAUGCCUUAGCCGUAGACUCUAAAGUAUGUCAUGCUGAGUACCGCACCUAMUGUGUGCCUUGCACUCUGUUGAGAGGUACAGAGAGUGAUCCAUGAUUGAAUCACUAGCAGCGGUCAAAAUUUAUCCUUAGUAACUGAUAGACUAAGGAAUUUUUCUCGAUUAUGGAGGUGGUUAAAGAGUUUGUCGUAAAGGGUUACGUCAAUGCAAGCUUUGACACUAAUCCAGAUAACUAUGAGUAGUGAAACGGAUUCGUAUAGUAGAGUAGAUAUUUGGAGCAUUUCCGAAUAGCACGUAGUAGCAGCAUCUAUAAGAUGACAUAAAGAUUUGUAAAGAACGCACGAAUCUGAAAGUUUCAGAACCGUUGAGUAAAACCUCUCUCACGAGCAAGACGUGAUCACACCCCAUAACUAUAUGGGUGUUGGAUUCGUUGGAAUCACAUGGUGAUGUGAACUAGAUUAUUGACUCUAGUGCAAGUGGGAGACUGUUGGAAAUAUGCCCUUGAGGCAAUAAUAAAUUAGUUAUUAUUAUAUUUCUUUGUUCAUGAUAAUCGUUUAUUAUCCAUGCUAUAAUUGUAUUGAUUGGAAACACACUACUUGUGUGGAUACAUAGACAAAACACUGUCCCUAGUAAGCCUCUAGUUGACUAGCUCGUUGAUCAAACAUGGCCAAGGUUUCCUGGCCAUAGGCAAGUGUUGUUACUUGAUAACGGGAUCACAUCAUUAGGAGAAUCAUGUGAUGGACUAGACCCAAACUAAUAGACGUAGCAUGUUGAUCGUGUCAUUUUGUUGCUACUGUUUUCUGCAUGUCAAGUAUUUGUUCCUAUGACCAUGAGAUCAUAUAACUCACUGACACCGGAGGAAUGCUUUGUGUGUAUCAAACGUCGCAACGUAACUGGGUGACAAUAAAGAUGCUCUACAGGUAUCUCCGAAGGUGUUAGUUGAGUUAGUAUGGAUCGAGACUGGGAUUUGUCACUCCGUGUGACGGAGAGGUAUCUCGGGGCCCACUCGGUAAUACAACAUCACACACAAGCCUUGCAAGCGAUGUGACUUAGUGUAAGUUGCGGGAUCUCGUAUUACGGAACGAGUAUAGAGACUUGCCGGUAAACGAGAUUGAAAUAGGUAUGCGGAUACUGACGAUCGAAUCUCGGGCAAGUAACAUACCGAAGGACAAAGGGAAUGACAUACGGGAUUAUAUGAAUCCUUGGCAUUGAGGUUCAAACGAUAAGAUCUUUGUGGAAUAUGUAGGAUCCAAUAUGGGCAUCCAGGUCCCGCUAUUGGAUAUUGACCGAGGAGUCUCUCGGGUCAUGUCUACAUAGUUCUCGAACCCGCCGGGUCUGCACACUUAACGUUCGACGUUGUUCUAUGCGUAUUUGAGUUAUAUGGUUGGUUACUGUCGUGGUUUUGUCACGGCAGAUGUCCUCGUGAAAGGACUUAAUACUGGAGCCAUCGCACCUUGGUGGCAACUCAAAGGGGUUAAGCGGGAGAGACACGGCGAUUUACCCAGGUUCGGCCCCUCGAGAAGAGGUAAUAGCUUACGUCCUGCUUUUGUGUGUAUUGAUAUGGAUUCGAUUACAAGAAAGGCGUAACUCGCCUAAACCUAGCACUCGAUGAUUUCUAACCUACCUCUCCCCCUCCAGACUCGCCUUUAUAUAUAGGUCGAAGCCUUAGGGUUUACAAGAGUCCCUUCCUUUUUACAAAUCGUGACCACCGCGGUCUCUAAGUCACCGUCUUGCAAAACCCAGAGUCCUUCCAUAAAUCAUAACCAUCCUGCGACUUUGAACCGCCCAGGCUGAGGCCCAACUAGCCCUAAAGGAUGAAUCGCCUUAACUGUAACCCGGCCCAUAUUCGGCGGGUCACUUAACAGGCAAUAUCCCCAACAUUAGGCCCCAAAUUGACUUGAAUCUUCAUGCCAAUGCUACCAUUUUAGUCGAAGGCGAUUCACUCUUCUGUGUUCCUCCGUACACCAGAAAUCUUAACUCGCCAACUGGUACCGGAAAAAGUCUCUGAGCCGCCAACGCAUUUCCCAUCAGUACUUUCCUUAGCCCUCGAUUUUCGGGAACUCCAACACAAUCCCAACGGAUAUUUUAGUGCGUCAUUAUCCCAAAAUUUUCGGACGUCAUCAUGGCGAAUCUUUCCUUCCUCGACGGUUCCCGCUCAUAGCGCCUCGAUCCCCGCGCCCGUCCUGAUAAAUAGGCGGAAGGGACAGGGCUGACACCGGCCACCUACCAGUCUCGUCAAUCCCUCCACCAUCAUCUCAGCGAGAAGAAACGCUCCGCAUCCCGAAGGCUUUGCCGCCGGCCGCAAUCUCCACCCCCGCGUGUCUGAUNNNNNNNNNNNNNNNNNNNNNNNNNNNNNNNNNNNNNNNNNNNNNNNNNNNNNNNNNNNNNNNNNNNNNNNNNNNNNNNNNNNNNNNNNNNNNNNNNNNNAUCAGACACGUAAUUAUCCCAUUUUAGAGGAAAACAAGCUAAGUAUAUAAUAUUAAUAAGCUAACCAAGGUUCUUAUGCCAUUUUCAGCUUAUUAUGGUAUUUUGGAGCUAAAUGGGCUAAUUAUGUCAUUGUUGGGUUAAUUAAAGCAAGGAUAAUAUGAAAGAGGAGAAGAAAGAGGAGGAGGAGGAGAAGAAGAAGAAAUCAAGAAGAAGGAGGAGGAGGAGGAGAGAGGAGAAGGAUAGAAGGUCCUUGGCCUUCUCCUCCUCCUCCUCCUCCUCCUUCUCCUUCUUCUCUUCUUCUUCUUCUUCUUCUUCUUUCUUUUCAUUUUGCCUAUUUCUUCUCCUCUUCUCCUCUUGUUGGAGCUAAAUUACCUAAUUAUGUCUUUUUUGAGCUAAAUGGGCUAAUUAUCCCAUUUUAGAGGAAAACUAGCUAAGUAUAUAAUAUUAAUAAGCUAACCAAGGUUCUUAUGCCAUUUUGAGCUUAUUAUGGUAUUUUGGAGCUAAAUGGGCUAAUUAUGUCAUUGUUGNNNNNNNNNNNNNNNNNNNNNNNNNNNNNNNNNNNNNNNNNNNNNNNNNNNNNNNNNNNNNNNNNNNNNNNNNNNNNNNNNNNNNNNNNNNNNNNNNNNNGAUGACCAGUAGAAAUGACCAUGCGUUGCAUCGGGCAAGAAAAAAAAUACAAAACCUUCUUGUUAUAUCAUUAUGCGGCAUUAAUUGUAAUAAACAUGUAUAAUAAUGUUAAAUGUUUUUUAAAAAAAAUAUUAGGUACUGCUUACAUAAAAAAUGGAUGAAUUUUUUAUAAUAGUUAUAUUUUUUGUUAAAUUUUUAAAUUUCUUGUAAAAGAUAAAUUGUUAAACAUUUUUUUCAAAAGGAUCUUUUAUUGUGGGGUAAUAAUGUUGUUUUUUUGAUGGGUAAUGGCAUUUUUAUGUAGAACAUAUUUCCAUAAAUAUUUUUGAAUCAUAUUUUCUUAUUUUUUUGCACAACUUGCUUCAUGUGCCAUUAUGCAUCAUUUUUAUAUGGAUUUUUAAUAAUUGUUGAUGAUAAGUUAAAUGUUAAAUUAUUUAAAAUUGAUGUAUGCAUAAAAAUUGUAAUACUUUCUAGGAAGUAUUGUUUUAUGAAUUUUUUGCUUUUCUUUGUAAAAGGAACUUUUUUAAAAUAAUUUUUUUCUUUAACAUUUUAUGAAUUUUGGGCUUGACCCAAACAACUCGCAGUACAAUAACAAUUGACGGUAUUAAAAAAACAUUAUCGUUUGGUACAGAAAAUGCAGCAUCAUCUCUUUCGUCUCUCCCGUUCCCAUUUCAUUUUUCGCAUUGGCUACCUGUUUCCUCUGCAUCGAGGCUACACCAAACCCGCACGGCCCGAGCGAAAAAACAUCACCACACCACGAGCAUUGGCUCGNNNNNNNNNNNNNNNNNNNNNNNNNNNNNNNNNNNNNNNNNNNNNNNNNNNNNNNNNNNNNNNNNNNNNNNNNNNNNNNNNNNNNNNNNNNNNNNNNNNNCCUUUUCAAAGAAAAGCAAAAAAUUCAUAAAAACAAUACUUCCUAGAAAGUAUUACAAUUUUAUGCAUACAUCAAUUUUUAAAAUAAUUUAACAUUUAACUUAUCAUCAACAAUUAUUAAAAAUCCAUAUAAAAAUGAUGCAUAAUGGCACAUGAAGCAAGUUGUGCAAAAAAAUAAGAAAAUAUGAUUCAAAAAAUAUUUAUGGAAAUAUGUUCUACAUAAAAAUGCCAUUACCCAUCMAAAAAACAACAUUAUUACCCCACAAUAAAAGAUCCUUUUGAAAAAAAUGUUUAACAAUUUAUCUUUUACAAGAAAUUUAAAAAUUUAACAAAAAUAUAACUAUUAUAAAAAUUCAUCCAUUUUUAUGUAAGCAGUACCUAAUAUUUUUUAAAAACAUUUAACAUUAUUAUACAUGUUUAUUACAAUUAAUGCCGCAUAAUGAUAUAACAAGAAGGUUUUGUAUUUUUUUUCUUGCCCGAUGCAACGCAUGGUCAUUUCUACUGGUCAUCUAUACAAUAGGGGUGAACCAGAGUUUUUGGUUUGGGACUUCUUUGGGUUUGGGACUCUUUUCGUCCUACACCGAGAUGGCCAAAUUUUGGUAUUUCAAAAAAAUUGGUUAGAAUUUUUACCAACAUUUAACCAAAAAUUGGAGGAAAUUUGAUCAAAAUCCACUUCUCGGCUGAAAGCUAUGUUUCGUCCGAGGCCGAGAUGGCCNNNNNNNNNNNNNNNNNNNNNNNNNNNNNNNNNNNNNNNNNNNNNNNNNNNNNNNNNNNNNNNNNNNNNNNNNNNNNNNNNNNNNNNNNNNNNNNNNNNNAUCAGACACGCCUUGCCUUGGGGCUCAAGGAGCCCCAAGGGGGUCGGCCGAGCCAAGGGGGAAGGUCUCCCCCUCCCAAACCGAGUCCUACUUGGUUUGGAAGGUGGAGUCCUUCUUCCCUUUCCCACCUCCUCCUUUUUUUUUCUUUUCUCUUUGAUUUUCUUCCUAUGGCGCAUAGGGCCUUCUUGGGCUGUCCCACCAGCCCACUAAGGGCUGGUGUGCCACCCCCAAGGCCUAUGGGCUUCCCCGGGGUGGGUUGCCCCCCCCCCCCCCCGGUGAACCUCCCGGAACCCAUUCGUCAUUCCCGGUAACUCCGAAAACCUUCCGGUAAUCAAAUGAGGUCAUCCUAUAUAUCAAUCUUCGUUUCCGGACCAUUCCGGAAACCCUCGUGACGUCCGUGAUAUCAUCCGGACUCCGAACAACAUUCGGUAACCAACCAUAUAACUCAAAUACGCAUAAAACAACGUCGAACCUUAAGUGUGCAGACCCUGCGGGUUUGAGAACUAUGUAGACAUGACCCGAGAGACUCCUCGGUCAAUCGUGUCUGAUNNNNNNNNNNNNNNNNNNNNNNNNNNNNNNNNNNNNNNNNNNNNNNNNNNNNNNNNNNNNNNNNNNNNNNNNNNNNNNNNNNNNNNNNNNNNNNNNNNNNAUCAGACACGGUAGCAUGUUGAUCGUGUCAUUUUGUUGUUACUGUUUUCUGCGUGUCAAGUAUUUGUUCCUAUGACCAUGAGAUCAUAUAACUCACUGACACCGGAGGAAUGCUUUGUGUGUAUCAAACGUCGCAACCUAACUGGGUGACUAUAAAGAUGCUCUACAGGUAUCUCCGAAGGUGUUCAUUGAAUUAGUAUGGAUCGAGACUGGGAUUUGUCACUCCGUGUGACGGAGAGGUAUCUCGGGGCCCAMUCAGRYACGGUACAACAUCACACACAAGCCUUGCAAGCAAAGUGACUUAGUGUAAGUUGCGGGAUCUUGUAUUACGGAACGAGUAAAGAGACUUGCCGGUAAACGAGAUUGAAAUAGGUAUGUGGAUACUGACGACCGAAUCUCGGGCAAGUAACAUACCGAAGGACAAAGGGAAUGACAUACGAGAUUAUAUGAAUCCCUGGCACUGAGGUUCAAACGAUAAGAUCUUCGUAGAAUAUGUGGGAUCCAAUAUNNNNNNNNNNNNNNNNNNNNNNNNNNNNNNNNNNNNNNNNNNNNNNNNNNNNNNNNNNNNNNNNNNNNNNNNNNNNNNNNNNNNNNNNNNNNNNNNNNNNGACAACUAUGGGGUUAGACAGAAGCUGCUCUCUCGCUGAAGGAAUCACCGUUCGUGCAGGUAGCUGGACCGGCUCAUGACCAUCCUUACUUUAAAAAGAAAAGACUGAGAAAAGAUGCAAUCAUGGAGGUUCAACACCGGCAACUCAAGAUUGAAUGACGUCAAUGCUGGCCACUCUGCCCACCUGGGGUUCGUUGUUAGUUUUUUUGGUUAGUAGUAGGUGGCGUCUUUCUUGAGCUAAGAAGAGCCAUUUUUCUCUGUUUUUCCUUUAUUUUUGUUUUUUUGUUUUGCCUUCUCCGUAUUUUUAUUCCUUUUUCAUUUUUAUAUAAUGAUAAAAAACUCAUAAUUUCUUAAUACAUGGCCAAAAGUUUUUAUAUACACCAUUAAAAUGUUCAAAAUGCUUGUUUAACAUUUUCCAAAUGCUUGUUAAACMKUKUYURAWAGUAUGUAUGAAAAUUUUAUACACAUGAUCACAUAAUUUCUUCAUUUUUCAAAGACAUGAUCAACAUUUGUUUUAUACACCUUCAACAUUUUAUGAAUGCCUGAUUAAGAUUUUAGAACACUUGUUAUUUUUUCCAAUGCUUAAGUAGCAUUUUUUCAAAUAAUUGUUCAAACUUUUUCAAAUACUUUUUUGACAUUUUAUGAAUGCUUAAUUAGAGAUUAGAGAUUACGAUUUCUUUUCUCUCGAUGCAACGCACAGACCAUUUGCUAGUACAAACCUAUAAAUAUGUCGAUCAAAUUUAAAUGNNNNNNNNNNNNNNNNNNNNNNNNNNNNNNNNNNNNNNNNNNNNNNNNNNNNNNNNNNNNNNNNNNNNNNNNNNNNNNNNNNNNNNNNNNNNNNNNNNNNCGCCAAGCCCCCUGGCGCGCCCUGAUGUCUAGUGGGUCCCCUGGCCCACCUCUGCCGAUCAUCUUCUUGUAUAAAUUCUCUUUUACCCUGAAAAAAAAGAGGAGGACUUUCGAGAAGAAGCACCGCCAUCUCGGGGCAAAAACCUUGAUAGGAGCACUUUUGCCCUCCGGCGGAACGAUUCCGUCGGAGAAACUUACCUCCCGGAGGAGGAAGUCGAGGCCAUCAUCAUCACCAGCAACCCUCUCAUCUUGGAUAGGCCAAUCUUCAUCAACAUCUUCAUCAGCACCAUCUCCUCUCAAAACCCUGGUUUAUCUCUUGUACUCAAUCUUAUACCGGAACCUCGGAUUGGUACCUGGGCUGUGACUAGUAGUGUUGAUUACAUCUUGUAGUUGAUGCUUUAUGGUUUAUUUGGUGGAAGACCAUAUGUUCAGAUCCAUUAUGCUAUUUAAUACCUCUUUGAUCAUGAAUAUGUUUAUCACUUGUGAGUAGUUACUCUUGUUCUCGAGGCCAGGAGAGGGAUCAUGUUGUAAGCAGUCAUGUGAAGUUGAUAUUCAUUUGAUAUUUCGAUGAUAUGAAUAUUGUGAUUCCCUUAUGGGUGUUAUGUGAACCUCGACUAUAUAAUAAUUCACCAUCUUUGGGCCUAUGGAAAUGUAUUGUGGAGUAGUAAUUAGAGGGAGGGUUGCGAGAGUGACAAAAACUUAAACCCCCGUCUAUUGACUACUCCGUAAGGGGCUGAUUUGGAUCCCUAUGUUUAAUGCUAUGAUUCGAAUUUAUCCUUAAUACUUUUCUCAUAGUUACGGAUGCUUGCGGGAGGGUUAAUCAUAAGUGGGAGGUUGUUGAAGUAAGAACAACACCCAAGCACCGUUCCAGCCACAUAUUAAAUUAUCAAAAUACCAAACGUGAAUUAACCCAAUAUGAUGAAAGUGACUAGAUGAAAAUCCCGUGUGCCCUCAAGAACGCUUUGCCUAUUAUAAAAAAAUGUUCUGGCUUGUCCUUUGCCACAAAAGUAUUGGGCUACCUUGCUCCACCUGUUGUUACUAUGGCUACUUGUUUUUGUUACAAUUAUCUUGAUAUCAAACAACUUGUUACCCCUAUUUCAGUGUUUGUAUAAAUUACCUUACUGAAAAUCGCUUGUCAUUUUUUUCUGCUCCUCGUUGGGUUUGAAACUCUUACUUAUUAAAAGGACUAUGAUUGACAACCUAUACUUGUGGGUCAUCAAGGGACAAACUUGACUUUGCAAGGGUGGACUGGCCGGCCCACGAGAUUCCACUUAAAGAAGGAUGACGACCCGAACAUUGAUGGCUGACGACCGGGACCCGCCACACGUGCGCAUUUACUUUGGCUGUGGGGGUAGUUGAAAGGCCGCCACGCGUCCCAAGACGAACAAGGAGAAAGUGCGUGUACGUCCGUUCAGCGUCUGUGUGGCCGAAAAUGGGGUGAGCCGGACUCACUCGUCAGGUCCAACGGACGACAUAGUCCAACGCGACCCACUCAUCAGCAGUUAACGGUCAAACCAUGGACCCGUCGACAUCCUUCAUUGUGACCAUUUUUAUGGGUUUCAGACAAUAAAGUAAGAAAAAACUGAGCAAACGUUAAAAGCAUAGGAAUGAAUGAGUACAGUUAAGAAACCAAUGGCACAGAUGUAAAAAAAAUAAACAAACGAUCAACACCUACUAGUAACUAGCAAAAGAGCCCGUGCGUUGCAACGAAAUAUAAAAAUAUAAUGCCCUAAUCUAAUAAAAAUGUGGCUCAAUGCCCACAUAUAUCUAUGUUCUUUAUUUUAGCACGACAUCCCACACUGUUCAAUAUUGGAAAACAGUUUUUUGCCAUCUGCCUAGUCUUUGCCGUCUGCUAGCUGAUGGCAAAGAGUGUCUUUGCCGUCAGCUUCAGCAAAACAGACGGCAAAGCACAGGCUGAUGGCAUACAGUCUUUUUGCCAUCUGUCACAUCUUUGCCGUCUGCUAGCGGACGGCAAAGAGUCCAGAGGCAGACGGCAAAGAUAUAGAUAGGCCCACCUGAUCGCGGGGUGGCUAGGUCAAACAGGAGUCGGACCUUUGUCGUCUGCUAGCGGACGGCAAAGAGUCCGGAGGCAGACAGCAAAGAGUCUAGACUCUUUGCCGUCCGCUGGCAGACGGCAAUGCUCUAACACCGUUAAUGGCUCCUUCCCCCCACCCGCCCCUCUCUCUCUGUAACGGUCACCCCGCGCGCCCCUCUCUCUCUCUCCCCACCCCGUGCGCCCCUCUCUCUGUAACGGCCGCCGCCACCACCGUCGCGUCGCCGCCCCUAUCUGUUGGAAAUAUGCCCUAGAGGCAAUAAUAAAUUAGUUAUUAUUAUAUUUCUUUGUUCAUGAUAAUCGUUUAUUAUCCAUGCUAUAAUUGUAUUGAUUGGAAACACAAUACUUGUGUGGAUACAUAGACAAAACACUGUCCCUAGUAAGCCUCUAGUUGACUAGCUCGUUGAUCAAAGAUGGUCAAGGUUUCCUGGCCAUAGGCAAGUGUUGUUACUUGAUAACGGGAUCACAUCAUUAGGAGAAUCAUGUGAUGGACUAGACCCAAACUAAUAGACGUAGCAUGUUGAUCGUGUCAUUUUGUUGCUACUGUUUUCUGCGUGUCAAGUAUUUGUUCCUAUGACCAUGAGAUCAUAUAACUCACUGACACCGCAGGAAUUCUUUGUGUGUAUNNNNNNNNNNNNNNNNNNNNNNNNNNNNNNNNNNNNNNNNNNNNNNNNNNNNNNNNNNNNNNNNNNNNNNNNNNNNNNNNNNNNNNNNNNNNNNNNNNNNNNNNNNNNNNNNNNNNNNNNNNNNNNNNNNNNNNNNNNNNNNNNNNNNNNNNNNNNNNNNNNNNNNNNNNNNNNNNNNNNNNNNNNNNNNNNNNNNNNNNNNNNNNNNNNNNNNNNNNNNNNNNNNNNNNNNNNNNNNNNNNNNNNNNNNNNNNNNNNNNNNNNNNNNNNNNNNNNNNNNNNNNNNNNNNNNNNNNNNNNNNNNNNNNNNNNNNNNNNNNNNNNNNNNNNNNNNNNNNNNNNNNNNNNNNNNNNNNNNNNNNNNNNNNNNNNNNNNNNNNNNNNNNNNNNNNNNNNNNNNNNNNNNNNNNNNNNNNNNNNNNNNNNNNNNNNNNNNNNNNNNNNNNNNNNNNNNNNNNNNNNNNNNNNNNNNNNNNNNNNNNNNNNNNNNNNNNNNNNNNNNNNNNNNNNNNNNNNNNNNNNNNNNNNNNNNNNNNNNNNNNNNNNNNNNNNNNNNNNNNNNNNNNNNNNNNNNNNNNNNNNNNNNNNNNNNNNNNNNNNNNNNNNNNNNNNNNNNNNNNNNNNNNNNNNNNNNNNNNNNNNNNNNNNNNNNNNNNNNNNNNNNNNNNNNNNNNNNNNNNNNNNNNNNNNNNNNNNNNNNNNNNNNNNNNNNNNNNNNNNNNNNNNNNNNNNNNNNNNNNNNNNNNNNNNNNNNNNNNNNNNNNNNNNNNNNNNNNNNNNNNNNNNNNNNNNNNNNNNNNNNNNNNNNNNNNNNNNNNNNNNNNNNNNNNNNNNNNNNNNNNNNNNNNNNNNNNNNNNNNNNNNNNNNNNNNNNNNNNNNNNNNNNNNNNNNNNNNNNNNNNNNNNNNNNNNNNNNNNNNNNNNNNNNNNNNNNNNNNNNNNNNNNNNNNNNNNNNNNNNNNNNNNNNNNNNNNNNNNNNNNNNNNNNNNNNNNNNNNNNNNNNNNNNNNNNNNNNNNNNNNNNNNNNNNNNNNNNNNNNNNNNNNNNNNNNNNNNNNNNNNNNNNNNNNNNNNNNNNNNNNNNNNNNNNNNNNNNNNNNNNNNNNNNNNNNNNNNNNNNNNNNNNNNNNNNNNNNNNNNNNNNNNNNNNNNNNNNNNNNNNNNNNNNNNNNNNNNNNNNNNNNNNNNNNNNNNNNNNNNNNNNNNNNNNNNNNNNNNNNNNNNNNNNNNNNNNNNNNNNNNNNNNNNNNNNNNNNNNNNNNNNNNNNNNNNNNNNNNNNNNNNNNNNNNNNNNNNNNNNNNNNNNNNNNNNNNNNNNNNNNNNNNNNNNNNNNNNNNNNNNNNNNNNNNNNNNNNNNNNNNNNNNNNNNNNNNNNNNNNNNNNNNNNNNNNNNNNNNNNNNNNNNNNNNNNNNNNNNNNNNNNNNNNNNNNNNNNNNNNNNNNNNNNNNNNNNNNNNNNNNNNNNNNNNNNNNNNNNNNNNNNNNNNNNNNNNNNNNNNNNNNNNNNNNNNNNNNNNNNNNNNNNNNNNNNNNNNNNNNNNNNNNNNNNNNNNNNNNNNNNNNNNNNNNNNNNNNNNNNNNNNNNNNNNNNNNNNNNNNNNNNNNNNNNNNNNNNNNNNNNNNNNNNNNNNNNNNNNNNNNNNNNNNNNNNNNNNNNNNNNNNNNNNNNNNNNNNNNNNNNNNNNNNNNNNNNNNNNNNNNNNNNNNNNNNNNNNNNNNNNNNNNNNNNNNNNNNNNNNNNNNNNNNNNNNNNNNNNNNNNNNNNNNNNNNNNNNNNNNNNNNNNNNNNNNNNNNNNNNNNNNNNNNNNNNNNNNNNNNNNNNNNNNNNNNNNNNNNNNNNNNNNNNNNNNNNNNNNNNNNNNNNNNNNNNNNNNNNNNNNNNNNNNNNNNNNNNNNNNNNNNNNNNNNNNNNNNNNNNNNNNNNNNNNNNNNNNNNNNNNNNNNNNNNNNNNNNNNNNNNNNNNNNNNNNNNNNNNNNNNNNNNNNNNNNNNNNNNNNNNNNNNNNNNNNNNNNNNNNNNNNNNNNNNNNNNNNNNNNNNNNNNNNNNNNNNNNNNNNNNNNNNNNNNNNNNNNNNNNNNNNNNNNNNNNNNNNNNNNNNNNNNNNNNNNNNNNNNNNNNNNNNNNNNNNNNNNNNNNNNNNNNNNNNNNNNNNNNNNNNNNNNNNNNNNNNNNNNNNNNNNNNNNNNNNNNNNNNNNNNNNNNNNNNNNNNNNNNNNNNNNNNNNNNNNNNNNNNNNNNNNNNNNNNNNNNNNNNNNNNNNNNNNNNNNNNNNNNNNNNNNNNNNNNNNNNNNNNNNNNNNNNNNNNNNNNNNNNNNNNNNNNNNNNNNNNNNNNNNNNNNNNNNNNNNNNNNNNNNNNNNNNNNNNNNNNNNNNNNNNNNNNNNNNNNNNNNNNNNNNNNNNNNNNNNNNNNNNNNNNNNNNNNNNNNNNNNNNNNNNNNNNNNNNNNNNNNNNNNNNNNNNNNNNNNNNNNNNNNNNNNNNNNNNNNNNNNNNNNNNNNNNNNNNNNNNNNNNNNNNNNNNNNNNNNNNNNNNNNNNNNNNNNNNNNNNNNNNNNNNNNNNNNNNNNNNNNNNNNNNNNNNNNNNNNNNNNNNNNNNNNNNNNNNNNNNNNNNNNNNNNNNNNNNNNNNNNNNNNNNNNNNNNNNNNNNNNNNNNNNNNNNNNNNNNNNNNNNNNNNNNNNNNNNNNNNNNNNNNNNNNNNNNNNNNNNNNNNNNNNNNNNNNNNNNNNNNNNNNNNNNNNNNNNNNNNNNNNNNNNNNNNNNNNNNNNNNNNNNNNNNNNNNNNNNNNNNNNNNNNNNNNNNNNNNNNNNNNNNNNNNNNNNNNNNNNNNNNNNNNNNNNNNNNNNNNNNNNNNNNNNNNNNNNNNNNNNNNNNNNNNNNNNNNNNNNNNNNNNNNNNNNNNNNNNNNNNNNNNNNNNNNNNNNNNNNNNNNNNNNNNNNNNNNNNNNNNNNNNNNNNNNNNNNNNNNNNNNNNNNNNNNNNNNNNNNNNNNNNNNNNNNNNNNNNNNNNNNNNNNNNNNNNNNNNNNNNNNNNNNNNNNNNNNNNNNNNNNNNNNNNNNNNNNNNNNNNNNNNNNNNNNNNNNNNNNNNNNNNNNNNNNNNNNNNNNNNNNNNNNNNNNNNNNNNNNNNNNNNNNNNNNNNNNNNNNNNNNNNNNNNNNNNNNNNNNNNNNNNNNNNNNNNNNNNNNNNNNNNNNNNNNNNNNNNNNNNNNNNNNNNNNNNNNNNNNNNNNNNNNNNNNNNNNNNNNNNNNNNNNNNNNNNNNNNNNNNNNNNNNNNNNNNNNNNNNNNNNNNNNNNNNNNNNNNNNNNNNNNNNNNNNNNNNNNNNNNNNNNNNNNNNNNNNNNNNNNNNNNNNNNNNNNNNNNNNNNNNNNNNNNNNNNNNNNNNNNNNNNNNNNNNNNNNNNNNNNNNNNNNNNNNNNNNNNNNNNNNNNNNNNNNNNNNNNNNNNNNNNNNNNNNNNNNNNNNNNNNNNNNNNNNNNNNNNNNNNNNNNNNNNNNNNNNNNNNNNNNNNNNNNNNNNNNNNNNNNNNNNNNNNNNNNNNNNNNNNNNNNNNNNNNNNNNNNNNNNNNNNNNNNNNNNNNNNNNNNNNNNNNNNNNNNNNNNNNNNNNNNNNNNNNNNNNNNNNNNNNNNNNNNNNNNNNNNNNNNNNNNNNNNNNNNNNNNNNNNNNNNNNNNNNNNNNNNNNNNNNNNNNNNNNNNNNNNNNNNNNNNNNNNNNNNNNNNNNNNNNNNNNNNNNNNNNNNNNNNNNNNNNNNNNNNNNNNNNNNNNNNNNNNNNNNNNNNNNNNNNNNNNNNNNNNNNNNNNNNNNNNNNNNNNNNNNNNNNNNNNNNNNNNNNNNNNNNNNNNNNNNNNNNNNNNNNNNNNNNNNNNNNNNNNNNNNNNNNNNNNNNNNNNNNNNNNNNNNNNNNNNNNNNNNNNNNNNNNNNNNNNNNNNNNNNNNNNNNNNNNNNNNNNNNNNNNNNNNNNNNNNNNNNNNNNNNNNNNNNNNNNNNNNNNNNNNNNNNNNNNNNNNNNNNNNNNNNNNNNNNNNNNNNNNNNNNNNNNNNNNNNNNNNNNNNNNNNNNNNNNNNNNNNNNNNNNNNNNNNNNNNNNNNNNNNNNNNNNNNNNNNNNNNNNNNNNNNNNNNNNNNNNNNNNNNNNNNNNNNNNNNNNNNNNNNNNNNNNNNNNNNNNNNNNNNNNNNNNNNNNNNNNNNNNNNNNNNNNNNNNNNNNNNNNNNNNNNNNNNNNNNNNNNNNNNNNNNNNNNNNNNNNNNNNNNNNNNNNNNNNNNNNNNNNNNNNNNNNNNNNNNNNNNNNNNNNNNNNNNNNNNNNNNNNNNNNNNNNNNNNNNNNNNNNNNNNNNNNNNNNNNNNNNNNNNNNNNNNNNNNNNNNNNNNNNNNNNNNNNNNNNNNNNNNNNNNNNNNNNNNNNNNNNNNNNNNNNNNNNNNNNNNNNNNNNNNNNNNNNNNNNNNNNNNNNNNNNNNNNNNNNNNNNNNNNNNNNNNNNNNNNNNNNNNNNNNNNNNNNNNNNNNNNNNNNNNNNNNNNNNNNNNNNNNNNNNNNNNNNNNNNNNNNNNNNNNNNNNNNNNNNNNNNNNNNNNNNNNNNNNNNNNNNNNNNNNNNNNNNNNNNNNNNNNNNNNNNNNNNNNNNNNNNNNNNNNNNNNNNNNNNNNNNNNNNNNNNNNNNNNNNNNNNNNNNNNNNNNNNNNNNNNNNNNNNNNNNNNNNNNNNNNNNNNNNNNNNNNNNNNNNNNNNNNNNNNNNNNNNNNNNNNNNNNNNNNNNNNNNNNNNNNNNNNNNNNNNNNNNNNNNNNNNNNNNNNNNNNNNNNNNNNNNNNNNNNNNNNNNNNNNNNNNNNNNNNNNNNNNNNNNNNNNNNNNNNNNNNNNNNNNNNNNNNNNNNNNNNNNNNNNNNNNNNNNNNNNNNNNNNNNNNNNNNNNNNNNNNNNNNNNNNNNNNNNNNNNNNNNNNNNNNNNNNNNNNNNNNNNNNNNNNNNNNNNNNNNNNNNNNNNNNNNNNNNNNNNNNNNNNNNNNNNNNNNNNNNNNNNNNNNNNNNNNNNNNNNNNNNNNNNNNNNNNNNNNNNNNNNNNNNNNNNNNNNNNNNNNNNNNNNNNNNNNNNNNNNNNNNNNNNNNNNNNNNNNNNNNNNNNNNNNNNNNNNNNNNNNNNNNNNNNNNNNNNNNNNNNNNNNNNNNNNNNNNNNNNNNNNNNNNNNNNNNNNNNNNNNNNNNNNNNNNNNNNNNNNNNNNNNNNNNNNNNNNNNNNNNNNNNNNNNNNNNNNNNNNNNNNNNNNNNNNNNNNNNNNNNNNNNNNNNNNNNNNNNNNNNNNNNNNNNNNNNNNNNNNNNNNNNNNNNNNNNNNNNNNNNNNNNNNNNNNNNNNNNNNNNNNNNNNNNNNNNNNNNNNNNNNNNNNNNNNNNNNNNNNNNNNNNNNNNNNNNNNNNNNNNNNNNNNNNNNNNNNNNNNNNNNNNNNNNNNNNNNNNNNNNNNNNNNNNNNNNNNNNNNNNNNNNNNNNNNNNNNNNNNNNNNNNNNNNNNNNNNNNNNNNNNNNNNNNNNNNNNNNNNNNNNNNNNNNNNNNNNNNNNNNNNNNNNNNNNNNNNNNNNNNNNNNNNNNNNNNNNNNNNNNNNNNNNNNNNNNNNNNNNNNNNNNNNNNNNNNNNNNNNNNNNNNNNNNNNNNNNNNNNNNNNNNNNNNNNNNNNNNNNNNNNNNNNNNNNNNNNNNNNNNNNNNNNNNNNNNNNNNNNNNNNNNNNNNNNNNNNNNNNNNNNNNNNNNNNNNNNNNNNNNNNNNNNNNNNNNNNNNNNNNNNNNNNNNNNNNNNNNNNNNNNNNNNNNNNNNNNNNNUUGCAAGGGUAUGGGUCACUGGAAGUGCAACUGCCCCAAGUAUCUGGCUGAUAAGAAGGCGGCCAAAGAAAAAUCAGGUAUAUUUGAUAUACAUGUUAUUGAUGUGUACUUAACCGGCUCUCGUAGUAGUGCCUGGGUAUUCGAUACCGGUUCUGUUGCUCAUAUUUGCAACUCGAAACAGGAACUGCGGAAUAGGCGAAGGCUGGCGAAAGAUGAAGUGACGAUGCGCGUAGGAAAUGGUUCCAAGGUUGAUGCAAUUGCUGUCGGCACAGUGUCACUUCAGUUACCGUCAGGAUUAGUGAUGAACUUAAAUCAUUGUUAUUUAGUGCCUGCGUUGAGCAUGAACAUUAUAUCUGGAUCUUGUUUAUUGCGAGACGGUUACUCUUUUAAGUCAGAGAAUAAUGGUUGUUCUAUUUCUAUGAGUAACAUCUUUUAUGGUCAUGCACCGAAUGUGAGAGGAUUGUUCAUAUUGAAUCUUGAUAGCGAUACGCAUAUACAUAACAUUGAGACCAAAAGAGUUAGAGUAAACAAUGAUAGCGCCAUAUUUUUGUGGCACUGCCGCUUAGGUCAUAUUGGUGUAAAGCGCAUGAAGAAACUCCAUGCUGAUGGACUUUUGGAGUCACUUGACUUUGAUUCACUUGACACGUGCGAACCAUGCCUCAUGGGCAAGAUGACUAAGAGUCCGUUCUCAGGAACAAUGGAGCAUGCAAGUGACUUGUUGGAAAUCAUACAUACCGAUGUGUGUGGUCCGAUGAGCGUGGAGGCACGCGGCGGAUAUCGUAUUUUCUCACCUUCACUGAUGAUUUGAGUAGAUAUGGUUAUGUAUACUUAAUGAAGCACAAGUCUGAAACAUUUGAAAAGUUCAAACAAUUUCAGAGUGAAGUUGAAAAUCAUCGUAACAAGAAGAUCAAGUUCCUACGGUCUGAUCGUGGGGGUGAAUAUCUGAGUUUCGAGUUUGGUGCUCACUUAAGACAAUGUGGAAUUGUUUCACAGUUAACACCGCCUGGAACACCACAGCGUAAUGGUGUGUCCGAACGUCGUAAUCGUACUCUAUUAGAGAUGGUGCGAUCUAUGAUGUCUCUUACUGAUUUACCGUUAUCAUUUUGGGGCUAUGCAUUAGAAACAGCUGCAUUCACUUUAAAUAGGGCACCAUCAAAAUCCGUUGAGACGACACCAUGCGAACUGUGGUAUGGCAAAAGGCCAAAGUUGUCGUUUCUUAAAGUUUGGGGAUGUGAUGCUUAUGUCAAAAAGCUUCAGCCUGAAAAGCUGGAACCCAAAGCGGAAAAGUGCGUCUUCAUAGGUUACCAAAAAGAGACAGUUGGGUACACCUUCUAUCUCAAAUCCGAGGGCAAAGUGUUUGUUGCUAAAAACGAAGCUUUUCUCGAGAAGGAGUUUCUCUCGAGAGAAUUGAGUGGGAGGAAGAUAGAACUUGACGAGGUUGUCGAACCUCUCAUCCCUCUGGAUGGUGGCGCAGGGCAAGGGGAAACCUCUGUCAUUGCGACGCCGGUUGAGGAGGAAGUUAAUGAUGAUGAUCAUGAAACUCCAGUUCAAGUUUCUGUCGUACCACGCAGGUCGACGAGACCACGUGCUGCUCCAGAGUGGUACGGUAAUCCCGUCUUAUCAAUCAUGUUGUUAGACAACAAUGAACCUACGAAUUAUGAAGAAGCAAUGGUGGGCCCAGAUUCCAACAAAUGGCUGGAAGCCAUGAAGUCCGAUAUAGGAUCCAUGUAUGAGAACAAAGUGUGGACUUUGGAGGUACUGCCUGAGGGCCGCAAGGCCAUUCAGAACAAAUGGAUCUUUAAGAGGAAGACGGACGCUGACGGUAAUUAAAGCUCGACUUGUGGCAAAGGGUUUUUCACAAGUUUAAGGAGUUGACUACGAUGAGACUUUCUCACCCGUAGCGAUGCUUAAGUCCGUCAGACUCAUGUUAGCAAUAGCUGCAUUUUUCGAUUAUGAAAUCUGGCAGAUGUGUCAAAACGGCGUUCCCUAACGGUUUCCUUGAGGAAGAGUUGUAUAUGAUACAACCCGAAGGUUUUGUCGAUCGUAAGAAUGCUAACAAGGUGUGCAAGCUCCAGCGAUCCAUUUAUGGACNNNNNNNNNNNNNNNNNNNNNNNNNNNNNNNNNNNNNNNNNNNNNNNNNNNNNNNNNNNNNNNNNNNNNNNNNNNNNNNNNNNNNNNNNNNNNNNNNNNNAUUGCCUUAUCUUCUCUCUUCAAUGUACAUGCACUCAAUCGACAAAGUGCUUUGCUAUCUCACAAUUCUAGCAAGAUGUCACUUUCUUCUUUGUCGAAAACUUGCCCCUUGUUAUUGUAACCCACCCUCGUAAAUAUCUUCACAAAGAGAGUUGUUUGAUUAUAUUAGAGGCAUUCAUCAGAGUCAGCCUCUUCUUCUUCUUCACCUUCUUCGCCAUCACUUGAUUCAAUAACUCGGACUUGCUUGGCCUUCAACGUAAGACUUGGAUUUGUUAGUCCUCUUGUCAUGGUGGUCACCUUCUUACCAUUGUAAAUAUACUCUUCAUCUUGCACAAAAGUAUCAAUUGAGCAAGAACUCUGAUAUCUUCUAUGAAAUACCAUGUCAUCACUUCAUUGGCAGCCAGGAAAGAUUUUCAGCAUCCUUUUUUCUCUGAAGUAGUGUUCAAUGCUUGCUGGAAUAUUUGGACAGUCCGAAAUGCAAGGAUUUUCAACAAUGAGCAUCCCAGGUUCAGUAAAUGGAAGUCUAGCUUCACUCAUGAUAUCUCUCUUUUAGCUCAGAGGAUUAAGGCUAGAUAUAGGGAUGAUCUCCUUAAGUGGAUCUCUUUUCUACCUCCUCGAGGUUUGUAUUUAUUCCCCCACAUCCCCAUUGUAUAUUCUAAUCCUCUCAUGUACAUAUACUCUCUUUUUACUGGAAUAAAGGAAAGAGUUGUGGGGUGAUUCCCUACAGUAGCUGAUCCAAAAAAAAUACCAUGCCAUCAUAGUAAGGAGCAAGAGCGGUCGAAAACUUCCCCAAAAGAUAAAUAGGUUGUUGAUACUGAAACCCUUCAUUGAUCUUGUCACAUUAAGCUUCGCAACGAGAGCCUUGAGUCGGUCAUGAAGACCCUGGGAUUUAUCACUUGGUUCCAAUACAAAAAGGCGCAUCUCACUCUUGGUCAUUUCAUAUCUUGAGAGUUGGAUGGGGGUUUCGGUCCUAGCCAACAAUAUACUAUCCGAUAGUUCCUUGGAGGAUUUGACAUGGAAGUAAAGUUCAUUCUCUUGUUUGGACAAAAACUUUCUUAUCAACAUGCAUGUCGAAGUGUUGACUUGAUCAUCAAAUGUUUCUUGUGAAGUUAUGUUGUUGGGGUUGACAAGAUUAAAACCACCGACCAUAAUCCUCCAAAUAUCAUUAGAGUGAUGUUGAUAUGUCUUGCAUCUCAUAUUUGCACGAUAAUAAUCUCCCCUUCACGUUGUAAAUGAGAGUGUAUCCAUGGUAAUUUUGCUUGGGUUCUUUAGGCGAUGAUGCCCGCUUUACCCAAAUUCAACGUGAUUGAUCCCGAAGGUGCAUAGAAGGAGAAGGAAAUCAUCCUUGCGGCCGACGAUACAUUGCCACUUUGAAGUGGGAAGACACCACAAGGGUUUCAUGAUUUCAAUCAUUCCUCCACCGCAAGAUCAACCAUGGCCUUCAUAUUUGAGGUGUGUAUUACCAACAACCUUUUGACGCCCGUGGAGGAAUAAAUCUUACCAUCUUACGAUGAUGUACUCACCUUUGGGUCAACUUCCCCCUACGGGGAGGAUAGGUUGUUGGACACCCUCUUGGAACAUCUCGCUAUGUGGCGGUUAUUCCACAAGAUAUAACAUGAGGCUUUGAUACCAAUUGAACGAUUGAGAUGGACCUUUGAGGGGCGGGGAUGAAUGGAUAUAAUUAUACAUUGUACUUGAUUAUUAGAAAAUUUAGGCAAUGUGAAAUAUAAAUGUGAUCCUAAAAAAUUGUCACGGUGAGAUAAACAAUCACAAUAAGAUUAAUGGAAAAGGUCAAGUGGCCAGAAUAAACCAUAAACAGGGAGCUAGGGUUAGAGAUAAUCAAAGACACGGAGACAAGGAUGUCUUCAGAUGUUCACUUAUUUGAAUGGAAGCUAGUCAUUCUUGCAAGGGUGGGUGUAACACGAAUACACGCCAACGCCAAAUUGAUCACCCUAUUCUCUUUGAGAUAUCACCAUGAAGGUGAUUCUAAACCACCAGUGGUAGACCUUAAGGAGGCAUCCAAAUGUUCACAAACUUCCGAGGGGCAAAUCACACGUUGAUUCCUCACCGAAGAACUACUACCUCGAGGAGUAACAAGAACAAAGGGAAAAUUCUCAUCACUUUCUCAAAUCAUGAAGUGAUUUGGUCAAAGGAGAGAGGAUGAAUGGGUCUAUACUUAGGGUGAAAUAUUUCUCAAGAACUCUCAAGAAUCCCUAAAUAAAUCUUCCAUUUGGAGUGGGGAAAUGAGAGGGAUAUGUUAUUGUUAAUCAACCCCUCCAUAAAGUGGUGAAGGGUAAUUAUAGGCUAGCAUAAAACUAGCUCCUUUAGUGUAUAAAACAUACGGCCAGACGGUUCCACAGAAAUUGCCCAGACAUUUUGACCGAUGAGACUUGUUCAUGUCAACACCGUACAUUGAUAAAAACAAUAACAACCAGACAAACCGAUGGUCGGACAAAAAGUCCUCCCGAGUUUUCGUCCAGCAAAUCGUUUGACUAUAGUUUUGCCCCUCUGUUGGCCCGAUGUAAUUAUGUGAAAAGUCUUGCAAGUUUGCUGGAUGGUCCAGCUAGAUCCAGGACCAAAAGACCUCUUGGAUAAUUUUUUGCCAAGAAUUUUAGGUUAUUUCGGACUAUUCAUCCAUAUUUUGUCUCAUUAUAAUAUGCGACUUUGGUUAGGCUUUUUGGCAUUGGACUUUUAGGUAGGAAUAUAAUGUUGCGAUGAUUGUGAUAUGAGCGAAAACUUCGCAAACCCAUAUGAUCUCGUCUUAAUAGUACGGUUUCCCAAUAACUCAAGAACAAAGAGGAAAAGCUUCGAUUUCCUUUGUUUCCGCACAUAUCUUCAGCCACUUAACUUUUUUUUGAGGGGCGGGGGGGCCUAUAUUCCACAGACGAAAGUUUCCACGGGGACUAAAACAUAUAGAUUUAGUUAGCAGAAAUAUCAUUCCCCUAUAAGUAGAUAUCAAAAUACGAUUAAGGACAUGAUUGCACUUUCACGCGGUUUCAUCCCGAGUGAGUAGUCUUGAUUGCUUUUUAGUGGGAUGUGGUAACACUUGUAUUCUACUCUUGGGUUACCUUUCAUCUUACUUGUAUGAAGGUCUCCUCGUCAACUUGUAAUUACUUUAUGGUAAACUAUUGUAAUUGGACGGCCUACUACAAUUUGCACCGGUUAGGCAUCGUGCCUCACACAUGAUUGUUUAAAUCAUCCAGGUAUCUUUCUUCACCCCCUACACCCCCUCACAUAGCAUGCCGCCUUCUACCCACAUCCCAUCUCUCUCUUGCGAGCUAUUUCCACCCCCCUAAAUGCAUACGCGGUGCUGCAAAGGUCAUCCAUUUUUUUCUAUUAGGAGAGGGACAACGAUGGUGCUUGGGCUAUGUCGCCAUCAUGGGCAUCGAGCGCUGCAAUUGUCGUGGGCAAAGGUGCAUCCGGAACCAUCGUGUACUGGAACCUAUUGUGGCAACAUUGCAUCCACAUUCGUCACGUGUUCGAACCAACAGUUUACUACGUCACUCUCAUGCUAGAACUAGCAUUCAGGGAUGUUGCGACUUCAGCCGCAACAUGCUGGAAUUGGCCCGGUGGUGAUGUUGCGACUAUGCCCUUCACGUGUUGGAACUACCGUCGAAGGACACUGCAACUAUGGUCGAACGAUCUAGACAACAUGAUGCAACAUAGGUGUGGUGAUGCUACAACCAGACGCAUGCGGUGCUAUGAUGGGAGCAUGACGAACGGAGAUAAAUACCUUCGCGAGCUUGCUAAUGAUGGUUGUUAUGAGCAUGGCAUCAGGGGUGCGGCGAGGGAACGACACAGUGUGGCGAGCUUGCUGCUGGGUUAUCAAGAGUGCAAGGCGAGCCAGAGAUGCAACAUCUAAGUGGAUGAGAGUGUGCGACCAUGGGAGGAAGGGGGCGAUUUAGGGGAAAGGUCAUCCAAUGGUUGCACGAGGCUGGAUCGGGAUGGCUUGCUCGUUGAUACGUCUCCAACCUAUCUAUAAUUUUUUUAUUGUUCCAUGCUACUAUAUUAUCAUUCUUGAAUGUUUUAUGAUCAUUUUAUAGCAACUUUAUAUCAUUUUUUUGAACUAACCUAUUAACAUAGUGUCUAGUGCGAGUUGCUAUUUUUUUCCUUCACAGUAAAUCCAUAUCUCAUGAAGUCCAAAUGCCACGAAACUUUACGGAGAUUUUUUUGGACCAUAAGGAAACUUGGGAGCCAAGAAUGAGCAACAUACCAGGUCCAAGAUGGCCAAUAGACACCAGGGCGCCGCUUGGUAUCUAUUGGGGCCCUCGGCCACCUCCUCCACUGCAUGUGAGCUCUAUAAAUACCCCAAUAUUCGGAAAACCCUCGAGGAGUCAGCGAAAAAUCCUUUUAGCCAACGCAAGUUCCAGAGCCACGAAAUCCCAUCGAGAGCACGUUACGGAUGGGUUCACCAUCCUCAUUCGUGCUCCUCCCAUGAUGUGUGAGUAGUUCAUAUCAGACCUACGGGUCCGUAGGCAGUAGCUAGAUGGCUUUCUCUCUCGUUUUGUUUCUCAAUACAAUGGUCUCUUGGAGAUCCAUAUGAUGUAACUCUUUAUUUUGCGGUGUGUUUGUUGGGAUCCGAUGAAUUGUGAGUCUAUGAUCAGAUAUAUGAAAACAUAUUCAUGCUUGAUUAUUAUAGGCUUGUAUUUCUUCUCUUGUAUUUGGUUUUUGUCUGGCCAAUUUUAUAUUUUAUCUUGCAAUGGGAAGAGGUGCUUUGUGAUGGGUUUGAUCUUGUGGUGCUCAAUCUCAGUGACAGAAAGAGACAUGGCACGCAUGUAUCAUUCCUAUUAAGGAAAAACGAGGGGGUCCAUUCCUACAUGAAUAGAUCUUGUCUACAUCAUGUCAUUGUUCUUAAGGCAUUACUCUGUUUCUCCAUGAACUCAAUACACUAUAUGCAUGCUGGAUAGCCGUCGCUGUGUGGAGUAAUAGAAGUAGAUGCAGGCAUAAGUCGGUCUACUUGUCUUGGACGUGAUGCAUAUAUACAUGAACGUUGUCUUGAAUAUCGUCGUAAUUAUUUGCUAUUCUAUCAAUUUCCCAACAAUAAUUUGUCUACCCACCAUUUGCUAUUUUAUUGAGAGAAGCCACUAGUGGAAGCUACGGCCCCCGGGUCUACUUCACAUCAUCUAUAUGCAAUCUCUACUUUGACAUUUGCGUUUCUAUUUUAUUUGCUCUUUUAUUUCCAGAUCUAUAUUAUAAAAAACCAAAAUACCUUGCUGCGUUUUACUUGUUAUCACUCUUAUUUGCAUCCAUCAAUCUAUCCUUACUUUACCCACGGGGGAUUGACGACCCCUUCACGCGUUGGGUUGCGAGGAUUUGCUAUUUGUGUGCAGGUGUUGCUUACCUAGUCUUGUGGAUCUUCCUACAAGAUUGAUACCUUGGUUUCAUAACCGAGGGAAAUACUUGUCGUUGUUAUGCUACAUCACGCUUUAAGCUUGGAGGGAAACCAACACAAUCAGCGAGGAGUCAAGAUUUCUGGCGUUGUUGCCGGGGAAGAUCAAGUCAGAUCCUAUCGGGUUCCGCUACACAACUCUCAUCUCCUUGCAAUUACAUUAUUUGCCAUUUGCCUCUUGUUUUCCUCUCCCCCACUUCACAAUUUUUUUCCUUUUUAUUUGAUUUCUUUCCAUUUUCCUUAUUCUUGCUUGCUUGCUUCUAUUGCCUUCACGUCAACACUCAAAAAACGGAAAAUAAACAAGAAACGUAAAGACAUAUGGAUCCUCAUCCACUUGCUAAUAUUUUCAUUAGUCUAAUUACCUUGAACCAAUUGCUAAUGAGUUGAGUGCUCUUGAUUUUUUUUAAGUUUUGCUUGAAAAUCAUGAAUCUGAAUAUUGUGAUGAAGUGUUAAAAGAAGAAAAUUAUAAAGUGAUUCAUGAUAUGUCCUUGAAUGAAAAGCAUGACUGCAAUUAUUUUGUUAUAAAUUAUAUUAAUGGCAAUUGUGCUAAUAAUAUGCAAAACUACAAGUUUGGGGAUGACAAUUUUCUCAUGUCCACUACUCAUUGUAAUGAUCAUGAUUGGGGUGAUGCUUCUUAUCAUCUUGAAAAUUUAUUUAAUACCCAUGAUGAAUAUUAUAUUGAUAACAAUGUUUGCAAUAGUAUUUGAAGUGGGUUGUAGAGGUCAUGACUUUAGUUAAUGUUAAUCCCACUACCUUGAAAGAUUAUAAGACUUUUAUACAUGUGGAUCAUGGAGAAAAUAUUUUAUGUGAUAGCUAUAUUGUUGAAUUUGAAUAUGAUCCUGCAUGUAAUUAUUAUGAUAGGGGAAAAUAUGGUUAUAGAAAUAUCCAUGUUACUAAAUUAUCCCUCUUCAUGUUGACAGUGCUAUUGUUUCUUUCUUCUUCCAUGCAUAUGUUAGAUAUUUUUUCUCUUGAUAAUUUGUUUGCUUAUGAAAUGCCUAUGCAUAGGAUGUAUGCUAGUAUAAAUGUGUUUGUAUUAUGCUACAUGAUGCUCUCUUUGUGUUUCAACUACUAUCCUUCAUGUGAGCAUCAAAAAAAAUCUCAAGCCUAUCUUAAUGGCUAUGAAGAAAGAGCUUGUUGAGAGGCAACCCAAUUAAUACAAAUUAUUUUCACUUUUUCUUUAUGUUCUUGAGUGUUUGCACAAUUAUGCUACUGUUAUAAUUGUGUUUUUCGUGUUUUAUUUAGUUCUUCUGCCAAGUAAAGCCUUUCGGAUCAUGUGGGGUGUUAGUUGCUUUAAUCCUAUUGAAAAACAGAAACUUUUGCGUCGAGUAGAAAAAAUCCUAAAAAUCGCAGAAACAUCAAAAGUGUCUGAAUUGUUCACACAUGAUUUAUAUUCAAAUUACCUACGUUGUCCUAAUGUUUUAGAAUUUUUGUAGUUACAGAAGUAUGAGCAAAAUUCGAAACUUUACAGGCUUUUCUGUUUUUAACAGAUUCUGUUUUCUUUGCAUUAUGUGCUUGUUUUGAUGAUUCUAUGAUUUGUAUCGGGGGUAUAAGCCAUGUUAAAGUUAUCAUACAGUAGGUAUAAUGCAAAAAACAAAAUUGGAAUUGGUUUUAAAUAGUACGUAAAGUAAAGUUUAGUUUACUUAUACUAACGGAUCUCACGAAAAUUUUGUAGAGUUUUGUGUGAUUGAAGUUUUCAAGUUUUGGGUGAGAUCGCGAUGGAUGAAGGAAUAAGGAGUGAUAAAAGCAUGAGCUUGGGGAUGCCUCAUGGCACCCCAAGGUAAUAUCUAAGAAGUACCAAGUAACUAAGCUUGUGGAUGCCCUCGAAGGCAUCCCCUCUUUCUUCUAAUAACCAUCGAUAGUUUUACUUGGAGCUAUAUUUUUAUUCAUCACAUAUCAUGAGUUUUGCUUGGAGCAUCUUGUAUGAUUUGUGUCUUUGCUCUAUUUUCUAGUUAGUUUGUCAUAAUAAACCUUGUUGGACACACCCAUUUGAGAGAGCUAAAUUAUGCUAUGGUUUGUUAGAAUCGCUCUUUAUGCUUCACUUUAAUUUUGUAGAGCCAUGGAAUUGCUCAAGUAUUUCACUUAUAUCUUUUUGAGCACGUGGUGAUGUUAUUUUUAAGAAAUUUGCUCUCAUGCUUCACUUAGAUUAUUUUUAGAGUUGCUGAAAUUUUGAAUAAAUCCUCUCUUGCUUCAAUUAUAAAUUUUUGAGAGUUCAAAAUUUUAAAGAAACUUGUUCUCUCGUUCUUCACUUAUAUUUCUUUGGGAGCUUGUUAUUUGCAAUGGCAAUUUGCUUUAAAUGAAAAUUAGUUCAAAAGUGAUGAAUGUUCAGGAAAGAUAUAAAUAAAACUUUCAUGAAGAUCAUUGGAUAUUAAACUUGAUUCUUUGCAAUAGUUCUACGAUAUGAAGAUAGUAAUAUGUGAGUUAUAUUGAUGAGUAAUUAGGAUCUAGUAGGAAUAUUGGUGUUAAGGUUUGUGAUUACCAAUGCAUACACAUGAAGUUGAUAAUUAUGCUGUGAAAUUACAUACUACUUGUGUUGCAGUAUUCGGUGUUAGUUAUGUUUAAUGUUCAAUUAUGAUGAUCUUUGUUCCUUGGUUGGGUGCUUCUCAAUCUACUUGCUAGCCUUCACUUGUACUAUGCGGGAAUACUGCCUGUGCAUCAAAAUCCUAAACCAAAAGUUGUGCCCGAAUGAGUCCACCGUACCUACCUAUAUGCGGUAUUUCAAUGCCGUUCCAAGUAAAUUUGCAAGGGCCAACUCUAAUGUUCAAAAUAAAUUUCUGUUUUGUGUGCCCGUACUGCUCAUAAAGCAGUGAGGGGUGGCCGGUAUCUUCCUUGUUAAAUAGGUUAUUCUCAAGAUGAGUGUUUCCCCUUUAGUAAUUAGCACGAGAGUAUGUGGGUAAUAGGGAAUGCCCCAGUCCCAAAAUGCAAAAAAUAUAUUUUUAUGUUGUCAAAUAAUAUUCCUCGAAAGUGUUGGUAUGGGCGGUACCCCUGAUACGGGCUAGCGUGGAAUGUGAAAGAAUGGUGGAAAAAGGAAUAAACUUUAUUUUAAGUUUGGGAACCAUCCAUAAUUUGUUUAGCAUGGAGGAUAUUGGAAAUUCUUAGUCGUUUUCAUUGAUAGGAAAAGCAUACCACCUGAUGACGAGCUGAUGUAUAUACUUCUUGAUGAGGACAUGACUACCUUUGAUAUUGUCACAAUCAUUGCAUAUGCAUAUUUAUUUGAGGUGAUUUCUGAUAAAAUUCAUGCAAUAAUUUAUUUAUGUUAUCCGGAACAAAAAUACUUCAUCUGUUUUUAUUUUAUGCCUAAAUGCAGAAUGGCCGAACACUUGUAUGAAUCACGUGUGAUGACAAGGGAAGAGGAAAUGGUUGGAUGCUAUUUGAGAGAUCCUCUCAUGCCAAAGAAAAUAAUUAGUUGGUGUUCAAGAAGUUCUCUCACGUCACUUUUAACCCAAGAGAAGAUAGAUUCCAAGUCUUGCACGUUCUGGACUCAGAUUCGGACUGAAAGACCCGGCUGGAGAGGUGGACCUCAAUCCACUGCCAUGGCGGAGGAGCUCUACCUUACCUGACGUAGACCUUCAGAGAGCAAGGUGGAGAGGGGAAAGGAGGUGGCGGCGCGAGAGAGAGGAAACCCUAUGGUACGGACGCCAAGGGGGGUCGCCUUUAUGGAGGGAAGGAGCGAGGAACGUUCCUCGACGUCCGUGACGCCCUCAAGUGGACGCUGCUCUGAAUCCUGCUGGAGGGAACACUGACGGACGAAGGGGGAAGCGAAGACGCCGUCUACAGGAGAGCGAGCGCGAGAGAGGGGUGCUGGGCCUGCUAGUGGGAGGAGGCCCACUAGUUGGCGCCAGAUAGGAGAGGAGAAAAACCCGAGGGUUUUUCUAAUUAAAACAACCAGGGAAAAGGAAGUAAUUCACAGACAAAUCUGUUGGGAUUAAAAACAAAACAAAAAUGCCCCUGGUCAUAAGGAAUUAUGACCUAAUUGAAUAAAAUAGAAAAGAAAAUAUUUGGAGCAAUUUGAAUAAAUGCAAAACAACAAUUUAUUUACUGUUUUGGAUUUAUUUACACCCUUAAAACUAAGAUACAAAACAGCAAAAACACAUCUUGACAUCCUCCACAAAAUACAUUAAAUCAUGGGCAUUUUUGGAUCAAGGUUAAGACAAGUGAAUAUUGGCUUGGGAAAUAAGAGAGAGAGAGAGAGAGGUUGCUAACAUGACAAGCCCACUACAUUUAGUACCAUCAUCACAUGGCAUCAUGGAGCACCUCAACAUACACACAACAUCACAAAGUAGCUAUUCACAAGACCACCACAUCACAUGAAAUGCUAAGAGCCUAUAACACCACACAAGACAACGCAUGCAAUGAUAUGUUAUGCAUGCAUGCAUGGGAAGGAGGAGAAACAAUAAGGAGUCAUCACAAGAAGUCAUGGCACAUUUGAUAUCAUCAAAACUCUGACAAGGUGGACCCACAUGCAAUAGGUUCCAAAUAUGGCAAGGUUUACAUCUGGGGCACUACAAGUUGGGCGGUCCGACAAAACCUCGCCUAGCGGCCCGUAGGGGUCCUCCUCGUCGCUGCUCUUCGACUGGACGUUCUCGGGGGGCGACGCCUCCUCAUAGGCGCGUGGGCAGAUCGGCGGCGCCAUGGCAUAGAUUUUAGAGAGAGAGAGCGAUGGCGAGCGACGGGAGGAUGAAGAUGAGAGUGCACGCGGGACGAGCGUGAGCAACAUAAUAUUUAUUGGCUGUCGGAAUCUAGAUCGACGGGAACAAUACACACGUCGGUCGCCGGAAUUUGCGAGUAAUGUAGUUUGUAUUGCACACGAUUCCCAUAGCAAAAGUUGUAUGUGAAUUUAAUAGCUCAGGGUUUUCAAUACAGAACCGCGUCUGAUUAAUAACCCGCGCACUCAUCUUCCCAACCUCGAGGUGCGAAAUAGAGUGCCAAUCAUGUGGGGCUCGGUUGUCUUGCCAGAUAUUAACACUUUCUUUUCUCAUAUAAGGCACGAAUGCUUAUUUUGGGUUACAAUGACUCUCCAUGCAUGUGUUCAAGCUGUGACAUCAAUAUGUUUGAAAAUUCCUUUCAAUUUACUGCACAUGAAAUUAACUCGUACACAACAAGUACACAUAUAUGAUUUUCCAAACCGUUACGGUCAGCUGUUGCAUGUACAUGUAGUUCAAAUUUAAAUUACGGUCAUUAAAUGGCUAUAAAAUCACUUAAAUGUUUUAAAAAGAUCAAAUAAACCCUGAAAUUUUCCAAAUUUUGACAUGAUAGUUUUAUUAGUGCAUGUUAAAUAUAGUAAAAAUUUGAAGUCAUAAGAGGAAGCUAUCGUCGGUUCAUCAUCAAACAUGCAUUGUUCCUUUUCGGAACCACGAGCCUUCUAGUGAGUUGCUUCGGUUUGUGAGGAGUGUGUGUCUAAACUUUUGUCUAACAUGCCUAUUUUUUUUACGGCAGCAUCUUGGUGGCAUGCCAUUAUGACAAGCAAGGUUUCAUGUAUUUCUAAAUUUUUUUAAUUUUUUGAAAUGUAAAUGACAUGGCACUCGAUGCUUUGUGUCCAAGCCUUGACACCAAUAUGUUUGAAAAUCCUUUCAAUUUACCGCACAUGAAAUUAACUCGCAUACAGGUACACAAAUAUUAUUAUUUUUAAAUCAUUAUGGUUAGAUGUUGCAUGUACAUGUAGUUCAAAUUUAAUUACAGUCAUUAAAUGGCUAGAAAAUCAUUUAAAUGUCUAAAAACGUCAAAUGACCUUGAAAUCGUUUCAUGCAAGACAAUGACAUAGUUCAAAUUUGAAUUAAGGUCAUUAAAUGGCUAGAAAAUUACUUAAAUGUCUAAAACAUCAAAUGACCCGUGAAAUCGUUUCAUGCAAGACAAUGACCCUUCUAAGAUGUCUCUUCCAGGCAUGAAAGUUGUCUAUGUUGGUUGGACUACCGGAUGGGCUAUCUGCGUCAACCUAUUUGUACCAGCCUUGGUGAAAAAAUUGAAGCUCACAUUGAGAAGACAUAUCAGUUUGAAUUGCUCAAUGCGAAUAGCCUUCUCCUUCUUUGGCACGACGUUAUUGUCCCAAAGUUUAGGUGAAACAGCUGCAAGUGACCAUUAAACAAAUCAUGGAACGUAGGUAGUAGAUCUCCCUUAAUAAUAUGCCAACACUUCUUAUAAAAUUCUAUCGGGAAUCCAUCUGUUCCCGAGGCCUUAUUUUGUUUCAUCGGUGCUAUUGCGUCAAACACCUCUUUCUCAGGGAACGGAGCUGACAAUACCUCAUUCUCAUCUGAACUGAGCUGAGGUAUGUCACCUGUUGCUCAGCUGAGGUAUGUCACCUGUUGCACGCACAUCGCCAGAGAAAAUUCUCUUCGGGUGCACCAAAAAGUUUCUUGUAGUAUUCUAAGAUGUAUAAUUUUAGGUUCUCAUGUCCUACAAUUGUAUCCUCAUCCUGUUCGAAUUGAAUAAUUUUCUUCUUCCUAUGCCUCCCAUUUGCGAUCAUGUGGAAGCAUUGUGUGUUGUCAUCUCUAUGGGCUACCUUCGUCACCUUCGCUCGAGGAGCCCAUUUCAUAUCUUCCUCCCUCAAAAGAGUUUGUAACUUCUUCCCAGCCUCAUUCUUAAUGCUCUGGUCUGACAUAUUAAGAAGUGCAGCCCGAGCUUUGACGUCCAACUCAUUAAUGAGUUGAAUGAGUCUUUUUUUUCAUUUUGUAAAAACCACUUUGAUUCUUGGCCCACCCUCUCAAGAACUUGCGCAAGUGUCCAAUUUUAUUUUACCACCUACCAAUAUUAGAUGACCCACCAGAUUCGCUCGCCCAUUCUAUAGCAAUGAGCUCCAUGAAUCCUUCUCUCUCGAACCAAUUUAAUUCUUAAUUCCUAAAUAUAAGUCUUUCUAAAGGUUUCGCUAGUGGACUACAUAUGAAACAAAAUAAGUGACACUAGUGGAGACAGGGCCUAUAGUCCCGGCCCGUGAGGGGCUUUAGUCCCGGUUCACCAACCGGGACUAAAGAGGCGGGACUAAAGGCCUAACCUUUAGUCCCGGCCCUGUUUCAAGCCGGGACCAAAGGUGCUCCACGUGGGCGCCUCGGAGGGAGUACCUUUAGUCCCGGUUCUACUUACGAACCGGGACUAAAGGAUCCGUCUGUUUAUUUUGUUUGUUUGACCCAAAAAGGUAGAUUUUCUUUAAUUUUUUCAAAUUUUACUUUUGAAUAUUUUUUUAUGUUUUAUUCCAAUUUUCAAAUCUUUGAAUUAUUUGACAAUUUAAUCUCUAAUCACACAUCCUCACUGCUCUAGCGUGGAUCACUCAUUUCAAAUCGUCCAACUUCCCGGCCGAUCACCCAUCCUUUCACUACUUCAGCCCGAGCACGUUUAACUUUCUGGUUCUAUCGUCCCUAGUUGCCAAGUGUGCACUUGUUGUUUUCCUAACAAUAGUAAGCUAUCAAUCCUAAACAACUUGGGUCUUGAUGUCAUGUCACAUGAUUUAAUUUUUUGAAUUACAAACAAUUAUUAAAAUAAACUUAAUAAGUAACAAUAAUAGUGAAUUUCAAUGAAAACAACCUAAUAUUUUUAAAUAAAAUUAUUUUUCUUUUUUUUUGGAAAAAACUUCUUUUUGAAAUAACUUUUUCCCAUUUGGAAUUUUGAGCAUGUGAGAAAACUUCACCGGGCAAGCCCGGGUGAAAUCGAGUACCAAUUUUUUCUAGUUUUUUUUGAUAUAUUAAUAUUUUUUGGAAAACUUCACCGGGCAUGGCCGUUUAUUUUUUUUCCUUUUUUUGCAAAAACAGUCAAAAUUCAUAUCUCAAAAUUUCUAUACCGACUAGACACUAAAACCUAACAACAUCUCAAAGGAUUUUAUUUUUUGAAGAACUUAUCAUUUUUGUUUAUUUUUUGAAGAUUUUACCAUUUUUGUUUAUUUUCUACAAAACUCAAAGUAUCAAGGUUCAAGACGAAAACCCAUCUGCUACAAAGGCAUUUUUUAAAAAAAUUAAUUGAACUGGAGAUUUUUUUUGUGCAUUAAAAUAUGCCCCCAUACUUAAAACCAUGGUUCUACAUAAGAACUAAAAACUAAUAUAAAAACACACAAUUAAAAUGACUUAAAGCAACUUAUAUAAGAAAAACAAUUAUUUCUUUUAAUUAAAAUCUAAUUUAAAUUAUUCUAAAAAAUAACCAAAUAAUCUUACUGUGACAACAAUCUAACACAUGAGUGGGGGCAAAAAGAAAUUAAAUUAAAAACGUAUUUGUAAACUUUAAGUUAUUCAAAAACUGGGUUUGAAGCAAAAUUUAAACAAAUUCAAAUUUAAACCAUUCAAAUUUGAAAACUAAUGGCACAAACAUAAACUAGACAAAAUUUUGAAUCUAAUGCAAAAAGAAUCAAUCAAAAACGAUCAAAUAUCCUAAAAGAUGUAAGCAAUUUAAAACAGAACCUACGCACCGAGUCAAAAGACCAGAAAAAGACCCGGGACGAGAGCGUCAGUGGCUCGCGUGCCGAAGCGGCUGUACAGGUCGGCCCUUUAGUCCCGGUUCGAGACACGAACCGGGACUAAAGCCUCCAAACCCUUUAGUCCCGGUUCGAGACACGAACCAGGACUAAAGGUCCCAUUUGAACCGGGACUAAUGCCCGACCGGCGCCUUUGCCGCUCGAACCGGGACUAAUACUAACAUUAGUCCCGGUUCGUAAAGGAACCGGGACUAAUGUGUUUUCCAAGCUGGGACGAAAGCCCUUAUUUCUACUAGUGUAAAUCUAUAAUCUAAAAUAUGUCUAUAUACAUUCGUAUGUGGUCCGUUAGUGAGACCUCUAAUAAAACUUAUAUUUAAAAACGGAGGGAGUAGCACAUUACAUGCACUGAACUUUACUAGCAAUUGUAGUAUUCACUUUAUAAACAGUACAACUCUCUGCUUGUUUUUGCCCUUCCGCUCUACACCAACAGAAACCAAUAUAGUUGGGUUUGGUCUCCUUUCAUGCGCCUAUAAAUAGAGCAUGGCCGAGUGAACUACUCUCUCCGCAUUAGUGUCAAAAACGUUUUUAUAUUGUGAAACGGAGGAAGUAACAUAUUGCUGCUUCUGGGGGUUUAGUAAUCAUCUAGCUCUCGAGAGAAUAUUAUUGUAUAUGUUUAUCUUCCCAUUUCCGAAGCAUUUUAGCCGGUCACCCGGCCUCAUAUAAUAGAAGCCUGUGUUUCAAUCCAAGAGCCUGUGUUUCCUUUUGAUAGCCAUAAACUUGUGUUGCUGACAUGAAUUUUCAGGUUCGAUCACCUUGUGUUGGAGAUAAUUUUUCUAGAAUGCACAGACAGAAAGGAGUCGUUGGUUUUCUAGAAUCUCAGGAGAACUUCCCUUUUACCUGCCAAGGAAUAGUUCAAUUCGCACGUCUUUCCUACCCGUCAAUCUCCAAGCCAGCUGCUCGAAGCUGCUUUGGGGAAGGGGAUCGCCCUUGGUGUUGGUGGUAAAAUGAAAUAUGCAAACCAUUCACCAGAGAUCUGAAUAACAUACAAAGGUGGAAAAGGCCCCCGUGUCGUCACCCGCGGGCGACUCGCAUGGAUCCGCCGCCGUCUCCCAAGUUUCCUCCAUCGCCAGCUCUCCUCCCACCACCGGCACGCGCCACCAGGGGCAAAGCCCCCCCCCCCCUCGUGGUUGGCCGACGGCGGGGCCUUGUUCCUCCUCGACCGGGGAGCGCAACGCUGGAUGCAGCGCUGGCCCGGGGCGUUCAGACAGUGGUGUGCGCAACCGGGCCGACGACGCGGUUAAAUGGCGCGGUUGUAGAGGCUACGGGGUGAUCUGGGAGCAUGGCGACGGCGUGCUAAGAUCUGGCUCGGUGGCGUCCCGAUCUGGCGGAUCGAGAUCUACAGGCGGCGCGGGGGGUGGUGGCGGCUGUCGUGGGUCGCUGCAGCGGGUCAUGGCUCGUGGUGUCGGUCUUCGAUGGACCAGGGCCUGGCGUGGUUGCUUUGGAGGUCGACGACGCUUGAUCCGGUCGCUGUUCUUUGGCCCUGAUCGGUGUGCUUCUCUCCUACGGGUUCGUGGCGGUGCCGGCAUGGCCGCGGAUGAAGCUGGUGGAGGAGAUCCAGAUUGGGGGAAACCCCUUGGUCGGCCCCGGCCGACCGCUCCGACGAUGACGCUCAAGGGCGCCGCUUCUUGGAGAUGUCGAUCUACGUCUGCUCCUCCACUUCCCACCUCCCUGCCUCUCGGGUGAAAACCCUAACUCCGGUGGGCGACGACGACGUCCUUGAUGUCGUGACCUUUCUGAAGGCGUCGCCUUAAGGGCUGAGUGGUGGUGGGUAUUGUGUGGAUCCUUGACGGUUGUUGGUGGUGGGCACUGCUUCGGGGAAAACCCUAGGAUCUGGUCUUCCAGAUCGAUCGAUGGCAGUACUGUAGUGUCGUUUCUCUCUUGGGAGCAUCGUUUAUGGAUGACAGAGGCAGGAGGUGGAGCGGCUUUGUCUUGCACGGAGUUUUGGUGCAGCUGUCAAGACAUGCCUGGCCGACACGUGCUACGCUAAGUCAUACAUGGUUGGCAGGUGCUACGCACGGCAGUUCUUUCAGAAUCUUCGCGUCUAAACGAAUGAGCGCAGGGCGGUGGCGCCGUUGGGUGUCGUGGUGGCGUUGACGGAUGUUUGGACUGGCAAGGAUGAUGCAGAUCUCUCUAUUAAAGAUGGGUCAUUGGACCGAUGAUGAUGGCGGCUUCUAAAACGUGUGUGUGUGCUUUAGGUGCUGCACCGGUUGUUGGCCCCGAUACGUUACGUGGAUAGAUGGGCGACGAUACCAGUUUUAGAUAUGGAGAAUGAGAGCACUCCACAUUAUCGAGUUUGUAGAUGUGAGUGAUGGUUUCGGAUGGAUUGAUGUAUGUUUUUGUCACACCUUUGUGGACUAAUUGAUAAAGAGGGUUGCAUGCAUCAAUUGAUGCAGAGGCUGGGGUUUAACCUUCUUUUUUUUAAAAAAACAUUCACCACAACAUCAUUUGAAGUGAUCUCGAUCGGAACAGUUGCACAAGUAAUAAGCGUGUCUCCUUAAUUCAAACCAGCCUCUUUUUGAACUUGGAAUUCUGGAUACGCCGGAGCGAGAUAUUUGCUGAUUUCAGUGGUUGGUCACAGGGGCGGAGCUUAUGUACUAUAGCCCAAUAUGGGCCAUAGCCCCCCUUCCAUCAGCAUUACAAUCUCACGCAUACGAAGCAGUAUGCAUGGGUCCUCGUUGGUUCCCAGGCUGUACAAAACUAUUUUGACAUGCCAAUUACGGCUAAGAUAAAUAGAGAAGAUAGCUAACUAACUAAAGCUACAGACAGAGAGUGGAAGUAAUGGGACGACCCUGACUCUAACUAAAUACCAAAGCACUAACUCAGCACCGCUAUUAUCGCAUAUCGCUCCAUUUGGUUUACCAAAAAGAAUCACCAAAAAUACAUACCUCACUAUACAUACGCAGAUAGAGCAUAAAGGGUUCGAAUGGUUCUCAAACCACUUACGGCCCCUCCAACUUUUAGUUGCCCUAUAUAUUUUCUGUCACACAGUUUUAACAGAAGUGAGCAGAAAACCACCUCAAGGCAAGAAAGCCCGGCCCGGCGGGUGACGGGUGCGCCUCAAAGCCGUCCGGCUACCAGAGGCGACUAGGUUUUAAAAUGGUGGUUCCAAAUCAAUGCACUCCAUCUACUUCCAAUUAGUAUGUCAUUCAACAUGAUCAUGACAUCUACUAGUUUUGACAGGACUUGCUUGUAAGGUUUUUUUUAGACAUAUUGUUUGUAAGGUCAUCUCCAACGCUGACCUUCAACCCAAACACCGGAUCCGCCCACGGACACGGAUUCAGGGCCGGUCAUCUAAUGCUACUCGCAUACAUUAUUAAGUAAAUUUAAAAAAACCGGAUGAAUUACAUGUAAAUCAGAUGAUUUUCAUUCAAACGGACAAAAGCAUUUUUAUUUCAAACAUAUUUCAACUAAACUAUACGGGACUAGGUUAUACAUAGUCUAAUGCCACAUAUCUCCAUUCCUACGACAUGUCCGUCAACCCGCUCAGUAGCCUUGGAGGGAUAUGCAACAAUAGCCUUCCAAACGUUUUUUCAUGACAAACUAGGACAAAGAUACCAUGUUUUAGCAACUAAAUUCGAACGUUUUUGAACCCUGAUAAUACGUUUGAAUUUUAAGCAUGUCACCCUGAACGUUUUUUCAUGGCAACUAUACUUGACGUGAGGUGCCAACUUUAGUUGCUAAAACAUGGCAUCUUUAUCCCAGCUUGUUUUCUUGUCAAAAAAUUGCCGUGUUUGACAACCUUGCGUGAACGAAAGUUGCCAUGAAAAAUGUUUGUGUUGUCGUGCUUAAAAUUCAAAAGUUCAGGAUUUAUCAUUUUCGUAAAUUUUCACUACAACAUUAAUGUGGAUUUGUGGUUUGAAAGUUUGGUGUUGUUUUAUAUGGUGUAUAUCCGAACACGUGAUUUUGAUUUAUAGAUUAGACACUUAGGCUCAAAUUUGCACACGCUUCACAAAAGUUCUAGAUAUACCACUGAAUGGAAGCCCAUUGGGUCAGCUGCCCACUGCCCGGGUAAACAACCAUGGAGUAUUUCCUUUGUUUUUGAUUGCACCGUCGUAGCAUGUAGUGCAGAUAGAGAGCUCGGGCAACUGCCGAGGCUAGCGGGCGGUGGCACCGCCACUGAGGAGGGGUGGCGAUGGCGCUAACGCCAUAUCCGGAGGGUUUGUCGGCAAGCCAACAUGUAUCGGGUUGGCUCGUCGGGCAUCUCAGGCCGCCACGGUGCCGAAGAACUCCUUCUGCUCGCUGAAGGCCAUGAUGAGUGGUGUACAAGGAUGGUUUGCAGAGAGCGGAGGUCGGAUGUGGUUCUUGCACGACGCCUGGUCAAGUUUGGAGAGAGCGGAGGUCGGAUGUGCUUCUUGCCCGAUGCCUGGCCACGUUUAUAUAGCAGGCGAAUGCGAGGAGCCAGUUGAAGAGGUGUUUAAUGUUGGCCGACACGGGAACGAACAUGUGAUGCUCGGCCUGCCGGACUAGGUUCCUCGGCACACACUGUUAAAUGGAGAUAGACAGGUAGACGUAUAUCAUUCCAAUAUGAAGAGAAGGUGUGCGCAACGGGCAACCAGGGGAUGGCGCUCUCAGUCGGCGAGCUGCUUCAAUGCCGGCUCUGGAAAGUGAUCAUGUCUGCUCUAGCCCGACAUGAAUGCGAGGAGUUGGCUUUAGGCCGGAAUGCAUGUGGGGACGGGAGAUGGGGUUUUGAUGGGUCACACCAGUUAAGUGUGAACGUGACAGUGGUUCGCCCGACCGCAAACCUCCCUAGGUUGUUUAUGUUUUAUGGGGAAAAGUAUUUCCGGAUCAAUCAUAAUGUGCGGUCCGAAAGGUGAGAGGUUCGAAGGUUGGCAUUGAAGAUACCCUAAGCUAAGAGCAUCACCAACCGUUCGGCCCCCCAGGGGCCUGAAAUAGCGUCACCUGUGGGUGCGUCGGCGCAAAAAAUGGCGUGGGGGGCUCGGGUUCCCAACCGUCGCUUUCGGCCCAUUUUCGCCGCAAAUUGGCCCAGUUCCGACGCAAAAUUCAUAUUGUGUUUCCCCCUUUUAUUUCUUUGUUUACCAUUUUUAUUUUAUGCUUUUCAUUCAACUCGACGCUAGCUAAUACAUAUAGUAAUGAAAGAACCAUUACACAAUGGCUUCAUGAUCAAUAUAUAGAAAGAACCAUCAGUAUCACUUAAAAGUUGUUCAACUUAAGAAACAAAUAACAUCAAUGUAUCACAUUCAUCUUAACAUAAUAAUUAAUUAACUAAUAGUUCUCUAGCUGAUAGUUCUAAACAUGGUCAACAACAACCAUCAUGUGAUAGCCCUUGUGGUUGCUCUUCCUUAUAGUGAUUACCACAAGGGUGUCCAGCCUUAGUUCUCUCUUUUCCUUGAUGAACUCCUUCCAACCGGCCUUGUGGAAUGAUAUGCGUCCGUCAUCGUCUGUCUUGUAUUGGACGUUCGUGAUAGGCCCUCUUGGUCCAUGCAUUACUUCAGCAGUGCCGACGGCGGGGACGUCCACUCCAGAAAACAUCUUCAAAGGUAACUUCUGAAGACCCCAUUAUUAAGAGAAAAUAGAGAGCACGAAAUAUUAUACAUCUCACCAUACUUGGUUAUGACCAAAAAGAGAGGAAAGAAUAUAAAACAUCUCGCCGUAUUUGGUUAUGACAAAAAGAGAUGAAAGAAUAUAGAACAUCUCACCAUAACUUUUUUGACCAUGUUUGUUUUUUUAGACGAUGCACAAAGGGCUUCCCCAAGAAUGCCGAAGAGGAUGAUAACAUUUCUUUCACACUAGCUUUAUCAUCCUGAGUAAGCUUCUUAAUCCUUUGAGAAAAAAGCAAAAAAGGAUAGGACCAUCAUCUUCAUCUUCGAUGUCCUCCUCUUCAUCUUGGUUGUCCUCAUUUUCAUAUUGGAUGUCCUCAUCUUCAUCUUGGUUGUCGAUGUCAUCUUGGUCAACUUGGCUGAUGAUGUUAUCUUGGUUAUCGUCAUCAUCAUCGCUUUGGACAUAUAAUGUCCUUAACCUAUUCACCUAUCCUAUUAAGGAAAAAGCUACGAGUUCUCCUUCUUUAAAAUUGUUCACUGCAAUGUACUCCUCCCAUCCAUCACCAUGUAUGAUGGUUUUAUUCUUUCAUUUGCACAGAUCCAAUUCGAAUUCGCAUUCCUCAUCAUCCUUAGAGUACAACACGUUACCAUAUGAAUUGUUGAAGUCCUCCCUUAUGUCGCAUGGAACACACUAUGCAGUAGUUAAUAAUCAACAAUAAAGUCAGUAAAAUAGUUAAACAAAUAAUCAGAAUUCAAUACAAAUUCAAGUUCAAGACCGUUACCACUAAUUCUUGAAGUCCCUUUCUCAAAAAUACCCCGAACUGCGCUGCAGUUUCAAAACUGUCCAUACAUGAAUUCUGACAAACCUUGCAGAUCUUAUGCCUCAUGGUCCCUAAUAAACCCAAGUAGUUGUCAAACGUAAGAAAAUGCAAUUAACACUUUUUUAUAUCUAAUUUCCGAAUGUAGAAUAGUUCAUAAAUGUAAUUUAUGAUAUAUAUAUAAUGUGAAUCUUUAAAAACUCAUAACAUGACAUGCCUUAUUGCAACCUAAGAAACACAAAUUUAUAUAAUGUGUAUGUUAUUUAACUUAAGCACUAUUCAUUUGAAUCUUUUAUCUGUUUUUGUGUGUAAGAAAUGAUCAUGUUUGUUGAUGAGAUUUUCCCAAGUGCACACAAUAGAUUACCAUCAACAUAUGAAAAUUCGAUGAACAUAAAAAAUAUAAUGCCAUACAUACAUGAACGUAUACAUACAUACAUGAACAUACACACAUACAUGAAGAUACAUACAUAUACAUGAACAUAAAGAAAAUGCACGGGCAGGGCGGCGGCUUAACAGCAGGGCAGGGGUGGCGGCAGCGGCAGCGCAGGGAAGGGGCGAUGGCUAAGCAGCAGGGCAGGGCGGCGACGGCGGCGACGCAGGGCAGGAGCGGCGACGACUCACCAUGGGAGGAGCGGCGGAGUCGAUGGAGGUGGCCGACCGAACGAUGGCGUCGGGGUCGGUGCCGGAGGAGCGCCUACGGUGGCGUCGGGGUCAGAGACGAGAGGAGCCAGCGACGGCGGCGUGUGUUGGUUCGGCGUCGGAGUGGAGAGGAAGAUUGGCGAGGGAGGGACGCAGAAGUUAUAUAUCCCAACCCUUUAGUCCCGGUUCAUGCCUACAACCUGGACCAAAGGGUUGGGAUCCCACCCUUUCGACUAACGAAAUUCCCCCUUUUAAAGGCUUUGCCUCCCGCCAUUUGUGCCAGCGAAAUUUCACCUUCGGCCCUGGUUGGUGGAUCCAACCGGGGCUACAUGCCCCUCUUUAGUCCCGGUUGGAGGGAUCAACCGGGACUAAAGGGUUGGUGCUGGCACGGUCGAGGCGGGGUGGAAGUUUAGUCCCAUCUCGCAGGGCGAAGGCCACUCGCAGCGGUUUGUGAGCCCCGCUCCGGCUAUCAUCCCGAGUUCCUCUCCUAAACACGUAGUAAAUGCCUAACUUUCAUAUCAGCCCUGUUGGGCCUACUUGUUACACGGGCCUGCAUCCUGGCCCAUGUGUAAAUGGGUUUCUAGUCAUAUGCACGACGUGGUUGGCUUAGUACGCGGGCGUUUUUUUGCUAUUAAAGUUUUUAACAAAAAAAACUUUAUGAAAAUUCUUUUUGCUAUUAUUUUUAACAUGUUUUAACUCCACACUUUUUGUCCGUUCAGUAUGCAUCAUUCAAAGCCACGUAAUCAAUUUUCAACCCUUUUCUAACUUCAUUUUCUAUUUUUUUCAUGCAUUUAAUAAUUUUGUUUGAACUAAAUGACCCUAAAAUUGAAAAACAUUACAAAUGAACUCCGAAAAGUUUGAAACUUGGCAUGGUAUCAUAAUUUAACCCACAUAUCAUGUGCUAAAAAGUUGAGAGGGUUACCGCAAAGACUGGAUGCACCUCAUGUAGAAACUAGACAAUCUCUUUCGAAGUAUCACGCUUCCACACGAAAACUCAUCUGUUACAAAGUGAUUUCAUUUUUUUUAAACAUAGUUUAAUUCCACACUAUUUGUGAGGUCAAUAUGCACCAUUCAAAGCCACGUAAUCAAUUUUCAACCCUUUUCUGAAUUCAUUUUCUAUUUUUAAUGUCUUUAAUAUUUUUUUGGGAGCUAAAUGACCCUGAAAUUGAAAAUCGCUAUAAAUGAACUCUCAAAAGUUUGAAACUUGGCAUGGUAUCAUGAUUUCACCCACAUAGCAUGUGGUAAAAAAUUGAGAGGGCUACGGCAAAGACUGGAUGCACCUCGUGUACAAAGUGUACAAUCUCUUUCGAAGUAUCACGGUUUUGGACGAAAACUCAUCUAUUACACAUGGAUUUCAUUUUUUUGAACAUAGUUUAACUCGAGACUAUUUGUGAGGUCAAUAUGCACCAUUCAAAGCCACAUCAUCAAUUUUCAAUCCUUUUCUGACUUCAUUUGCUAUUUUUCAUUCAUUUAAUCAUUUUUUGAGCUAAAUGCCCUGAAAUUGAAAAGCACUACAAAUGAACUAUGAAAAGGUUGAAACUUGGCAUGGUAUCAUAAUUUCACCCCCAUAGCAUGUGCUAAAAAGUUGAAAGGGUUAUGGCAAAUACUAGUUGCACUUCGUGUAAAAACUGGACAAUCUCUUUUUGAAGUAUCACGGUUUCGGACGAAAACUCAUCUAUUACAAAAGGGAUUUCAUUUUUUGGACAUAGUUUAACUCCAGACUAUUUGUGAGGUCCAUAUGCACCAUUCAAAGCCACAUCAUCAAUUUACAACCCUUCCGUGACUUCAUUUGCUAUUUUUCACGCAUUUUAUCAUUUUUUUUAGCUAAAUGACCCUGGAAUUGAAAAGCACUACAAAUGAACUCUGAAAAUGUUAAAACUUGGCAUGGUAUCAUAAUUUCACCUACAUAGCAUGUGCUAAAAACUUGAAAGGGUUAUGGAAAAAGCUGGAUGCACUUCGUGUACAAACAUUACAGAACAUCAUGAAUGGAGAAAAGUGACCAAAUUAAUACAAGUUCUUCAUCAAAUGUUAUUACUAAAAAAUAAAUGCAUAAAGUCCAUAAAUAUAGUCGUCAUACAACAACAUACAGCUCUCUAGAGCAUCUAAUUAAAACAUACAUUGAAACUAACAUACAACUAUGUAAAACAUUUAAAUGCAACAACAACUGCGACCAAAAUCGCAACUAAGGUAACAAUUUAUCCAACAACAUAAUGAUACCAAGCCUCAUUAUCAAUGGCAUGUUUUCUAAUCCUUUUAAUCUUCAAGCGCAUUGCAUUCAUCUGGAUCUUGUUUAGAUCGACGAUAUCGGAAACAUGCAACUUCAAUUUCAUCUUCUCUUCUCUAACUCUUUUCAAUUUUUCUUCCAAAUAAUUGUUUUCUUUUUCAACUAGAUUUAACCUCUCGACAAGAGGGUCGAUUGGAAUUUAUGGUUCACAUACCUCCUACAUAAAGACAUCUAUGUCAAGUUGGUCGACAUAAUUUUCAUAAACACUAAAUGAAACAAAUAGUUAUAAAAGAUAAUAUACCAUAUCUGAAUCAUAGACCAGACGUGAGACGACGGGGGCGGAUACCAAAACCAUGUCACUAUGUAAUAACAAACAAUAAUAAAAGUAAGAAAAUUAUACAAUAGCUAUAUAGAUCAUACAAGUUAGAUUUUUUUCUCUAAAAAAGAUAAUUAAGAAAAACAGGCUCAGUACGGUGGUGCAGGCGAUCGACGAGAUCGGCACGGGCAAUGGACGGGGAGAGGAUGACGUGCACGGGGACGGGGCGGCACCCUACACAUGUGCAAACUAAAAAGUUAAUUUGAGGUGGCUCAGACAUUUCAUCAAAUACCUCAUGUGCAUAGGAGGUGAGAACUAGAGUAGGCCAAAAAUGAGAGAAAUGAGCGUGAGGGAAGAGUAGAUAUAUAGGCAAUCUUUUAGUCUAGUGUUGUUGUCUAGAAUCGGGACUGAAGAUAGACAUUUAGUCCCUGUUCGAGACACGAAUCGGGACUAAAGGGUUUGCGCCAGGAGCCUGGCCCUUUAGCCCCGGUUUGUGGCACGAACCAGGACUAAAGAUCCUAGAAGAACCGGGACUGAUGCUCGUCGAGGCCCGACGGCGUCCUCGCCGCUCGAACCCGGACUGAUGCACGCAUUAGUCCCGGUUCAUAAGUAGACCGGGCUAAUGCUCUUAUCAGGCCAGGACCAAAACCCUGUUUUCUACUAGUGCACUUUUGGCCCAUAUUCGGCAUGCUUGGCACAAAUUGAACAACAAUAGUUUUUUAUCGCAUAGUUCAUCACAGAAAUCAAUACAAAUCAAAAAAUAGUUUAACAAGUCAAUACGAAUCAAAAAACGAUCUACGCGUUGCCCUUGAGCCACCAUAGGUGCUCCUCCAAAUGGUGUUGCAGUUGUUGAUGCACGUGUGGGUCUGAUACGUCUCAAACGUAUCUAUAAUUUUUGAUGAUUUCACGCUGUUAUCUUGCCUUCUUUGUAUGUUUUAUGUACCCUUUUAUAUCUUUUUGGGACUAACUAAUUAAUUCAGUGCCAAGUGCCAGUUCCUGUUUUUUUCGUGUUUUGACUCUUUUCAGAUCUGAUUUUGGAACGGAGUCCAAACGGAAGAAAAACCCCGAAAUGAUUUUUUCCCGAACGGAAGGAGUCCAGGGGGCUUUUGGGCCAAGCCAGGUGGGCUCCAGGGAGCCCACAAGCCCCCCCUCCGCCACCAGGGGGAGGCGGGCGGUGCAGGCUUGUGGCCUCCCUGGCCGCCCCGUGACCUAGGUCUUUGGUCUAUAAAUUCCCAAAUAUUUCGCAAAAAAUCACGGGAGCCUUGAAAAUACUUUUUCGCCAUCGCAAGCUUCCGUUUCCGCGAGAUCUCAUCUGGAGACCCUUCCCGGCACCCUGCCGGAGGGGACUUUCGAGUUGGAGGGCUUCUUCAUCACCAUCAUCGCCCCUCCAAUGACUCGUGAGUAGUUCACUUCAGACCUACGGGUCCGUAGUUAGUAGCUAGAUGGCUUCUUCUCUAUCUUGGAUCUUCAAUACAAAGUUCUCCAUGAUCUUCAUGGAGAUAUAUCCGACGUAAUCUUCUUUGGCGGUGUGUUUGUCGAGAUCCGAUGAAUUGUGGACUUGUGAUCAGAUUAUCUAUGAUAUAUAUUUGAGUCUUUGCUGAUUUCUUAUAUGCAUGAUUUGAUAUCCUUGUAAGUCUCUCCGAGUCUUGGGUUUUGUUUGGCCAACUAGAUCUAUGAUUCUUGCAAUGGGAGAAGUGCUUGGUUUUGGGUUCUGCCAUGUGGUGACCUUUCCCAGUGACAGUAGGGGCAGCAAGGCACACAUCAAGCAGUUGCCAUCAAGGGCAAAGGGAUGGGGUUUUUUAUCAUUGGUUUGAGAUUAUCCCUCUACAUGAUGUCACCUUGCUUAAGGCGUUACUCUGUUCUUAUGGACUUAAUACACUAGAUGCAUGCUGGAUAGCGGUCGACGUGUGGAGUAAUAGUAGUAGAUGCAGAAAGUAUCGGUCUACUUGUUUCGGACGUGAUGCCUAUAGAAAUAGUCAUUGCAUAGAUAUCGUCACGACUCUGCACAGUUCUAUCAAUUGCUCGACAGUAAUUUGUUCACCCACCGUCUACUUGCUUUCAUGAGAGAAGCCACUAGUAAACACUACGCCCCCCGGGUCUAUUCACAUCCAUCGUUUACAUCUCCGCUUUUACUUUGCUUUGUUACUUUGUUGCUUUCAGUUCUCACUUGGCAAACAAUCUAUAAGGGAUUGACAACCCCUUCAUAGCGUUGGGUGCAAGCCUUUGUGUUUGUGUAGGAUCUUGAGAUACUCUUCCACCGGAUUGAUACCUUGGUUCUCAAACUGAGGGAAAUACUUACCGUCACUGUGCUACAUCACCCUUUCUGCUUCGAGGGAACACCAACGCAAGGCUCCAAGGCCACGGGGGAAAUCCUUUGCAUACUUGCCUAGGAAGUCCCUUAAGGCGUAGCCGUAGCUGAAGGAUUCCUGGUGCCGUCAACACAACUAUUUCUGGCGCCGUUGAAAGGGAUAGACAACAAACAUCAGAAGUAUUUCUGGCGCCGUUGCCGGGGAGGAGAAAUCAAGAUCUAUCCAAGUAGGUCUCACAAACUCUUCUCUUGCAUUUACUUUUGUUGCCAGUUGCCUCUCAUUUUCCUCUCCCCCACUUCACAUUUGUCGUUUUCAUUCGCCUUUCUCCUUCGCCGUUUUCUUUUGCCCUUGCCGGUUUAUUGCUUGCUUGUGUGCUUGUUUGUUUGUUGAAGACAUCAUGUCUGAAAACACCAAACUUUGUGACUUCUCGAGCACUAAUAAUAAUGGUUUUAUUAGUACUCCGAUUGCUCCCGCCACUAGUGCGGAAUCGUAUGAAAUCAACGCAGCUUUGCUGAAUCUUUUUAUGAAAGAGAAAUUCUGUGGCCUUCCUAGUGAAGAUGCCGCAUCCCAUCUCAAUACCUUCAUUGAGCUUUUUGAUAUGCAAAAGAAAAGAGAUGUGGAUAAUGACGUGAUUAAGUUGAAACUUUUCCUUUCUCGUUGCGAGAUCGCGCAAAAACUUGGUUUUCUUCAUUGCCUAAAAAUAGUAUCGACUCUUGGGGUAGGUGCAAAGAUGCUUACAUAUCCAAGUAUUUUCCGCCGGCUAAGAUCAUCUCCUUACGUAACGAUAUCAUGAAUUUCAAGCAAUUUGAUCAUGAACACGUUGCACAAUCUUGGGAGAGGAUGAAGCUUAUGAUUAGAAAUUGUCCUUCUCAUGGCUUGAGUUUGUGUAUGAUUAUACAAAUCUUUUACGCUGGCUUGAAUUUCGCUUCUUGCAAUAUCUUGGACUCCGCCUCAGGUGGAACGUUCAUGGAAAUCACGUUAGGAGACGCUACAAAACUCCUAGACAAUAUCAUGACCAACUACUCUUAGUGGCACGCUAUAGAAGAGAUCAACUCGCUUAGUGCUAAGAUGGAUGCGUUGAUGAAUUUGGUUGCUCGUAGAAAUGCUAUCAUAGAUCUUAAUGACAUGCCCCUAUCUUCUUUGAUUGAGAGUAGUAACGCUAGUUUGGAUGUGAAUUUUGUUGGUAGGAACAAUUUUGGCAACAUCAAUGCUUUUAGAGGAAACUAUGUUCCUAGGCCUUUUCCUAGUAACUCCUCUAACAAUUAUGGCAAUUCCUACGGCAACACUUAUGGAAAUCAUAACAAAUUACCCUCUGAUCUAGAGAGUAAUAUCAAAGAGUUCAUCAACUCUUAAAAGAAAAAAAAAAAAAAAAAAAAAAAAAAAAAAAAAAAAAAAAAAAAAAAAAAAAAAAAAAAAAAAAAAAAAAAAAGUGAUAUUGAUGCUUUGAAAGUUAGAUGCGCUCCUCCCAAGAUCAACUUGGAUUAAACUUUGAAAGCUAUGUGUAUCUCCAUGAAUGAGAGCAAAGAAAGAACCGCCCAAAUUCGCGCUAGACAUGAAUGGUUCAAAAGGGUGCGUUCUAGUGAUGCAAAUCACGAAGAUCUUAAAGUGCUUGGUGUGUCUCCUCUUGAAUCUUUGUUUUCGCGUGUCAAACCUACUUAUGGAGGGUCUGGGUUGUUGGAAAUAUGCCCUAGAGGCAAUAAUAAAUUAGUUAUUAUUAUAUUUCUUAGUUCAUGAUAAUCGUUUAUUAUCCAUGCUAUAAUUGUAUUGAUUGGAAAUAGAGUGCAUGUGUGGAUACAUAGACAAAACACUGUCCCUGGCAAGCCUCUAGUUGACUAGCUCGUUGAUCAAAGAUGGUCAAGGUUUCCUAACAAUAGGCAAGUGUUGUCACUUGAUAACGGGAUCACAUCAUUAGGAGAAUCAUGUGAUGGACUAGACCCAAACUAAUAGACGUAGCAUGUUGAUCGUGUCAUUUUGUUGCUACUGUUUUCUGCGUGUCAAGUAUUUGUUCCUAUGACCAUGAGAUCAUAUAACUCACUAACACCAGAGGAAUGCUUUGUGUGUAUCAAACGUCACAAUGUAACUGGGUGACUAUAAAGAUGCUCUACACGUAUCUCCGAAGGUGUUCGUUGAGUUAGUAUGGAUCGAGACUGGGAUUUUUCACUCCGUGUGACGGAGAGGUGUCUCGGGGCCCACUCGGUAAUACAACAUCACACACAAGCCUUGCAAGAAAUGUGACUUAGUGUAAGUUGCGGGAUCUUGUAUUAUGGAACGAGUAAAGAGACUUGCCGGUAAACGAGAUUGAAAUAGGUAUGCGAAUACUGACGAUCGAAUCUCGGGCAAGUAACAUACCGAAGGACAAAGGGAAUGACAUACGGGAUUAUAUGAAUCCUUGGCACUGAGGUUCAAACGAUAAGAUCUUCGUAGAAUAUGUAGGAUCCAAUAUGGGCAUCCAGGUCCCGCUAUUGGAUAUUGAACGAGGAGUCUCUCGGGUCAUGUCUACAUAGUUCUCGAACCCGCAGGGUCUGCACACUUAAGGUUCGACGUUGUUUUAUGCGUAUUUGAGUUAUAUGGUUGGUUACCGAAUGUUGUUCGGAGUCCCGGAUGAGAUCACGGACGUCACGAGGGUUUCCGGAAUGGUCCAGAAACGAAGAUUGAUAUAUAGGAUGACCUCAUUUGAUUACCGGAAGGUUUUCGGAGUUACCGGGAAUGUACCGGGAAUGACGAAUGGGUUCCGGGUGUUCACCAGGGGGGGCAACCCACCCCGGGGAAGCCCAUAGGCCUUGGGGGUGGCGCACCAGCCCUUAAUGGGCUGGUGGGACAGCCGAAGAAGGCCCUAUGCGCCAUAGGAAGAAAAUCAAAGAGAAAAGGAAAAAAAAGAGGAGGUGGGAGAAGGGGGAAGGACUCCUCCUUCCAAACCUAGUUGGACUCGGUUUGGAAGGGGAGGGUUGCCCCCCUUGGCUCGGCCGAACCCCUUGGGGGUCCUUGGACCCCAAGGCAAGGCUACCCCUCUUCCCCCUAUAUAUACGGAGGUUUUAGGGCUGAUUUGAGACAACUUUGCCACGGCAGCCCGACCACAUAUCUCCACUGUUUUACCUCUAGAUCAUAUUUCUGCGGAGCUCGGGCGGAGCCCUGCUGAGAUAAGAUCAUCACCAACCUCCGGAGCGCCGUCACUCUGCCGGAGAACUCAUCUACCUCUCUGUCUCUCUUGCUGGAUCAAGAAGGCCAAGAUCAUCGUCGAGUUGUACGUGUGCUGAACGCGGAGGUGCCGUCCGUUCGGCACUAGAUCGUGGGACUGAUCGCGGGACGGUUCGCGGGGCGGAUCGAGGGACGUGAGGACGUUCCACUACAUCAACCGCGUUCACUAACGCUUCUGCUGUGCGAUCUACAAGGGUACGUAGAUCGGAAAUCCCCUCUCGUAGAUGGACAUCACCAUGAUAGGUCUUCGUGCGUGUAGGAAAAUUUUUGUUUCCCAUGCGACGUUCCCCAACAUGGAUAUGAAUCCACUUUGAUUGAAAAACGCCCCAAUGAUUCAGAGUCCACCUAUCUUGAUGAUAAAGGUGUGGAGAGUGGAGUAGAAGAAGUCAAAAUUUUGGGUAGUAACGAAAAUCCCACUUUGGAUUUCAAGGAAUUCAAUUAUGAUAAUUGCUCCUUGUUUGAAUGCAUUUCUUUGAUGCAAUCCAUUGCAAACUCUCCACAUGCUUAUAGCCAAAGCAAAGCUUUACCACGCAUAUCGUAGAUGCUAUGAUGAAAUCUCUUGAAGAGAAGCUCGAACUAGAAGUCUCUAUACCUAGAAAACUUCAUGAUGAGUGGGAACCUACUAUCAAAAUCAAGAUCAAAAACUAUGAGUGCAAUGCUUUGUGUGAUUUGGGUGCUAGUCUUUCCGCGAUUCCAAAGUCUUUAUGUGAUAUUCUUGGUUUUCAUGAGAUUGAAGAGUGUUCUCUUAAUUUGCAUCUUGCGGAUUCUACCGUCAAGAAGCCCAUGGGGAGGAUCGAUGAUGUUCUUAUUGUUGCAAAUAAGAAUUAUGUACCCGUGGAUUUCAUUGUACUUGACAUAGAUUGCAAUCCUUCAUGGCCCAUUAUUCUUGGUAGACCUUUCCUAAGGACUAUUGGUGCUAUCAUCGAUAUGAAGGAAGGGAAUAUUAGAUUUCAAUUUCCCUUAAAGAAGGGCAUGGAGCACUUUCCUAGAAAGAAAAUAAGAUUUCCUUAUGAAUCUAUGAUGAGGGCUACCUAUGGUUUGCGCACCAAAGAUGACUAUACGUGAUUCCAUCACUUUCGCCUAGCUAAGGGCGUUAAACAAAAAUGCUUGUUGGGAGGCAACCCAACGAAUCUAUCCUUUUUUUCUGUUUUGUGUUUUUCACACUUUCAUAAUUCUGUUAUGAUUGUGUUUUUGUGUUUCUUUUUGCGUUUGUGCCAAGCAAAACCGUUAUGAUUAGUCUUGAGGAUGAUCGUUUGGUCACGUUGGAAAAGACAGAAACUGUCUGCUCACGAAAAGAAUUUGCAUUUUUUUCUGUAAGAGCUUUUGAGUUGAUUCUUUUUUCUGCUGAUUUCUACGCAAAUUCUUCAGACUGUCGCAAGUUUUCAGAAUUUUUGAAGUACCAGAGGUAUACGAAACAUACAGAUUGCUACAGACUGGUCUGCUGUUAACAGAUUCUGUUUUUGUUGUGUUGGUUGCUUAUUUUGAUGAAACUAUGGAUAGUAUCGGGGGGUAUUAGCCAUGGAAGAUUGAAAGUAAAGUAACCCAACAUCAGCAUAAGUAGAAUUUAAGUUUGCUGCAGUACCUAAGGAAGUGGUGGUUUGCUUUCUUGUACUAAUGUUAUCACGAGUUUCUGUUUAAGUUUCGUGUUGUGAAGUUUUCAAGUUUUGGGUGAAGUUCUUAUGGACAAAAAGAUAAAGAGUGGCAAGAGCUCAAGCUUGUGGAUGCCCAAGGCACCCCAAGAGAUUCAAGGAUGUCGUAAAAGCCUAAGCUUGGGGAUGCCCCGGGAAGGCAUCCCCUCUCUCGUCUUCAAUCCAUCGGUAACAUUACUUGGGGCUAUAUUUUUAUUCACCACAUGUUAUGUGUUUUUGCUUGGAGCGUCUUGUAUCGUAGGAGUCUUUUUUUUGUGUCACAAUCAGAGAGAGACAUGCACUCACCGUGAUUUUGUCGAGCUUCACUUAUAUCUUUUGGUAGACAAUUCAGCUCACAUGUGCUUCGCUUAUAUAUUUUGAGCUAGAUACUUUUGCUCUAUGUGCUUCACUUAUAUCUUUUAAAGCACAACGGUGCGUGGCUUGGUAGUUGAUCUAUGCUUUGAAAGUAGUCUCAAAAGGGUUAGUUAUCCAAAGGGAUACGGAAACUUCUACCUUCAUGUGCAUUGAAUAGUUAGAGAAGUUUGAUUCAUCUCAAUUAGUUUUGAGUUGUGGUUAUGGUAAUAUUGAAGUCAUGCUAGUAAGGUGUUGUGGAUCUAGAAAUACUUGUGUUGAAUUUAGUGAUUCCCGUAGCAUGCACGUAUGGUGAACCGCUAUGUGAUGAAGUCUGAGCAUGAUUAGUAUAUUGAUUGUGAUCAUUUGCGUGGCGGUCGGGAUCGCGCGAUGGUUUAUACCUACCAACCCUUCCCCUAGGAGUAUGCGUUGAAUGCUUUGUUGCGAUUACUAAUAAAACUUUUGCAACAAGUAUAUGAGUUCUUCAUGACUAAUGUUGAGUCCAUGGUUUAGAUGCACUUUCACCUUCCACCAUCACCAUCUUCUUAAGUGUCGUGCAACUUUCGCCGGUGCACAAAACCCACCAUUAGCCUCCCUCAAAACAACCACCAUACCUACCUACUAUGGCUUUUUCAAAGUCAUUCCGAGAUAUAUUGCCAUGCAACUACCACCAUGAUAUGUGCCACCACGUCUACAUUGCCAUUGCAUGAUCGUAAGAUAGCUAGCAUGAUGCUUCCAUUGAUGUCUAUGCCAUGCUAGAUCAUUGCCACGGUACACUACGAAGGCAUUCCAUAUAGAGUCAUAGUUGCUUUAAGUUUUGAGUUGAAAGUGUGAUGAUCAUCAUUAUUGGAGCAUUGUCCCAUGUGAGGAAAUAAAAGAGGCCAAAGAAGCCCAUAAAAAAAGAGGCCAAAGAGCCUACCAAAAUAAAAUUAAAAAAAAUGAGAGAAAAAGAGAGAAGGGACAAUGCUACCACUUUUUCCACACUUGUGCAUUUUGAGCACCAUGAUCUUCAUGAUUGAGAGUCUCUCGUUUUGUCACCACCAUAUAGCUAGUGAGAAAUUCUCAUUAUAUAACUUGGCUUGUAUAUUCCAAUGAUAGGCUUCCUCAAAAUUGCCUUAGGUCUUCGUGAGCAAGCAAGUUGGAUGCACACCCACUAGUUUUCUUUAAGAGCUUUCACAUACUUGUAGCUCUAGUGCAUCAUUUGUAUGGCAAUCCUACUCAUUCACAUUGAUAUCUAUUGAUGAGCAUCUCCACAGCUCAUUGAUAUGCCUAGUUAAUGUGACUAUCUUCUCCUUUUUGUCUUGCAACCCCCACCACAUUCCACACCAUCUAUAGUGCUAUAACCAUGGCUCACGCUCAUGUAUUGCGUGAGAGUUGAAAAUGUUUGAGAAAGUAAAGGUGUGAAACAAUUACUUGGCCAAUACCGGGGUUGUGCAUGAUUUAAAUUCAUUGUGCAAUGAUGAUAGAGCAUAGCCAGACUAUAUGCUUUUGUAGGGAUAACUUUCUUUUGGCCUUGUUAUUUUGAAAGUUCAUGAUUACUUUGCUAGUUUGCUUGAAUUAUUAUUGUUUCCACGUCAAUAGCAAACUAUUGUUUUGAAUCUAAUGGAUCUGAACAUUCACGUCACAUAAGAGGAAUUACAAAGGACACCUAUGCUAGGUAGCAUGAAAGCAUCAAAAAUUCAUUCUUAUCACUUCCCUACUCGAGGACGAGCAGGAGUUAAGCUUGGGGAUGCUUGAUACGUCUCAAACUUAUCAAUAAUUUUUGAUGAUUUCACGCUGUUAUCUUGCCUUCUUUGUAUGUUUUAUGUACCUUUUAUAUCUUUUUGGGACUAACUUAUUAAUUCAGUGCCAAGUGUCAGUUCCUGUUUUUUCCGUGUUUUUGACUCUUUUCAGAUCUGAUUUUGGAACGGAGUCCAAAUGGAAGAAAAACCCCGAAAUGAUUUUUUCCCGAACGGAAGAAGUCCAGGGGGCUUUUGGGCCAAGCCAGGUGGGCUCCAAGGAGCCCACCAGCCCCCACUCCGCCACCAGGGGGAGGCGGCGGUGGGCAGGCUUGUGGCCUCCCUGGCCGCCCCCUGGCCUAGGUCUUUGGCCUAUUAAUUCCCAAAUAUUCCGCAAAAAAUCAAGGGAGCCUCGAAAAUACUUUUCCACCGCUGCAAGCUAACAUUUCCGCGAGAUCUCAUCUGGAGACCCUUCCCGGCACCCUGCCGAAGGGGACUUUGGAGUUGGAGGGCUUCUUCAUCAUCAUCAUCGCCCCUCCAAUGACUCGUGAGUAGUUCACUUCAGACCUACGGGUCCAUAGUUAGUAGCUAGAUGGCUUCUUCUCUCUCUUGGAUCUUCAAUACAAAGUUCUCCAUGAUCUUCAUGGAGAUCUAUCCGAUGUAAUCUUCUUUGGCGGUGUGUUUGUCGAGAUCCGAUGAAUUGUGGACUUGUGAUCAGAUUAUCUAUGAUAUAUAUUUGAGUCUUUGCUGAUUUCUUAUAUGCAUGAUUUGAUAUCCUUGUAAGUCUCUCCGAGUCUUGGGUUUUGUUUGGCCAACUAGAUCUAUGAUUCUUGCAAUGGGAGAAGUGCUUGGUUUUGGGUUCUGCCAUGUGGUGACCUUUCCCAGUGACAGUAGGGGCAGCAAGGCACACAUCAAGCAGUUGCCAUCAAGGGUAAAAAGAUGGGGGUUUUAUCAUUGGUUUGAGAUUAUCCCUCUACAUCAUGUCAUCUUGCUUAAGGCGUUACUCUGUUCUUAUGGACUUAAUACACUAGAUGCAUGCUGGAUAGCGGUCGACGUGUGGAGUAAUAGUAGUAGAUGCAGAAAGUAUCGGUCUACUUGUUUCGGAUGUGAUGCUUAUAGAAAUAAUCAUUGCAUAGAUAUCGUCACGACUCUGCACAGUUCUAUCAAUUGCUCGACAGUAAUUUGUUCACCCACCGUCUACUUGCUUUCAUGAGAGAAGCCACUAGUAAACACUACAGCUCCCAGGUCUAUUCACAUCCAUCGUUUACAUCUCCGCUUUUACUUUGCUUUGUUACUUUGUUGCUUUCAGUUCUCACUUGGCAAACAAUCUAUAAGGGAUUGACAACCCCUUCAUAGCGUUGGGUGCAAGCCUUUGUGUUUGUGUAGGAUCUUGAGAUACUCUUCCGCCGGAUUGAUACCUUGGUUCUCAAACUGAGGGAAAUACUUAUCGUCGCUGUGCUACAUCACCCUUUCUGCUUCGAGGGAACACCAACGCAAGGCUCCAAGGCCACGGGGGAAAUCCUUUGCAUACUUGCCUAGGAAGUCCCUUAAGGCGUAGCCGUAGCUGAAGGGUUCCUGGUGCCGUCGACACAACUAUUUCUGGCGCCAUUGCAAGGGAUACACAGCAAACAUCAGGGUCUCAGAUCUCCUGACGCAUGUUGAGGAAGGCAGUCCAUGUUGCCGGUAGCUGGUGAUCAACUUGGGCAAGAGGACCUUGCCUGUAAUAUCAUUCAGUGUCAAAUAUUGGCUCCUUGUGCUCGCUCUCAAUGAUCAUGUUGUGCAAGACAACACGACAAGUCAUGACUUUCCACAAUUGAUCUUUCGACCAGGUCUGAGCGGGGUACCGGACAAGAGAAAAACGAUAUUGAAGCCCACCAAAUGCCCGCUCGACAUCCUUUCUACAAGAUUCUUGACGCUUGGCAAAAUAGGAGUUUUUGCCUCCUGGUGCAAGAUUUGAGAUAGUCUUCACAAAUGUGGACCAUCUCGGAUAGAUGCCAUCUGCUAGGUAGUAUCCCUUGUUGUAGUGGUGCCCAUUGACCUCGUGAUUAACCGGAGUAGCAUGACCUUCAACAAGCUUGGCAAAUACAUUUGAGCACUGUAGUACGUUGAUGUCAUUGCGAGUUCGUGGCAUACCAAACAAGGAGUGCCAAAUCCAGAGGUCAUGUGUCUCCACUGCCUCAAGUACCACACUACAACCUCCUUUGGUGCCUUUGUACAUCCCUUGCCAAGCAAAUGGACAGUUUUUUUCAUUUCCAAUGCAUGUAGUCGAUACUUCCAAGCAUCAGGAAAUCCUCUUUCUGCAUUCUGUGCUAGGAUCCGAGUAGUGUCUUCAGCAUUUGGUGAUCACAAAUAUUGAGGUCCAAAAACUUCCACCACUUCCCUGCAGAACUUGUAGAAACACUCAAUGGUGGUGGACUCGGCUAUGCGUCCAUAGUCUUCUAGAAUAUCAUCGAGAGCUCCAUAUGCAAGCAUCCUCAUAGCUGUCGUGCACUUCUGGAGCGAGGUGAAUCCAAGUGUGCCGGUGCAAUCCUUUUUGCACUUGAAGUAGUUGUCUAAUUACCUAAUGGAAUUCACAAUCCUGAGGAAGAGCUUCCGGCUCCUACUGUAACGAUGCCGGAAUAAUGUAUCGCCGUGCAGAGGAGCGUUGGUGAAGUAGUCGACGUAGAACAAGCAAUAGCCUUCUAGUCGAUGCCUCUGCUUUACCUUCAGCCGGCCUGGCGCCGAGCCACCUCAUCAUGGCUUUGCAUUGCUCGCGAACAGGCCAGCCAGAGCGAUGAGGACCAUGAGGUGCUCUUCAUCCUGGGUGUCGGCUUCGGCUUCCUCCUCUAGUAGCGCCGCGAACGCCUCCUCGUCGUUGGAGUCCAUCGCCCAGGUGAUGACGAGUUGAUGGAUAUACUUCUCGCCCCUCGUUGGUUAUCCCAAGUGGAAGAUGGAGAUGUAGUUAGCAACAGAUUUCCCUUACACGGGGACUGUAAGGUUUAUCAAACCAGGAGGACUCCUAGACUCAACAAGUAGCUGUCUCUUGUCCAAGUCAGCAGAAGACGUGGACCUGCACACACAACAAAUAACUUUGCUCCCAACGAGUACACAGAGGUUGUCAAUCGCUCCGGCCUUGUAGUUUGCAAAGGAUCAAAACACAAGCGCGAAGCUAAUAGUGAUUGCAACGGAAAAGUAAAUGAAAGCGGUAAAUGAUGGAGGUGUAAACAAUAUUGGUGAUAUGGACCGGAGUCACAUGAUGCUCACUCGUGAUGUCUCUCUCCUAAAAGAAGAUAAACAACUAUGCUUGGGUAAACAAAUCACAGUUGGACAAUUGAUAGAAUUAUGAUCGCACCGCAAUGCUAAUUAUGCUACUUGAUAGUUAGAGGUUCAAUAGUAAUGGACAGUACGCCAAGACAAGUACUCUCUCCUUUCCGGUUUAUAGGGCUCAAAUUUGAAAUCUCAUCAACCAAGGUGAAUUGUGAGUGGAUGACACUAGUUUAAACUAGCCAAUGAAAUAUUUCUCACAUAUACAAUUCCCAAGGCAAUAAAUGUAGCAUCCUUCCUUUCAUUAGAUUUGCAUGGUGGAUGUAGAAAACGAUGCAUGCAUAACCACUCAUCUCCUUUCUCUAAACUCUAUGUAGUAAAUAUGACGUGAGACUCAAAGCACUUUAACUCACUUAGACUCAAAAUGAGCCUAAUAUAAUGGAAAUCUGAAAAUUUUGAGAUGAGCCCUAUAAACCGGAAAGGAGGGAGUAGACCGUUUAUUCAUCAGCAUCUACUUACUAAUCAUCCACCUUGAGAUAUCUAUCCAGAACAUCUCUUUGGUAUUAAGUUGCGAGCCCCACCCAAAGUGUAAACUCAAAGCAACGGACAACUGCAUUAACGAACUAUGCGUAAGGUAAACAAUCCUUGCAACCGUGGUCACAAGUACCGUUGUUUUCUCCCUGGUGGCAACAAGCACAUCCCCUAGUCUCAUGUUUCUGUCACUCAAGCUAGACAUCGAGGGGCAUGAACCCACAAUCAUGCAUAACACUCCCUCUUGGAGUUACAAUCUACUACUUGCCCAAAGCAAUAAAUAGCAACGGAGAACAUGCAUGAAUCACUAAGGAACAUAAUAUAAAAGGAUAAUCAAAUAUAUAACUCAUAAGAAUCUGAACAUAAUCUCAUAAUCCAUCGGAUCCCAACAAACCGAGCAUAGAAAUAUCAAGAGAAUUACAUAGAUGCCUUGAUCAUGUAGGGCAGCUCACAAGGACUAACCAUUGAAGCACAAGAUUGGAGAGAAGACAUCACAUAGCUACUGGUCAUGGACUCAUGGUCCAAGGAGGACUACUCACGACACGUCCGGGAAGCGUCCAUGGCGGUGGAGAAGCUCCUGGAGGUCAAUCCUCCCUCCGGCAGGGUGCCAGGAAGAGGUCUCCUGACGCUCCCGAUCUCAGAAGCGCUGCGGCGGCGAACGAUGAAGAAAUUCGCGGUUCCAGAAAGUCUGCAAAUUUUUCCUCUCAGUACUCUAAAGAUAGGCAUCAACAAACAUAAACUGGCAUUGGGUGCACUGAGUUAGUAGGUUAGUCCAAAUAUGUGUAAAAUGAUAUAAAAGUGUAGCAAAACAUAUAACAAUGUCACCCAAAAGAUUAUGGAACAAGCAAAAAUUAUAGAUACGUUUGGGACGUAUCACCAGGAAAUCGCCGAACACCUGGCGGGCGUGGCGGACGCGCAACAGUGUAUGUGCCUGGAGCGUCGGGAAAACUUGCCAAGAAGCAACGGGGCAGGGGAGGGGCGAAGCCGCAGCGAUACGACCGUCAAUGGGGGAGAUGUAAUUUGUAGCGGAACGAUAGGCAGGUGGGUGGCGCCGGAAUCGAUGCGGUGGCAAAAGGUGUGUGUGCGUGAGGGCGGAUCUGGAGAAGGAAAGGCCUUUUUCGCUUAAUAGGGGGCCCAAUGCGGCGUUUUUCCUUCCGCCAGCGCCCCCGGGAGACCCCCCGGCGCGCUGGGUUCGGUCUGGGACCGUCGGGGCCAAAUUCGGCCCUAACCGGCAAAAACCCGGCUCCUGGGACGUGACUGGACCGUUUUUCCCUCGUCGAUGAAAAAAUGUCCUCGGGAGGGCCUAUUAGGGGCGCGGCUGGAGAUGCUCUAAGGACACGUCACACGUGUAAACGGAUGCCUGAAAAAAAGGAGGGGGACACAAGUAUAGUGAACAACAACAAGAUCUCCUUUCUCAAAGGUGGCGAGGAGCAACUUCAGGGAGAGAAGUCGGACAAAUAUGAAAGCAUAUCGGCCGGGCUGCCAGAGCAGCCCCGACGGGAGCAAUGAAAAUAGUAGGAUGGAACUGUCGAGGCCUCGGGAAUGGCCCGACAGUUCGCAGCCUCCUCGAGUUGGGGAGGAGGGAGGAACCCGAUAUUCUGUUCUUGGCAGAGACGAAACUCUCAGAGAAGGAGCUACAUAAAUUCAGGUGUCUAUUGGGAUUGACACGCGUGGUUGCUUGGAAUUCUGAAGGUAGGAGUAGGGGAGUGGCGUUGUUCUGGAGAAGAGGAUUGGAUGUUACUUUGAGGUCGUAUGAGAGACGACACGUUGUUGUGGAUGUGUCGAAUGAGGGUGGGGUGAUUUGGAGACUGACAAGAGUAUAUGGUGAGUCGGCCAUAGAAUGCAAAAAGGAGACCUCGAGAACCCUCAAAAUUCUCAGCCAACAACACCAGGUUGGGAGACCAUGGCUCUGCCUCCGAGACUUCAAUGAAAUCUUGUCGUGUGAUGAAAAGUUGGGAGGGGCGAAUCGGCCCCAAUCAUGAGAUAAUUUUAGAGAGGCGCUGGAAUGGGGGAACUCUGUGAUAUUGGUUUUCAGGGGGAUAAAUUUACUUGGAGGAACCACAACAAAGAAGCUGACAAUUAUAUCUGUGAGCGGCUCGACCGGGCUACAUCAUAUGCCACAUGGUGUGAGCUAUUUCCUGACUUCUCGAUGGUGAAUGAAUUCCCGCGCCACUCUGAUCACAGACCGGUAGUUGUCUGGACUAAAAGAGAAGCUAGUGGAGAAGGGGGUGGGGACCGUGGGUUCAGGUUUGAAGCUUGGUGGCUACAAGAAGAUGGUUGUUCCGAACUAAUUCAGGGUGCUUGGGAGGAAGGUCGGGCCCAAGGUGAGGGAGGUGUGGCUCAUACCAUGAAAACAGUUGCAUGCAGGAUGCGGAAAUGGCAUAAGGAAGUGACUGGAGAAUUGGAGGGGAGAGUGAAGAAGGCUCGUAGUGAUCUGGAGAGAUGCAUGCGAGCGCCGGUUUGUGAAGAAAAAAUCCGGGAGGAGGCAUGCUGAGGUGUGUGGUGGAUGACCUUGAGGAGAAAAGGAAUACCAGAGCGAAGCAAAUGUCACAUGUCACUUGGCUGAGGCAUGGCAACAGGAACACCCGCUACUUCAUGGCGGUUGCCUCGGCAAGAAGGAAGAAGAAUAGAAUAAAGGGGCUGAAGAGAGAGGACGGAUCGGUGGUGAAGGAGGGUGAGGAGCUGAAUAGCUAUGCUUGCUCCUUCUUUCAGGAACUUUUUACAUGACAAGCGAGCAACCGUGUGAAUGAACUCAUUAAUAAGGUGGAGCCUCAGGUCACGACUGCAAUGCAAGCAACUCUUGAUGCUGAGUUUACACGGGAAGAGGUGAAUUCUGCGCUUGAUCACAUUGGGGACCUGAAGGUGCCAGGGCCGGACGGAAUGCCGCACAUCGUGUAUAAGAGGCAUUGACACUUUAUGGGUGAUUAGGUGGUCAAGGAGGUGUUGGCAGUACUAAAUGGGGGCGUGAUUCCGGAGGGUCGGAACGACACUGUGGUAGUGUUGGAAAUGAGCACGAAAUGUCUAUAAAUGAAUUUUCUCAUUAUUCGUUAUUCCCGGGUCUUUUCGUUGCAUUCACUUACAACAAGAAACAACCACCAGUAUUUGGUGCAUCACUUGCAUUUUGGUGCAUUCUUCUUCCUUUCAUUGGUCUUUCGUUCCGUCAUAUUCCAAAUAACUUAUCUAAUUACAACGUAUUAACCGCUAAUGCACCUUUUUUAUCAAAUCUCAGGGACAUGAUCUAAUCAUGAUGAUAGUAUUUUAUCAUGGUCUAAAGUGAAGGAACCAAACAUAAUCAAAGACCUGCGGCCCAUAAGUCUCUGCAACGUCAUUUACAAGCUAGUCUCUAAAGUUAUUGCUAACCGGCUCAAACUAGUUUUGCCUAAGAUCAUCUCCAAAAACCAGAAUGCAUUCGUCCCGGGAAGGCUUAUAACUGAUAACGUGCUGAUUGCAUAUGAGCUAUCACACUUCUUGCUGAACAAGAAGAAGGGGAAGGAGGGCCUUGCAGUGGUGAAGGCUGAUAUGAGCAAAGUCUACGAUCGUGUGGAGUGGAACUUUUUUGGUGCAAUGUUGAGAAAGUUAGGAUUCAAGAGGCGAUGAGUUGAUCUCAUUAUGAAGUGUGCAACGUCUGUGAGGUAUCAAAUAAAGAUCAACGGGACCCUAACACAUCAAUUCAGUCCAUCCAGGGGGCUUCAACAGGGUGACCCUGUUUCACCAUAUCUCUUUGUUAUCUGUGCGGAAGGCCUCUCGGCGCUGUUACGUGAUGCCGAAAGAGCGGGGAGAAUAAGUGGUGUGCAAAUAUGCCAGGCUGCGCUCGUUAUUUCACACCUAUUCUUCGCUGAUGACUCGGUCCUGCUGAUGAAAGCGAAUCAUGAGGAAGCGACUGCACUGAAAGGGAUCCUGGAUUUGUAUGAGGAGUGCUCUGGCCAGUGCAUUAAUGUCGAAAAAUCGGCCAUUAUGUUCAACCCAAAUACGGAGGGAGCUGUGAGAAAUGAGGUUAAAGAGGCUUUGCCGAUCCAUAGCGAGUCUUGGACCGAAAAAUAUCUGGGGCUUCCGGUCCAUGUGGGAAAGUCUAGGAGGAAGGCUUUCGCAUACGUCAAGGAGACCAUGGCUGGGCGUGUGUAUGGGUGAGAAGAGAAGUUGAUUGCUAAAGUUGGGAAAGAGACUCUAGUCAAGGCGGUUGCGCAAGCUAUUCCAACCUUUGCCAUGUCUUGCUUUUACUUGACUAAAACCUUUUGCGAAGAAAUCAACUCCCUAAUUGGCAAAUAUUGGUGGAGCCAACAAGAUAAGGGCAACACUUUUCACUGAAUAAGCUGGGAGAAGCUAACAAGAUCCAAGUCGCAAGGUGGUCUAGGAUUCAGAGAUAUGGACAGCUUUAACAUUGCUAUGCUUUCUAGGCAAAUCUGGAGGUUAAUUCAGGAUCCAUACAGUCUGUGCGCAAGGGUCCUUAAAGCUCGGUACUUCCCACAUAGCCAUGUUCUGGAUGUUGGGCCGAAGGAAGGUAUUUCUUAUUCGUGGCACAACUUACUUCAUGGUUUGAACCUUGUCCAAGAGGGAUACAUUUGGCGCAUUGGUGAUGAUACAAGAGUCAAAAUCUGGACCGACCCUUGGAUUCCGCAUCCUUGGUCGCGACGUGUAAUCACUCCGAGGAGGGGGAACCUACUGGAGGUGGUUAGUGAUCUGAUUGAUCCAUGCCUGGGAGGAUGGGAUGAACGGCUGGUUCGGGAGACCUUCUGGGUUGAUGACGCAUGACAUAUUUUGCAGAUCCCUAUCCGGGAAGGGGUGCAAGACUUUAUCGCCUGACAAUAUGAUAGGAAGGGCCUGCACUCGGUCAAGAGCGCGUACAAGCUUCGCGUUCAGGUUGGGAAGCAAAAGGGGCAUGGGGAGGCCGGUUGCAGCACAACCGUGGCCGAAAAUCUCAAUAGCUGCACCGAUGACUCGUGGAAGCGUCUGUGGAAGCUGCCUUGUCCCACAAAAAAUCCAGAUGUUUGCUUGGAGGCUGAAGCAUGAGUCGUUGGCUUUGCGAACAAACCUGAAGAAGAGAGGAAUCCCCGUUGAAGACCAAAAAUGUUUGUUCUGUGGGCGUGUGGAUGAAGAUGGCGCACACCUCUUCAUCAAGUGCAAGUCAGUGAAAGCAGUGUGGAGGGAGCUUGCUAUGGAGAAAGAAAGAGAGGGGCUGGAGCAUAUCUCUUUCCUGCACGCAAUGUUUGACUUUCUAUGGAAAUUGGAUGAUGUAAAGCGAGUGCAGAUUCUGACUUUCUAGUGGCAGCGGUGGAACAACAGAAAUAAACUGAGGGAAGAUGAGCUUUCCGUUGCUGCUACUGAAGUGGCCAGGCGCACAAAGAGAAAUGUCCUUCAGUACUUGCAGGUCUGCGCUCCAAUGCAGAAGAAGACGAGCGUGUGUCAAUGGCGACCACCUGCGGAAGACUGGAUUAAAAUCAACAUUGAUGGAUCCUUGGUUCCGUGUGAGACUCAUGCUCGCUGGGGGUGGUGGCUAGGGCCUCUGAUGGCUCAAUUGUUUGUGCCCGGGCCGGUCGCCAGGAGUAUGUUGAAGACGCGUUCGCUGCUGAAGUUCGUGCCAUGUCCCACGUUGGCCCUGUUUGGAUACUCUAACUUGGCUAGAGGUUAGAGUUAGUUUCUAACUUUAGUCUAACCAUAAACUAACUCUAGCCUUUGGUGGUGUUUGGAUGCUAAGGUUAGUUUGACAAUAAAUGCACUUUUUUCAAUCAUGUGUAUCUUUUAACCAAGAUUUGUUGUGGCCAGCUUUUGUGUAGGCCUGGUGCAGGGGUAUGGAGGAGGAUGGAGGCGACCGGUGGCAGGCCGGCGGGGCGAGCAGGCCGAGCGGGGCGAGCGCGGCGAGCGGGGCGAGCGCGGCGAGCGUGGCGGGCGGGGUGAGCGCGGCCGAGCGACGUGCGAUGCGGGAGGAUGGAGAGGAAAGGAUCCGAUGCGGUCAAAAUAUUAUUAUUUUUACCUGUCCAUCCCCAACUAGCUCCAAUUAACACCUCUUCUCAGGGCUAGUUUUUUUGGUGGGUUAGUUUGCAUCUAACCCAAACUAGCCCAUGUGUUUGGAUACUUUGGGAGCUAGUUCAGUUUAAACUAACUCAAACUAGCUCUAGCAGUGGGAUCCAAACUGGGCCGUUGUCUCUCUUGUUGUUAAUCUGGGGAUAAUAAGGGUGGUCUUUGAGACGGAUUCACAGCUCCUACAGGAGGCUCUUGAUCUAACCAAGCUGGACUCUUCGUCCUACGGGGCGGUCAUCGAAGAUACGAAGAUGCAGCUCAAGCUUUGGUUCUCUAAAUUUGAGAUCUCCUGGUGUCGUCGCAAUGCAAACUCUGUGACUAGCUAGCUUAGGCCGUUUGUAUGAACCAAACUAUUUCCUGUGUAAACAAAUAUAAGAGACUUUAAUGAUCUAAAUACUUUUAAAUUCCUUUUUGAGGGAGUACUAAUCUACUAUGUAGAAUGAGAGUCGGAUAUACCAGCCGCCAUUGUGGCUGAUUAUGCUUUGGAUGAUCUGCCCAUAAGUUAUAAAGCUUUGCUUUGCCUUCAGAAAACAAAAUCUCCUUUCUCCCGGCGCCACCGUUCCUCUAGAAGAACCUGUCCUGUCCCAAAGAAAAAACUGUCCCGACCUGUCCCCGUUGGGGAACGCGCCGCACCCGCAGCUGGAGAUCCCUCCCAGUCCCGGCCCCGGCUCACGAGCCCGCCGCCCCGCCCGCCGAAUCCGCCGCCCUCUCCUCGCCAGGGACGCGCCGGAGAAGGACCGGACAGGCCUCCUCCCUCUCCGCCUCCCCUCCCGCCCUCUCUCCACCGCGCAGGCGAUCCGCCCCGGCCGCCGAUCUCCUCGCUGGUACGGAAGCCCUGACGCAGCUCGCUCCUGCCGCCUCGCUCCUCGUGUUUGAUUGCGUUCCCCGAUACCGCAUUCCGCCCCGUCGAUCGGUUGCGGGUCUGAUUUGGUCCUUCUGGGUGGCAAGCUUGCUUUCCCAAAAUUUUAGAGGAUUGAACUGAAGCUGCACGCCCCGCUUUAGGUCUGCUGCUAGGUUCUGACGAUUAGUGCGAGAUUCCGCCGAAUCAGGUAGCUACACUACACACACGCCCUCGUAACGUUGACGCAUAGUUUAGUUGACCUUGGAUAGUUUCGUCACAGGUCGUGGGGAAAUUGAUAGUUGGGAGUGUGUGUGUACUUAGGAAGUUAGGAUACUUUUCAACUAAGAGUCCUGGUUUUUUGCUGAGAUAUUCCUGGGUUUUAAUCCCCAACGGCGUAGAAAUGUUUUCUGCUUGUUGUACGGAAAUUAAUUUAACUAGUUACAAAACUGACACGAGUUCAUCCACAUCAGAUAGUACAUACAUAUUUAUCUGGUGUCAUAGCUAGGAAUAUCCAGCAAGGAUUAUCCUGUUUUCCAGUUUAAUGCUUCAGACAUAAUCUGACUAUACUUUUCUAACACCUCAAGCUGACAUAAUUUUUUCUGGCCAUAAUUCUACGCACCCUCCUGUCCAUUUCCUGCUUGUUAGAGACGCACGGUUUGUACUUGUUGAAAGCCUUUCUGUCUGUAGCAUGGAAAUACUAUUGAAUCACUUAGAAAACUGAGAGGAGUUACACAGCAAAUAGUAACGACUGUCAUGUUUUGCAGUUAAGUUCUUGGUGCAUGGUCUGGUUGUUUACUUUUCUUAUAUCUCACGCUGUCAUAAAUUUGCUCUGAUAACCUUGUGCGUUUUUUUUUCCUGUUAGCUCCAUCUCCUGCUUGUUACUUUGUCAGCGGCGCCUGAUUUGCAGUUGUUGGUUCAGCUGGUGGUAGUGCUGGAUGAAAAUAACAGGACUCGUGAUCUGAUUCUGUUUGUGCUUUGUAGGAAUGGCGAAUUUUACCAAAAACUUCCAGUCUUCAAGCAAAUCUGACAGUGAAAAGAAAUACCAGGGUACCCUGGUUGCUUCUCCAGCAAAGGCUAUUUCACCAAAGACGAUAAAGCAUAUCGUGCCAAAACAAUUGAUCUUAAGCAGGGAGUCAACAGCUCAUGUGGCAUCCUUUUUGGUGAAGGUUAUUGCUCUUGAGGUAGUGAGGAGGAUUUCUAAAGCAAAAUGCCCUUUUGUAUGGAAUUCUAUUCAAGCACUGCAAGUUCUUGGAUAUCCUCCAUUUAGGUGGAUUCAACGAUGGGCACCACUCAAAUUUGUCGUGCAAGGCAUUCAGGUAUUUUGUUUCUUAGCUCUUCAAACGCCUUGGAUCUCUUGAAAUGUCCAAGAUGCACAUUAUUUCUUUCUUUUGUUACAAAAUUGUAUGUGCUUUUGCAAGUUGUGAGCUAAAUUAAUAUUGUGUUAGUUCUUCUAUUUGCAUGAAGCUGAGUGAAAGAGUAGUUCUCUUGCUGUUAUUUGUUUAUCUUAAAGUCCCAGGUUAAAUUGACUAUAUCUCUGUUAUACUCCAGCACUGGAACUGUACUUGCAAGUUGCAACCAUAACAUGCUUGAUAAUUUGUGAAAAAUAUAACUAUACUUACUUUCGUACUCACCUUAGUCCCCUGGUUUAGUCCACCCAAUGGAUUUAACACAUUUGUUCCUGUAACUAGCUGAGGGCCCAUGUGUAGCUACGGAAGUAAAAGAAAAUCCAAUCUGGUGGAGAACCCAAUGAUAUUGAAGCUCGCUGACUUCAGGAAAAAACAGGCAACUUGCACAUAGAAAAACUGUAUAAAGAAUCAUAUGUAUUCCCUUAACAAGAUUGUAGAGAUCAUGGAGAUGGUUCUACUUGUCAACAAGUUACUUUUGGCGGAGAGGAUCACAACCAGAAGAGCUAUUUGAAUUAGCAGACCUACCUACCAUCAGAACCAGCUCCUAUAUUUAUAUGAAUAAGUAAUGUUUUAUCUCCCAGAUUUUGAGUCCAGCAAAGGGCUAUAACCAUGCCAGGUUCAGGCUCACUCAACCCUCGGUGGAAAAUACUGACUUAUGAGUUGGCAUAGAGUUUAUUUUGGCAUAGGUUUUGUUUGGCUCCUUAUUCUGCAGACUGGGCUUCUUGAAGUGUGUGCUGGAUUAAGACUCAGAGAGAGAUCAAGAAACUACAAAUCUGUAGUUUGCUUUCCAAUAUAUUUUAGCACUAAUUUUGGCAAUAUGUAUGUACUAAGCUAAUGUAUAGCAUCCCAUUCAAUUCAUGUGAUGCUGUGCUCAUGUAUGCUCAGUUCAACCUAUUUGAGUUCUCUUGAGUGUUUUCUUGUGGUUUUAAGCUGUGCUGAACUGCCUAGUACAAAACAUUGAUCUAUGAUGUUUCAAAUCCUCUGCUGUAUGUUUUUUGUGGUUCUUUAAUGCUUUGUUGAAUUGGCUAUUAUGAUACAUGUGCUUUAUGUUGUUUCUCAAAUGGUGUUUGUUUUAAUGAUAAUGUAUUUAUGUUGGCAUUGCUUCAGCACUGAUUUUUUUUCUGAAUGCAGAAAUUAUCCACACCACUGUUGUUUCUAUCUGUCACAUCUACACUGGGUGAUCUUUCUUCUAAGAGCGAUGAAGCCGAUGACGGACCCAGUAUCCCUACAGGAGCCCCUGACCUUCCUGCUGAACCACAUGAGACAGCGUCGACUUCUGAUACAAGGUUGGUGGAGACUUCAGGGAGAAACACAAUAAGUAGCUUCUAAAAGAAAUACAAAAAGUAUCUCCUAGUCGCACAAUGCUUUGUUAGCAUCUUUUCUCAAAUCAUUAUUAUAUUUUAGUUUGAUCAUAUCUAACUGCAAUAUCAAGGAGAGGGCACGGAAAGAAAUAUGUUUUCAAUUUGCUUUUAUACUCCCCCCCUCCCCCCCCCAUAUAUUAGAGCUGGUUGUGAUUGGGCCGUCUGCCAUGACAUCACUCCACCAGAAGUAACUUCCUGACAAAUGGGACCAUCUCUAUGAUCUCUGCCAUCUUUUUUUUUUAAUAUAACUAUCUCUAAUCUCUAUGUCCUCCUUAUUAAGCUGUUUUUUUCUCUAAGCAAAGUUUUCUAUGGCUCGGACUUGUAUGGAGAUUGAUCCUCACAAGAUUGGAUUUACUUUUGCUUCUGUAGUGAUGCACAUGCAUUCAGCUAAUGUUUGAUGAUGAUGUUGGUUUCUGCUUGUUUUAGGGAGGCUGCUGAUGGGGAUGGCACAAAGGAUAUUAUUGUUUCUGAGAAUUGGCUGGUGCUACUUUUCAAGGAACUUGAAAAACAAGGAAUCACUUUGCCUGAGAGGUGGCGUUCUACUAGCAUGCUACCUACUCAUAAUAACUACUCCCUUCGUUCCUAAAUAUAAGUCUUUUUAGAGGUUUCACUAAUAAAAUACAUACGGAUGUAUAUAGACAUACUUUAAAGUGUACAUUCAAUCAUUUUGCUCCGUAUGUAGACCCCUAGUAAAAUCGUUUAAAAGAAGUAAUACACAUUUUGGACCAUUAAUCCUCUUGCUACCACCGCGAGGGGGGCAGCGAUAUUUCUCUUGCACUUAUGAAUAUUUUAACUUGCAAGAUAUUAAAAGAAGUCUUAGUUAUCUAACGGUUAUUGUCUAUGUUAUCUGUGAUCCAGUAAUGAGUUCUACCUAAGGAGAGUGUAAGUUAUACAAGUCUUUUGCUGUAUCCCAAGUACCAUGUGGGUGGGUAUUUGGAGGAAAAAAUCAAUAUAUUAUGUUUCAACAUGAGCCUUUCUUUUAAUUACAUUCUACCCCCUCCGUUCCUAAAUAUAAGUCUUUUUUAGAGAUUUCAAUAUGGACUACAUGCGGAACAAAAUGAGUGAAUCUACACUUUUAAAUAUGUCUAUGUACAUCCGUAUGCAGUCUUUAUUGAAAUCUCAAAUAGACUUAUAUUUAGGAACAGAGGGAGUAUUAUAUUUGGAGCUGCAUUUUUCUAUAUCAGAAAGACUAGUUACAUGUUGUGACGCUGGCAAGCGUAGGAAGGAUCCUACUGGCAUUCAGCGAGAUGCCGCAUGGCUGAAUAGUUUAUCUGGUGUAUGUUUCAGGUUCAGUGAGGAUGAACUACGCAGAUUCCACAUGGCAGCAAAUGGUGACUUUUCAAGCUUGGUCUCUUCAAUUAAGAAGACAAUCCACUGGAGGGAAACUUUUCACAUACUUACAUUGCAAGAACUUGAGAAAUGGUCCCAUUUGGUCUUUUGGCAUGGGUUUGACACUACGCUUCGUCCUUGCUUAGUAAUCCGCCUUGGACUCGCGUGCUCUACUAUAGCCCCUCGUGAUAGACCUCGUUUUGGGCAAGCCGUAGGUAAUUUCUCGACCUGUUUUAUCUGCCUAUCUGCCUAUCUUGCUUGCAAUCUAAAUGCUCUUAUAUUAGUUUACGGAGGGAGUAUCUUUUUCAGCAAUUAUCUGUUCAGAUCUUAUCAUUGAGAAGUUAGUUUUCUGGUCUUCUUACCACUUCAGAAGCGUUCUCCUUCCUCUUUUGAGCUUGCAGUAGCAAGCACUAAUCACUAGCAUCUCUCUGUUCAGUUUCUCAGAUUGACCAUGGUAUUAUACAUUUGACCAACGAAGAAGAUCCAAGAAUUACUGUUUUGCUGGAUUGCCAUGGGAUUUCUCCAUUCAGAUUUCCGAUGCAAAUGAUGAGGUCAUUUGUCAACUUGGUUCAAGAAAACUACCCAAAUCGUCUUGGAGUAUUAAUUGUUGUCCGUCUUCCUCCAGUUGUCAGAGUUAUUGCGCAUACUUUUAUUCAAGUAAGAUUACUAUCUUUGCCCCAAUUACUCAAAUGCACACGAUUCAUAUUCGUAUAGCUGGCAUCCUAUCAUCCUUUCUGCCUUAUCAGUCAUGUAAUAUACGAACCUCCAUCAACAGCUACAUCUGCUUUUAUGUAGAUAAUGACCAUGUCUUCGUGAUCUUCUGAUCUUCUUUGGUUAAUGUGUUGUGAUAUUAAUGUACAUGACUGCUCAAAAUUAGCUGGCCAUACCACCUUUCUCAGUAUUAGGUUUAGUGCCAAAUUUGCCUGCCGCACUCUUGUAUUGGACUUUUUUUGUGGCCUAUCCCAUAUCCAAAUUAUGUCAUGCAUUUUUUGGUACAAACCAGGGAAGUCUGGAUGGAAGCCUGAAUGAGCAUUAAUAAUCUUUUGAGAUGAUCUAAUAAGCAACUAUGGUACUUACUAUUCCCUUUUCAAAUCCUGCACAGCUCCUGAAACCAUCCACAAAGCAGAAGCUGCGUUUCGAGGGGGAAUCGUACAAGAAGACGUUAGCCGAGUUCUUACAGAUCGUCCCAGCUUUCCUCGGCGGCAAAUGCAACUGCUCUCGAUGCAAGAAGCCUCGAGACAGUUCACUAAUCCAGGCAGGGGAGGGGAGCAGGAGCAGGAGCCUUAUCAGCGCCGGCUCCAGAUCACCAGUCUCGGACCUGGACUUCGACGAGGAACUGGAGGAGCUUCCAUCCCCUUACAACUGCGAGAACGCGAUAAGGGCCGCGGUGAUCGGCCUGCUGAUGGUGUGGAUCUUUGUCGCCUUUCUCGCUGGGAUGAAUGACCCCCAGCAGCCCAUUUCUUAGCCUCCUGAACCCCCUGUCUCCUGACAGCUCAUAGAACUGUCUGCCCGUGUCACUAGUGUAGCGUUACUGUAUGUUGUUUGUUCCUCUUUGAGGUUGACUGUAUGUUGUUUCUCGCACCAGUCCGUGUUCCGAGUUUCCUCUGCAAGCCGGUCGUAUAGUGUCGUGAUUCCCCGUCCGCUAAGAUUUAUAUAGUAAGUAGAUAUGAAUAAAGUUGUGCAUGUAUUCAGCAUGGUUCACUCCAGUGUGAUAGGGAGGCUCUCUGUUUGUAUCGUUGCUACUGUAUUCACCCUUUUCAGCGUUUGUUGCUAGGUGUUGUUUGCGAGUGUAAUUUUGUACAAGAUUGCCGUUGCUGCUAAUGGGUAACCAUUCGCCUAGCCUUUUCAAUAGUAUAAACAUAAGAAUAUGACAAGAUUGCAUAAGCAAAAUAGAGGAUUGUAAAUCAUUGGAUUUGUAUAAUUGUGUGUUUGAUUCGCUAGAAAAACAUAAGAAUCCUAUAAAACAUAGUCAAAUUAAGGUUGAAACAUAUGCAAAAGGUAAGAUUAAAUUAACAGUACUAUGUUAGUUAUGGUCUUUAUGCCUAGUAGGAAUGUAAAAGAAAGAGGUUGGAGUUGAUUGUAAAGUUUAUUUCUUUAAUUUUUUGGCCACUAUGCCAAAUUUUUGUUAUAUAUGGCAAAAUUGUCAUGUUUAGGUGGAUGUCAUUAUUCUCUUUGAAACCUCUAGUUUAUUUUUUCUUUCAGUAUUGGCAACUCAUGAGUAAUCAAAAGCUUGACCAAAAAUGUUGACAAGUCAAAUAUUUGGUAGUUUACGGUUUGAGCUUGGGCUAAAACCAAACAUACGAUGCUUGUUGACCUAGAAGGAAGCCAUACAAGAGUUCUAUGGUCUUGGUGAUCAACUCUUUACACAAUCUUACUCGUGCUACAAUUCCAAUGCACACUAUGUAUUCCUUGGUCAAAGUCUAAAACCCGUCUUAUAUUAGUGAACAAAGGGAGCAGUAUUUAUUUGAUAUUUUUUUAUGAAGGAAAUAUAAUCGAGUUGAGUUGAACUUUUGUGUGCCGUCAUCUAACGUCGACCAAGAGUGAAAUUAUGGUGUGUGCCCACACUAUAGUGAUACUAAUAUGUGCUUUAGGCGGAUUUCUAGAGUUCACCUUCUAUCUUACCUGGUUCACAAAUUUGAAUUUUGUGGUUCAAUCCUAUCAUAAAAAAGCCUGGGCAUAUUCUAAGUGAUUUUGAUGAAUAUUGUAUCGGCAUACAUGCAUAUCAAUAGGCAUAACUCAAUAUCAUUAAUAUUCUCCAUUUCAUCCAAGCAAAAAAAAUUAAUGAAAGUGAUACUUGCAUUCGUAAAAAUGUUGGGGCUCGCACCUUGUAUGAUUUAUCAUAUCUCCAUGAGUUGCUUAUCACAUAUUGUCUCUCCGUUAUCAUUCACAUUUGCCGCUCUCUUAUACCUAUAUUGCUCUCUCAAAACGGCUAUAGAGACAGAUUCACGAAAUCACUAUUAAGAGGUGGUUUCACACCCUCACUAAAUGAAUGCUCGGAUGGCAUCAUGUGAUAACCACACAUUUUCUUUAUUUAUUAGGAUUCAAACAGUGGUCCCAUAAUGAGUAAGGAUAUGCCUACACGAGGCACGUGUGGUGCGGAUGAGACAAUCAUAAACAGAUGGACGAGAUAUCCGACAGAACCAAAAAGUACCAUAUGCGCUUCAAAAGAGGAGGCCAUCACAAUGACAACCAAUCUUUUUGGAUAAAAAAACAAUGGCAACCAAUAGCCAACGAGAAAUGUUUGUUGUGGGACACGACAACCGUGAACGGUUUUUAUGACAAAUUCUUCAAAAACACAAGGCAAAUGGUGACAGAAACACAUGGCAAAUUCUCACAAACGGAGGAUUUUGCUGAAAAAUGCCAUGUUUGCUCGAAAGAAUCGUCAUGCUCUUAAAGCAUAAAUUACCGCAAAAAAAACGUUCGUUUUGAAAUACGCAUCCCAAACGAACGUUCGUUUUGUUCGAAACUUCGACCUUAGUCAAACGCAUUUGUCAUGUUUCCAACAGAGUAUGAAAACCGCCGCGAAAACCGUUCGUUUUGCCAUGCACCCCAACGAACGUUCGCUGAAUAACAUCACCCAUGAAAAAAAACAUUGAGAGCAUGAGUUGAGUUUUGUUCGAAACUUGAGGCUUUAGUCAAACAAAUUUACCGAGGCAAGUUCAGUCAUCAAAUUUUUAACCGCAACAAGUUUAGUGGCCUUGGUGCCGUGCCGCCGUUAACUCACUCGCUGGCUGACCAAUGAGGCAGGGCCACGUUUUCUUCCAUGCCUGUUAACCCUAGCACUAGCAGGCACAGGCAGGACUGGCACAGUACUACCACCAGCACCGGCCUUCUCCCACCCACUCGCCGCCCGAGCGCCUCCGCGUGCCCGUACGCCGGCGCCUCCACCCCGCCGACGGCGGCCUCCCUCCCCUGUACACCGCCCUGCCGCCGCCUGCUCCCGCCCCAUCGCCCUCGCCGCCAGAUCCGUCCCUCCUCCUCUCGGGCCUCGGCAGAUCUGCGCGGCCGGCGGCCCGCCCCACCCCGACUGCCCUCCCCGAGCCAUGGUGAGUCCCUUCCCCUCCCCUCCCCUCCCCUCCCCUGGACCGUCUCAUUCCUCGCACGCCGUCGCCGCCCGGUCCGGGGCGGCCGCCGAGUCUCCGAGUAGUAGCAGGCAGUACUGGAAAUGGAAGUCACUGUUGAACGCUUGAUUUGAAUUGGAUAUGCUGGUAGGUUUGGAUACGGGUCUCAUGUCCCACUGCACAUUUUCCAUUUGCUGCUUACCUUGUCUCGGGGUAGCGAAAUCGAUGGAAGCUAGGCUGCAUGUUAUGCUUGGAAUAUACUCCCUCCGUUCCUAAAUAUAAGUCUUUUAAGAUAUUUCACUAGUAGUCUACAUACGGAGCAAAAUGAGUUAUGUCUAUAUACAUCCGUAUAUAGUCCACUAAUGAAACUUCUUUAAAGACUUAUAUUUAGGAACGGAGGGAGUAUAUAAUAUGUGUGGGUGUAGUCAUGGCCCCCCUGUCGCUUUAGUUUCUGGAGAAUGGUGAAAUCCAUGUAUUACCUCAACAUGUAUGGUGUUGGCCAAGCGUUUCUGUGUCCAUGCCCUUUAACACAGGCGUUAUUUAAUUCUGUUGCUAGAGAUUGCCGAGUAGGAAGGUUGCCAUUAGUAGAUGUGAUUUUGCCUUCAUUUGGUCUUAUACCUGGGUCUGUUUGGAGUCUGACCAUUGGACGUUCAUUUUUAAAUUCAUGUGCUAGGAUCAAGUUAUGGUGAGUCCAUCACCAAGCGCCAGCAGCGGCAGUGGCAAGAGCGCGGGUAGGGCCAAGAGCAGGAGCAGGAGCAGGAGCAGGAGCAGAAGCAGAAGCAAGAGUAGGAGCCGGAGCAGGAGCAGAAGCAAGAGCAGCACCAAGAGUAAGAGCAGGAGCAGGAGUCGCAGCCGGAGCAGAAGCCGAAGCCGAAGCCCUCGGCGAGAUAGGUUGCGCAGCGAGCGUUCAUCCCGCCGCAGCCGUAGCCCACCUCGUCGUGGCCGCAGUCCUCCUCGUCGCAGCGAACGUCGUAGCCGCAGGUGUGCACCUGUUGAUGUUUUCUUCUUAGAAGCUUGCUUGCAAAAUAUGUUAUCCUGGCUUGGAUUUACACUGAGUGUUUAUGUUACCUGAAAUAUUCACUGGAAUACCAACCGCAGCACAAGUUCAUGCAUCGUUGGCUGUCCAGUAGUGUAUCCUUUGCACACUCUUCUGCAUUAGAGUUGGUAUCGACAAUUCGACACACCAUAGCUAGCACACUUGUGGAAAGAUAGAAUGAUGAAUCAACAUUUUGUUUAAUGUUUGUUGUGGAAGUGUCAAUACAUAUGUUAAACAUAGCUGUUGUGCUUGUUUGAUUUAUUUAAGCAUCUUUAGUUGACCAAUUAAUAUUGGAGGCAUGUUGGCAUUCUCUUUAAUAGGUUUUAGUCUGACCAAGCCAGCAAGGCACUACCCCAAUAGCUUUGCAUUAACUAAACCACGAAGCGAAAUGCAUAUCUCUAGAAAAUUGGCUGCCUGGUUUAUUUAUGGCAAUUCCAAAUUGUUAUGGCAGAAUUUUGUGUGAUUUAUUUGCCAACGUCGCAUACCUCUGCCUCUGUCAAGGCUAACACGUACCUUGUGGAUCUCUCCUCUCUUCCCUACAGUCGUUCUUCCUCAUCUAGAUGUGUCAGUUCGACUGCCCAGUCCAUGCUAGUUGAUCACUGGUCUCCACUGGCUAUCGUCUACUCAGAAGUCUGCUGACUUGUUUGGGCUGACUGGAUGACUAAUCGAUGGUUAGUCAAUGGCUUGACAACAGUUGGCAUAUCAGAUUGGGAUGUUUAUGAAGGAGAUCCUCAUCUGCUUGUUCACAAUCACCUCAAGUUUCUAGCCUGGAUUCUGGGGAAGUUGUUAAAUGUGUAUCAGAGUCUCCCUUGUUGGAGUUAGGAACCACUUUGCUAACUACGGUAGGAUUUGAAUAGGUGGGACUAAAUAAAGAUGUCUAACUCAUAAGGAACACAUUUUUAUUAACGAAACUCCAAUAUUUUUCAACAUUAUCGUUCUGAGAAACAACUGAAACUUGGCAUCAGGAAGUAUGAAUUGAAUGUGAUGUUUCCAUGUUCCUAAAGUAUUACACCAUAACAGGUCUGUGUUGUUUCUAGAACACCACUAAACCACUUGUAUGGUCCCCCCCCCCCCCCCUAACUUGUAGCGCACUACAUUUAUAGAUUUACCAAGGUAUAUGUUACUGCUAGUACUCCGUAUUCCACUCAACAAGCACAUCAAAGAACAGAGCCUUAAGGGUGUUUACAAUGGUGCUAUCUUAGGAGUGCCAUGUAGGAUAAAUGCUGAGGUGGAGGAGAGCAAAACCCCAGAAAAAGCUUGCCUUAAUUAAGAGAUGAUCUCUUAGCAACGAUAUCUCUCCAAACAUAUUUAUCUUGAUAUGCUCUUUGCGAGCUAUGGAAAUAUUAUACCUUUUUCAUCAUAAUAUAUCUGUCAGCCUUGAUGAAAAAAUGCCAUGUUUAACUUGAAUAAUUUUCCAGGGAUAUUAUUUGCAAGAACUGCAGGAGACCUGGCCACAUUGCUAGGGACUGCCCAUCUGCUUCUACCUGCAAUAAUUGUAAUCUUCCAGGGUAAAGUGAAUUCCAGCACUCUCUUACUGUACUUGUACACUUGUACUUGUUCCAAUUUUGCGGGGAUCAGUAUGCGGUUCUUGAUUAUUGCCUGCCCCUUUUGGCUAAUUUCUGUUAUGUUAUCUUGCCAGAAAAGUAUUAAAAAGUUGGGCCAUAACUCCUUGUUUAAAUAUAUAUAUUUUGUCAGGCACUUUGCAGCAGAAUGCACUUCCAAAACAGUUUGCUGGAACUGCAAGAAGUCUGGGCACAUUGCCACUGAAUGCAAGAACGAGGCCUUAUGCCACACUUGCAGCAAGACAGGGCAUAUGGCACGCGACUGCCCGGCCUCGGGGUCAAACGCCAAGCUAUGCAACAACUGCUUCAAGCCGGGCCACAUCGCGGUCGACUGCACCAACGACCGUGCCUGCAACAACUGCCGCCAGCCGGGUCACAUUGCACGCGAGUGCAAGAACGACCCCGUCUGCAACCUUUGCAACGUGUCAGGCCACCUGGCCCGCAGCUGCCCUAAGACGACGACCCUAGCCUCAGAGAUCCACGGCGGGCCCUUCCGCGACAUCUCGUGCCGCAUAUGUGGCCAGCCGGGCCACAUCAGUCGCAACUGCAUGGUGACCGUCAUCUGCGACACCUGCGGUGGGAGGGGCCAUAUGUCGUACGAGUGCCCCUCGGCCAGGGUCUUUGACCGCGGCGUCCGCCGGUUCUGAUGACGCCAUGGAUCCAGGACGGGCCCUGGCACCUGAAAUGACCGUGGCGUCUGCCGGUUCUGAUGGAUUCGGGGGUUGACCCCGGCGCCUGAAGCGCCCCACCCUGAUGCGCCUGUUCCGAUGGAUUCGGUUCUGUUCGUUGGUUGGUUCCUGUUUUAGAUAGCUUCUGCGGAUGACGCCGAAACCUUUUUUUCGCUUGGUCGGUGUAUGCCCUUGUUGCUCCCUGGGUGUUGGUUGUGUUGUGGAAUGAAUGUUUAUGGUGUAGCUUUGUAACUCUGCUGAACUGGGCCGAGAAAGAGUCGUUUAUAUGAACUGCCAUGGUUAGACCAGAUUAUAUCCUAUUGUGACACGCUUUCGAGUUUAUCUGAGGAGCUCGUUUUGUUGCCGCGGUCUGCCUCGUGCUCUGCUGAGUUUGAAAGUUUCGCAGGGUUGUUGGGUGCAUAUCGUGGUUGCAGAUGUUGACUGCCCUUGGCCUAUUUUACAUCAGGAACAAGAAAAGUUGGGUGCCUUUGUAGUAGUUGGAACGAGGGUUUCCAGAGGAAAGUUCCAUGUAGAUGCAUUCGGUUUGUAGGAAACGAAGCACAGAAGUUUUCAGAGGAAAGUUUCAUGUAGAUGCAUUCAUUUCCUGUGUGUUGGUCUGUUUGCGACUGCCAUCACAUGUUAGAAGUUCUUAUAGUCCUGCAUUUUAAGUUUCCUCGAAACGAAUAAAAUUCGAUCUCCGCGGCUUCGUGACUUGAAGUUGGAAUUUCUGAUAUGGGGAAAGAAAUCCUCUCGUUUCUCACACGAACUAAACGGUUUCUUACAAAAUUCUUCUUGUCUGGUGGUCUGAUGAAUGAUUGGACCUGAAGAAGGGUUGCACUCACAGGCCCCAAGCAAAAGCACUAAGCAAUCUAGCGUACAAAUGCUGAAUGCUUUGCCUCAUGUCCAUUGCUUUCUUUCUGCAUCAUGGUCGCCAUCAGCAUCAUAUCCUAUUUAUUAUAUGCACACCUCAACUGUUUUAGCAGUCAAAACUCAAAAAAUGUUGGUGCGGUUGGUAGAGCACAGCAAGAGAGCUAAUACAGAUACCACAAGAUGAUCAUAUCCAACAGACAUGGAGAAUUGCUGAUGAAUUACACACGGACCUUGCGAACGAAUCCAAACAGAACAUUUAAUUAUUUAUAACCAGAACUUGGAAGAACAGUGCAGCAGCAUAACGCCCGGCAUAUAAAUGGGCAGCGGAAGAAGGAACGGAUUACAUGAUAGAACUUAGAACAAGACCUCCGUGGUGGUCUCACCACGGGGAUCUUUCGACACGGUAACAAAGCCACAAAUCAUCAAGAAAGUUUCAAGAGUCACACCGCCAAAUCUAUAAUUGACAUAAUAAAUCCAUGUCGCCGUGAGGCGUCCAAAGGGCAGAGCAUUGGAUGGAUGGUUGGUUUGCCGCCCUAGUGUGCGCGCUCCUUGAUCACGUCCAGGCUGAUUUCGCUGGGGUCGGUGGCCUGCAUCUCGAUCUGGAUGCCGUCCAGGGUCCUCUUGAACUUCUCGUUGGUGCUUGCGUACGUCAUCUUGCUCCUCACCUUUGCGGUGUCCGGGGACCUUUUCAAGUUGAGGCACAACGCACCCGGUAAGCACUUUGGUCGAUGUGAUCUAACCAUUCAUGGAAAUGCAUGGAAUGGAGAACAACAUACCAGAAGAUAUAGAAGAUCCUGCUCUUUGGCACAUCCUCCGGGGUGGUGAAGUCGAAGUCAAACACUGCGAAUCGGCAGUCGUUUUCAGGGAGGGUCUUGGUGAAAUCCUCAUAGGUGGCAUCGCGCUGCCCGGUUUGGUCCACAAUGACCUCCUUCUGGUUCUCCAGCCUGUAGGUUAUGAAGCGGUGCAUCCUCUUGGACUUGAGCUCCACGAACCUCAGCUUGCAGUCGUCAUGGAUCCCAGCACCUGAUGAAGCGUUUGCCUGGGUACACGAAGAAAGUUAGGAUGGAUAUAACAGUUACACAGAUAAUGCAACCUCAAUUCUGCUUGAACAACAACAUCAUAGACUCAAGUAAACAGACAACUCAAGGAACGCCUUUGCAGUUAGUGCUGUAUUGGUAGAUAAUAAUGGAAGAGAGUGCUACCCCAUAGGACAUGGGUGCUCGAGCGAAAAUGUACACAAUGUCAUGAACUGGGGAGGAAAUGGCAAAAGGCUCAAGAUGUCACGGUCCUACAAACGUUGAAAUCAGGAGCUACAUAUCCUAAAUUUUGUUAAUCUUGUGUACGGCAGACAAUUUUCAGUUGCAACCACCUAAAUCAGGCUUAUCCAUCAACUUAAAACACACACCACCAGAUCUCUAUCCCUGUCAAUCAACCAAGGAGUGUCAAGCAAGCAUGGAUUAGUAGCGAUCUCUUGGGAGACAAAAACUGGCGCUCAAUAGGUUGUAAAUCAUCACAAGUACUUACGGCAGUGCUGCCGACAGAUGCGCGGCAUAGUCAACAAGUGCUGGAAGCUAACGAGCAGCUGAGAUUCCAUGGGCGAUCCGAUGGUGUACAGCCUGGAUCUACCGAUUACAAGGUCCUAAAACCAGGGAUCCGAGCCGAAUCUCGUGGUACCGACCGAAACGCGCGUUCCGCCCGAGAGAUUCGCGAGGAGGGCAGCCGACGGGUGUCCCGCGAUCCGACCGCUGGCGACGCAGGAAAAGAGGUGGAGCAAGGGACGGCCUCGGUUUCCUCCGAUCCGGGGAUCCGGGCCAGUACUUGUCUACCAGCGGCGAGAUCGAGGGCCCGUCCACCAGCCGUGCAGGAGGAAAAUUGAACUACGGGGAGGGAGAGAGAGAGAGAGAGAGAGAGAGAGCGAGCGCCGAUCUGCGGGACAAGGGGGCGAGAUCGGCGCGCGGAGAUCGCGGGCGCGGGGAGGGGGACGUACCAUUGCCGAGCUCGGGAGUCGGGAGGGGAAGGAGGAAUCCGGCGGGGAGGGGGAGGGGAAAGGAGAGGGGGUGGAUGGAUUGCUGUGCUGCGCUAGCUAGAGCUGCUGCCCCUUUUGAUGGAGUCGUCGGGGCGUCCACUGCUCCGUGUCCGUGUGUGGUGCGCUCGUGGUCGGCUGGCACGAACCUCGCGGCGACGGGGUCGGCAUUUUCUGCGGUCGCUGCCUGGGCGGCACCCCGACCGUCCGAUGGCGGGACGGGCGGAUGGGAUCGCGCGCCCUUGCUGGCGGCGUGACAAGUCACCGCGUCUUGCGUGCUGCCACUGCCGUCUGUGGCCGCAUCGUUUUUCUUUUUUUUUUUACUAAUGCCCAAGUAAAAAAGGACCUUGACAAGUGUCAUGCGUGUGACACGAAGCAAUUUCAUCUUGAAGUUUUUUAUGACAUUUUUAGUUGUGAAGCAUGAUAACUUUUUGUUUGGAUGACAAAUUUUGAUUUUUGAUGACAACUUUAGUGUAGGAUGGUAUCAUUCCUUGUCACAGGUGUGGCACUUAUCAUUUGGAGGAGAAACAUAGUAGGGCCUAGAGAAAACGUUAAUCGGGUGUCCAAAAUUAAAACAUUUCCUGUACCAUUUUUAUCCGAUGUGCACGUUUCCAGCUGUAGAUUAGAUUUAUGUUUUGUGAGAGAGAACCAUCUAAUUUUUAAGGAACAUGAGAGUGUCUACAGUCGGAUAUAGCAAGUAUGACCCCUUAAACGCUUGCGGACGCGUCCGGUCAUUGGUCAGAUGUGUCUUUUGUUUGUCCGUCCGCGCAGUCACACUCAUAAUUUUCUUCUUCAUAUGUCCGAUCACUUGCACGUGAAUUGGUAAAGAUGAAGAGAGAGAGAGAAAAAGAAUGAAUAAAGGAAAGAAAAAAGAUGGUCCAGGGUGGGGUCACGUCCUACGUUGCAGACUAACCGGGCGCGCCCGGCCACGUGUGCGAGCCCUCCUAUCGUCCCUAUAUUUGAGAUGGAUAUGAGAGUUCGCGGACAACUCAAACGUAUAGGAAUGAUAUGAGGGGUUUGUUUGGGUCACUUUUUCCCUCCUCUCUCCUUUCACUGACCGGACAUGUUCGCGGACGUAUGAUGGGUCGUUUGAGGCGUCCGGUUGUAGAUGCUCUCAGUAUGCAUCUAUAGACACACAUGCAUAACAAUGGUUAAUGAAGGUUUGAAAAUAUACUUCAAUCGUGUUCAUGGAAUCAUGGAGUUGAGCACUAGGUAGAAUUUGCGUGUGCGUGUGUUUGUGUGUGUGCAUUGGUGGUGGGGGGGGGGAAGGGGGUGCCAGCUGAGGUUAAUUGGCAUAAUAUUCUGCAUUUGUUCAUUUGAUAUCGCUAUGGAUUCGGAUAUCUUGUUCCCAUAUAAUGACAACAUCGAAAAUGUGUGUGGAGUUUGCUUAUGUUGGGUGGUAGCUCUCCUUACAGCUAAUUAUGAUGCGUCAUCAACACCAAUAGCUGUCGCAGGCUUCGGGAUGGAGCCAUUGUUUUCAUCACAAUAUAAGAUAUAUCUCACUCGACAUAGUGUCAAUGAAGCUAUAUCCGAUAUUAAUAUUGUAUGCAGUAACAUGAGCACGUGCAUAUUCACCGGGAACUCCCUACAGAAGUUAUUGUUGUUCAACAUAACGUUAUCUAGCGAGAGGUAGUUUUGACGCUCAUUGGAAGCUCGUCACAAAAGUUAUUGUUAAAAACUACUCCGUCCGUCCGGAAUUACUUGUCGCACAAAUAUAUAAAAAUGAAUGUAUCUAGAACUAAAAUAUAUCUAGAUACAUACAUUCCUAUGCCAAGUAUUUUCGGAUGGAGGGAGUACUAUGGUGUAGAGGUUCUCAAUGGCACAUAAUUUUCCGUGAGCGAGCUAGACAAGUUUUUGUUGUAGACAUCAAAUUUUUCAAGCGGCAAGUGCUUCCCAACUUCUGGUGGUAAGUCACAGGAGAGCCAUAAGGGAUAUGUGCCAGUCCACGUGGAUCUGCCCAUGGUUGUUGAGGUCAAGUGACUUGAGAUUCUACAACAACUCAAUUGAUAUUGAUAUGGAUCCAAAUAUCUUAUUCCGAUAUAAUAACAACACAGAAAGUGUGUGGAGCUUACUUAUGUUGUCCAGUAGCUCUCCCUAUAGUUGAUAUGAUACUAUCCAACAAUUCAAUUGAUCCAAGAGGUUGUUGUUGAGCAUGAUAUUAUCUAGCGAGUGGUAAUUGUCAACGCUCAUUAGAAAAGUUGUUAAAAAAUGCUACGUUGUAGAGUUUUUCAUUGGUGCAUAACUGCUCCGGGAGUGUGUGAGACAAGUUAUUGUUGUAGACGUCAUGAUUCAGGAGAAAAAUGUGUUCCAAGUUUGAGUGGUAUAUCAUCGGAGCAUCACAUAGCUUCGUGAAGAAGGUGGAGGUCCAUAGGGGGCACAUCCACCCAUGGUUGUUGAGAGGUUAGGUGACUUGAGAUUCUAGAAAAAUUCAAUUGUUGUUCAUAUGGAUCAAGAUUUCUUGUUCCCAGAUAAUGACAACACAGAAAGUGUAUGGAGUUUACUUAUGUUGGUUGGUAGCUCUCUUGACAACUAGUUAUUUUGCAUCAUCAUCAUCAUCAUCAACAACAACAACAACAAUAACACGGUUGCAAGAUUGGGAUGGAGCCAGACAACUGGUUAUUUUCCAUCCCAAUUUGAGAGAUAUUCGAAGAUAACUCGGUCGAACUGGUACCAGUGAAGUUGUUGUCGGGUAUUAGCACUAUAUGCAACAAUAGAAAUGACUGUGUAUUCACCGGGAUAUCCCCAUGGAGUUUAUUGUCCGUGAGCAUGGUGUUAUCUGAUACGUCUCCAACACAUCGAUAAUUUAUAAAGUAUUCAUGCCAUAUUUAGCCAUGUUUACAAAUUUUUAUAUGAUUUUGAUGCAUUUUAUAUGAUUUAAUUGGAACUAACCCGGACUCAUGUUGUUUUCAGCAGAAUUACUGUGGUAUUGUUUCUGUGCAGAAAAUAGAAGUUCGCGGAAUCGUCCAAAAUUUUUUGAUGAUUUUUUAUGGAACAUAUAAGAAAUAAUGGAGCGAAGAACCACCGAAGGGGGGCCACCAGGUGCCCCCAAGGCAAGAUGGCACAACCACCCCCUAGGGCGCGCUGUGAUGCCUUGGGACCAUCCCGUGGCUUCGUUUAGCAUGAUUCCAACGCUGAAAAAUCCUAUAAAUAGAGAAACCCUGAGAAAUAAACCUAGAACUUCCGCUCCACCACCACAAGCCUAUGUACCAAAGAAAUCUCAUCCAAAGCCCUAUUCCGACACCCAGCCGUAGGGGGUAAUAAUCACCGGAGUCCAUCUUCGUCAUCCCGGCGGCCUCCAUGACAAGGAGGGAGUAGUUCACCCUCGGGCUCAGGAUAUGUACUAGUAGCUAUGUGUUUGAUCUCUCUCUCUCUCUCUCUCUCUCUCUCUCGUGUUCUUGAGAUGUCACGAUCUUGAUGUAUCAUAGGCUUUGUUAAUAUAGUUGGGUCAUAUGGUGUUCUUCCCUUGCUAUCUUGUUGUGAUGAAUUGAAUCUUUCCAUUUGAGGUUUUGCUAUGUCAGAUUGAAUAUUGGAUUUGAGAUCACUUGAUGUAUGUCUUGCAUGUGGAUACCCAUGGUGAAAAUGCGGUGUUCUAUUGAUUCACUUGAUAUAUGUUUUGGUACUCAACUUGCAGAUUCUCGUGGAGACAAUGGGGUAACCUAUGUGUUAGGGCAUAUUUAUGCCUAAGUAAUUUUGGUGAUUGAUGACAGUACCGUAAAGGACUAAUCGUGUGCAUUAAGAUUUCAGAUAACACAUGUCAACGGCACAAGACGACUCGGCCCCCUCCAUGGAAUAGAAGCACGGUGUCCUAUGCGAUUCUCUUUCUCUGAGUCAUAGGAAUGCGUACUAUUAAGAGGGGACCCGUAGUGGAAAGAUUUGGGUGGAAUCAAUUUUGCACGCACACGCUUUAUCUCCUUUCCCUUUCCUUGCAACUUUGGAGUGGUUCCCGCCUCUAGUUUAUCUCCUCUAAGCAAAAAAGGUCUCCCAGCGGUAGUACCGCUGUCCCUAGCGGUAGUACCGCUGGGCCUAGUGGUAGUACCGCUCGCCCUAGCGGUAGUACCGCUGUGCUGGCGGUAGUACCGCCCCUGGUCAGCGGUAGUACCACUGCAGGAACUUAGUACCGCCUUCCUAGCAGCUGUACUUCGUCGGACUUUUUGCGAAGACUUUCUUGGCGGUGGUUGGCCCGGUAGUGCAUCUGCACCACCAUGGGCCCAACGGUAGUACCGCUGGAGUGCGAGCGGCAGUACCGCUGGAGCCAGCGGUAGUACCGCUAGGCUCGGGGUGUGAGUGGGAAAAUGGUUGGAUUCCCCCCACUAUAUAAAGGGUUCUUCUUGCUCUAGAACCCUACCUUUGACCCUCCCAAGCUCCAUUGUUGCUCCCUAAGCUCAAAAGUGCUAGAUCUCUCUCCCUAUCCAAUCAAACUUGUUGAUUCUCUAGGGAUUAGUUGAGAAGGCUUAGAUCUACACUUCCACCAAGAGAAAAUUGAUUCCCCCACCAAUCCCUUGCGGAUCUUGUUACUCUUGGGUGUUUGAGCACCCUAGACGGUUGAGGUCACCUCGGAGCCACAUUCCAUUGUGGUGAAGCUUCGUGGUCUUGUUGGGAGCCUCCAAGCUUUGUGUGGAGUUUGCCCCAACCUUGUUUGUAAAGGUUCGGUCGCCGCCUUCAAGGGCACCUAUAGUGGAAUCACGGUACCUCAUAUUGUGUGAGGGCGUGAGGAGAAUACGGUGGCCCUAGUGGCUUAUUGGGGAGCAUUGUGCCUCCACACCGCUCCAACGGAGACGUACUUCCUGUCAAAGGGAAGGAACUUCGAUAACACAUCCUCGUCUUCAUUGAUUCCACUUGCGGUUAUCUCUAACCUUUACAUUGUGUAUGCUUAUGUUGUUGUUUAUGUCUUACUUGUCUUAGUUAUCUUUGUUGGUAGCAUCAUAUAGGUUCACCUCUUUGUUGAAAUUUUAGAGAACCCUUAUGUUGCUAACCCUAACUUGCUAAGAUUAAUUAAAAAGUGGUCGUUGCCUAUUCACCCCCCCUCUAGUCAACCAUAUCGAUCCUUUUAAUUGGUAUCAGAGCCACGUCUCUUUAUUAAGGGUUUGACCACCCGAAGAGUAUGGAAGAUGAUGAGGGAGUUCCCCGUGCGCAAACCGAGGCCAUGGACUUGACUUCGAUCACAAGGGACGACUUGAAUACGGCUAUAUGGCCGCACUCAAGACGUCCUUGAUGAGCAAGGUCAAGACCAUGCUUAAAGAGUUAAUUGAGGGAAUUAAAAGUUCUCCCGAACCGGCGUUAGUGGUUAAACCUACCAACACAGAUUUGGAGGCCAAUUCCUCUAAGGAAACGGCUAAAGGUAUGCAACCUUCCCCUCCUCUAGAAAAUGAUGGGAAUGGGACUUAUCCAUGUGUUCCACCACCCAUGGUCUAUGGAGGACCGGUUCCACACCGCGUCUUAAUCCUGUUGGUCCUCCUCCUAAGCUUGUAAAAGGUGAUUUUGCUAACUGGGUAUUUUCUAUUAAGUCUCAUUUGAAUCACAGCUCAAUAAAUUUGUGGAGAAUCAUCGAGCAAGGCUAUUAUCCCCAGACCCAAGCAACCUCACUCCAAGAGAAGAAGCAGACAAUCAAUAUAAUCACUCGCAUUGUUUAUUCUCCAGUCUGCAGUGCCACCUGAAGAUCUUCCUCACUUGCAUCCCUUCACUUUGGCCAAGGAAUGUUGGGAUCACGUUAUGGUGUUGUACAAGGGAAGCUCAAGCAUUCAACGGUCCAACUAUGAAGUGGUACUUGAUAAUGUUGGAAAUAUGCCCUAGAGGCAAUAAUAAAAUGGUUGUUAUCAUAUUUCCUUGUUCAUGAUAAUCGUCUAUCGUUCAUGCUAUAAUUGUAUUAACAGGAAACAGUAAUACAUGUGUGAAUGAAUAGAUCACAAUGUGUCCCUAGCAAGCCUCUAGUUGGCUAGCUCGUUAGUCAAUAGAUGAUCAUGGUUUCCUGAUCAUGGGCAUUAGAUGUCAUUGAUAACGGGAUCACAUCAUUGGGAGAAUGAUGUGAUGGACAAGACCCAAUCCUAAGCCUAGCACUAGAUCGUAUUGUUCGUAUGCUAAUGCUUUUCUAAUGUCAAGUAUCUUUUCCUUCGACCGUGAGAUUGUGCAACUCCCGGAUACCGUAGGAGUGCUUUGGGUGUAUCAAACGUCACAACGUAACUAGGUGACCAUAAAGGUGCACUACGGGUACCUCCGAAAGUGUCUGUUGGGUUGGCACGAAUCGAGAUCGGGAUUUGUCACUCCGUGUGACGGAGAGGUAUCUCUGGGCCCACUCGGUAGAACAUCAUCAUGAGCUCAAUGUGACUAAGGAGUUAGUCACACGAUGACGUGCUACGGAACGAGUAAAGAGACUUACCGGUAACGAGAUUGAACAAGGUAUAGGUAUACCGACGAUCGAAUCUCGGGCAAGUUCUAUACCGACAGACAAAGGGAAUCGUAUACGGGAUUGAUUGAAUCCUUGACAUCGUGGUUCAUCCGAUGAGAUCAUCGUGGAGCUAGUGGGAGCCACCAUGGGUAUCCAGACCCCGCUGAUGGUUAUUGGCCAGAGAGAUGUCUCGGUCAUGUCUGCCUGUCUCCCGAACCCGUAGGGUCUACACACUUAAGGUUCGAUGACGCUAGGGUUAUAGGGAAUUGUUGUACGAGGUUACCGAAAGUUGUUCGGAGUCCCUGAUGAGAUCCCGGACGUCACGAGGAGCUCCGGAAUGGUCCGGAGGUAAAGAUUGAUAUAUAGGACGGAUGGUUUUGGACACCGGAAGUGUUUCGGGCGUCACCGGUAACGUACCGGGACCACCGGAGGUGGUCCCGGGGGACCACCGAAAGGGGGCAACGACCCCGGGAGGCUAGAUGGGCUAAGUGGGGAAGGGAACCAGCCCCUAAGUGGGCUGGUGUGCCCCCCACCCAGCCCAUACACACCUGAGAAAGGGGGGAAGGGGGGAACCCUAGCAUAGGUGGGCCUAAGGCCCACCAGAGGGGUGCGCCACCCCUCCUCCCUGCCCUGGCCGCCACCCCCUCUCCCAUGUAGGGCUGCCGCACCCCUUGGGGGUGGGAACCCUAAGGGCUGCGCCCCCUCCCUCUCCCCCUAUAUAUAGAUGAGGACUCGGGGCUGUUUGAGACACGGUUUCAUCUCUCUCUCGGCGCAGCCCUGCUCCUCUCCCUCCUCCUCUCUGCCGGCGCUUGGCGAAGCUCUGCCGGGAGACCUCGUCUCUCCACCGACACCACGCCGUCGUGUUGCUGGACUUCUUCCCCAACCUCUCCCUCCUCCUUGCUGGAUCAAGGUGCGGGAGACGUCACCGGGCUGCACGUGUGUUGAACGCGGAGGUGCCGUUGUUCGGCACUAGAUCGGAAUCGCCGCGAGUACAACUCCACCAACCGCGUUCUAGCAACGCUUCCGCUUAGCGAUCUUCAAAGGUAUGAAGAUGCUCUUACCCCUCUCUCGUUGCUGGUCUCUCCAUAGGAAGAUCUGAACAUGCGUAGGAAAAUUUUGAAUUUAUGCUAUGUACACCAACAGAUAAGGCCGAUGAGUUUGUGAUGAAGGAAGAUGAGGACCCUCGUGAUCUCUAUCGAAGGGUGACUGCUAUUGUUGUGGCUCUCAAGGACCAUGGGAGCAAGGAUGUGGAUGAUACAUGGGUCAAGCGCAAGUUUCUCAAGGCCAUCAUGCCUUUCAAUAAAGCCAUGUCAUCUGUCAUUCGCCAACGACCAGAUUUCCACUCCUUGUCUUCCAGUGAGGUGUUGGAUGAAUUCAUUGCAAUGUCAAUCAUGAAUGAGACAGCUGACAAUACACUUGCUUGAGUUCGCUCAAAGACAGCUUCACCCAACCUUGCAUUAAAGGCAAAAGCGGGUUUUGAAGAAGAAGAAGAGGAUGAGGAAGAGGAGAGCCGCCCUGAAGACACGAAGUAUGCCUAUCAUGAGCACAUGGCUCUUGCAUCAAGGCAAUUCUGGGGCAACAAGAGGAACUCAAGACCCACCUUCACCAAGAACAACUCAAGUGGGUUCAAACCCAAGCAACGAGUGAGGACAUGCUAUAACUGUGGUAAUGUGAGUCACUUCGUGGCCGAAUGUGUUGGAAAUAUGCCCUAGAGGCAAUAAUAAAUUAGUUAUUAUUAUAUUUCUUAGUUCAUGAUAAUCGUUUAUUAUCCAUGCUAUAAUUGUAUUGAUUGGAAACACAAUACUUGUGUGGAUACAUAGACAAAACACUGUCCCUAGUAAGCCUCUAGUUGACUAGCUCGUUAAUCAAAGAUGGUCAAGGUUUCCUGGCCAUAGGCAAGUGUUGUCACUUGAUAAUGGGAUCACAUCAUUAGGAGAAUCAUGUGAUGGACUAGACCCAAACUAAUAGACGUAGCAUGUUGAUCGUGUCAUUUUGUUGCUACUGUUUUCUGCAUGUCAAGUAUUUAUUCCUAUGACCAUGAGAUCAUAUAACUCACUGACACCGGAGGAAUGCUUUGUGUGUAUCAAACGUCGCAACGUAACUGGGUGACUAUAAAGAUGCUCUACAGGUAUCUCCGAAGGUGUUAGUUGAGUUAGUAUGGAUCAAGACUGGGAUUUGUCACUCCGUGUGACGGAGAGGUAUCUCGGGGCCCACUCGGUAAUACAACAUCACACACAAGCCUUGCAAGCAAUGUAACUUAGUGUAAGUUGCGGGAUCUUGUAUUACGGAACGAGUAAAGAGACUUGCCGGUAAACGAGAUUGAAAUAGGUAUGCGGAUACUGACGAUCGAAUCUCGGGCAAGUAACAUACCGAAGGACAAAGGGAAUGACAUACGGGAUUAUAUGAAUCCUUGGCACUGAGGUUCAAACGAUAAGAUCUUCGUAGAAUAUGUAGGAUCCAAUAUGGGCAUCCAGGUCCCGCUAUUGGAUAUUGACCGAGGAGUCUCUCGGGUCAUGUCUACAUAGUUCUCGAACCCGCAGGGUCUGCACACUUAAGGUUCGACGUUGUUUUAUGCGUAUUUGAGUUAUAUGGUUGGUUACCGAAUGUUGUUCGGAGUCCCGGAUGAGAUCACGGACGUCACGAGGGUUUCCGGAAUGGUCCGGAAACGAAGAUUGAUAUAUAGGAUGACCUCAUUUGAUUACCGGAAGGUUUUCGGAGUUACCGGGAAUGUACCGGGAAUGACGAAUGGGUUCCGGGAGUUCACCGGGGGGGGGGGGGCAACCCACCCCGGGGAAGCCCAUAGGCUUUGGGGAGACACACCAGCCCUUAGUGGGCUGGUGGGACAGCCCCAAGGGGGCCUAUGCGCCAAGAAAAAGAAAUCAAAGGAAAAGAAAAAAAAGAGGGAGGAAGUGGGAAUGGAGGGGGACUCCUCCCACCAAACCAAGUCCAACUCGGUUUGGGGGGGGAGACCUCCCCCCCUUGGCUCGGCCGACCCCUUGAGGGUACCUUGGACCCCAAGGAAAGGUUCCCCUCCCUCCUCCUAUAUAUAUGGAGCAAUUAGGGCUGAUUUGAGACGACUUUCUCACGGCUGCCCGACCACAUACCUCCAUAGUUUUUCCUCUAGAUCGCGUUUCUGCGGAGCUCGGGCGGAGCCCUGGUGAGACAAGAUCAUCACCAACCUCCGGAGCACUGUCACGCUGCCGGAGAACUCUUCUACCUCUCCGUCUCUCUUGCUGGAUCAAGAAGGCCGAGAUCAUCGUCGAGCUGUACGUGUGCUGAACGCGGAGGUGCCGUCCGUUCGGUACUAGAUCGUGGGACUGAUCGCGGGAUUGUUCGCGGGGCGGAUCGAGGGACGUGAGGACGUUCCACUACAUCAACCGCGUUCUCUAACACUUCUGCUAUACGAUCUACAAGGGUACGUAGAUCACUCAUCCCCUCUCGUAGAUGGACAUCACCAUGAUAGGUCUUCGUGCGCGUAGGAAAUUUUUUGUUUCCCAUGCGACGUUCCCCAACAGUGGCAUCAUGAGCUAGGUUCAUGCGUAGAUGUCUUCUCGAGUAGAACACAAAAGUUUUUGUGGGCGGUGAUGUGCGUUUUGCUGCCCUCCUUAGUCUUUUCUUGAUUCCGCGGUAUUGUUGGAUUGAAGCGGCUUGGACCGACAUUACUCGUACGCUUACGAGAGACAGGUUUCAUCGUUACGAGUAACCCCUUUGCUCAAAGAUGACUGGCAAGUGACGGUUUCUCCAACUUUAGUUGAAUCGGAUUUGACCGAGGAGGUCCUUGGAUGAGGUUAAAUAGCAACUCAUAUAUCUCUGUUGUGGUGUUUGCGUAAGUAAGAUGCGAUCCUACUAGAUACCCUUGGUCACCUCGUAAAACAUGCAACAACAAAAUUAGAUGACGUCUAGCUUGUUUUUGCAGGGUAUGAUUGUGAUGUGAUAUAGCCAAUGAUGUGAUGUGAUAUAUUGGAUGUAUGAGAUGAUCAUGUUGUAAUAGAAAUAUCGACUUGCACGUCGAUGGUACGGCAACCGGCAGGAGCCAUAGGGUUGUCUUUAUACUAACAUAUGUGCUUGCAGAUGCGUUUACUAUUUUGCUAGGAUGUAGCUUUAGUAGUAAUAGCAUAAGUAGCACGACAACCCCGAUAGCAACACGUUGAUGGAUGAUCAUGGUGUGGCGCCGGUGACAAGAAGAUCGUGCUGGUGCUUUGGUGAUGGAGAUCAAGAAGCACGUGAUGAUGGCCAUAUCAUGUCACUUAUGAAUUGCAUGUGAUGUUAAUCCUUUUAUGCACCUUAUUUUGCUUAGAACGACGGUAGCAUUAUGAGAUGAUCUCUCACUAAAAUUUCAAGACGAAAUUGUGUUCUCCCUGACUGUGCACCGUUGCUACAGUUCGUCGUUUCGAGACACCACGUGAUGAUCGGGUGUGAUAGACUCAACGUUCACAUACAACGGGUGCAAAACAGUUGCGCACGCGGAACACUCGGGUUAAGCUUGACGAGCCUAGCAUGUGCAGACAUGGCCUCGGAACACAUGAGACCGAAAGGUCGAGCAUGAAUCGUAUAGUUGAUAUGAUUAGCAUAGAAAUGCUUACCACUGAAACUAUUCUCGACUCACGUGAUGAUCGGACUUGAGAUAGUGGAUUUGGAUCAUGUACCACUCAAAUGACUAGAGGGAUGUACUUUUGAGUGGGAGUUCUUAAGUAAUAUGAUUAAUUGAACUAAUUGUCAUGAACAUAGUCUAAUGGUCUUUGCGAAUUACUAUGUAGCUUGCGCUAUAGCUCUACUGUUUUUAUAUGUUCCUAGAGAAAAUUUAGUUGAAAGUUGAUAGUAGCAAACUUUGCAGACUAAGUCUGUAAAACCGAGGAUUGUCCUCGUUGCUGCACAGAAGGCUUAUGUCCUUAAUGCACCACUCGGUGUGCUGCACCUCGAGCGUCGUCUGUGGAUGUUGUGAACAUCCGACAUACACGUUUCUGAUGACUACACGAUGGUUCAGUACAAAAUACUUGAUGGCUUAGAAGCAAGGCGCCGAAAACGUUUUAAAACGUCACGGAACAUAAGUGAUGUUCUAAAGAGAUGAAAUUACGAUUUCAUGCUUGUGCCCUUGUUAAGAGGUACGAGACCUCCAACAAGAUUCUUUGUCCACAAAGUAAAGGAGAAAAGCUCAAUCGUUGAGCGUGUGCUCAGAUUGUCUGAGUACGACAAUCACUUGAAUCAAGUGGGAGUUAAUCUUCCAGAUGAGAUAGUGAUGGUUCUCAAAAGUCACUGCCACCAAGCUGUGAGAGCUUCGUGAUGAACUAUAACAUAUCAAGGAUAGAUACAAUGAUCCUUGAGCGAUUCGCGAUGUUUGACACUGCGAAAGUAGAAAUCAAGAAGGAGCAUCAAUAGUUGAUGGUUUGUAAAACCACUAAGUUUCAAGAAAGGCAAGGGCUAGAAGGGAUACUUCGUGAAACGGCAAAACAGUUGCUGCACUAAUGAAGAGACCCAAGAUUAAACCCAAACCCGAGACUAAGUGCUUCUGUAAUGAGGGGAACAGUCACUGAGGCGGAGCAACUCUAGAUACUUGGUAGAUAAGAAGGCUGGCAAAAGUCGAAAGAAGUGUAUUUGAUAUACACGAUGUUGAUGUGUACUUUACUAGUACUCCUAGUAGCAUGAGGGUAUUGGAUACCGGUUCAGUUGCUAAGUGAUUAGUAACACGAAAUGUAAGCUACGGCAUAAACGGAGACUAGCUAAAGGCGAGGUGACGAUACGUGUUGGAAGUGUUUCCAAGGUUGAUAUGAUCGAACGUCGCACGCUCCCUCUACCAUCGGGAUUGGUGUUAAACCUAAAUAAUCGUUAUUUGGUGCUUGCGUUAAGCAUGAACAUGAUUGGAUCGUGUUUAUUGCAAUACGAUUAUUCAUUUAAAGAGAAAUAAUGGUUACUCUAUUUUCUUGAAUAAUCACCUUCAAUGGUUUAUUGAAUCUCGAUCGUAGUGUUACACAUGUUCAUGAUAUUGGUGCCAAAAGAUACGAGUUGAUGAUGAUAGUACCACUUACUUGUGGCACUGCCGCUUGAGUCAUGUUGGUAUAAAUUGCAUGAAGAGGCUCCAUGCUGAUGGAUCUUUAUACUCACUUGUUUUUGAAUCACUAGUGACAUGCAAAUCAUACCACAUGAGCAAGGCCUUGUUUUCAUUGAGAUGAAACAAGAUAGUAACUUAUUGGAAGUGAUACAUUUUGAUGUAUGCAGUCCAAUGGGUGAUAAGGCACGCAGUGGAUAUCAUUAUGUUCUCACUUCACUGACGAUUUGAGUAGAUACAAAAGUAUUUACUUAAUGAAUCACAAGUCUGAAAUAUUGAAUAGUUCAAUUCCAUUUCAGAGUGAAGUUCGUCGUAACAGGAGGAUAAACUGUCUACGAUAUGAUCAUGUAAAUGAAUGUCUGAGUUACGAGUUUUGGUACGCAGUUAAGACAAUGUAGAAAUUGUUUCGCAGUUCAUGCCACCUGGAACAUCAUAGUGUGAUGAUGUGUCUGAACGUCAUAGCCACGCACUAUUUGGUAUGGUGCAUACUAUGAUGUCUCUUAUCGAAUUACCACUAUCGUUUAUGGGUUAUGCAUUAGAGACAACCGCACUCACUUUAAAUAGGGCACCGCGUAUUUCCGUUGAGAUGACACAGUAUAGACUGAGGUUUAGAGAAAUCUAAACUGUCGUUUCUUGAAAGUUUGGGGCUUCGACACUUAUGUGAAAAAGUUUCAGUCUGAUAAGCUCGAACCCAAAGCGGAUAAAUGCAUCUUCAUAGGAUAUCCAAAACAGUUGGGUACAUCUCCUAUCUCAGAUCCAAAAGCAAAGUGUUUGUUUCUAGAAACAGAUCCUUUCUCGAGGAAAGGUUUCUCUCGAAAGAAUUGAGUGGGAGAGUGGUAGAACUUGAUGAGGUUAUUGAACCAUCACUUCAACCAGUGUGUAGCAGGGCGCAGGAAGUGUUCCUGUGGCGCCUACACCAAUUGAAGUGGAAGCUGAUGAUGGUGAUCAUCGAGCAUCAGAUCAAGUUACUGCAAGCCUUGUAGGUUGACAAGGGCGCGUACUACUACAGAGUGGUAUGGUAACCCUGUCUUGGAGAGUCAUGUUGUUGAGCAACAGUGAACCUACGAGUUAUGGAGAAAGCGAUGGUGGGCCCAGAUUCCGACAGAUGGCUGGAAGCCAAUAAAUCCGAGAGAGGAUCCAUGUAUGAAAACAAAGUGUAGACUUUGGAAGAACUACUUGAUGGUCAGAGGACUAUAGAGUAAAGAUGGGUCUUUAAAAGAAAGACGGACGAUGAUGGUGAUAAGUCACUAUUAUAAAAGGCUCGACUUGUCGCAAAGAUGUUUCCGACAAGAUCAAACUGUUGACUAUGAUGAGUCUUUCUCACUCGUAGCGAUGCUAAAGGUCUGUUAGAAUUAUGUUAGUUGUUGAUGCAUUAUUUAUGAAAUAUUGCACAUAGGAUGUCAAAACAUUGUUUUCUCAACGGUUUCUUUGAGCAAACAUUGUAUGUGAUACAACCAGAAGGUUUUGUCGAUCCUAAAGAUACUAGCAAGUAUGCAAGCUCCAGUGAUCCUUCAAUGGACUGGUGCAAGCAUCUCGGAGUUGGAAUAUACACUUUGAUGAGAUGAUCAAAGAUUUUGGGUUUGUACAAGGUUUAUGAGAAACUUGUAUUUCCAAAGAAGUGAGUGGGAGCACUAUAUAAUUUCUGAUAGGUACAUGUGGUUGACAUAUUGUGGAUCAGAAGUAAUGUAGAAUUUCUGUGAAGCAUACAAGGUUGUUUGAAAGGAGUUUUCAAAGGAGUACCUGGAUUACGCUACUUGAAACGUUGAGCAUCAAAGAUCUAUGGAGAUAGAUCAAAAGCGCUUAAUAGAAGUUUCAACAAGAUGCAUGCCUUGACAAGUUUUUGAAAGAGUUCAAAAUAGAUCAGCAAAGAAGGAGUUCUUGGUUGCGUUGUGAGGUGUGAAUUUGAGUAAGACUCGAAACCCGACCACGGCAGAAUAAAGAGAAUAGACGAAGGUCGUCUUCUAUGCCUUAGCCGUAGAAUCUAAAGUAUGCCAUGCUGUGUACCGCACCUGAUGUGUGCCUUAACUCAAAAUCUGUUGAGAGGUACAGAGAGUGAUCCAUGAUUGAAUCACUGGCAGCGGUCAAAAUUUAUCCUUAGUAACUAAUGGACUAAGGAAUUUUUCUCGAUUAUGGAGGUGGUUAAAGAGUUCGUCGUAAAGGGUUACGUCGAUGCAAUCUUUGACACUAAUCCGGAUAACUAUGAGUAGUGAAACGGAUUCGUAUAGUAGAGUAGAUAUUUGGAGCAUUUCCGAAUAGCACGUAGUAGCAGCAUCUAUAAGAUGACAUAAAGAUUUGUAAAGAACGCACGGAUCUGAAAGUUUCAGAACCGUUGACUAAAACCUCUCUCAGGAGCAAGACGUGAUCAGACCCCAUAACUAUAUGGGUGUUGGAUUCGUUGGAAUCACAUGGUGAUGUGAACUAGAUUAUUGACUCUAGUGCAAGUGGGAGACUGUUGGAAAUAUUCCCUAGAGGCAAUAAUAAAUUAGUUAUUAUUAUAUUUCUUAGUUCAUGAUAAUCGUUUAUUAUCCAUGCUAUAAUUGUAUUGAUUGGAAACACAAUACUUGUGUGGAUACAUAGACAAAACACUGUCCCUAGUAAGCCUCUAGUUGACUAGCUCGUUAAUCAAAGAUGGUCAAGGUUUCCUGGCCAUAGGCAAGUGUUGUCACUUGAUAAUGGGAUCACAUCAUUAGGAGAAUCAUGUGAUGGACUAGACCCAAACUAAUAGACGUAGCAUGUUGAUCGUGUCAUUUUGUUGCUACUGUUUUCUGCAUGUCAAGUAUUUAUUCCUAUGACCAUGAGAUCAUAUAACUCACUGACACCGGAGGAAUGCUUUGUGUGUAUCAAACGUCGCAACGUAACUGGGUGACUAUAAAGAUGCUCUACAGGUAUCUCAGAAGGUGUUAGUUGAGUUAGUAUGGAUCAAGACUGGGAUUUGUCACUCCGUGUGACGGAGAGGUAUCUCGGGGCCCUCGGUAAUACAACAUCACACACAAGCCUUGCAAGCAAUGUAACUUAAUGUAAGUUGCGGGAUCUUGUAUUACGGAACGAGUAAAGAGACUUGCCGGUAAACGAGAUUGAAAUAGGUAUGCGUAUACUAACGAUCGAAUCUCGGGCAAGUAACAUACCGAAGGACAAAGGGAAUGACAUACGGGAUUAUAUGAAUCCUUGGCACGGAGGUUCAAACGAUAAGAUCUUCGUAGAAUAUGUAGGAUCCAAUAUGGGCAUCCAGGUCCCGCUAUUGGAUAUUGACCGAGGAGUCUCUCAGAUCAUGUCUACAUAGUUCUCGAACCCGCAGGGUCUGCACACUUAAGGUUCGACGUUGUUUUAUGCGUAUUUGAGUUAUAUGGUUGGUUACCGAAUGUUGUUCGGAGUCCCGGAUGAGAUCACGGACGUCACGAGGGUUUCCGAAAUGGUCCGGAAACGAAGAUUGAUAUAUAGGAUGACCUCAUUUGGUUACCGGAAGGUUUUCGUGCAUUACCGGAAAAGUUUCUGGCUCAUCGGUAGUGUACUGGGAGUGCCGGGAGGGGUGCCGGAGACCAUCAGGAGGGGUGUCACGCCCCAAGGGGUCUCAUGGGCUAUGGGAAGAGAUAAACCAGCCCCUAGUGGGCUGGAAUAAGUUCCCACUAAGGCCCAUAAGGUUUGAGAAGGAAAAAACACAAGGUGGAAAGAGUUUCCAAGUGGGAAGGUGGAAUCCUACUCCAAGUAGGAUUGGAGUAGGACUCCUCCACCUCCAAUUUCAGCCAAACCUUUAGGUUUCGGGGCUGCCUCCUCCCCUCCCUCCCUCCUAUAUAUAGUGGGGUUUUAGGGCUGAUUUGAGACAACUUUUGCCACGGCAGCCCGACCACAUAUCUCACGGUUUUACCUCUAGAUCGCGUUUCUGCGGAGCUCGGGCGGAGCCCUGCUGAGACAAGAUCAUCACCAACCUCCGGAGCGCCGUCACGCUGCCGGAGAACUCUUCUACCUCUCCGUCUCUCUUGCUGGAUCAAGAAGGCCGAGAUCAUCGUCGAGCUGUACGUGUGCUGAACGCGGAGGUGCCGUCCGUUCGGUACUAGAUCGUGGGACUGAUCGCGGGAUUGUUCGCGGGGCGGAUCGAGGGACGUGAGGACGUUCCACUACAUCAACCGCGUUCUCUAAUGCUUCUACUGUACGAUCUACAAGGGUACGUAGAUCACUCAUCCCCUCUCGUAGAUGGACAUCACCAUGAUAGGUCUUCGUGUGCGUAGGAAAAUUUUUGUUUCCCAUGCGACGUUCCCCAACAGAAUGUCCCUAUGAGAAAAGGGAAGACAACGGGGCAAGCUCAUUCGCAAAGACAAAACCAAGUCAUUACCAAACAAGAACAACUUUGUGAAGAAACCCCACCCAAAUGGUAUGGUGGCCCUUGAAGAGUACCCCUCCGAUGAUGAUGACGAUGAUGAUAUGGUGGCAACUGCAACUGUUGCCAUUGCCACCCCUCUCCCAAGAAGGUGUCUCUCUUCAACGCCCCCAACGAGAACCACAUCGCCAAGUGCCUCAUGGCCAAAGGUAUCGAUCAGGUAACCCCCAUCAUUAAGACCAACAUUGCUACUGCUCCUUCAUUGUUAAAUUGUGUUGAUGAUAGUGAUGUUGGGGAACUUAAUGAGCAUGAUCUUGACAAAUUUCUGUGCACUAUUAAGGGAGAAUCCAAGAAGCACUUUGUUGCUCUUUUGGAACAACUGGGUGAGGCCAAUGACCUCAUCGAGUCUCAUGAGGAGACCAUCUCCGAGCUUCAGGGACAAGUCGUGACUAUGCCGAUGAAAUUGUUGAAUUAUCUAUUGCCUAGAAAAGGAGCGCACUCUUCGUUUGGCUUUGAGGAUUCAUACAAUGAUGAUUGUGCUAAAAUGCAAAAGAAACUAGAUCAUGCUAUUGUUCUUACUCGUAUGCUUAAGUCUGAGAAGGAUGCUCUUGGGGUUGGCCAUGCCAGACUCAAAGUGGAGUUUGACACACUUGACAAGGCUCACAAGGUCUUGAAAGAUGUUCAUUUCUCUCUGAAAGAGUCUCAUGAUCAACUCCAAGCAAAGCUUACCAAGUAUAUCUCUACUUGUCCUCCCUUUGUGUUAAUUGAUAAUGCUUGUACAAAUAACCCUUGUUGUGAGCAUGUACAUCUUGUGGAGGAAAAUGCCAAGUUAAAGGAGAGACUUGAGAAGGGCCUUGUGUCAUGCAACAAGGCGGGUUUAGCCUGAAUGACCUCUUGAGUAAUCAAAAGGGUGUGGUAGGAAAGGAGGGACUUGGACUUACCUCCAAGUCAAAAAGAAAAAGGAGGAACAGGAACAAACGACCCCCUACCCUCAUGGACAUCUUUGUCAAAGAGGGCGAAGGGACUCAGGAGGUGAACAGGAACAAGGUGGACGAUGGUAACGUCAAGAAGGGCAAAACCAUUCCUACCAACACAGCCGGCAAACUCAACCCUUCCUAUGUUUUAUGUCGUGCUGGUGAUGGGCAUGUUUAUGCCAGAUUUGUUGGUUCUUACUAUGAGUCCAUUGAAUGGGCUAUUGGGGUUCCUAAGAACAUUGUCUCUAACAUUAAAGGAACCAUUCAAAAAUGGGUACCUAAAACCAAGCCUUGAUCUAUUGCAGGAGUUUGCUUCCGGUGGGGUGUCAUGGUUGCUCGAUAGUGGAGCAACAAAUCAUAUGACCGGAAGCAAGGACUUAGUGGUGGAUGUGCAUCCUUCUCCAUCUAUGCCCACCCAUGUCCAAUUCGCUGUUGCAUCCUCAUUAAAGAUAUUGGGAUUUGGUAAGGUGGUCAUCUCUCAAGAUUUAUCUAUUGAGAAGGUCAUGCUUGUUGAGUCUCUUGCCUACAAUUUACUUUCGGUUCGUCAACUUGCAAUUAUGGGUUUUUCCACAUUCUUUAAUCUUGAUACUGUGGUCCUCUUGUGGAGCAAGACUCUUAAAGUAGCCUAUGUUGGAUAUGUCGAAAAUGGUCUCUAUGUGGUGAACUUUUUAAAGCGACCCACUAAGACUGCGACUUGUCUAAUGGCUAAAGUUGAUGUGGGCUGGCUUUGGCAUCGCCGACUAGCUCAUGUCAAUAUGAGAUCUUUGCAAAGUCUUCUUAAAGGGGACCAUAUUCGUGGACUAACAAAUGUGAGUUUUGCUAGAGAUUGUGCUUGCAGUGCCUGCAUUGAAGGAAAGAUUCAUGAAACUGCUCAUCGUCCAAUGACUCUCAUUUACACAAAGAGGCCAUUGGAGCUCCUCCAUAUGGAUCUUUUCGGUCCUCCAUCAUUUGAUAGUCUUGGAGGCAGAAAGUACUCCUUGGUGAUUGUUGAUGACUACUCAAGAUACACCUGGGUAUAUUUCUUCAAGAGGAAGAGUGAGACUCAACAAACUAUCAUCAACUUUGCUAAUGAAGCUCAACGUCAACAUGAAGCAAAGAUUUUGAUGAUUAGAAGUGACAACAGCACCGAGUUCAAGAACUACACCUUGGAUGAGUUUCUAGGUGAUGAGGGAAUAAAACAUCAAUAUUCAGCACCAUAUACCCCUCAACAAAAUGGUGUGGCGGAAAGGAAGAACCGGACUUUGAUGGAUGCUGCAAGAACAAUGAUGGCGGAAUUCAAAUCUCCAUAUAACUUUUGGGCUGAGGCCAUCAACACAGCAUGUCACGCGUCCAAUCGGCUCUAUAUCCGCAAAGGCUUGUACAAGACUCCAUAUGAGAUUCUCAUCGGAAACAAACCCAAUCUCAAGUACUUCCGGGUAUUCGGUUGUAAGUGUUUCAUUCUCAAGAAAGGUGCACGUUUAGCUAAAUUUGUUUCUAGAGCACAAGAGGGCAUCUUUGUUGGUUAUGCUACAAACUCUCAUGCUUACUGUGUCCUCAACAAGUCCACCGAACUCAUUGAGGAGACGUGUAACGUGGAGUUUGAUGAAAAUAAUGGCUCCCAAGUGGAGCAAAGUGGUCUUUGUGAUGUAGGUGAUGAAAUUCCUCCCCAAGCCAUGAGAAGAAUGGGGAUUGGUCAAAUACUCCCCAUUGAGGAACCCCUUGUGGCCGAAGGAGAAGGACAAUGCUCUACUCAAGUGGAGCCAUCACCCUCACAAGCCCCACACGCUUCCGAUGAACAAAGAGAAGACCCUCAACAAUUUGAACAAGCUCAAGGUCAAGAUCAAUUGCCCAAAGAUGGUGAUGGGUCCCAUGAUGUACAAGCACUUACCCAAGGUUCCGAACCUGCUCAAGAUCAAGAUCAAGUGCAAUUACAAGAUCCAGACCAAAUAGAAGCACAAGAUCAAGAUCAAGAGCAACCACAAGUCCAAGGACAAACAAGUGAACCUGCUCAAGUCGAAAAUCAAGUUGAUCAGGAUACUGUCUUGCAAUUCCCUUCUGCAGCGCCAAAAGCUGGUGCCAAGGGAGGUUCAAGACACAAGGGGAAGCAAAGUAAACAAGUCGAUGUUCCCCAGUUAUCCAAUGAAGAACUCUUGGAGCGUCGAGCAGCCAAGAUUGCGAACAAGCUGAGAGUCAAGUCACAUCUUAGGAAGAAUGUACUUGACAGUUUAAAAAGGGGAGUAUCCACCCGUCAACAGAUUUGGAAUUAUUGUGAGCAUCACGCGUUUGUUUCGUAUUGUGAACCUCAACAGGUACAGGAAGCGCUCGAUGAUGAGGAUUGGCUUAUGGCCAUGCAUGAAGAACUCAACAACUUCGAGCGUAAUCAAGUCUGGGAUUUAGUGCCAAGACCAAAGGAGGAACAUAAUGUCAUCGGGACCAAAUGGAUAUUCAAAAACAAGCAAGAUGCCAAUGGGAUUGUGAUUCGAAACAAGGCAAGACUGGUGGCUCAAGGCUACUCCCAAGUCGAGGGUAUCGACUACGGUGAAACCUUUGCCCCUGUUGCUUGUCUAGAUUCUAUUCGCAUGCUGCUUGCAUUUGCUUCUGAUCAUAAUUUCAAAUAACAGCAAAUGGAUGUGAAAAGUGCUUUUCUUAAUGGUCCUUUAAAUGAGUUGGUCUAUCUCAAACAACCCCCGGGAUUCGAACAUCCCAAGCUCCCCAAUCAUGUGUACAAACUUAAUAAGGCACUCUAUGGCCUUAAACAAGCCCCACGUGCGUGGUAUGAGUAUCUUACUGAGUUAUUACAAGAUCGUGCGUUUGAAAUUGGAAAGAUAGAUCCCACUCUUUUUACUAAGAGGGUUAAAGGGGAUUUGUUCAUAUGCCAACUAUAUGUUGAUGAUAUCAUUUUUGGUUCUCCUAACAUUUCUUUCAAUGAAGAAUUUGCUGCACUAAUGACCGAGAAAUUUGAGAUGUCUAUGAUGGGUGAGUUGAAGUUCUUCCUCGGAUUCGAGAUUAAACAAGGCUUAGAAGGGACCUUCAUCAAACAAGCCAAGUACACUCAAGACAUGCUCAAAAGGUUCGAGCUUGAAGAUGUCAAGCCGGUCAAGUUCCCCAUGCCAACAAGAUGCAAGCUUGAUAGUGAUCCCAAUGGUAAAGCAGUGUAUCAAAAGGUAUAUCGCUCCAUGAUUGGAUCCCUCCUUUACCUUUGUGCAUCUAGACCAGAUAUUAUGUUGAGUGUAGAGAUCUGUGCACGGUUUCAAUCCGCACCAAAAGAAAGUCAUUAUAUGGCUGUUAAGCGAAUCUUUCGAUAUUUGGCUCAUACCCCAAACUUUGGUCUAUGGUAUCCCAAAGGAGCGAACUUCAACCUAGUGGGCUAUUCUGACUCGGAUUGGGCAGGAGAUUGUGUGGAGAGGAAGUCAACUUCUGGAGGAUGCCAAUUCCUUGGUCGCUCGCUGGUAAGUUGGUCUUCAAAGAAGCAGAAUUGUGUCUCACUAUCAUCCACCGAAGUUGAGUAUGUGACAGCUGCAAGUUGUUGUGCACAGUUGCUAUGGAUGAGGCAAACUUUAAAGGAUUACGGUGUCACUUGUGACAAAGUGCCUCUUCUAUGUGAUAAUCAAAGUGCUAUCAAGAUUUCCCUCAACCCAGUGCAACAUAGCAAGACCAAGCAUAUUGAUAUUCGCCAUCACUUCAUUCGUGAACACAUCAAGCUAGGUGAUAUUGAGGUGCACUUCAUCCACACUGAAGAGCAACUUGUAGAUAUUUUCACUAAGCCCCUAGACGAAUCAAGGUUCCGGGAGUUAAGGCAUGAGCUAAAUAUCAUUGAUUCAAGUAAUGUGGAUUGAAACUAGGCACUUUGCACCUCACUAUGCAUUAGAUCUUGUUCUAGGUGUAGGCAUGGACAUAGGGGGAGUGUUGUUCUAUCAAUGAACUUUCCCUCCCCCCAUUAUGCAUAAAUCGAUCAAGUCUUUCACUUUGGCCAUUACUAAAUGGCACUUGUGCUUCAAAGACGAGCGUUGGUCAUGAACCCAAGGAUAAUUCUUCGCGGUGGCAUACCUUUGCCUCAAACAUAGGUGGCCUCGGCCACCGCCCCCACCUUUCUCUCAUAUGGAAGAAAGAAUACAAAAUGACUAGUCAGUAUACCUUGCUGGUGCUAUCUUUUCAUUUACACUGACUAGUCGCUGCCCACGUCUUUUCCACGAAAUCCUAUGUCUUGUUGUGUCAUUUUGAGCGGUACUACCGCCAGGGGUAGCGGUACUACUGCCAGGACCCCAGCGGUACUACCGCCAGGGUAGCGGUACUACUGCCAGGACCCCAGUCUAUCACGACUUGACUAGGGCUUUUUAGGGCUGUCACAAGGGGGAGCGGUACUACCGUCAGGGGGAGCGGUACAACCGCUAGGACCCCGGCGGUACUACCGCUGGCCCGUACCCCUUUGGCUAUAUAAAGGAGGGGGGGCCCGUUUUUUCUGCCCUCUUUCUUCUUCCUCGUGUCUCUUCCUCCCUCUACCCCGAACUCCCCCCGUUUGGAUCUCUAUCUGCGGAGCCCCUUCUCUCCCUUGAGUUGGAGGGUUUGCUCCACUCCUCCUUCCUCCAUCAAGUGCCAUGGACACCGGUAAAGCUCCUCACCUUAUUCUCUUGAUUGGUAUUUUCUUGUUCUAAGGUUAGGAGCUUGGUCAUUUGAAUCCAUGGCUAUGGUUUGUGCUUUGUUUUUGGAUGGAACGAAGGAGAUAGCCUAGGGGAGUUUAGGUUCUAUGAUUCAUUGCUUUUAUCUUGACAUGCCCUAAGUUCUUCAUGUUUUAGAUCGAGUACUUCUUCUCAUAUUUCUCAUUGGAUUAGAUCUAAAACUUGAAUCCCCUUGACUAGGCAUGUCUCUACCUAGAUGUUCUUGAGGUUCACAUGUGAUUAGGGCUAUGGUGUUUCUUGUAGUGAUUUUAUGCAGUUGCCAUGGGCCUCGUAAAUCAAAUCUAGCCGUUCUUAUGGGUCUUUCUAUAUUCAGAUCUAAAAGUCAACCCCCUAGCGGUAUUACCGCCAGCCUGGCGGUACUACCGCUAGGACCCCAGCGGUACUACCGCCAGGGGUAGCGGUACUACCGACAGGAGGAUAUUUUUCGUUAUGUUUGGAAAUUUGAGUUUAUUCUUAUGCUUCUUUUUUACCAUUGCCUUGACUCCUCCUGUCGCUCUUUUUGGGUGUGUGUCUUGUGUGUCACAGGUGGUCCUCGUCGCUCGAAUCCCCCACGGGACACCCAACCGAAGCAGUAUCGCACUUCAGAGGCUCCAGAGGGCUCCGCCACUUCCGGUCUGAAUCCCAAAAAGAAGUCUUUCAAGAAGAUAGCUCACAAGAACAAGGGGAUCAACGUUCGCACUAUGCCCCCAAGGAUUUUCUGCUGUUCCGCAACCGCAAUCACUAUCUAGAAGACAAGGCUCAGAUCAAGAACAUUGAGCAUGUUUGGUCAGGGGAUCACUGCAUGAUCAAUCGCAACAUCAUUACGCCAUUCAAGAAGAUUUUUGUCCCAAUGCAGUGGAUUGACCUUGCUCACCUUCAGCGGAACCCGAAUUACUUUGGUGAGGCUCUCUCCUUGAUUGAUAAGCUUGGCCUUAAAGAGAUCAUCACCUUCAGGCAAGACUUUGACCCAGAUGUUGUGGCCCAAUUCUAUGUCACUGUUCACUUUGCACCUGAUGACAUACGCACCAUGACUUGGAUGACCGGUACUCAGAAGAUGACAGGUUCCUGGUCAGAAUUCAUGCAGCUUCUCAAAGUCGACUUUCAGGGGGACGAAACUCCUCUUGGGAUGCGUCCUCAUGCUCCAUCUUCAUCUACUACCACCCCCAAGGACAGGCUGCAACAACUUUAUGUGAAGAAAGGUGUGCUCCCCAAGCAUCUGGAUAUCAUGCAUCGAAUCUUCCGCAACACUUUCUUUCCUCGCAUUGGCAACUUUGACGAGGUGCAUGGUCAUCUAGUUGAGAUGCUUCUGCUCUGUGAGGAGGCUAGGACUAAGGAAUCUGCCCCUCUCGAUAUUUCCCACGUGAUGUUCAAUGAGCUCUCGAACUACAUCAUGAACCGCAAGGUUCCCAUCUACGGGCCCUACUUGUUUGCCUAUAUUCGCAAGAGGUGGCACGAAGUCUAUCCGAUCGAUGAGUUCCCUAUUCAGACUGAUCCCUUUGUGCAUGAUCCUAUCAAGCUCCGUAUCAAAUACAAAUGGGCAAACCCAUCAACUUUGUCUCAGCACAUGGACACUGACACAUAGACUGCUGCUGGAGGAGGCCCCUCUUCUCAGUCCCGCUCUUCUGCUAUGCCAUCUUGGGCAGUGAAACUGAAGGAUAAAAUGAAGACUCUCUUCUGUAUGCAGGCCAAGGGACAGUAUCACUCUCAUGUGGCCCAGAAGGAGAACCGUCAGAGGCACAAGCGUGUCUUGAGGACCCUUGAUGUUGAUAUCUCAAGCGGCUCAGAGGACGACAUCACUCCAGAGUCUGAUUGGAUGUGGGCUCAAGGUUAUCAGUGGAUUGGGUCUGAUGCAGAGGAGGAGGCGUCUGAGGAGGACAAUGAGGAGGAGCAGGACGAUCCGGAUGCCACGGACAAGUCUGGGGCUGAUGAGGAUGCGGAGUGACCACGUGUGUCGUUAGGUGUGCCCCUUUUUGGUGUCUUGUGCCAAAGGGGGAGAGAGUCUAGGAGCUGGAUUUGCGCUUUGCUUUAGAUUUGCUUAUCUUCAUCGUGCUUGCUUUGAACUUGGUUUGAUCUUAUUUGCUAUCUUUGCUUUGUGUGAUGUGAGACUUGGUCUAGUGUGAGACUUAUUUCUAUCAUAUGUUGUGUCAUAUGCUCUUCAAUUAUCUCUACCAUUAUCUUUAUGUUCACAUGCUAUCUACUGUGCAAAUCCGGUAUUGUCAUCAAUCCACCAAAAAGGGGGAGAUUGUUAGCGCAUAUUUAUGCCUAAGUAAUUUUGGUGAUUGAUGACAGUACCGUAAAGGACUAAUCGUGUGCAUUAAGAUUUCAGAUAACACAUGUCAACGACACAAGAUGACUCGGCCCCCUCCAUGGAAUAAAAGCACGGUGUCCUCUGCGAUUCUCUUUCUUUGAGUCAUAGGAACGCCGUACUAUUAAGAGGGGACCCGUAGUAGAAAGGUUUGGGUGGAAUCAAUUUUGCACGCACACACUUUAUCUCCUUUCCCUUUCCUUGCAACUUUGGAGUGGUUCCCGCCUCUGGUUUAUCUCCUCUAAGCAAAACGGUCUCUCAGCGGUAGUACCGCUGUCCCUAGCGGUAGUACCGCUAGAGCUGGCGGUAGUACCGCCCCUGGUCAGCGGUAGUACCGCUCCAGGAACUUAGUACCGCUCCAGGAACUUAGUACCGCCUUCCUAGCGGCUGUACUUCGUCGGACAUUUUGCGAAGACUUUCUUGGCGGUGGUUGGCCCGGUACUACCAUGGGCCCAGCGGUAGUACCACUGCAGCACCAUGGGCCCAGCGGUAGUACCACUGCAGCCAGCGGUAGUACCGCUGCAGCGAGCGGUAGUACUGAUGGAGUGCCAGCGGUAGUACCGCUGCAGCCAGCGGUAGUACCGCUAGGCUCGGGCUGUGAGUGGGAAAACGGUUGGAUCCCCCCCACUAUAUAAAGGGUUCUUCUUGCUCUAGAACCCUACCUUUGACCCUCCCAAGCUCCAUUGUUGCUCCCUAAGCUCAAAAGUCCCGAUCUCUCUCCCUAGCCAAUCAAACUUGUUGAUUCUCUAGGGAUUGGUUGAGAAGGCUUAGAUCUACACUUCCACCAAGAGAAAAUUGAUUCCCCCACCAAUCCCUUGCGGAUCUUGUUACUCUUGGGUGUUUGAGUACCCUAGACGGUUGAGGCCACCUUGGAGCCACAUUCCAUUGUGUUGAAGCUUCAUGGUCUUGUUGGGAGCCUCCAAGCUUUGUGUGGAGUUUUCCCCAACCUUGUUUGUAAAGGUUCGGUCGCUGCCUUCAAGGGCAACUAUAGUGGAAUCACGGUACCUCGCAUUGUGUGAGGGCGUGAGGAGAAUAGAGUGGCCCUAGUGGCUUAUUGGGGAGCAUUGUGCCUCCACACCGCUCCAACGGAGACGUACUUCCUGUCAAAGGGAAGGAACUUCGGUAACACAUCCUCGUCUUCAUUAAUUCCACUUGCGGUUAUCUCUAACCUUUACAUUGUGUAUGCUUAUGUUGUUGUUUAUCUCUACUUGUCUUAGUUAUCUUUGUUGGUAGCAUCAUAUAGUUUCACCUCUUUGUUGACAUUUUAGAGAACCCUCAUGUGCUAACCCUAACUUGCUAAGAUUAGUUAAAAAGUGGAUGUUGCCUAUUCACCCCCCCUCUAGUCAACCAUAUCGAUCCUUUUACUAUGCAUAUGGGUUGAUGCAUGCUCUUGUCCUACUUUCUCCGAUAUAAAUCUUGGGGUACGUUGUGAAGUUCUUUGUGUUGGAUUGAAUAUGAUGAAUCUAAAAUUGUUUGAUAUAUGUCAAAUAAUCAAAUCAUGGAUACUUGUGGUGACAUUGGAGUAUCUAGGUGACAUUAGAGUUAGUUGAUGUGUAUCAUAGAUGUUAUUCUAGUAUGAACUCUAGGGAUGAUUGCGACACUUAUAGGAAUGGGUCAAUGGAUUGAUCGAAAAGAAUAACUUUGAGGUGGUUUUGCUUCCUACAGCAAUUUCAUCUUAUGUUUUUCGGUAAAUAUGGAGUUUAGAGCGAUUCUCUCUCGCACGUUGAGGAACGAUCAUAUGAUUCUAUUAUGUUAGCAUUGUUGAGAGAUUGCACUAGUGAAAGUAUGAACCCUAGGCUAUUACCAAGCAUUGCCAUACUGUUUAUGCUCACUUUUAGUACUUGUUACCUUGCUGUUUUUAAAUUUUUAGAUUACAAAAACAUAUAUCUACUAUUCAUAUUGCACUUGUAUCAUCAUCUCUUUGCUAAACUAGUGCACCUAUACAAUUUACCAUUGUAUUGGGUGUGUUGGAGACACAAGAGAUUUCUUGUAUUUGAUUGCAAGGUUGUUUGAGAGAGACCAUAUUCAUCCUACACCUCUCACGGAUUGAUAAACCUUAGGUCAUCCAUUUGAGGGAAAUUUGUUGUUGUCCUACAAAACUCUGCACUUGAAGGCCCAACAACGUCUAUAAGAAUAAAGUUAUGUAGUAGACAUAAUUAUCCAGUGAGGGAUAGUUGUCGAUGCUCGUCGGAAGAUCAUCGUGUAAGCUUUUGUAAAAAAUGCUAUGCUGGACAAUUUCCCAUUGGUUCUUAAGUACUCUGAGAGUGAGUCCUACAAGUUGUUUCUGUAGAUGUCAAGAUUUUCAAGCGAUGAGUGCUUCCCAAAUUCACACGAGGGCAUCAUAUAGCUCCACACAUAAGGUAGAAUCCAUGGGGGGGGGCACCACAUGGAUCCUCUCAUGUUUGUUGAGGUCAAGUGACUUUAGAUUCCGCAACAGUUCAAUUAAUGUUGAUAUUAACUAAAAUAUCUUAUUCCCACAUAAUGGCAACACAAAAAGUGUGUGGAGCUUCUUAUGUUGGCUCGUAGCUCUCCCGUAGCUGGCUAUUCUACACCAUCAACACCAACAACCCAAUCACAUAAAUCGGGAUGGAGCCAAAGAUUUGGUUGUUUUCAUUCUUAAUGUGAGAGAUAUUCGAAGAUAUCCGGGUCGAUAUAGUGACAGUGAAGUGGUUGUCCGAUAUUAGAAUUGUAGGCAGUAAGGGGAAUGAUCGUGUAUUCACUAGGAACUCCCGAAAGAAGUUAUUAUUGUUGAGCAUGAUAUUAUCCAACAAGAGGUCGUUGUCGAUGCUCGUCGAAAAAAGUUGUUAAAUUAUAUAACUACUUCGAGAGUGAGCCAGACAAGUUGAUGUUGUAGACGUUGGGAUUUUCACGCGGCAGAUGCUUACCAAGUUCUAGUGGUAGCUCAACCUAGAGCAUCAAAUAGGUCCCCAGUGAAGGUGGAGGCCAUGGGGGCUUAUGCCCCCCCCCCCAGCGACUACCUGGAUCUGCCCAUGGUUCCUGAGGUCAAGCGACUUGAGAUUUUGAAGAGAUUUUCAAUUUAUGUUGGUCUGGAUCUAGAUAUCUUGUUCCCAAACAAUGACAACACAGGUAAGUGUGUGGAACUUUCUUAUGUUGGCCGAGAGCUCUCCCAACAACUGGUUAUUCUACGUAUUCAUCACCAAUAGCCCAGUGACAUACGUUGGGGUGGAGCCGAAGAACUGGUUGUUUUCCAUCUCAAUUUGAGAUUUACCAAAGUUAUAUAUAUCGAUUGACAUAGUACCAGUGAAGUUCUAGUAUGAUAUUACCAUUGUAUGCAACAACGGGAACGACCACAUAUUCAUCGGGAACUCCCUAGAGAAAUUAGUGUUGUUGAGCAUGAUGUUAUGGGGCGAGAAGUAGUUGGCCACACUUAUCGAAAGCUCGUCAGAGAAGUUGUUGCUAAGAAUUUAUAUGUUGUAUAAUCUCCCACGUAUAACAGCUCAAGUGAUUGAGACAAGUUAUUGUUGUAGACGUCAAAAUUUGCAAAUGACUAGUUCUGGUGGUCGCUCAUCUUAAAGCAUAACAUAGUGAGAUACUUGCAUGCAACUAAGGCCUCUAAGAGCUUAAAGCAUUUCAGUCGUUCAAUGUUUUUUCGGAGCGACCCCCCGUCGGUCCGAGGCUCAGAUGAGAUCGACCUUCCUAUUUAUAUUAGUCGAAUUGUGCCAUCUGAUAUUUUUUGACCGACAAUGGUGGGGGCACUGAGAUGUUUUGGUGGGGACAUUUCCAGUGAGGUUUGAUUGUAUUGAACAUGAAAGUUUUGAUUAAUGUGUAUAUGAUGGAAUAAAUGUUUCCAUGCAUGCCAUGGUGGCCCUUUGUUAAUGUGACAUGUGAAGUGACGUGGGACAUACUCAUGUUGAAAUAUUAUACUAGUGAGGAUCACUAUUAUUCAAAAAUAUUUUUCAUGUACAUUGAGGUGUCAUGUUUUUUAGGGGUUUGAGGUGUAAUAUGUCAUGUGUGAUGAGAUGACUUGAAUGCAUGUUGAGAUAAGUAAAAUAGUGGAAAUGAACUACUCAAGCAUGUAGGAUUCGUGGGCAGAUGCAACUCAUUUUGACAGUCCAAGCCCAAAAAUCUGACAGUCUGGGCUCUAGUACAAACUAGUUUUCUACUUGAAGUUCUGCUUGAAUGCAAGAUAGAUACAUCAAAUAUUGUAUUAUAUGAGCUAUUAUGCUAAUGUUACCAUUACAAAUUCAAAUUAAUAGAAAAUUCCGUUUUUACAUGUUCAAACUGCACAGAGCUAGUCUCAGGCUAGGUAUUUUUACUAGAAGGGUAGCACGUGCUUUGUUACACGUCAAUGUUGUUGGGUUUCUUAAAAUAAAUACUCACUUUGUUUUAAAAUAUAAGGUGUAUUACAAGACUUUUAAGCAUGAUAAAUUUUGUAGAGAAAUAUAUCAAAAUACACAAUAUCAAAUUGGUAUGAUUAGAUUCAUCAUGAAAUGAAUUUUCAUACUUUUUUGUUUAAUAUUCUCGAUGUCUAUAUUUUUUUUCUCUGAACUUGAUCAAAUUAAAAAAAAUUGACUUUACAAAAAAUAACGCCCCUUAUAUUUUGAACCGAUGGGGUAUUAGUUUGGCGGGUGGGGGAGAUAAUGGAGUGUGUUUUAUUUUUAUUUAUAAUGCAGUGAUUCGAUGGGCCUUUUGUGAUGUGGUUUUGUGUUAUCUGCUAAGUAAAAAAUAUUUAUGUAGGAAAAUUUCAGCAUUGGUAGCUGCAUGUACCCUAUUGGUGCUACAAUAUCACAUGAUGACGCUUCAUUUUUCUAGAUGGUGGACGGGUUGCGGGAUUGAUAUAUUUUAUAGGCUAGUUGAUGGUAAUUGAUUUGAAACAUCAUUGGCCCGAUCAAAAUUAUAAACCAAAUCCAAAAUUGAAUAGCUCAACUAAAUGAAAGAGGUUCAAAACUAGAGAUAUAGAGAAUUAAAAGAAUUGAAUGGGAUAGCUAGUUGAGAAAUUGUUGACCCGGCCAAAAUCGAGAGAUCCAAUUCCAAAUUAAAGACCUCGAUUAAUUGCGAGGCCUUAAAAAUUAGGAAUCAUAGUGUAUAACUAGAAGGGUCGAGCGCGCUUUGCUGCACUGUUGAUGUUUCUGGAUUUUCCUAUUUUUUGUACUCAACCUAUCUUAAAUAUAAGGUGCAUUAGUUUUUGAAAAGUCAAACAUCUUUAAAUUUACCACAUUUUUGUAGAAAUAUAUCAACAUCCAUAAUAUGAAAUUGGAUUCUUAGAUUCCUCGUGAAACGAAUUGUUAUGUUUUAUUAUUUACUAUUAUGGAUGUCGAUAUUUUUGCCUCUGGACUUGAUCAAAGUUAAAAAAAGUUGAGUUUUCAAUAAACUAAUAUACCUUAGAAUUUAGAACGGAGUGAGUAUUAGGUUUUGUUAGUGGGGAAGUUGAUGGGGUUUAUUUUCCUUUUUAUUCUAUAAUGCGGUGUUCUGGUGGCUCCCACGGUAUGUUUUUGUGAUAUGUUAAUCAACUCAUAUUUAUGUGAUUUUUUUACGUCGAUAGCUGCAUGUACUGUAUUGGUGCUAUAGUAACACAUGUUGAUGCUAUUUUAUUCUAGGUGAUGAGAGGAUGCCUUGGAUUUGAUAAGUUUUUAUAGACAGGUUGCUUUCAAUUGAUUUAAAAAAUUGUUGACCUAGUCAAAAUCAUGAACAAAAUCCAAUAUUUAAUUUCUCAGUGAUGAAAUAAGAAAGCAUAGUGAAUUAAGAUAAUUGAGUGAGAGAUUGUUGACCCGGUCAAAAUCGAUGACCCAAUUCCAGAUUGGUGACCUUAAUUAAAUGAGAGGUGUCCAAUUCUAGGGGGCUUAGAUAUAUAUAUAUAUAUAUAUAUAUAUAUAUAUAUAUAUAUAUAUAUAUAUAUAUAUAUAUAUAUAUAUAUAUAUUGAUUGAAAGAGCUUUGAGAAUUUUUUGACUUGGUCAACAUUGAGUGUCUUAAUUUGACCUUAAUUGAAUGUGCGCUCUUUAAAACUAGAAUUAUAGUGUAUAGAGGAUGUCAAACCUUCACAACCUAGCACCACAAAAAAGCGAGUGUCGGGAAAUGCCCGUGUCUACACCUCAUACCUUCCAAAACAUUCGUAUGAACUUCCAACCAUCUUUAUUAGCCUGAAGUAGGGUGGGCAUCGAACCUAUUACCGUUGACUUUUGGUUCAUAGUAUUUUAUAUCUUUUGAAUGAGAUGUUCAAAGUAAGCUUUGUUUACAUAUUCAUGUUUAUUUUGACGGUGGCUUUGAAAUUGGGUGUGCCUGUUCUACACCCAAGGGCAUUGCACCCCCGCUACACCCACGAUUGAAAACUUAGAAAAAUAACUCAAAAUAUUACGAAACUUUGAAGAUCGGAUUAUGAGCAAAUGUUUUAGGUGCUUGCAAAAUUUUAAGGCCAAAUGACAUCCAAGGAAAUCUGUACAAAAAAAAUAAAGUUUCUGCUCAAAUAUAAAAUCUGAAACGUGGGUCAGAGCAAGAGUUUGUAUUUCAUUUCAUACGAAAAUUAUUCAAUGUUAUUUGACGAUCAAACUUUGCAAGGUUUUAAAACGUUUGCCCAUAAUAAAUGCCUCAAAGUUUCAUAUUUUUUUAAUUCGUUUCUAUUUUUUACUGUCCAUUUCAUGGGUGUAUCAAACAUGGGUGCGGUCACUACUUUCCCGCUUUGAAAUAAGAUCCAUUUUAAAUAUGUUUUGGAAAGUUUUUAAAAUUUCACUAAGUGUCAACUGUUGAAACUUAAGUACAAGAGAAUGACAAAAUUGUAAGUUUCACAAAAUAAAACUUUAAACUUGGUGUGUCCUCUCACGGAAUCCAGGAACCUUGUGGACCGCAAGACAAUAGGACGGUGGUGCAAACCUAGAGAGGUGGGUGCCUCAGCGAAUUUCCAAUUAUUAACCCACCUCACUUCAUACGUACAUAUAUAAACCAAAUACUAGGCAAAAAUUUGUAGCCAAUUAUAUAAACAUCAGACGUAUUCAAGAAUCAAGCCCACAUAAAUAGCCAAAUCGAUGGUGUGGAACGAGCGUGGGUGCAACUUUCUUUGUUUUCUCCGUUUUACAGUAAUUAAUUUGUCGAUGAACCAAUCUAUGAUUAAAUGGUUAGAUGAAUAAUGAUAUUCCUGGUCCAUAAGGUUUUAAGUCUUGAUACUCACAUUUAUUGCUGAACUUAUUUUGGAAUCUUUGGCGAACUGUAUGCAGUGAGAGGAGACGUUAUCGUCGACUAUUAGGUUUUUUUGUGACUUCAAUUUCAAGACGAUAUGUUGGUUUAGUUUUCAAAUUUUUAGAAAUAGGAUGUGCAUGCAUGUGUUUAUUAAGAUAAGUAUAUACACACAUAUAUAUAAGAGGGUCUGUGUUGGUACUAUGUUAAAGCAAAGUACCUUUUCUAUAUCUAAAUAUUUAUAAUUUUAAAAAAACUAGUUUAAUGUUUCGUAACUAUAAGUAUUUAGAUACGGAGAAAGUAAUUAAUUUGCCGCAUGCGGGAGCAAACUUCUCGUUCUGGUGUGAAUCAAAACACAAUCUGUGCGUGAUUUUGCAUUUUACACCGCGUAGGUUGUACGCAGCGUAGGGAUUCUGCUAUGAGCAGCGCGAGCAAAAUCUGUCGAUUGCUGAAUAUAGAAUAGAAUAGAAUCUGUCGAUUGCUGCUGAAAAAUCUCAGGCCAACCAAAUACUACUAGCUACUCGCUAGAAAGAAAAAAGGGCGCCGCGCAACAGCGACUGCCAGCUGCUGCCCUUAUCCUUUAAUUAUUCGGUCAUCUGCUGUCGUGUCACUUUAAGCGAGACAUCCAUCAUCUUUUCUAUUUUCCCUCGUAAAGAACACCUCUGUAGCCUCUUUUCACUUGGCCACAAAUCUGUAGUACACAUAAUCAAUUGCUCCAUCGAUGGAUCUGUGAGCGUUAGACUCCUCAUGGCUAGCCUGGAUUUCAUUUCCACGUCCGACGCACGACACCUUCUUUCUAAAGGGCGUCUCCAACGGCAACCCUAAAUUUUUUCAUGCAUCCGUCCGUAAACAGGGAUCAGUCUAUGUAUACGGGUGCAAGAGACGCCAUUCAACGCUAACUGUAUACAUUUUAACAAUUAUUUAAGUUAAUCGAACAAUAUUCAUAUAAAUAUGGUAGGAUUUUAUGUAAAUAUAACGGAUUUUAUAUAAACACGACAGAUUUCAUCACAUGCCGAACAUAUUUUAACUAAAAAAAUAAGACUAUUUGCAUGUACGGUCACGUCGAACUCCAAUCCCACGACCCAGAUACACUACUACACUAGUCGAUGGCCGGUCGCGGCGGAUCCCUUGGUCUUCUUCAUGUCCGGUAGCCUGUUCACCGGACUACUCGGAGCCUCGGAGGCAUAUGCUUCAGCGCAAAGGACGCCUCGCUUCCCACCGCUCGUGGACCGGAACUCCCGUCCAAUGCUUCAGCGGGAGGGGAAGCGGACACCUCCGCUUCCAUGCAGCCCAUGCGGGGUCGGCGAAGGUCCUCACAAGAGAAGAACCACGCAAGACAGCGGCUGUGUACACAGGCAUCGCUCCGGUGGUGGCCUUCAUGUGACCCAAGUGGCGGCGCCUCCCGUGUUCUACUUCUCCUUGAUGACGGCGGCGAGUGUUGUCUACCACACAACUUUAUUUUUGUAUAUGUUGUUGGACCUUCAAGUAUAGAGUUUUAUGGACAAAGACAAUUUUCCUUCAAAUAAAUGAUCUAAGGUUUUUUAAUUCAUGGUUGGUGUAGGAUGAAGAUGGUCUCUCUCAAACAACCCAGCAAUCAAAUACAAGAAAUCUCUUGUGUCCCCAACACACCCAAUACAACGUUAAUUGUAUAUGUGCACUUGUUCGGCGAAGAGAUGGUGAUACAAGUGUAAUAUGGAUAGUAGAUAUAUGUUUUUGUAAUAUGAAAAUAUAAAAACAGCAAGGUAGCAAGUAACAAAAGUGAGCAUAAACAUUAUUGCAAUGCUUGGAAAUAAGGCUUAUGGUGUUGGGGACCGUCGCAUGGGAAAUAAAAAAUUUCCUACGCACACGCAAUACCUAUCCAUGGUGAUGAUCAUCUACGAGAUGGGAGAGUGAAUCUACAUACCCUUGUAGAUCGCUAAGCGGAAGCGUAUAUAAAUUUAAGACCCCCAGUUAAUGUGGGUAAAGGAAGUGUUUGUAACAAACAACACUUUUAACAAGCUAAGGUUUUAACAGACAGCUUAUGUGUUUAACGCAAAUAUAAUGCUUGGUUGAAUAGCACAAAAAUUAAAAUUUGAAAAAAAAUUGAGCAUGAAAUCGACUUACCUGGUUAAUGUGCUCGGUGUGACGUGGUCCGGGCUCGCAGCGGUCCGAAGUCGCAGCCCCCAAGCAUGUGACAAGGUAGUCGAUGAAGAGUUUGCUUGAUGAAAUGACAACACAACACUUCGGGAAGGCCGAGCGAAACCCAAGUCCAGUCGAAGAGAUAGAGUAGUUUAGUAGUGUGACGACGAAGCCCCCACAUUAGUCGAUCAUGUUGACGACACAAUUUGGUUGACGGAGGCGUGGCGAUGACGUCGGCGCGUCGAGGUGACUGUCUAACACAGUCGGAACCGAUCACCUAUGCACAUAAAAUAGUGCAAGCCAAAAGUAAUAUCAAAUAAUAAUAGAAGUCCUCUACUUAAUUAACUUAAGUUAAGUAAAUAGUUAGAAAAAAUAUAGCGUGGUCGUCGAGGUGCCCGAGCGAAGAGCUCGGCUUGAUGAAGUUGCGAUACGGCAUGGCCGAUGUGGCGAGGCGAAACCCUCAGUCCAGCCGAGAUGAUGAAGUUGGUCGACCGAUGAUGACGAAGUCCACGGAGCAGGUUGAUGAAGAGAUGGUGAAGCCCCUAGUAUAACCAAGGUGACGUAGUAGUUAAGUAAGGUGGCGCUAGAGCCCCAUGCCAGCCGAUAUGUCCAAGCAGGUAGGCAUGUUGAACGUUGGCUUAAAGAAGCGACGGCGCGGCGAUGCCGAGUAGGUCAAAAUUUGUGACGCGAUCAAUGCUGCCUUGAUGAAGCAACGACGCGUCCGACCCAUGCAACGCGUGAGCGACAAGAUUCCGCGGAGAUUAUUCCGCCCUCGCGAUGUUGGACUCUUGAUCGGAUCGCCGAGGUGCUGAUCGGAUGAGAUUGACCUCUACUCGCUGAAGCGAUGAUCUGUCUAGUGCAGGUCGACAACGCGAAGCAGCGUAGCCGGGCUGGUUUCGCACCAGUGUAAUGAUGAAGAUUGCCUUGGAAAAAGCUCAAAAUUUAUGGACAUGCAUUUUAGAACAACACAUAAUACAUUAAAAAGAAUUCCUUCAAAAAGGAUGUCCAAAACCCCCGUUCAUGAAGAAAGAUGAACUCGGGUUGGUUUCGUUUUCGCGAAAAGAACAUAUCAAAAAUUCGUUGUACUCAUCGGAUGGUUCCCGGAGUUUGGACGGUCGGAUCAAGCUGAAAUUUUGAGGCUGAUCGAUAUAGGAAUUCUCCAUCCGAUGAAGGGUGGGAUUUUCCAACGGACGUCCGAGCUAGACACUGGACACCUCACCCUAAACUCAUCCAGAUUCCUGUCCAGAUUCGAUAGGGCUCCGAUAUAUCGGAGAUUGACGGAGAUUCCUCCAUCAAAACACGACAAAAUUUUGCAGGCUUCUUGUAGAGACAAUUCCACUGAAUUAAUCGUUAAAGAGACCCUCGAGGAAGUGGAGAGACGAACACAAAUUCGUUGUCCAAAAAAACUGCAAUCUGCACACGAGCCAUCAAUUCUUCUGCCGAUCCCAGAGCGAACCUCCCAAUGAAAUCACCAAUGUUGGCGUCAAAACCGACGGAUCUAGGGUAGGGGGUCCGAACUAUGAUCUUGAAUUGAUGGGUAACAAGGGACGAUGGAGACGAUGUUUACCCAGGUUCGGGCCCUCUUGAUGUAGGUAAAACUCUACGUCCUGCUCUUGUUGUAUUGAUGAUGAAAUAUCAAGUACAGAGUUGAUCUAUCUCGAGAUCGUAUUUUAUAGUCUAAACCCUAAUGAUGUAGACGUUCUGUCUAAUGAAUAUCUAUCAACUAUAGCCUGGCCUCAGCUUAUAUAACACACCGGAGGCCCAGGAUAACAAGAGUCCUAGUUGGCUACGUGGUGGAGAGGAGUCCUUGUCUUGAUCACCAAGUCUUGUUGAUUCUUCCUCGUAUAUGUCAUCGUCUGCCCGAAGUAGCCCAGGAGUCCGGCCCGUAGAGAUAGGCCGGCGGCCCGAGGACCCCUUAGUCCCGGACUCCCUCACUCCCACACCGCUAUAUAUACUGGGAAGGGGGCUUAGAGGUUGGACGCACCAAACCCCAUGCCCUGCAACCUCCCGUCUCUCCCGUUCUUCCUCGUUCGUAGUUUUAGAGACGCUUGGCAAAGCUCUGCUAGCACUGCUCCACCACUAUCUUCAUCAUGCUGUCGCGUUGGUCGAGAUCUCAUCUACUUAACCUCUCUUGCUUGCAGGAGCAAUAAGGAGACGCCACUGAACCGCACAUAUGCUGAACGCGGAGGUGUCGCUCGUUCGGUGCUGGAUUGUUCGCGCGAUCGUGAAGAAUACGACUACAUCAACCGCGUAAUAUAUGCUUCUGCUUAACGGUCUACGAGGGUACACAAAUAUACUUUCUUCUCUCAUUGCUAUGCGUCUUCAUAGAUAGAUUUGGGUGUUCGUAUAUAUUUUUUGUUUUCCAUGCACUGUUCCUCAAGAGACAUCUUCGACGAGGACUAGGAUAGAUGAUCUACGUAGUACAUGGAUUUUUAUUUUUGCAUGCUUUUGAAUAGAUUUAAGAUUUGUAGUAUGAGGUAUUUAGAUAUGGACGAGGAAAUUUGAGGAGUGCCCGGUUAGUGUUUGAGGGCCAGAUUUGUCCAUCACGGUUUUAGAUGCUCUAAAGACUACAAUGACAAAAAUGACAGGUGAAUCAACCCGAAUCCAUUGAAAAUCUAAACCGACCUUUUUUUUAGAAAAGAAGGAUGACCCCCGGCCUCUGCAUCACGGAGAUGCAUGCGGCCAUUUUAUUGAUUAUUCUCGAGGACCUUACAAAGUAUUACAACAAUAUGUCUGAAUCCGCCAUCUUCGCAACAUGUGUCGCUACUCCUAUCCAUAUGAUGAAGGGGUGCUAGCUGGGCCACAUACCCAGAUCACUUACCUAAGCCUAACAUCAAAAGUCAGAAGCCCCAGCAGAUCCGGUCAAGCCAUCUGCCACAUACCGGGUCUAGGGCACAAAACCGAUCUGACGCACUCGUGUGCUAUCGCCGCCAUCUUCCACCGGUCCGUCUUCAGAGCAAAUAUUGAGGCUUCUACCUUGUGUAGCCACUCUGCCAUUGACGUCACCAUGACGCCAGAUAGCUACCUCCUCCUGCGCGAGUCCAUCUCCACGCAUCGGACGUCGAGUCCCCACAGCGCCAUGCCGCCGAUAUCCGCCGCCAUCAAUGUGUGAGAUGAAGCACCGCUCCACCAUUCCUCCAGCCAGCACUUGCUCCAAAACGAUGCCCCCAGGAGGGAGGGCGAUAAAACGCCAUCAUCGUCCGAUCCAGGAAGACCCAGAUCUAGGGUUUCCCCCGGAGCAUCCAGAGCCUGAUGACGCAAACAGCAAUGCCGUUGCUCCACCAGACGAGCGCCGCCGACGUCACAGCCUCCAAGAUGUAGCAGGCCAAAAUGCGCCGACAUCGACCCGCCGCCACCUCCACCACCGCUUGAGCAGCCCCCGAGCAACGCCUUCAGGAAGGAACACGCCACCGAGGUGUCGUCGUCGCUUGGACCAAGGGGAUCUGAGGUUUUCACCUGAGCUCCUGGGAGGGGUGGAAGGAAGGGGAUCCUCUCCAAAGCCUCCAACAAGGGGAACAACACCCAAAGGCGCUGCCUUUGGAGUGGCCGCCGCACCGGCCAAGGGACUCCCCCGGAACCCUUCCAACCACCGGAUCUGCAGGGCCAGCACCCAAGAACAGCGAAAAACCAUCUGGGGCCGGAUCCGCUGCAGAUCGGAGUAGAUCGGGGUCGACGAGAAGCAACACCAUGGCCACCAGCAUCCAGCGAGGACCGCCGCCGCCACCCCCCGCGCCGUCCAGGUCAAAGAGGGAUCCACCGACCGCGUACAGGGGCCACCAACGCCUGCACCCGCCGGAGCACCGCCGCUAGCCCAGCGCCCGCCACCGCCUGCCGCGGGCCGCCGCCGUGCGCCCCACUCCCCGCCACCGCUCGCCGAGGCCUGCCCCCUCGCGCCCGAUCGCGAUCGCCACAAGCCACCGCCGUCAACCACCUAGAUCCGCCGCCCGCGGAGGAAGGGGAGCCGGGAGAGGGAGUCCCCCGCCGCCGCCGUCUGCCACACGUGGUUUACCGACGGCGUCGCCCGGCGGCGGCGAGGAGGGGAGGAUGAGAGAGCGGCGGCGGCGCCUAGGGCUUGGGAGCCCCCGAGUCGCCCAGGGCGGGGGCGACGCGAGGGGUGUUUCCCUGGUUUGAAUAUUCGUCAGACGUGGUUACGUGAAAUCUAAACCGACCUGAUCUAAAGACACAUCUUUACAUGCCCCCACCGCUAAUAGACUCACCCAUCAAAUGGUUAUAGGGCGGGGAAACCAUUAUUCAUAUACUGGGGUGACGCCACUACCUCGCCAUCCCAAACCAAAUACGAAGACUGCGUAAGGCAAACCUGACACUAUUGGCCAUCCCACAACACACCAGAUUCCGACCGAGCUCGUGAUCGUUCAGGAGUAUGCACUAACUUCCACAUCUUUGGUGACCUAGAGUCCAUCCCACCAUUGAAGAUCUCCACACGGAUCCCUCUAGACUUCACAAGCUACCCCAACAUUGUGGUCGAGCACUGACGAUGUCUUGGAUUAAUGGGCACAUACUAUGUCGUCAUGUCAUCUAUGAGCUGGGCCGAUGAUCCACCAACUUUUAAAGGAAGGACUCCCGAAUAUGUGGCCCUCACAUAUUUAAGAUGGAAUCUUUCGAAUACUUGAUAUAUACUCCAAGGCAUAGUUGAAGGCAUAGUUGAACAAUACAUAAGCGGACAACUAGAAUUGAGAAUAACCUCCAAAGAAGAAGAGUUUUUUUCUUAAAAAGUUAAAUCAAUUUGGAAGCAGUGAAUUGGUGCCUAGGAUCAUCUGCCCUGCGCUCAAGAAAAAAAUCAAACCAAAUACUAGAAAAACAAAUAAUUUAGAUAAUUUGCUGCGUGAGCUGCGCUCAAAAUCUCAGAUAAUUUAGAUAUCUGAAUAGCUCUAGGCAAAAAAAGAUAAAUUUGGGGUUUGUAAAAAUGUUUGCUGUUCAUGUAUUAUUGGGUCCCAAUUAACUUUUUUGCUGAGAGUUGCUCAUAAGUCCAAUAACCUGAAAUUUGAAGGGCACCUCACGCGCUAAAUUAUCUACCAUGUAAAAAUCCGGGUUCAGAAGUGGAUAUCCGAAUCAUUUUUAGAUAGUCAAAGUGAACACAAUAAACCAUACACUCGCAUCCUUGUUAGGGUUCUGUGUUAUUUUUGAAUAUCGUCCAACCAAUGACCUAAAACAUUGGCAAUAUUAACGAGUGAAUACAAUUUAGACGCAAUCUAGAUGAAUGAUCACAUAGAAUGUGCAAGCUUACAUGAUAAAAGAGGUAAUUGAUUGUCUCAUGGUGAGAAAGCUAUACUUUUUGUUUCCUUGCAGUUGCAACGGAUGAGACUAUCUUAAAUUUUCAAAUUUUCUUGUUAUUAUAUACUAGAACAUCUGAAUACGUGAGUGCAAGUACAUAAAGUCGACUAUGCAGAAACCAGAUAUAAAAUACAUCCCGUCUUUAUGUCGGAAAUUUGCAAAGACACGCACGGCGAAGCCCAGCCCGAUCGCUCAAUUUCCUCGUUAUUUAUGAAGUAGUUGGAAAUCGCCCGAGGGCGUAGCAAAUUUUAAUUUCUAGUCUUUGAAAUAUACGAGUUUUUAUCUAAAACUUGCUGAAAGGACGUGGAUGUCUCCUAGAGGGGGAUGAAUAAGCGCUUUAAAAUAAUUAUUGUUUAGGCUUGAACAAAUGCGGAAUAAAACUAACAUUUAAUUAGUCAAGCACAAAAUCUAAAACAACUAGGCUCACCUAUGUGCACCAACAACUUAUGCUAAGCAAGAUAAACAACUAAGUGGUAGCAAGAUAUAUAUCAAGAAACAAUAUAGCUAUCACAAAGUAAAGUGCAUAAGUAGAGCACUCGGGUAAGAGAUAACCGAGGCACGCACAGACGUUUAUGUAUCCAGAAGUUCGCACCCUUGCGGAUGCUAAUCUCCGUUUGAAGAUGUGUCGAGGCACAAUGCCCCCAAGAAGCCAUUAGGACCACUGUAAUCUCCUCACGCCCUUGCACAAUGCAAGAUGUCGUGAUUCCACUAAGGGACCCUUGAGGAUGGUCACUGAACCCGUACAAACAAGGUUGGGGCAAUCUGCAUAACUUAAUUGAAGGCUCCCAACAACACCAUAAAGCUUCAUCAUAAUGGACUGUGGCUCCGCGAUGACCUCAAAUGCUCACGGCAAUCUUCACAACCUAAUUGGAGACCCCGACGCUUACCCGGAGCUUUACACCAUAAUUAUUGAGCUCCGAGGCACCACCAAGCUUCUAGGACGCCAAAGCACCCAAUAAGAACAAGCUCUAGGGUAACAAGCACCAAAGAGUAGUAAACUUCUGAGCUUUUCACUUCCACGUAUCAUCGUGGAGAACUCCAAGCAAUGCAACUAAUGCAAUGGCAAGAACACACGAAGUGGUCAAGUCCCUCACACUCAAGUUGCUCCACAACAACGAAAGCUAUGAAGGAAUAUGAGGGGGAGAACAAGGAGCUCACAAAGAACUCCAAGAUCUAAAUCCAAGGGGUUCCCCUCACAUAGAGGAGAAAGUGAUUUAUGGAAAUAUGGACCUAGAUCUCCUCUCUCUUUUUCCUCAAGAAGUAGCAAGAAUGAUUGGAGGGAUUGAGAGUUAGCAAGCUUGAGAAAGGUCAACAAUGGGGGAAGAACAUGAGGUGAAGAGUUGAAAACCAUUGGGUAAGAAGACCCCCUUAAAUAUGUCUUCUCAAAUCCAACUAUUAUGUGCACAGGCCGUGCACACGCGGUACUACUUCUUGGCUGAGCGGUACUUCCACUGGAGCGGUACUACCACUCGGACCACAUCGGUACUUCCGCUUAAAAAGAGCAACAACACCUCAUAAGCGAGAGAGGUGAAAUAAGCGGAAGAGGGGCCGACAGGGGUGGGCCGCAGUACCACCGGAGUGGUACUAUCACUGCCCGAACGAUACUUCCGCUUAAAAUAGGCAACGACACCCAAGAUGCCAUAAAGGAAAAAUAAGAGGAAGAUAGGCCGGCAGGGGAGGGCGGCAGUACCGCUUGGGUAGUACUACCGCUUUGCCCCGAGCGGUACUUCCGCUUGAGAGAGAAAACCUGCCCUUGUACUAAAACUGCCAUAACUUCUGCAUACGAGCUCCAAAUUGAGCAAACUCAAGCUUGUUGGAUAGCAAACGACAAGUUAUGAAAAUUCCAAUGAUAUAGAGAUGUGAAACCUCUAUGAACGAAGAACCGGCAAAAACUCCAACAUCGAAAACAUCACAGAAGAUGCGCAUGAACUCCGUUUUCGAUGAACUCGAGCUUGUCCUGAAGAUAACCAAAAGCUCAAGAACACACAUACGAAAAAACCAACCAAGAACCAAGAAAUAUGAUGAUGCCAAGAAUGCAAUGAUUUGAGAUCUAAACGAAUGAUACGAUCAAGUUACUCACUUGAGAGCCCCCUUGGUAGUACAACAAUCUAUCCUAUAACACGGUCUCGGAACUAACACACUGAGACCGGUAAAAGAGAAAACCUAUCAAGGACAAACCUUUGCAUUGCACAUAGUACACUUGAGCUACAUGAUGACAAUGUUGUCCUCCUCAAGAUGGACUACCUUUCCCGGUUGUGCCGGCUUGAUGAAGACUAGUAGAUUGCUCCACCAUACUCUACUAUGGGUGAGCCACUCUUCAGCACAUCUUCACAAGUCUAUUGCCACGACAAUGGACGGAAAGCUUCAAGCAUGAUCUCUUCAUGAUGCUCCACUUGAACUUGCACACUGCAAACUUCACGGGUUGAAUGAGAUCUUCCUCUUGACGCAGGCCCAUGGAAACACACAUAACCCCACAUAGAACUCUCACGAGACCAUGAGUUAGUACACAAGCGGAAUGGAUAAUGCUUACCAUAUCAUGGGAUCACUUGAUCCCACUCGGUACAUUUUGUACGCUUUGUGCGUUGAUCAACUUGAUUCACUCUUUGACUUAGUCUUGAUAAACCUUGUGUCUUUAUGACCAAUCUUUGGAUAAAACCUUGAAUGCCACCUUGGUCAUCAUAUAAACUCCUUGAAAUCAACAAAUGGAUUUUGAGAAGUGCCUAUGGACAAAUCCUUCGAAAAUAACUCAAGGCAACCAUUAGUCCAUAGGGAUUGUCAUCAAUCACCAAAACCACAUAUGUAGAAAUGUGCUCUAACACUUGCAUUUUCCCUUCUCUCUCUUACCAAGUUUCAUAGAUAAAAUUUUAAGAUAUCUUUUUGUCGGUUCUAGACAUAAAAAUCAUGAUUUUGACGUCACUCGUACUAAUUUCAAUAGUUGAAACUGAACAUUUUAUUCUGAAAAUCGUCUAAUUAUAUUCAAAAUGAAUCUUAUUUCAAAGCUCUCGCCACAGACAAACAUGAUCAUGAAAAUAGAACUUAAUUUAGGCCGUUCGCUCAAAAGAUAUAAAGUUUGAAAAUGGAAAACCACAAAAUAAAAGCACGCGCGAGGGACUCUAAGACUUGCGUGCCACAAUUCCCCUUCUCUGUUAUGUCCAUCUUUAUGAAUUGAAUUGAAUCAAAUGUUUUUGUUUGCUAUGCCAUAAGGGCAUCUCUAAUGACGGCUCAUAAAUCGUCCGCAUACGCCUAUGUCGCACUAUCCGGACCAUGGAAACCAUCCAACGCGGGCUUGUGUCAAUUCGUAGGGCGGUCCGGACGAACUUUCUCCCACAAACCGACACUAAAAAUGGGGGCUUUGCAGCAGUUCGGACACGUAAAAUGCCGCUUUCUGCCCCUGGCUCACCAAAAAGGAAGCCGAAGCCCCUGUUUUGUAGCAACCCGCAUGGUUUUUGCGCCAAAUUCCCCCAUUUUCUUCUUCCACCCCUGCCACUCUUCGUCCAAUUCUCACUAUUUUCUAUCACCCUCUCUAUCCUUCCAGCGUCGACGCACAAAGCUGUCAAAGAACCUGACAGAGAUGAAUGUGAUGGUGUCGGAGGAUCCAUGUAUCACGCUCGCCUCAAAGAUCAACUCGGCUAUGCUGCAGGAUUGCCGCGUCAAAGCGAUGGCCGCAAAGCAGGAGAAGAUCAAGAAGCGGUUGGCUGCUAGUGGGCCUGGUGAUAGUGUUGGGUGUGGCAGACGUGGUGGUCGUGGCGUACGUGGCGGACGUCGUCGUACGAGUGCGCCCACAGUACAAACGGUGGCGAGGCUAGAGCAUUACAAGCCUCCCGUACUACUACGCUGCCAAGUAGGUCAUAACAGUUCAAAUUGUUGAUGGAGGCGCCGGACAAGAAGCUCAAGCUCGAAGAGAGGUGACCCAUGAUCGAAGAUUGGAAGACUGCAAUCGAGGAAAAGAAGACGAAGAUCAGCGCCAAUUCCGAGGAUGCAAAUAUGUUAAACUUGAAAGUGGACUCUUUGGAUGUCCAUGCCAAAAAUGAUCAUGCAAUCCAUCUGCUACCAGAUGUUGGAGCGGCAGAAAGACCAGUUAGCAACGACGGAGAGUGUGGAUGUCAAGGAGUGUUAGAGCAUAUUUCUUCAUGUGUGGUUUUGAUAAUUGAUGACAAUCCCUGUGAAAUCAUGGUUGCCUUGAGUUUUAUAUGAAGGAUUUGUCCAUAGGCACUUAUUGAAGUCCAUCGGUUGGUUUCAAGGAGUUUAUAUGGUGACCAAGGUGGUAUUCAAUUUUAUCCAAAGAUUGGUCAUGUGAGAGUUGAGCUUAUUGCAAGAAUCUCAAGAAGAAGAAGAAGAUUGUGUGACCAUUCACGUUUACCUUCAAGACAUCAUCUUCAUGAAAAGAGAAGAUAAUAUACAAGGUUGAUCAAGACUAAGUCAAAGAGUGAAUCAAGUUGAUCAACACACAAAGCGUAUAAGAUGUACCGAGAGGGAUCAACUGAUCCCAUGGUAUGGUAAGCAUUUUUCAUUACGCUUUGUGUACUAACCCGUGGUCUACAUGCGAAUUCUAUGUGGGGUUAUGUAAGUUCCUAUGGGCUUGCGUCAAGAGGAAGAUCCCAUACAACCCAUGGAGGAUGACAUCAAGUGGUGAUCGUCAUCAAGAUUGCGACGUGCAAGUUCAGGUGGAGUAUCACAAAAAGAUCAUGUUUGAACCUUGUCGUCCAUUGUGGUGACAAUGGACUUGUGAAGACGUAUCGAAGAGUGGCUCACCCAUAGUGGAGUAUGGGAGCAAUCAACUAGUCUUCAUCGAGCCAACGCGAUCAAUAAAGAUGGUCCAUCUUGAGGAAGUCAAGAUCGUCAUCAUCUAGCUCAAGUGGGCUAUGUGCAAAGUAUAGGUUUUCCCUUGAUAGGUUUUCUAUUUUACCGGUCUCAUGGUAGUAGUUGGGAGACCGGGUUAUAGGAUCGAUUGUCGUACUAUCAAGGGGGGAUCUCAAGUGAGUAGCUUGAUCGUAUAGUUCAUUGAGAGCUCAAACCAUUUGCAUCAUUGCAUCAUAUUUCUUGGUACUUGUUUGGUGUUUCUCUUUGUGAGUUGCAGAGCUUAAUCUUCAUGACAAGCUAGAGUUCAUCAAAAACAGAGUCCAUAUGCAUCUUCUAUGAUGUUUUUUAUGUUGGAGUUUUUGUCGAUUCUGCAUUCAUAGAGGUUUUACAUCUCUAUAUCAUUAGCAUUUUCAUACUGCAUCUUCUUAACAUAUUGUCGUUGUUGGAUAGCUCUUGUCAUCCUGAAUCCAAUAAGCUUGAGUUUGCUCAAUUCGGAGCUCAUUUACAGAAGUUAUGGCAGUUCUGGUCUUACCUGUUUUCUUGAUAUGGUUGUACCACUUAUCCGAGCAGUUGUACCACUUGGCCGGUACGUCCAGUACAACUACCGCCCCAGGGGUGAUACCCCGAGGUUGCUGCUUUCAAGUUCGUGCGAGCGGUUGUACUUGUGCCUCUGGGUGCUUAUACCACUUGAGCUGGGCAUCCCUGGAGAGUAGCUUCACGAUGUUGUACCAGCCUAGUACCGCCCUACCACUGGACACAUCUCUGGUUUGAUAUUGUUCAUGGGCGGUGGUGGCUCGGUUGUUUUUGUUGUUUUUCAGCCGGUACUACCGCCUGCGCCACUGGUUGUACCACUCGGUAGGGUUUCUGCAUGGUACCCGUGAUUUUCAUUUGUACGGGUAUAUAUAGCAGUUGUACCGCUCCUAUGUUAUUCUGCACAUAACGGUCAAAUUCGUGGGGACCUAUAAAAGGAGGUCUUCUUUCCCAAUGGUCACUAUCCUUUGAGCUCAUGUUCAUCGUCCAUUGUUGACCUUCUUCGAGCUUGCUAACUCUCAAUCCCUCCAAUGAUUCUUACUAGUUCUUGAGGGAAAAGAGAGACGACAUCCAGAUCCAAUUUCAACCAAUCACUCUCUCCUCUAUGUGAGGGAAACCCCUUGGAUCUAGAUCUUAGAGUUCUUCGUGUUCUUCUUCGUUCUUCCUAUCAUUUUCUUCCAUAGUAUUAGUUGUUGUGGUGGGAUUUCAAAGAGAAGGACUUGGGCACUCGAGGUGCCCUUAUCAUUGCAUUUGGUGCAUAGGUUUGAGUUCUCCACGGUAAUACGUGGAAGUGAAGUUUGAGAAGCUUAUUACUCUUGGGUGCUUGGUACCCUAGAGCUUGUUUAUCUUGGGUGCUUUGGCGUCCUAAAUUUUUGGUGGUGCCUCGAAGCUCAAUCAUUAUGGUGUAAAGUUGUGGGCAAGCGUCGAGGUCUUUAAUUAGGUUGUGGAGAUCUUGCCCCGAGCAAUUUGUACGAGUACUUGCGACCGUCCCAAGGGUUGUCAAAGUGUACGGGUUCGGUGAUUGUCCUCAAGGAUUGCCAUUUGUACGGGUUUGGUGACCGCCCUCAAGGGUCCUUUAGUGAAAUGACGACAUCUUGCAUUACAUGAGGGCGUGAGAAGAUUACGAUGACCUUAGUGGCUUCUUGGAGAGCAUUGUGUCUCUACACCGCUUCAAACGGAGAUUAGCAUCCGCAAGGGUGUGAACUUCGGGAUACAUCGUCGUCUCUGCAUGCCUCGGUUAUCUCUUACCCGAACCCUUUACUUACGCACUUUACUUUCUGAUAGCCAUAUCGUUUCUUGUUAUAUAUCUUGAUAUCGCUUAGUUGUUUAUCUUGCUUAGCAUAAGUUGUUGAUGCACAUAGAUAAACCUAGUUGUUUUAAGUUUUGUGCUUGACUAGUUAAACUUUAGUUUUAUUCACAUUCGUUCAACCUAAAUCGUAAUUAUUUUAAAGCGCCUAUUUAUCAUCACCUUCUAGGCGACAUCCACGUCCUUUCAAGGAGAUUGACACCAUAUUGCAGUCUACGCAGCCGUGGCGGCAUAGAAGAGACUAGUUACUAUUUCCUUUUUUCGUUUUAUAAGCCUUAUCUUAACCUUUUUUUUAGAGGGCUCAUCUCCAUCUCACUUUAAGAUUCUGAGUCUAUUUAAAAAUAAUAAUAUUUAGAAGGUUCAUCUCCAUCUCAUUUUAAGAUUCCGAGGGACAUACAUGCAAGAAUUAGAAGAAAACACAUCAAUGCAUGUAAUGUUUCUAGUACUUAUCUAAUGCCCAAGCAUGCAUGCAUUAUAACUAAUCCAAAUUAAGGUCGUGUUUGGAAUCAUAAUAGAUUAUGAUAAUCUGGAUUGUAAAGAUAGAUUAUAUAAUCUGAUUUAUAAAAAUAUCUAGGUGGACAUGUUUAAAAGUCAUAUUAUAUAAACUAUAAUCCAUAUUUUACAUUGCAUAAUGACCUGUCUACUCUCUGUUUUUUAAAAGGAGAGAAUGGCGGUGACAAAAGUGUAAUUAUCUCCAACUUUACAAGGCUAAUGAAUCAUUAGCAAUCCAUAAUUUAAUUUUAGCUGGGAUAGAGUAGAUUGUGAGUUUUUAAUAAUCUGUCCAUCUAGUUUUUGUGAUUUACGCCAUAAUUUGUUCUGUUUAAAGACAUAAUAGAUUAUAAUAACUGAAUUAUAUAAUCUAGAUGGUUCCAAACAAGGCCUAAGACAUCAGUUUAUUUUCGAUAGUUUCUAAAGUACGAGAUACAUUCCUUCACUCACCAUAUGCAACUUCACUCAUCAUAUGCAUUAUUGAUGAAAUUUUAGAUUUAAGCCAUAUAAAUAAAGAAAGGAGGGAGUAAGAUUUUGAAUGCACUUAACACCUCAGCUAAGUACUCAUGCAUUAUGAAUAUUAGUUGUUAAUACUUUUCAUACAUUUUUUUAGAAUACCUUUUAAUGUACUUAACACCCCACCUCAUUGGAAGAGUCCUAGCACUCAUGCGUUAUUUUGUUAUGUUAUAUGGCAUAAGACGAGGGCGAGGCCAAUCACAUUUUCCUUUUCGAGGAGGAGAAGCUAAGCUAGCAAAGAUCACCAUUGUAACUUGAACAUGUCCUCGUCUAAUCGUUGCCAUUACGUGCUCCACUUGAGAGAAAAGAGUCAAUUAUUUGCACACCACGUAGUACAAGGGGAACCCAUCAUCAUAUCAUUCUCUCCAGUUGGGAGCACACAACACAAUCGAAGAGGGCAAAGAUACAUGCACGGCACAAAGCUAGCACACGCACCCACGUAACGUGCACGCGUGAACCGUCAAUCAUACACACAAACGGCACACUAGAUGAUUGAUUGGUUGAUUAGGUGGCGUGGUCCUUGAGGAUGUCGAGCGUGAGCUCGCCGGGGUCGGUGGCCUGCACGUCGAUCUGCGUGCCGUCCAGCUCCUUCUUGAACCCCUCGUUGGAGCUGGCGUAGACCAUCUUGCUCUUCACCUCCGCACUCGUCGGCGACCUUUCAUCAGAUAUAACCAACCAAUUACACCAACAACAUGUCAUCGUGCAUCCCACACAUUUGGUCACAUAGUCUGUAGAGGAGCACGAGUGCCUAUUUAAGAGAAACGUACCAGGAGAUGAAGAAGAUCUUGCUGCGGGGCGCCUCCCCGUCGGCGCCUUUGGCGGUGGCGUCGCCGACGGUGAAGUCGAGGUCGUAGACGGCGUAGCGGCAGUCGUCGGCGGGAGCGCCGCCGCGAGGUCGUCGAAGCCGGCGUCGCGGCCGCCCACCUUGUCCACCACCACCCGAUGCACGGCGUCGUCCAUCUUGUACACCACGAACCGGUGCGCGCGCCCCGCCCGCAGCUCCUGGAACGCCCUCACGCACUCCUCGCUCACCGCCACGCCCGACACCGCGUUCGCCUGCACGCAAAUCACCCCGAGUUAUCCACAAAUCCACGACGAAAAUACCCAAAGCACGAACGGAUCAAGAAUAAGAAUGCUAAGGAGAUCACAAAUAUGGAGUAACAUUUGCGUACCAUGCUGUGCCUGGAGGUUGGCUCGGGGAAGUCUAAAUCUUUGUGAUGAUGCUGCAACAAAGAACUGGUACGAGUAUUUCGCAGUGGAGUUCCGUUGUUAUUUCAGCGUGGUGUCGCCUGGUGCUUAAAUAAGAUGAUCAGGUGUACACGUGUGGGCUCUGGGGUGUCGCUCUCCGUCGGCCCGACUGUUCUGGACGUGGCGAUGUGGCAGCGGGAAGAAGAAGAAGAAGAAUUGGAGUGACUCACGCCGGAGAAUCGAAGCUUGGAAAGUCGUCUGGAGGGGGGAUGGUGGCCAGUUCCGCUUGCGUGGUCGGUCUGUAGAUCGAGGGUCAGGGCGUGCCUUUUCCAUUUGAAAUUGUAGCUUCAUUCGCGAAGAUCAGCUCAGCAGUUCGAUUGUGCUUCCGCGGUGACGUGCACAUUUCGGUUGGUACGCCUGUCAAUCACCGUGGAAGCUUCCUUUGCGUGUAUACUCACAUGAGUAGAAAUAGGAUUGAUCUGCGAAUUCCCGCCGUGCCGUUCAAGCUGACCGGUCCAGUAAACAGAAACAACCCGGGGGUCUCAAAUGGGUCUUCAACCCCUCGUAUUUAAACCAAAUAUGAGAUGGAUAUAUCCAAAACCCAAACACGUCUGUUAUGGGACUCGACAUGCCUACCUCACCACAAGUUACAUCAAAUUCAUCAAACCCUUCUCCCUAUAUCCGCCUCCCUUUUCUAUAUUUCCCACAUCCGAGCCUUCGUCCUCCGCCACCUUGCUCUCCAUCCUCGUCGCCGAUCGCGAUUGAAAUGCCGUCCAGCCCAUCCCCGACCAACGCCGCGUCCGUCUCCUUCACCGGCGUCCCGUCAUCGGCGUUGUCCUGCAAGCCGGAGAACGUCGUUCGAAGGGACCGUCGAUGGAGGCAACGAGACAGGGAAGUGUUGGCAUCACAGGGAGAAGAUGCAGACAUGGAGGAGUCGAUGCCCCCGCCCUGUGACGCCCGGGACCCCGUACCCCAUCCAUCCAGCCGUCGACAAGGAUCGCACCGUCGGACCUAGUUGGGACAGAGGAGGAUCCAACGGCUGGUUGGUGCAUUCCGAAGAGUUUUUGACCCACACAGAUGUCGGUGGUGGAUGUCUCUCAAUCACUGCAGAUGGUUCGUGCGCGGACAAGCAAGGCACCGGCGCCGCCCGGGUUGCCGACGACGUGUUAGACGGAAUGACAUAACAAGACUCGGUGUGUUCAUGUUGCUCUUGUCCGAUUAACUUUGCAUAUGCCAUGUUCAAUGUUUUGCAUAUACCCGUAGUUCAUUUCGGAGUUGAUGGAUGUUUGAUAAUUUAGGAGUUGAUCAUGUCGGGCAUGAUCAAUGAGAAUCAUGAUCCGGUCCGAAUGGAGUGCAAAUUGGGGGAUGAAACCGGUCCUACAAUUACAACAUCAAAUCCCAAUCUGAGCAAGAAGAGAAGAAGGCAAAGAUGACAAAGGCUAUAGGCCUGGCAUUAUCAACUUUUGAGAAUAUUUUGUUGGUCAAAUCUUGGUUGGUCACAACAAUGAUUCCAAUAUGCGGCAGGGAGCAAAAGGGGAACAAGUAUUGAGAGAAGAUUUGGAAAGAAUAUCAUAAACAAAAGCAACAUGUGGAGCAGUAUACUCCUAUCGUCACCAACCACAUUGUAGCGUCUCUCCAUCAUCGAUGGGGGACCAUUCAAUUGGAAGUGAACGAGUACGUUGGCUACUAUUCACAAGUCCUUGGCCACCCUCAAAGUGGGAUGGAAGUGGCAACACACGUAAGAUAUUUGACUUCACCUUGUUAUCAUUUGCAUAUGCAUGUUUUUGUUACAUUCUCAUUCCCAUGCAUAUUUUGUUUGCUAGAUUGCGGUGGGGGGCACUAUGUAUCACGAGACGGAGAAGAAGCCAUUUCGUUUUAGCCAUUGUUAGAUGAUAUUGAAUGGCAAACCAAAGUGGACACAACUUCUUGCCGAUCUCAAGGCCGAUAAGAAAAGUAAUGAUGGCUCAAACUCCCACCAAUUAAUUGGGUUGGAUGACAAAGUGGAAGAUGUUGUAGUGGAGAAUGGAAGAGCCACCGUGCCAAAAGAUUACCGGCGAGCUAUGAGAAACAAGUGGGAGAGGGCAAGGGCCUCCCGUGACGCCGCGGCUAAAAAAAUGUCCUCCACAUGAAUGGACAUUUUUUUGGUGAGGAGAACAAAAAAAGAUAGAUACAAGCUCAUGCUGUAUACACGAAAGAUGAGGAUGUAUUGGGGUCAGAAGAGCGUGGAGAAGAAGUUUAAUUGAGAGGGAGAAGAUCGAGUUGGAGAAGCAUUGGGCGACGAUCAAAUGGGAGCUCAAGAAGGCCAUGACAUUUAUAGAGAUUGAGCUUGAGAAGGAGAGGUUACAAAUUGCACGGAACGCGGAGGAUGCGAAGACCAUGUUGACGGACAAAAGCCUCUUGGAUGAGCAAGCAAAGAAGUGGCUUGAAGACAAGAAGAAGAAGAAGAUCAAUGACCGUAGGGAGUAUGAUGCGACAAGGCCAGCUAAGGCAACAACGGCGCAUGCGGAGAGGAUGCAGGAGGAGAUGCAGUCUGGAUGCAGGCAGAGCAGGACACAAUGAUGGCCUUACACAAGGUGACAUGGAUGUCAUCUAACGAGUGAUCCGGCCAGCCAACGAGCGACUGAUCGAACAUUGAUUUUAGUUUGGCAUGUCCAGAUUGUUUUUGAACCAUUGAUUUUGGAUAAUUUGUGUCGUAUGGUCGACGUGUGUGGAUUGCAUGGACUUGAGGUUCGCGCAUUUGAGGUGUGUGAAUGUGCGACAACCGAUAUAAGGGGUCGACCAACGUUGUCCGCGGACACGUCUUGUCACGAUCACGGGCGUAUAGGGGACAGGAUUUGCAACUCUGGUUAUAGAUGCUCUUAAGCUUUUUAUUUCUAAAUUUAUGCAAAAACCAUGACCUAAGUUUAAAAGAAACCCCACAUCUGAGGGAUGAAUGAAGAAAAAAAAGUUUAAGGACGUGUUCGGAACUCCUCCAACUUCUAACUCCAAUAACUUCACAGAUGAUUUGGUCCCGAAAGUUUGGGCUCCAACAAGCUAACUUCUUGAAGUUGAGCCCAACUGAAGUGCAACAAUGUGGAGAAGGGUUGGCCCAGCUCCACAAAUUGAAGAAUAUAGAGUUUGAAUAAUUUACAUCGAUAUGCCACCAUCAAACGUACCAUUUCUACCCCCCCCCCCCCCCCUCGAGAAAAAGAACCUAACGCUACAAAGAUCGACCCCCCUUGAAUCGAUAUCACCUUCCCCUCAAAUUGAUGCACUGGAUGACCCAAAUCGGGCUUCCUCCAGCCAGGAAGUCUACGCUAAACAAGCCACAACCCUCUCAACUGGGUUGCAAAGUUAGGAGAAGUUGCUGAUGCAUCCAAACAGAUCUGAAUCGCUACGUGGAGUUAGAAGCUACUAAAGACUUGUUUGGGACUGCUCCAGUUCAUAAAAUUCAGUUCUGCUCCACCAAAUCCACUUUGGAGUAGUCUGAGAUGUAAAUUUUAACUCUUUUAAGAGAGUGUUUGGCUUUUAUCUAGCUCCAGCUUUAAGAAUGAGAAAUUUGAUGAAAAGGAUAUAUCUGAUUGGACGAGUGGGGAGAAACGAAAGGGUAUCCGCUUACUCGUGGUAGUGGUGGGUAAUUUCCUUCCAACCCUAUCUUCUACAUUUUUUGAAGCACCUCCUAAAGAGCUUCACAAAAACCAUGGAGUUGUACCCGAGAUUCUAGUUUUUUUACGGAGCGGCAUGUCGUGGAGCUACCUCGUUUAGCUUGCAUUUUCUCGAGGGGAGCUGAAUUUUAUGAAGCGGAGUAGAGCUUGAUAUGUGACGUUUUGUGAAAAUAAAUGAGAUCCAAACACGCCCUAAGAGUCUUGCUCUGUCGCACGUUGAAGCGGCGCGCCAACGGCAGGAGCCGCUGCUGAGUGGACUUCAGUACGAGCUGAAAGGAUGUUGAGUGAACCAAAAGCGAGUAAAUUGCUCAAACCCACGAUUUUUGUGGCUAAGGUAAUGGAAUGCCAUCAUUUUUUCCAAAAAUCACAAAAGAAUGACCACCUCCAUGACAAGCGAGUAGCAAAUCACACUAAUUCAAAUUUUAGGUGUGUUUAACAGUGGAACUGGAGGGUAGGGCCCGUUUGUCGGGUUGUGCGAAGAGCAGUCCUAAUCAAUGCUUUAACCUGCUGAGGUGGACGGUGUCCCACUUGUCAGCAACAUGUUUUAUUUCCCCAUCUUCUCCUUCUUCAUCCCCCCGUGAUCUGCUUUGACGAGCCUAGCCUAGCCUGCGAACUCCGCCGACGAUAGGGCACUCAUGAUGACAUGGUCGGCGCGGCAAACAAGGGAAACCACCAACAUGCAAGCAUCUUGAUAGGGAGCUCGCUCUAGGCACGGGCGAUCUCACAUCGUCGUCGCCAUCGCCGAUGGAUCCACGUGCCUCUUUAGCAACCGCCAGUGAAAACAAGCACUUAUCUCGGCACAAGAAGCAGAAACACAUGCAACAGCGACAAAAGCAGCAUCAAGUGGCGGUGUAAGUAGCAGCAAGCGGCGAGGAAUCAAAAGCAAAGUGCAACGGAAACAGCAGCAAGCGGCGACAAAAUCAAGAGCAAAGGGCGGCAUACCAUGAACGACUUAACGGGCGUGGCCGACCUUGAAAGGAGUUUCUUUUACCCUGAAAAAUGUUAAAUGUGUAUAGAUUUUCUUUUACCAUGUAUAUAUAGAAUGAUAGUUUCUUUAUCAUGUAUAUAAAAAAUGCAAAUCAAGAAUUUAAAAAAACAUUGAAGAAGUAUUUGAAAAAUAUUAAUCAAGUAUUUGGAAAAUAUUAAACGUGUAUAGAAAAAUGUUGAUCAUGUGUUAAAAACAUGUUAAUCUUGUAACUGAAAAAUGUUAAUUUAUUUUAAAGUGGGUAAGUAAAAAAUGUUGUCCAUGUAUUCAGAGAAUGUUAACCUUGUAUUUUCAUUUUUGUUAAGCAAGCAUUUGAAAAAUGUUAAAUAAUGUGUAUAUAAAAAAUGUUGACUAUCUAUUAAAAAAUAUUAAAUUUGUAUUGUAAAAAUGUUAAACAUAUAUUAUAUAAAUAUUUUUGGCAUAUAUGAAAAAGUAGAGUGAAAAAGAAGACAAACAUACGAAAAACAAAAGGAAAAUAAGAAAUGGAGAAGGAAAAAAACAAAAAAUGAAGAAGAAAAAUGUAAAACCAAACAAAAAACAAAACAAAAUCUGUCAAAAAACAGAAAAAAAACGUGAAAACCAAUGGAAAACCCGCCUUUAUUGAAUUCAAGUACAGAACCGCUUGCCUAGUGCUUCUUACGUGCAAGACACGGGCUCGGUGGCUAGCACAGCGAGUCGUCUCCCAACUCCCAGGAUCCCCGCUUCUCUUAUUUUUAUUCCAAUUUUCAUUUAACUAUGCACAAAAAUGGACAGACUCAAUUACUACAGUCUCGCUUAAUGCAAGAAAUAGUCGGCUCGCCAAGUACUGACUGAAGCAGAGUGCGUGCAGGCUCCAGCAAGAAGAAGUCAAGGUCCGCAAGGAAGCCCAAACUGGGUCCAGAUAAAUAGCUGCGGCGCGUUUGGUUGCUUUCUGGCUGCAGCCUCGCUCGCCAGUGGAGCACGGCUCGAUGGGUGAGGAAAUACUUCCUCCGUUCCUAAAUAUAAGUCUUUCUACAGAUUUUACUAGUGAAUUACAUACGGAUGUAUAUAGACAUGUUAUAACUUAUAGAUUCACUCAUUUUACUCCGUAUGUAGACCACUAGUGAAAUUUCUUAAAAGACUUAUAUUUAGAAACGGAGGAAGUACAUGCGAAAAACUAAACAUCUGCAUAUUAUUUGAUCGCUCGCAUCUAGUCCUCUUACAUUAGGGAAGCAAUUUUGGCAUAACAUUUGGUGUCCUGUAUUAGUUCGGUUCAUGCAAUUACAUGAUGUUUGGUUGUAUACAUGGAAUAUGAUUAUGAGCUAACCCUUACACUUAACACAUAUAUUUGUAUCGUGCCUCACGACUACGGUGGACGGUGACCGCGACGUCGCGUCCGACACGAUGAGCAUGGAGUCUUCGGUGAGCGUUCUUGUUGACGCCGCGGCAAACUAGUUGCUAGCGUUGUUGUCGUAGAGAAAGUCCGUGCGGAGGAGCGCUGAGGCACAGGACGGGGGAGGAGAAAUGCAGUGCGUGUCGGACCAUGACGACUGUCAUGGAUGAUGGUCGUGGCGUCACGUCUGACACGACGAGCAUCGAGUCGUGGGUGAGCGACCCUGUCGGCAGCGUGACAUACUAGUUGCUAGCAUUGUUAUCCGCACGGAGACAGAGGACAAAGGAGUAGAAAUGCACGGCGCACGUCAUGGCAACGUCAAUGUAGUAGGACAAGAGAGAGGAGGCUGAGAUGAACAAUGCAGAAACGACUCCAGUAUAGUAGGACCUGGGGAAGGAGGUCAAGAGAAACAACGUCGGCAUCGACAUAGAAGAAUAUGAGGGCUCUGAGGCCGAGGACAGAGUUGAAGAAAUAUAGUUGUGUGCCAUGUCGGCGUCAGUGCAGUAGGAUCCUGGAUAUAAGGUCAAGAUGAACGACGGUGACGAUGACGCAACUACAGCGAGAAGCGAGAGAGGAGCUUGAGAGAAAUCACGUCGGCCUAGAGUAAUGAUUAAGUGUCUUUAAUGAUGAGCUGAUUAAGUGUCUUAAGUCACAACGCACAUAUGCAUAUGUACAAUCACAAGGAAAAUGUAGAUUUUCUCAUUUACGAUCGUCAAAAUAGAAAAUUUGCAACACGAAUGUGGUGUGGAACUGUAAGAUUAGGCUAUUGGUCAAAUGAAAUUCUAAAUGGUCGAUCGUGCGCGAUGAAUUUGACAAAAUUCGUUCAAAACAGCUUCAAACGUGAACACAAAAUUAAGCGUCUACGGUCAAGGAAACUACGUACCGAUCGUAAAAAAAUAUAACCGUAGCAUCGAUGUGCAUCUUUUGCGUGUGGAGUUUAUCUCGAAUACAAGCAUCGUUGUGUAGAUUAAAAAUGAGAAGGAAGAAAGUAGUUUAGUGCAGGUAGAAGAAGACAGGCCUAGAGGUACUUUUAAGUUUCAUGCUAUGUAGACCCAACAGUGAAUACAGAAAACCGAAUAACCGCAUCUCUCGAGCCUUCUCUCUUGCAAGGGUUUCAUCUAUGUAUCUGAGUGUUUCCAGCGAGACAAGGCUUAGUGGUACUUUGAGUUCCGUGCUAUGCAUACAAACACAGGGAACGGGCUACCAAACAUGUCCUGGGUGUCUCUGAAGCUACGGGCUAACCAUGUUUGAACUUUAGAAAAAAAAAUCAAAAAUACAAGUAUACAACCAUUUGCAGCACACCUGUUUGAAACAGGGAUACCCAUCCGCAAAGGCGGCCGUUGUUCCUCCAAGCGUGAAUACAUUUUAGUGAAUAGGCUUUCGUCCCUGAAAACAACCUCCUGCAAAAAUGUAGAAAAAGGUUAUGUACCGUAGAUCGAAAGCGGUCAGACACUUUUAGUGCACCGGGGCUCCUCUCUUUUAGGCUUUUACCACGUUUUAUACAUAAAGCCAACACCACGAAAACCAGGCACAGAGCAGUACAAAUAACAGCAACAAAGAUAGCACGAAGUCUGCUGGGAGGCACCAGCUCAACAAUAAGCCCACACACAAGUGUGAAUACUUCAUUCGAUGCAUUUACAUCCCUGAUGUGAACAGAGAGGCAGAGGGCUAUUCCAUUGUACAAUCUCUCUGUCAGAAUCAAAUUGAUGAACUCUCGAUGGUAGGACGACUCAGCAAAACAUCUACAUAAUAUUACCUGUAUGGCUGGAUUUGUUUACUUUGUUCUUGACAUUGUGUGCAGACCUUUGAAAAGUUAACAGAAGAAUUUGCUCGUAACUUGCUUAUCCGGACAUCGUUGAUCAUCAUAAAGAAGCUGCGUCAUCUCAAUGUCCUCACUACCGGCCGCCACGCCCCAUAGGAGAAGCCCGCGCAUUUGGCCGCCCGGUGGCCACACCUCGCGACGGUCGUGCAGCACACACAUCAUCGAUCAGUGAAUGUUUGCAACAGGUUUGCACUGCAGACAGUAGAAAAAGGACAGGCUAAUUUCAUUAUAUCUGGCAGUACAAGUUGAAGACCAGUAGGCGGGAGGAAAUGGAAACAAAACUAACCGAGUUCCAUGCGGCUGAUUCAGCGCAUCAGGAUCUUGGCCGUGCACAAGCAAAGAUGCCCCCCAUGAUGGAGGCGGUGAAUUUUCUCCCAAUAGGUUUGGUCCGAUUUGCAAUUUCCACUGUUGCUUGGCACGGCGGAGAGUCUCUAGGCGAGGAGUUAGCAUGGUGGAUAAACAAAACGUUGGGCCUAUUAGGAUGGUUCAUUGCAGCUGUUUGCCAUCCAUCCUUUAUCAUCUCUUCUACUCCAGAAUGGAGCGCGACUUCUUUUAGCCUUUUCAUGUGUGUGAUGUCGACGCCAGGAAGAUUACCUAGAGCUUCACAAAGUAUGUGAAGUGACACAAGGUAGGGCAUAGCUUCAUCUUGGAUUGUUAUGUCCUGCAUCCUUUGCUCGCCCACAAGGCAUAACCCCUUCAGGCUUCUGAAAUGUUCUGGUUUUAUGACCAAGUGCUCAAGCUUAUCUUCUACCAGCUUCAGAUAUUUCAGUGUCAUCCUUAGUUCAGACAGGCCAUCUAGGAUUGUGUCCCCGCUCAGAUUAGUUCUUGAGAGGCACAACUCCUCAAUGUAGUUCAGCUUUGCCUGGAACUGAGGGAGCUGCGUCAGCUUGCCUCUCAACUUGAGCGAGGUAAGACGGCCUGUAGCUUGCAGAGAAUCCAUGAAUCGUUCUGAGCAUUCUGUUGGGCAUCCUUGGAAGUCCAUAGACAAGGAACGGUCAACUCGUGUCAUAUCCAGGCCUUCGCGAAUGAAUUUCUUCAUGGCUCCUAACACAUGAUCCAGUUUCGUCACAUCUGCACUUGAAUCACACCAUAUUUUCACCUUCCUCAACUUCACCAUGCGUCCCAUCAGCUGGGCAAACCCUUCGCUUUUGUCGGUGACAAAUCCGGAAAGCCUCUGCAGUUCACUAUCUUCUGACAAGAGCUUCUCUAGCUUCUUCUGUGUGCAGUCACCUUCAAGUAGCUGAAGCUUUCCAAGGAGGUGUUUCAACCCGGGAAGGUGGAGGACUUCAAUUGGCAACAUUACUACCUGGGUUCUCCUCAUGUCUAGAGUCUCUAACCAUUUUAGCUUCACUAUUUUCCUUGGAACCUUGUCAAUACUGUCUCCGAGGCUCAGAUAUUUGAGCAGCAACAGGUCACAGAUUUUCCCUACAUGUUCUGCUUUCACAUCAGCACAUUCUUUGAGAUCCAAAACCCGCAGUAGCUUAUACUCGGCAUAAUUCAAAUUAGCUUGAUGCCUGGUGAUAUUUGUAUCAUCAGGGAAUACUGCCAGAGUAUGGAGACGAGAUAACUGUUUUGGCAAAUCCAGUGGCCCAUUUGCCGCACCAUUAAGAUGGAGGGAAAGCCGGCGAAUCUCUUUGCCUGGCAGAUUCUUCUCUGUUGUCUGGCCGCCACACAACAUGGUGAUGAAAUUCUGUGACUUGGAUUUGCUGGAAAUGGAGUUGAGCAUUAUCCCAGAAGUUUGGCAUUUCUUCACAUUUCCAUAGGUCCUCACUUGGAUCGGCUGAAUGAUGUUGCGGCUGAUGAGGCUCUCCAAAUUCUUGACCGCAACAUCCUGGGAAAAAAUCUCUGUUUCAGGCUGAGGAAACACAAGUCCUUCAGCCAGCCAUCGCCUUAUCAGGGGAUUCCUCCUGACAGGAUGAUCACGUGGGAACAUGCAGAAAUACAGCAAUAAGUCCUGGACAACGGGGCUGGAUAGGAUCUCUUUGCUGCUGCGGCGCAUUCUUGCCAGAGUGUCAUCACGAAGAUGGAGGCAGGAUUCCACAAAUCCACUCUCUGUCAGCUCCCCAAUGAAAACUUGGCUUGUGCUAUCCAUAGCAAGUGAUGAACCGUUGCCACAUUUGCAGCAUGUCGCUGCUGGUAGUUGAAUGGUCGUCGUCAUGAUAAUUCUGCCGUCCAUUCCAUCAGCCCAAGAGAACGCAGAUAGUACGUCGUACAACUCGUGUGUAUUCACGCCAUCAAUCACAAUUAAAUACCUACAAGAUAUUAAUGAAUGAAUCAGUUGAGGAUUAUUUUUUCUAGAAUACGCACAAGCAUGCGUAUCAUAUAUUGAUAGAAGAAGAGGCAAAGAAGCCGGAUACAAGCCUUUCGGCCAUUACAACGCCAAUCACAAAAGGAUCAACGCCAUAUGGCUGCAUGCAUCGAUUGAUGCAGAGGCCGGGGGUUUAACCUCCUUUUCUAAAAAAAAAACAUCCACAAUCAGUUGAGAAAAUAAAAAUCAUGAUUUUGACUUUUGGUUGCAGGCUUGCAGCUAUCAAUGUUUGCUUGCAAUCCUACUAGUCCAUACCAAUCACAGGUUACUGAAAAUUUGAAAUGCUGGCACCAAUUAAGUUCUCUGUGUGCUACUCGAGAACUUCGUUGAGUCAGCAUACUCAAGAUUGCAUUCAUUGGGAUAUCCUUCAACAAGUUUAACCUACAGUCCUAGACCACAUUCCAUCAAUCUAUUUUUAUCAGAAUCGACGUAAUUAUGUUUUAGAGAUUAAAUUUUCCUCACUCCGCAGUUCCGCUUUGUUGCUACGAUGAACCAGUUGAGGUCUACAGGUUAUCUACAAGCUCUUCAAAACAUAUUUGCCCUCUGCAGUAGCUCUAUCUAUUUUUAGCAUUUCAUUUUCUCACAAGAGGAUAUUCAGGGGCUUUUGCCCUACAGUCACAAAAAGAGAGGAUAUUCCAACUGAAUCAUGUUUUCAACAAGUUUACAACAAUAACACCGUUAAAAGCAGCACUGGAAUGCUGGCUAUGGCACAAAUUAAUAGGCGAUAAUAUAUUUUUCAUGAAGGGGUCUACUUUCUUAUAUGUGAAUAAUACCAAUUUUUGUGAUAACAUUGAUGUUAUGAAACAACAAAAUGAUGAUCAAGUCCAUGGCAUAGUACAACAAAUAUAAUUGCAGUAGAUUUAGAUAAGGGAACAAUAACAAAAAGAAAGAUGAACUGCAGAUUACAAGGUUCCCGUGAAUGAAUGUGCGCAAAUAGGGGGUGCGACUUAUAGAUCAAAACAAGCUAUGAAAAGACACAAUUUUUUCAUGUCCAACCAUCAUUCUUAUAUAUAAUUGCAAUAUAAGCUGAUGUGGCAUUUUUUACAAAAUGAAUAGCCCCGUCAACAUUUUGAUUUGUAGAGAAGACGCAACAAUGAAUGAUUAGAGAACAAUGAUAUACUACUGAAUAAUUUAUAUAAGGGCAUUUGUGUUCACCACAUCGCACUCAAGAUUGUUUUACGCAAUCUGGCACUAAUUGGCCUUUUAUCUUAUUAUUAUUGCAAAUAUAAUGGAUAAAUGCAAUAGAAAGCACCAUCUUAUCAUGACUACAUGUUAUCUUCCACUGUAUAUUUCAUUUAUAUUAUUAAGAACCUACUAAAUUUCCCCGCAGCAAUGGGCCGAUACUAGUUAAGGCAGAGGCUGUAUAAUCACCUUCCAGUCUUGAGUAGUCCGGCGAGCGGGUGGUCACUCACAGCAUGUUGGGCGUUUCCGUUGAUUUGUGGUAUGAUUUUGGAGUUGGAGGCAGUCUCACCAUGAUCCUUGGUAAUACUGAUUAACAUCAGUUGGUCAUGUAUUUUCUGAAGAAGCUUGAGCACACUCAUGCCCGGUGCUGCACGAACCCAGGCGUGCAGAGGGAACUGGCUGCGCACAUCCCUGUCACUGUAAACCUUGUGGGCAAGGCGAGUCAUACCUACUCCACUGAAGCCGGCGACGGAGAUGACCUUGAGAUUCCCCUCCGGUUGGCUCCGCGCAAGCAGGCCAAGAAGUUGCUCUUCCGGAUCCUGAUCAGUGCCACCAGGUGCAGAGGGGGGGUCAGGUGCCGGUGCGGCGGCGCCCGCGAUGCUGAUGCAGUUCUGUAGCUGCUCGAGAGUCUCCUUGGACCUCUUCUUCAGUUUGCAGAUCUUCCCAACGAAACUGAUUCUGCUCAUCUUCCCGACCUGGAAGCGGUCGAUGCAGUCUUCCAUGUCGUCCGCCAAGCGCCUGAGAUCACGGACCCAGAGGUCCGUGAUGGAUCUGCUGCCAUUCGAGCGGCCAAUGAUUUCUUGGAUCGACUGCAGGUCGCGCCGGAUGAAUCCGGCGUCUACCUCCAGGCUGUCCAGCUGCUUCCGUUUCCCAUCUAUCACCGAUAGGAGCUUUGGCAAGAGCUUCACUAUCGGCCCGACGACCACCGCAACCUCCAUCUCCCUGCUUGGAGGUUGAUCUCCUCGCUAUCUCCCAAGCUCGGAGCUGGUCAACAGUCUCUCUCCUCAUAAGGCACCUCUAGCCGAACGCCCCAACCCCUAUCUAUAAGAGCAACUCUAGCACACCCCGCAUCCCGUCCCGGUCCGAAAAAUAGCCGUCAAAAUACGGGUCGAGACGAAAAACCUGUCCGAUCAGAUCCCGCAUUCCGCCCCGACCCUAGAUAUUUUUGCGGGGCACGGCAAAAUCUCAGCCCCAACCCGCGUAUUCGCGGAUUUCCACCUCGCCGCUGCGGUGCCAUGCAUAUGAGCGAAAGCGGUUGAUGGGGGCAUUUCAGCCCGCGCUUUCCUCCACCAAAACAUAUUUCACGAAUAUGCUCUUUUACGAGGUCUGCAUCCGCAUCCGUAUGCGUCGGCCCGCACAGACGUUUUUACGCGAACUGUAAACACGUUUUAUGGGCCGGACGAAUGCGGGGUCUGCUAAAGUUGCUCUAAGACUAUAACUACUCGAAUGCUUUGCCUCAAAAAUAAUAAUUCCUCUGUCCCAAAAUACUAUCUUAAUAUUAAAUUUGCAAUAUUUAUUUUAACACAGAUUUACAAUAAUUAUUUUAAAACGAAAGAAAUAAUUAAAAAACUACUCGAAUGCUCUCCUAAAGCUUAAUUCCUCGAAAGUCAAAACUAAAACUAAGGAGUUAAGAAAGUGACUAGGCUUUAAAAUAGCUAACUUUCAAACCUUAUAAUAGCUAAUUUUCAGAAUAAUAUUCCCUGCUAUCCAAAUUAAAUGACACGGCUUUAGUAUAACUUUUCAAUUGGAGGGAGUGAUAUUAAAUGUUUUUUCAUCUUUUAUCACAUAAAUUUGUUAAAACAAUAACGUCCGCAGAUAUGACAUCUCUAUACUUCGUUAACACGUCUUAAUCUCUGUUUAUUCUGGUUUGGACGGAUCUUGACGAUUUUUUACGAAAUUGAAGUGUCAUAUAGGCCUACUAUGAUGUGUGGAGAUUAGAGCGCUUGUCCAUACGCGGUUUCCAGCUUCGCCGUGUGGGUGAACCGGUUCUCGCACCGGUUCUCGCUCACACGGACACCAUUCAGUUCAUGCCGUGUGGGUGAACUGCUACUCGCUUGCACGACGCUCGUACGGUGAAAGAUGGCAACUACAAUUUGUGUAUAUGUGACAACUAGCUAAUCACACAUGACAACUAUGGUUGAUCAUGCAUGACAAUUAUGGUUGGACAACACGUAACAACUAGUUAAUCACACAUGACAACUAUGAUUUGAUCACACAUGACAACUAUGGUUGGCAUACAUGACAUCUAUGGUUUGAUCAUGCGUGACAACUACCGUUAAUUAAACAUGUCAACUGUUGUUAACAAAAACAAAGAAAUUGCAAUGCUUUAAAACUAAAGUUGCCAUCCCUGGGUAACUAACGUUGCCAUCAAAAUGUCAGGGCAGAAUUGACUCUUUCCACACGUGCGAGGUGGGAAUAAGUAAUUUUUCUUAGGCGUGUAGCACGAAGUAGUUGCGUCCGGAUAUGUGGGCAGUUUUAUUGUUCACCCACACAGAAUCAUAUGACUUGUCUCUAGGAUAUGUCACACAGGAUUGUGUGGUUGGGUGUCUAAUAUGUCACAUGUGUGUUGAACAUCGCGAUCCUAAAUUUAAGGAACUACACGAUAUUUUAUCAAUUAUUCGAAUAGUUUAAAUUGGUCAUAUGCAGCCAUUCAACUACCAAAAAAUGUAUAAUUCAUCUCGCACAAUUCUAAUUAUAUACUCUCACCUCUCACGUGAAAAGAAGAUGUAAGAACAAUAAUCCACUUUGGUGUCUAGGCUCGUAUGAGCCUUGAACAGUAACAUGAUUAAAAAUAAAAAGUAAUCUAAAACAAUACAUUUUUUACAAGCAAGAUGCACAUGUGCAUGUUGUUUGUGCAAAAUUUCAUGAAGUGUGGACAUUCAAGGAGGACCCGAUAUUUGUGUUUUUACCAUGAUCUCCUCGAACGUCCAAACAAUAUGAAAUUUUACACAAAGAUCAUGCUUUGAACAUCUUGCAUCAGUUUUUUUGGGAAAUGUUUUUUCUAUUUUUUACGGCUUUACUGUUCAUGAUUGGGAUCAUCUAAGCCCGGGCACCAAAACGCUGAACCCAGGUAAGAGGGACCAUGUUAGAAGUUAAAAAGAUAAGAGCACUCACUCGAGUAGGGCAUUUUGAAGACGGGCUUCAUAAAGACCUUUAUUUUUAAAAUGUUCAAAUUCAAAAUUUUCACUUUAAAAAGUUAUGUAAACAAAUACACAUGCAUGCGAUGAUGUAAUGUGUAUGUGUGAAAAAAUUUAGGAUGAAGUACCUUCAAUUGCGAGUUGCACAAAAAAAACCAUAGACUUUGAAGAUGGAUAGUACGUAUGCUAAAAAGGCACAAAUUUGUCUUUUUGCGUAGCUCCCCUUUUUAACUCAUUUUAAAUUAAAAAUUUGCACACAUGUACAUUACUCCCUCCGUUCAGUUAUGUAAGGUGUAUUUUUUAGCACAAUCACCAAUGCACGAAAUUAUACACCUUAUAUAAAGAAAAUGGGGGAGGGGUAUGUAUCUAGGUAUAUGUGUAAAAAAUACUUUUUAAAACUGAAAAGUUUGCAUUUUGAAGUUUUUAAAUUAAGGCCUCCAUGGAGCUCGGUCUCCGUUUGGCUUUUUCGUACUUAGACCCACUACUUAAUAAAAUCAACGGCUCAGAUCUAUUGCAUACUCUUACCUCUUAUGUGAAUAAAUGAGGUAAGAAAAUAAGGUAAGAGGGACCUUGUUAAAUCUGCUAUUCCAAUUAAAAAUUGCAUAUACUUCAUCCAAAAGUCACCAAAUUGAUCAAGUUUAUCCUGAAAAUUACCACAUAACAUAUCUUAUGCUAUGAAUCAAGCUCUAUCAUCGAAGACUUGGUGCCUACUCUACGAGCUUGUCAUGAGAGCAGAAGCACGAGAUGGCUGCUCUUGCUGCGGCCUGGCAACCUCGUCGUGCCUAGCGGGUCGAGCAGGACUUGCUGACUAGUUAGCCCAAGGUCUCGGACGGCAAUCCCAUAUGAAGACGGGCUCUGAUGACGACACCACGCUUGUGCAUGCCAGCUUAACCAUGGUGUAGGCGCAGGCGCAUGCGCACUUCGAUACUGCCAUGGUGGAGGAGGAGUAGCCCGUGUCGGCUCAUAUGUCGGUGUUUCGGCAAGAACAUGAGGAGCAGCGGUACAACCCCUUGCUCCUCGAGUAGCACCGACUGGCAGAGGUCCAAAUUUAGGGUGAACAUGCAACGAGGAGACCUUGGCCGCCAUGGUCACGACGAACCUAAAUUUAAUUGCGGAGCAACGGACAAUCUGCGAGGUUGCACGUGCUCAAUGCGCCGCUCGUAACGAAGCGGCAGCGCAGUCGGACGUGGACACGACAUCACAUGCACAUGUGCUGGCGGGCGAUGAUGAGAACGUUGCGAGCUGCACGUCCUACGCAUUGCAGUCCAACUUACGGGGGGCACAUGUGGCAGGUGGACAGUGACGGCCUCGUACGUCUCCAACGUAUCUAUAAUUUUUAUUGUUCCAUGCUAUUAUAUUAUCAUGUUUGGAUACUUUAUAUGCAUUUUUAAGAACUAACCUAUUAACCCAAUGCCUAGUGCCAGUUGCUAUUUUCUUCGUGUUUUUUGAUCUUCAAGAAAUCGAUACCAAAGGAAGUCCAAAUGCUACCAACCUUUUCGAAGAUUUUUUAUGGACAAAAAUAAGACAUGAAAGCUUCGGAGGGAGGCCGAAGGCCGCACGAGGCCGUGCCACGGCAACAGGGCGCGUCCCAGUUGGUUAGGCACGCCGUGUUACCUUGAGGCCACCCCAUGGCUCCUCCUGACCUAACUCGUCCUUUAUAAAUUCUCUAAAAUCGAGAAAACACGAGAGAGCCACCCAAAAUAUAUUUUUAUGCCACCGCAAGUUUCUGUUUCAUCGUGAUCCCAUCUGGAGCCCUAUCUCGGUGCCAUGUCAGAGGGGGGUCAGUCACGAAAAGCCUCUACAUCAACCUUGUUGCUCCCAUGAUGUUGUGUGAGCAGCCUACCAUAGACCUAUGGGUCCAUAGCUAGUACCUAGAUGGUUCUCUCUCUCUCUCUCUCUCUCUCUCUCUCUCUCUCUCUCUCUCUCUUUCAUUCUCCAUCCCUCUCUAUGUCACGCCCAAGAUGCGACCCUAUCCUCAAUUUGGCACGAAGGCCUCGUCAGGGAUAGAAGCGCAUCUCGUCGUGUCGCGAGAAUGGAUAUCGUUACAAGUACAUGUACUGAAAAGAAGAUAUAUAUAUAUAUAUAUAUAUAUAUAUAUAUAUAUAUAUAUAUAUAUAUAUAUAUAGUUGGCUUACACUCGCCACAAGCUACAUCAGAGUCACAACAUCACAUUACAUAAACAUCAAGAGUAAGAGCAGGGUCCGACUACGGACGAAAACAAACGAGAAAAGAAGAACGACGUCCAUCCUUGCUAUCCCAGGCUGCCGGCCUGGAACCCAUCCUAGAUCGAAGAAGAAGAAGAAGAAGAAGAAGAAGCAACUCCAAAUGAACAAUCAACACGCUCGCGUCAAGUAACCUUUACCUGUACCUGCAACUGGUGUUGUAGUAAUCUGUGAGCCACAGGGGACUCAGCAAUCUCAUUUCCAAAGGUAUCAAGACUAGCAAAGCUUAAUGGGUGAGGCAUGGUUAAGUGGUGAGGUUGCAGCAGCGGCUAAGCAUAUAUCUGGUGGCUAAACUUACGACUACAAGAAAUAAGAGGGGGAUGAUCUACGCAUAACGGACGUGAACUACUGAUGAUCAAAUAAAUGAUCCUGAACACCUACCUACGUCAGACAUAACCCCACCGUGUCCUCGAUCGGAGAAAGAACUCACGAAAGAGACAGUCACGGUUACGCACACAGUUGGUAUAUUUUAAUUAAGUUAACUUCAAGUUAUCUAGAACCAGUGUUAAACAAAGUUUCCAUGUUGCCACAUAACCGUGGGCACGGCUUUUCAAAAAGAUUUAACCCUGCAGGGGUGCUCCAACUAGUCCAUCACAAAUUACCACAAGCCACAUAGAAAUCCUCAAUCACGAAGCUCGCGAUCUCGUCGGAUUCCCUAGUGGAAAACCUCAACUCUGAGAUUACCCAAAGCAUCACCGGAAUCCCGAUGCACAAGAUAUCUCGUCAAAGGUGAAACUAAUCUAGCAAGGUCGCCCGACGUGUCGACGAUCCCGAUAGGAGCCGCGUAUCUCGUUCUCAGGACACGACGGAUGAGCUAGACGUCGGGAUCGCUAAACCUCCGGGUGACCAGAGGGGCGCCGGACAUCGCUCAGGUGGGACCAAUACUCAUGAGGAGCACUGGCUCGGGGGUUGAUUAAAUUAUCCUCGGGGUCCGGAAAGUCCCUAUGCAAUUUUAUUAGGUGAUUAGGCAAAUGUAGUACCAAAGUUGGGCCUUGCCAGACCAGCUUUAAUCUAAAACGAAUUAUCAAGGGGGUCCCCAUAACAACCCCGAUCGUGUUAGGAGCGCUCAUUUAUGGAACAUAACACCGGUAGCCGAAAACUAAGGGGGCAAAGGUGGAACAAAACACCAGGCUAGAAAGGCCGAGCCUUCCACCCUUUACCAAGUAUGUAGGUGCAUUAAAUUAAAUAGCAUUUAAUAUGGUGAUAUAACAAGGAACUCAUGUUAUCACAUGGAAGCAACUGCACCUGCAACUAGCAACGCUACACAGGGUUAAGCAAGCAGUAACAUAGCCAGUCAGUGGUUUGCUAGGUCGAACAGGUUGAAGGAUUCAUGGCAUUGUUGAGAGGCUGAUAAUUAACAAGUGGUAGGCAGCGAGACGUAAGUGAUAGAAGCGAUAAAACUAGCAUGGCAAUUAUAGUAAUGGUAUCUGGGGAAAUGGUCAUCUUGCCUGAGAUCCCGCUUGGAAGAAGAAUGCCUCCGUGAAGCAGACGAACCGACGUAGUCGAACGGGUCCUCACAUCGGACACGCUUGCAAAACUCUAUCGAGCCAGAGGAAACCGGAAACACAAAUCAACACACGAUAUUCACCACACUGUGCACAACAUAAAUGAUGCAUGAGAAGCUGAAUACAUGCAAGUCACGGCAUGACAAUUCACACAAACAGACACUACACAUUAAGUGAAGUUCAAUAUGCAACGAGUUGCAUAUUGACGAAACUCCACGUUAACUUAUUUAGUUCUAUCCCGAUUAGGUACUCGGCAAUAUUAAAUGUGGUUAAACAUGGCAAGAGGUGAAGCGUAAUUAAACUACCUAUCUAGGCAUUUUAAAUGAGGUCGGGAAUGACAUAUAGCAUCUCCGAGACGACCUCACAUGUUAAUUUACAAUUCUGUCCAGAUCUGAACUAACACAUAUAAUUAGUUUUUAAAUAGAAAAACAAAUAGGUUCACGUGAUUCUACGCGUCAUUACAAGCAAUUUACACAUAGAGAUCAUCUCCAACGGAGCUACGGUUCAAAAGAUACAAGCACCGCAAGAUAUGAUGGCAUGAAUGCAAUAUGUGUGCAACUACGGUCACGAGCACUUCAAAACAUACAACCAGCAAGAGAAAAUGAAACUACACGAGAUUCUAAGCCAGUUUCAUGUAGGACACGAUCAAAACGGAGCUACAGUUCAACAACUACGAGCAAAACAAGAAAUCACUACAAUCUGCCAAAAUCAGCCACAUAGCAUUUUCUACGCCCCACAACUACGGGCUACACAACUCCGAUAAACUCAAGCAAGGCAUGACACGAAAGAGGGCAAGAAGCACUACUACAAAAAACUAACAACAACUAUCAUGGCAUCAUGGAUCACUAGGGAAAGAAGACACAAAAUGGCAUCUCACACACUAUUUCAGACUUAGUGAAAAUUACACCUCAUGAAAGUGCAGUUUUCGAUCUGAAGUCAUAUUGACAGCAGGAAAACCUAUAGCUACAGGACUCCAAAUGGCAUGAAAAUCCGCAGCAUGCUAGAGAAACACAAGGGCUACAACUAACUCCAUUGGACCAACCUCAAAAGAGCUACAGAUCACAAGAUACAAGCAAGACAAGACAGCAACAAAAUAUAACAGAUUCCAGACUUAGAAAUAUUUCAGCACCUCCAAAUCAGCACUAUUUCUAGCAACUUGAGAGCAAUCAAACCACACCUAAACAUGCAUUUCUAAUGCAACCAAAAAUACCAGGGGCUAGACAAAACAUCAAAGAUCAACUCUCUAGUUGACAACUUAAUCAAACGAAGCACGGAAUAAAUCCUACGAAAUAAACAAGAGGGCAACAUGGCAAAAUAUCUCACGAACUAACUUUCUCAAAAGCUAAAACUAAUUGCACAGAAAAAUCCCAUUGAUUUUUCUACCCCGAAAACAUAUAAAAUAUGUGGGGUUGCGCAACAAAAUAAUGCCACACGUAAAUGCGAGAAAAAUGCCUAUACACGAAAAAAAUAAUCUAGCGGCAAAUCCCUACACGCAAAAAUACGAGUGACUGCUCUAAAAUACAUGGAAAAAUGGUUUCUAAAACAUGGGCAUUUUAUCUAAGGCACUCGAGCAAUCCGGACUUGCGCGAAAAUUAAAUACGGGAAGUAUCCUAUUGGAACAGCACGUGUUUCUAGGCAUACGGCAUGCUAAACAACGUCAAACAACUAUGCAAGUUGCAAAAACGGAUUCUACGAGAGAAACUACACGAAAACCAUAUAUUACACGUCUCGAUCCGAUUUACAGUUUAGAAACUACGAAUGUUUGAAUAUCUAUAUAAUUCCUGAAAAUAUAAAUUCGCAGAAAAAACCUAAAACUAAAUGGGCCUAAUAGGGCGGCGCAUGUAAGCUAUACGCCGCUCGGGCGCAACAUAGGAGACCGGGGCUUACCUCGGCUCUGGCCCAGCUCGAUGGAGGGGAUCUGGGCCUCGGCAGGAGCAAGGUCCGGCCUGCUCGGCGGGUCAACGGGCCGAGGGAGGGAAGCCUGGGGCGCUGGGGCUCACUUCGGUCAACGCCAGUGGCGCAGCCUGUCGAUCCCGAUCGGGACGAAGCCCCAGGCGAUGGCGGCGCUCUUCGAGGCUUCAGCCACGACGCAUGGAGCAGGGGGACCCACGGGGCGAGGCGGAGAGUGCGAUAGCGGUGGUCCGACGAGACACGGUGGGUCCCUGGCGGGAUCUGCGGUAGCAAGGCGUCGCGGUUGGCAGAUCUCGCGCCGGUGACCUACCGCGGCAGGAUUCGGCCAUGGCCGGCGGGCUGGCUGCUCCGCGGCUCGGCCUGGCCAGGGGAGGCACUCGGGCCGGCGGGCACAAGGCGCGGGGCUGCUUGGGCAGGGAGGAGCGCGGGCUAGGGCGCGCGGAUCGAGGGGCAGGGAGGCUCGGGAGAAGCUGUGGUCGCCUGGACAUGUCCGGUAGGUGGGGAUUUGGACGAACCGGAGCCAUUAGAUGUAAAUCCAAUGGCCAGAUUUGGUCAGAGGGGUUGGGCUGCGGGAUUUAGAAGGGUGAGGGCUAGUAGGUGGAGUUUUUGAGGGGGGUGGCUGCAAAAAUGACCAGGGUAAACCCUAGGGAAGUGAGAGGGCUCUGUCUAGGGGGGUUACUUAUAUAAGGUUGAUCUCUGGUGGGGUGGACCUCGUCCGUCCGAUCGCGAUCCGAUGACCACGAACGAAGGAAGUGGCUAGGUGGAACUAGUGGGCUGUGUAGAGCGGUUAUCCGGAGACGAGAAGGAAAACGGGCGGCGCGGCAACGCGAUUUAAAACACCGGGACACGUCCGAUGAUAGACCGAAUACGGUGCCACUACGGUCAACCGUUCGGGUACCAGACGGACUCCGAUCGCGACGAAAUUCGACAGGCGGCCUAGCUACAACUAAUAAAGACCGCGCGUCAAAUCUCAACCCGAUCAGAGGAAGUUUUCAACACACUUUUAAAAACAAGGAUUUGACGAUGCCGCGGGCACGUGCGUGUGUGGUCGGGCUCGGAACGGACAACGAUGAGAACCGGCAACUAACAACGGAUGCACUUUUGAAAACUGGCGGCAACGGAAUGCCGAUGCAAUGCAGAUGAUGCGCAUGAUGCAAAGAUGAUGCGACAAAUAAAAAUAACCACACGACGAAAACGGAAAUAAAGGGGAAUCUUCUGGAACAUCGGGAUCGGGCUGUCACACUCUAUCUAUCUAUCUCUAUCUCUCUAUGAUCUUAAAUAUAAAGUCCAUCGCGAUUCCCGCAGUGGUCUAUUCGAUGUAAUCUUCUUUGCGGUGUGUUUGUUGGGAUUGGGAUUCGAUAAAUUAUGGGUUUAUGAUAAGAUUGUUCAUGAAUAUAUAUUGAUUUUUCUCUGAAUUCUUUAUGCAUGAUUCUUAUAGCUUCAUAUUUCUCUCUGAUCUAUCGGUUUGGUUUGGCCAACUAGACUGAUAUAUCUUAAGUGGGACUGGUGCAUUAUGAUGGGUUCAAAUUGCGGUGCCCAAGCCUAGUGACAGAAGGGAGCAUGAAACAUAUUUGUAUUGUUGCCAUUAAGGAUAAAAAGAUGAGGUUUAUUCAUAUUGAUUGAGUUUACUUUGUCUACAUCAUGUCAUCUUUUUCCAAGCAUUACUCUGUUUGAUAUUUGAUACUCUAGAUGCAUGUUGGAUAGCGGUCGUUGAGUGGAGUAGUAGUAGUAGAUGCACGCAGGAGUCGGUCUACUUGCUUAUGGACAUGAUGCAUAUAUACAUGAUCAUUGCCGUGAAUAAAUAUUUCAUAACUAUGCGCUAUUCUAUCAAUUGUCCAACAGUAAUUUGUCUACCCAUCAUAUGCUAUCUUCGAGAGAGAAGCCUCUAGCGAACACUAUGGCCCCCGGGUCUACUUAAACAUAAACACAAAAACCGUAAAAAUACCUCAAUGCCUUUUAUUAUUUGCAUUUACCUUUUAAUUUUUUAUUAUCUAUCUAUCACUACUUAAUCCUUGGAAGUAACGAGUUCAAGGAGCUUACAACCCUCUUGCUCGCGUUGGGUGCAAGUGUUUAGUUCUUUGUGUGUAGGUGCUCACGAUGAGAAUUUGUGUGGUUCUCCUAUUGUUUCCUUGGUUUUCACUUAGGAAAAUACUUAUCUCUAUUGUGCUACAUCUCCUCUCCUCUUCGGGGAAAAACCCAACGCAAUUUACAAGUAGCAGGAAGAAUUUUUGGUGUCAUUGCCGCGGAGAUAUCAUCAAAUUCUUAUCAGGUUCCUUCAUACAAAUUAUCAUUAGUUUGUUAUCCUUUUUGUUUUCCUUUAUAUUUGAUUGCAUAAAAAAUCAAAAACACAAAAAUAUUUAUCUUUGUUAGUUUACUUGCUUGCUUGUUACUAUGGCUAGUUCUCCUCCCGAUAUGUCUUUCCCCCUUACUUGGGAGAAGGUUCAAAAGUUUUAAAUUUUAAAUACUUGAGUGAUGAAUCUCUAAAAGAAGCUUGGGACUGAUUAUUGUAAAUACAAAUGAGAUAUAAUCCCAAGAGUCAUAUUAAAUUACUCCUUAGAAGUUUUUUAUGUUGGCUUAUCUCUAUCUCAUAGACGUGUCUUGGAUUCUAUGUUUGAAAAAUACUUUCUUGGAAAUAAAGCUUUUGACACAUAUGAAGAUGAAAAGUAUAUUUUGGCACCCAAAGAUAGAAACCAUUGAACCUACCAUAUUAGUGAGCAACCAUCAAACGAAGUUAACAAAAGAAACUAAGGCUACUAUGGAAACCAACUUUGGAGGUUUAUUCAACUUUUGUACUAAAAUUAACGAAAAUAUAGUGUCACAAAAUAGGAGAAUUGGUACUUUGGAACAAAAGGUUGAUGCACUUUUGUGUUUUGAAAGGUGAAUAAAAUUUCUCAAUGCCAAACUUGACCAAUUUGUUCAUAUCAUUGAUAAUGGAAAAGAGAGAAAAUUAUGAAGGGAAAUAGAUCCCUUGCAACCAAAGAUGAUAUCACUUGAUACUAUGCAUUAUGCCUAGCUAGGGGCACAAAACGAUAGCGCUUGUUGGGAGCUAACCUAAUCGUUAUCUUAAAUUGUUUGUGCCAAGUAAAGCCUUUGGGGUGAUUUGGAUGAUAGUAGAUUUGAUCCUGUGUAAAAACAGAAACUUCAUGUCCAGUACAUAUUUUCUGUGAUUUUACUGAAACGUCUUUUCGAUAUGAUUUUUUUUACACGUCGUUGAUAUACAAACGGUGGCUAUGUAAUAGCACGCUCUUUUCCUUCGGUCUCUUGAGUUAAAAGCACCAAUAACAGCUUCCUCUGCUGCAGUGUAAAGCUUAAAUGGCUCCCUAUGUUUGGGUGCUUUCAUCACCGGAGGAGUGCACAAAUAAUCCUUAAUCAUAUCAAAUGCUUCUUGCUGCUUCCCCCCCCCCCCCCCCGCCCCCUAAGUAAAAUUGGCAGCAUUCAUUAGCCGAAGGAUCCGAGUGAAUACUUCAACUUUCCCUCACAAGUUGGCUAUGAAUGUCCUCAAAUAGUAGACUUUGCCAAGGAAUAUUUGCAUAUCCCUCUUGCAUGUUGGAGCUUCACUUUUUGUAUCAUUUUUAUCUUUUUCGGAUCAAUCUCUACACCAUUUUCAUGAAUAAUGAAACCCAAAAACUCGCCAGCUGACACGCGGAAUGCACAUUUCAAAGGAUUCAUUUUUAGUCCAUAUUUUUUCAUUCUUGCAAAUGCUAAACGCAAAUCGGCUAGAUGAGAUUCAAAAGCAUCCACUUUGACAAUAAUAUCAUCAAUAUAAACCUCAAGUAUAACACCGAGCAAAUCAUGAAAAAUUAAAUUCAUAGCUCUUUGAUACGUGGCGCCAACAUUCUUUAAUCCCAAGGUCAUCACCGUCCACUCAAAUAAACCAAGGAAACCGGGGCAACGAAAAGCCGUUUUGGACAUGUCCUCUUCGGCCAUGAAAUUCUGGUUAUACCCCGCAUUACCAUCAAGAAAGCUAAUGACCUUGUGUCCAGAAGCAUCAUUGAUAAUCAUAUCAGCUAUGGGCAUGGGAUACUCAUCUUUGAGUGUAGCUCUAUUUAAAUCUCUAAAAUCAAUGCACACACUCAACUUGCUAGAGCCUUUCUUCUCUACUCGCAUAAUGUUAGAAAUCCACUCGGCAUACCUGCAAGGUCUAAUAAAAUUAGCUUUAAGUAAACGACCGAUCUCUUCCUUGAUCCAAUCAUAUGUUUUUGGAUUAAACUUCCUGUCUGAUUGCUUGUAAGGUCGAAAACCAACCUUUAUAGGUAAUCGAUGCUCGAGUAGCUCUCGGCUUAAACCUCGCAUCUCAUGAUAUUCCCAUGCAAAGCAACAAACAUAUUCUUUCAACAACUCGAUCAACUUAACUUUAUGAUCGACUAUUAAAUUUUUGUUUACAAAUGUCGGCCUAGGAAUUGAAUCAUAUCCUAUAUCUAUCUCUUCUAAUGGGUCGAACGACGUGAAAUCUUGUCCAAGUUUAUCCAUAUCACCUAACUCAUCUAUAGACUCAUACAUAUCAUUCUCAUUUGACCGAUAUUUGGUAAAUUGCUUUUAUAACCACUCAGAAUUAGGAUCCAUUUAAACACAUUAUGCUUUGGAGCCGAUUGCCACCAGCCAGAUUUAAACAAACAUGCACAAAACCAUUCUUUGUAGCGCAAAGGAAAUCAAACUUUGAUAGGUCGCGCCCCGUCAAGCAAGUAGCAUUGGGAUGUUGCCAAUCCACCAAUGCAUCCGCCAAAGCAACACAAGCCAAGGUAUCCGCAUGAAUGACUUCCACUUCAUCGUUAACCCACUAAAUUAAAACAUGCUGCAUAGUAGAUGGCAUACACUGGUUUGCAUGAACCCAAUCGCGGCCUAAAAUCACAUUGUAGUUACCUUGCACCUCGGCGACAAAGAAUGCAGUAGCCGAAGUUUUGCUUCCGACUAUAAACUCCAUAUACAUCACACCUUUGGCUUUGGUUUUCUCUUCGCCUUCAAAUCCAUUAAGCACCAUAUUGGUCUUUAUCAACUCUUUAUCGUGCAAGCCCAAUUUUUUGAAGACCUAAUAGGGCAUAAGAUUCACCACAGCACCACCAUCAACAAGCAUCCGAGUGAAUGGUGAUCCAUUAAUGUGACCUUUGAGAUACAACGGGUUCAAGUGUGUCACCGAUUCCUCUAGCUUUUCGAAUAUUGCAUUUUUAGGGACAAAAUCUAGUUGAGACACUUCCCCUUCUUCAUCUAUAGCACGAAACUCAACGGGUAAAUAAUACACCAUGUUGAUAUCCAUACCUUCAUGAACUGGUGUAGACUCGUAAUCCAAAAUACCAUCUUCCUCCUCGGGCGUGCCCAUGGAAUCUGAAAUUUGUUCGAGUGAAGAGUAAGUAAUAGGUGACGGAGACGAUGUCAUAACUACAUCAUCCUCUUCUGGUGAUGCAGGUGUUGCUGUGAUAGAUGUAGAAUCCGCUGCAUCUUGUAUUUGUUUAGGCUUCCACGCCUAUUUUGUAGGCACCAUGGGUCGAGUGUCAUUGAACAACUUAUCUCUUUGUUUUUCGUCCUCCUAUUCUGCCAUCUCUUGAUUUCUUAACCUAUGUAGUCUCCUAUUAUGUGUUUUUGUUAGCCCUAGAGGACACCACUUCGGCUGAUUGUAUUUAGGAUCUCUUGGCUUUUCUUGGCUCGUACUUGCUUCAUGAUCAUUAGCCGAAUGGUUUGGCACGAUAGCAAGUAUCGACUCAGUCGGGUUGCUAUGCACAAUCGGCUCGUGUAUGGUGAAUGUUUUGGCGCCCAAGAUGAGCGAGUCAACAUUGAUUUUUCCUUGUCUUUUCCUAACUCAUCUACUGUAGCACUUGGCGACUUCACACGCCAUUAUUCUUGAAAUAUUCACUCGGGCGCACAUUUUUACUCGGAUAGAAUCCACUUGGCCGCAUCCUCUCAUUCGGAUAGUUUGUACCCGGGUGCAAUCUUACACUCGGAUAUUUCCCAUCCGGUCGCAUAUUUUGGCCAGACGGCUGAUAAUCGCCCAUGUUCAGUCCGCCUUUAUAUGAGUAGUUAAGUCUAUUCCAAACAGAUUGUCGUUGCCUAUCUAGAAACGGUGUCAUUCGUCCAUUCGGUUCUAUAUACUGACUGAACAUAUCAGCUGAUGGUGACAUUGGCUACUUCAAGUUUGCUGACGGGUUAGAGCCUGAACCGGCCGAUUGAUUGGCAUACCUGUAUAGCAACAUGUCAAAAGUUGGCUUGAUCCGCUUGCGAUGUACCUUGCCUUCAUUCAUCUUCCACUUGCCAACUUCUGGACUCUUGGGCUUAACAAACUUGAUAUGAAUAUUCUCUUAUACUUGUGGUUAUUACCCCCCCCCCCAAUGUAGGAUUCUUGAUGGUGAUCUUAAUUAUCUCCUUGCCACCGGGUUGUUUGUCAAGCACAACUUGUCUCCCCAAGACCUUGUCGUCUUCCUUGCUUUUCUUGGGCUCACCUAUGACAACAUUGGACUUAUUAGCAGAUUCGGCAAGUGUCGAUGUCAAAACCGGCGGAUCUUAGGUAGGGGGUCCUAACUGUGGAUCUUGGAUCAAUGGGUAACAAGGGAUGAAGGAGACGAUGUUUACCCAGCUUCGGGCCCUCUUGAUGGAGGUAAAACCCUACGUUCUGCUCUUGUUUAUAUUGAUGAUGGAGUAUCAAGUACAUAGUUGAUCUACCUCGAGAUCAUAUGUUGUGAUCUAAACCCUAAUGAUGUAGAUGUUGUGUCUAAUGAAUAUGAGAUUGUCUAUCGAUUAGCCUGACCUCGAUUUAUAUAAUGCACCAUAGGCCUAGCAUAACAAAAGUUCUAGCAGGCUACGUCGGUGCGGAGGAGUCCUUGUCUUGGUCACCAAGUAUUGUGGAAUAUUAAUCGUAUAUGUCAUCGGUUGCCUGAAGUAGCCUAGGAGUCCAGCCCGUAGAGAUAGGCCAGCGGCCCGAGGACCCAUUAGUCCAGGACUCCCUCAGUAACUCCCGAACUGGCCACCAAUGGAGCAAUCUUGAUCCUUAGCGUCACGCGUCCAAAGUCUUAGGCUUGCGGGGCGAGUUCUUCUCCCCAUUUAUGUUCAGCCAACACCAGUUCGGCCGCCGAUGACUUCUCGAUUUCCGAGCAUAGGUCUUCAAGUUGGGGACGCUCCUUAGCUCUUCUGAACUGUUCUUCAUCUUUGGUCGUCGGUCUUGAAAACUGGUUCAACAAAUAAUCCCAUCACCGAUCUUGAGGAUCGUCGAGGUGAAUCCAAAGAGUUUCACACGACGGGCAUCAGAGGAGCCCCUUUAAGUUAUUGGCCUUUAUUAAUGCUUUGUAACUUUUCAUGCCACACCUCGGGUUUGAAAUGUUUCCCGUGUGGCGGUUUCCUCUUGUGUUCGAGAUCCAAUGUCAUACUGCAUCUGAGGUAUAUAUACUCUUGUGUUCGAGCUCGAACGCCAGACUGCAUUCGAGGUGUCUUUUUUGUAGCUGAGCUUCAACGUUGGUCGGCAUUCGAGGUGUCAGAGAUUACCUCGGUCUGUGAAAAAUUGAAGGAAUUCAUCCAAGCUUAAAUGUUGGAAUAGUCUUUUAUGGAGCCAACCAUUCGCAUCCAAACUAUAUGCCGGACUGCUUCCAAGGUGGUGCACCACCUCAGUCUCGGGCUGCUUUUUGCGGAAUUUAUUACCGAUUGGUGUAAUUUAUUCUUUGACGAGAUGUAUAACCAGUAGUGUUCGGGAACGUCGCAUGGGAAACAAAAAUUUUCCUACGCGCACGAAGACCUAUCAUGGUGAUGUCCAUCUACGAGAGGGGAUGAGUGAUCUACGUACCCUUGUAGAUCGUACAACAGAAGCGUUAGAGAACGCGGUUGAUGUAGUGGAACGUCCUCACGUCCCUCGAUCCUCCCCGCGAACAAUCCCGCGAUCAGUCCCACGAUCUAGUACCGAACGGACGGCACCUCCGCGUUCAGCACACGUACAGCUCGACGAUGAUCUCGGCCUUCUUGAUCCAGCAAGAGAGACGGAGAGGUAGAAGAGUUCUCCGGCAGCGUGACGGCGCUCCGAAGGUUGGUGAUGAUCUCGUCUCAGCAGGGCUCUGCCCGAGCUCCGCAAAAACGCAAUCUAGAGGAAAAACUAUGGAGGUAUGUGGUCGGGCAGCCAUGAGAAAGUCGUCUCAAAUCUGCCCUAAAAGCCCCAUAUAUAUAGGAAGGAGGAAGGGGGACCUUGCCUUGGGGUCCAAGGGACUCCCAAGGGGUCGGCCGAGCCAAGGGGGAGGAUCUCCCCCCCCCAAACCGAGUUGGACUAGGUUUGGUGGGAGGGAGUCCCCCUUCCUUCCCACCUCCUCCUUUUUUUUCUUUCUCUCUUGAUUUUCUUCUCCUUGGCGCAUAGGGCACUUGUGGGCUGUCCCACCAGCCCACUAAGGGCUGGUGUGUCUCCCCCAAGGCCUAUGGGCUUCCCCGGGGUGGGUUGCCCCCCCCCCCGGUGAACUCCCGGAACCCAUUCGUCAUUCCCGGUACAUUCCCGGUAACUCCGAAAACCUUCCGGUAAUCAAAUGAGGUCAUCCUAUAUAUCAAUCUUCGUUUCCGGACCAUUCCGGAAACCCUCGUGACGUCCGUGAUCUCAUCCGGGACUCCGAACAACAUUCGGUAACCAACCAUAUAACUCAAAUACGCAUAAAACAACGUCGAACCUUAAGUGUGCAGACCCUGCGGGUUCGAGAACUAUGUAGACAUGACCCGAGAGACUCCUCGGUCAAUAUCCAAUAGCGGGACCUGGAUGCCCAUAUUGGAUCCUACAUAUUCUAUGAAGAUCUUAUCGUUUGAACCUCAAUGCCAAGGAUUCGUAUAAUCCCGUAUGUCAUUCCCUUUGUCCUUCGGUAUGUUAUUUGCUCGAGAUUCGAUCGUCACUAUCCGCAUACCUAUUUCAAUCUCGUUUACCGGCAAGUCUCUUUACUCGUUCCGUAAUACAAGAUCCCGCAACUUACACUAAGUUACAUUGCUUGCAAGGCUUGUGUGUGAUGUUGUAUUACCGAGUGGGCCCCGAGAUACCUCUCCGUCACACGGAGUGACAAAUCCCAGUCUUGAUCCAUACUAACUCAACUAACACCUUCGGAGAUACCUGUAGAGCAUCUUUAUAGUCACCCAGUUACGUUGCGACGUUUGAUACACACAAAGCAUUCCUCCGGUGUCAGUGAGUUAUAUGAUCUCAUGGUCAUAGGAAUAAAUACUUGACACGCAGAAAACAGUAGCAACAAAAUGACACGAUCAACAUGCUACGUCUAUUAGUUUGGGUCUAGUCCAUCACGUGAUUCUCCUAAUGACGUGAUCCAGUUAUCAAGCAACAACACCUUGUUCAUAAUCAGAAGACACUGACUAUCUUUGAUCAACUGGCUAGCCAACUAGAGGCUUGCUAGGGACGGUGUUUUGUCUAUGUAUCCACACAUGUAAAUGAGUCUUCAUUCAAUACAAUUAUAGCAUGGAUAAUAAACUAUUAUCUUGAUACAGGAAUUAUAAUAAUAAUUAUAUUUAUUAUUGCCUCUAGGGCAUAAUUCCAACAGUCUCCCACUUGCACUAGAGUCAAUAAUCUAGCCCUCACAUCACCAUGUGAAUUACAUUGUAAUAAAUCUAACACCCAUACAGUUCUGGUGUCGAUCAUGUUUUGGCCGUGGAAGAGGUUUAGUCAGCGGGUCUGCUACAUUCAGAUCCGUGUGCACUUUGCAUAUAUUUACGUCCUCCUCCUCGACGUAGUCGCGGAUGAGGUUGAAGCGUCGUUUGAUGUGUCUGGUCUUCUUGUGAAACCGUGGUUCCUUUGCUAAGGCAAUGGCACCAGUGUUGUCACAGAACAAGGUUAUUGGAUUCAGUGCGCUUGGCACCACUCCAAGAUCCGUCAUGAACUGCUUCAUCCAGACACCUUCCUUAGCCGCCUCCGAGGCAGCCAUGUACUCCGCUUCACAUGUAGAAUCUGCUACGACGCUUUGCUUGGAACUGCACCAGCUUACUGCACCCCCAUUAAGAAUAAAUAUGUAUCCGGUUUGCGACUUAGAGUCGUCCGGAUCUGUGUCAAAGCUUGCAUCGACGUAACCUUUUACGGCGAGCUCUUCGUCACCUCCAUACACGAGAAACAUCUCCUUAGUCCUUUUCAGGUACUUCAGGAUAUUCUUGAUCGCUGUACAGUGAUCCACUCCUGGAUUACUCUGGAACCUACCUGCCAUACUUAUGGCCAGGCUAACAUCCGGUCUAGUGCACAGCAUCGCAUACAUGAUAGAACCUAUGGCUGAAGCAUAGGGGACGGAGCGCAUAUGCUCUCUAUCUUCAUCAGUUGCUGGGCACUGAGUCUUACUCAAUCUUGUACCUUGUAAAACUGGCAAGAACCCUUUCUUGGACUAUUCCAUUUUGAACCUUUUCAAAACUUUAUCAAGGUAUGUGCUUUGUGAAAGUCCUAUCAGGCGUUUUGAUCUAUCCCUAUAGAUCUUAAUGCCUAGAAUGUAAGCAGCUUCUCCUAGGUCCUUCAUAGAGAAACUUUUAUUCAAGUAAACUUUUAUGCUCUCCAAAAGCUCUACGUUGUUUCCAAUCAGUAAUAUGUCAUCCACAUAUAAUAUUAGAAACGCCACAGAGCUCCCACUCACUUUCUUGUAAAUACAAGAUUCUCCAACCACUUGUAUAAACCCAAAUGCUUUGAUCACCUCAUCAAAGCGUUUGUUCCAACUCCGAGAUGCUUGCACCAGUCCAUAAAUGGAUCGCUGGAGCUUGCACACCUUGUUAGCAUUCUUAGGAUCGACAAAACCUUCGGGUUGCAUCAUAUACAACUCUUCCUUAAGGAAACCGUUAAGGAACGCCGUUUUGACAUCCAUCUGCCAGAUUUCAUAAUCGAAAAAAUGCAGCUAUUGCUAACAUGAUUCUGACGGACUUAAGCAUCGCUACGGGUGAGAAAGUCUCAUCGUAGUCAACUCCUGGAACUAGUGAAAAACCCUUUGCCACAAGUCGAGCUUUAUAAACGGUCACAUUACCGUCAGCGUCCGUCUUCUUCUUAAAGAUCCAUUUGUUCUGAAUAGCCUUGCGGCCCUCAGGUAGUAUCUCCAAAGUCCACACUUUGUUCUCAUACAUGGAUCCUAUCUCGGACUUCAUGGCUUCUAGCCAUUUGUUGGAAUCUGGGCCCACCGUUGCUUCUUCAUAAUUUGCAGGUUCAUUGUUGUCUAACAACAUGAUUGAUAAGACGGGAUUGUUGGAAAUAUGCCCUAGAGGCAAUAAUAAAUUAGUUAUUAUUAUAUUUCUUAGUUCAUGAUAAUCGUUUAUUAUCCAUGCUAUAAUUGUAUUGAUUGGAAACACAAUACUUGUGUGGAUACAUAGACAAAACACUGUCCCUAGUAAGCCUCUAGUUGACUAGCUCGUUGAUCAAAGAUGGUCAAGGUUUCCUGGCCAUAGGCAAGUGUUGUCACUUGAUAACGGGAUCACAUCAUUAGGAGAAUCAUGUGAUGGACUAGACCCAAACUAAUAGACGUAGCAUGUUGAUCGUGUCAUUUUGUUGCUACUGUUUUCUGCGUGUCAAGUAUUUGUUCCUAUGACCAUGAGAUCAUAUAACUCACGGACACCGGAGGAAUGCCUUGUGUGUAUCAAACGUCGCAACGUAACUGGGUGACUAUAAAGAUGCUCUACAGGUAUCUCCGAAGGUGUUCGUUGAGUUAGUAUGGAUCAAGACUGGGAUUUGUCACUCCGUGUGACGGAGAGGUAUCUCGGGGCCCACUCGGUAAUACAACAUCACACACAAGCCUUGCAAGCAAUGUGACUUAGUGUAAGUUGCGGGAUCUUGUAUUACGGAACGAGUAAAGAGACUUGCCGGUAAACGAGAUUGAAAUAGGUAUGCGGAUACUAACGAUCGAAUCUCGGGCAAGUAACAUACCGAAGGACAAAGGGAAUGACAUACGGGAUUAUAUGAAUCCUUGGCACUGAGGUUCAAACGAUAAGAUCUUCGUAGAAUAUGUAGGAUCCAAUAUGGGCAUCCAGGUCCCGCUAUUGGAUAUUGACCGAGGAGUCACUCGGGUCAUGUCUACAUAGUUCUCGAACCCGCAGGGUCUGCACACUUAAGGUUCGACGUUGUUUUAUGCGUAUUUGAGUUAUAUGGUUGGUUACCGAAUGUUGUUCGGAGUCCCGGAUGAGAUCCAGGACGUCACGAGGAGCUCCGGAAUGUCCGGAGGUAAAGAUUGAUAUAUAGGAAGUCCUGUUUUGGUCACCGGAAAAGUUUCGGGCUCAUCGGUAGUGUACCGGGAGUGCCGGGAGGGGUGCCGGGGACCAUCGGGAGGGGUGUCACGCCCCAAGGGGUCUCAUGGGCUAUGGGAAGAGAUAAACCAGCCCCUAGUGGGCUGGAAUAAGUUCCCACUAAGGCCCAUAAGGUUUGAGAAGGAAAAAACACAAGGUGGAAAGAGUUUCCAAGUGGGAAGGUGGAAUCCUACUCCAAGUGGAAUUGGAGUAGGACUCCUCCACCUCCAAUUUCGGCCAAGCCUUGAGGGUUUGAGGCUGCCUCUUCCCUCCCCCUCCCUCCUAUAUAUACUGAGGUAUUAGGGCUGAUUUGAGACAACUUUUGCCACGGCAGCCCGACCACAUAUCUCCACGGUUUUUCCUCUAGAUCGCGUUUCUGCGGAGCUCGGGCGGAGCCCUGCUGAGACAAGGUCAUCACCAACCUCCGGAGCGCCGUCACGCUGCCGGAGAACUCUUCUACCUCUCCGUCUCUCUUGCUGGAUCAAGAAGGCCGAGAUCAUCGUCGAGCUGUACGUGUGCUGAACGCGGAGGUGCCGUCCAUUCGGUACUAGAUCGUGGGACUGAUCGCGGGAUUGUUCGCGGGGCGGAUCGAGGGACGUGAGGACGUUCCACUACAUCAACCUCGUUCACUAACGCUUCUGCUGUACGAUCUACAAGGGUACGUAGAUCACUCAUCCCCUCGCGUAGAUGGACGUCACCAUGAUAGGUCUUCGUGCGCGUAGGAAAAUUUUUGUUUCCCAUGCGACGUUCCCCAACAGUGGCAUCAUGAGCUAGGUUCAUGCGUAGAUGUCUUCUCGAGUAGAACACAAAAGUUUUUGUGGGCGGUGAUGUGCGUUUUGCUGCCCUCCUUAGUCUUUUCUUGAUUCCGCGGUAUUGUUGGAUUGAAGCGGCUUGGACCGACAUUACUCGUACGCUUACGAGAGACUGGUUUCAUCGCUACGAGUAACCCCGUUGCUCAAAGAUGACAGGCAAGUGUCGGUUUCUCCAACUUUAGUUGAAUCGGAUUUGACCGAGGAGGUCCUUGGAUGAGGUUAAAUAGCAACUCAUAUAUCUCCGUUGUGGUGUUUGCGUAAGUAAGAUGCGAUCCUACUAGAUACCCAUGGUCACCACGUAAAACAUGCAACAACAAAAUUAGAGGACGUCUAACUUGUUUUUGCAGGGUAUGCUUGUGAUGUGAUAUGGCCAAUGAUGUGAUGUGAUAUAUUGGAUGUAUGAGAUGAUCAUGUUGUAAUAGAAAUAUCGACUUGCACGUCGAUGGUACGGCAACCGGCAGGAGCCAUAGGGUUGUCUUUAUACUAACAUAUGUGCUUGCAGAUGCGUUUACUAUUUUGCUAGGAUGUAGCUUUAGUAGUAAUAGCAUAAGUAGCACGACAACCCCGAUGGCAACACGUUGAUGGAUGAUCAUGGUGUGGCGCCGGUGACAAGAAGAUCGUGCCGGUGCUUUGGUGAUGGAGAUCAAGAAGCACGUGAUGAUGGCCAUAUCAUGUCACUUAUGAAUUGCAUGUGAUGUUAAUCCUUUUAUGCACCUUAUUUUGCUUAGAACGACGGUAGCAUUAUGAGGUGAUCUCUCACUAAAAUUUCAAGACGAAAUUGUGUUCUCCCCGACUGUGCACCGUUGCGACAGUUCUUCGUUUCGAGACACCACGUGAUGAUCGGGUGUGAUAGACUCAACGUUCACAUACAACGGGUGCAAAACAGUUGCACACGCGGAACACUCGGGUUAAGCUUGACGAGCCUAGCAUGUGCAGACAUGGCCUCGGAACACAUGAGACCGAAAGGUCGAGCAUGAAUCGUAUAGUUGAUAUGAUUAGCAUAGGGAUGCUUACCACUGAAACUAUUCUCGACUCACGUGAUGAUCGGACUUGAGAUAGCGGAUUUGGAUCAUGUACCACUCAGAUGACUAGAGAGAUGUACUUUUUGAGUGGGAGUUCUUAAGUAAUAUGAUUAGUUGAACUAAUUGUCAUGAACAUAGUCUAAUGGUCUUUGCGAAUUACGAUGUAGCUUGCGCUAUAGCUCUACUGUUUUUAUAUGUUCCUAGAGAAAAUUUAGUUGAAAAUUGAUAGUAGCAACCUUUGCAGACCGAGUCUGUAAAACCGAGGAUUGUCCUCGUUGCUACGCAGAAGGCUUAUGUCCUUAAUGCACCACUCGGUGUGCUGCACCUCGAGCGUCGUCUGUGGAUGCUAUGAACAUCCGACAUACACGUUAGUGAUGACUACACGAUAGUUCAGUGCAAGAUACUUGAUGGCUUAGAAGCAAGGCGCCGAAAACGUUGUAAAACGUCACGGAACAUAAGUGAUGUUCCGAAGAGAUGAAAUUGUGAUUUCAUGCUUGUGCCCUUGUUAAGAGGUACAAGACCUCCAAACAAGAUUCUUUGUCCACAAAGUAAAGGAGAAAAGCUCAAUCGUUGAGUGUGUGCUCAGAUUGUCUGAGUACGACAAUCGCUUGAAUCAAGUGGGAGUUAAUCUUCCAGAUGAGAUAGUGAUGGUUCUCCAAAGUCACUGCCACCAAGCUAUGAGAGCUUCGUGAUGAACUAUAACAUAUCAAGGAUAGAUACUAUGAUCUUUUGAGUGAUUCGCGAUGUUUGACACUGCGAAAGUAGAAAUCAAGAAGGAGCAUCAAUAGUUGAUGGUUAGUAAAACCACUAAGUUUCAAGAAAGGCAAGGGCUAGAAGGGAUACUUCGUGAAACGGCAAAACAGUUGUUGCACUAAUGAAGAGACCCAAGAUUAAACCCAAACCCGAGACUAAGUGCUUCUGUAAUAAGGGGAACAGUCACUGAGGCGGAGCAACUCUAGAUACUUGGUGGAUAAGAAGGCUGGCAAAAGUCGAGAGAAGUAUAUAUGUGAUAUACAUAAUGUUGAUGUGUACUUUACUAGUACUCCUAGUAGCACGAGGGUAUUGGAUACCGGUUCGGUUGCUAAGUGAUUAGUAACGCGAAAUGAAAGCUACGGAAUAAACGGAGACUAGCUAAAGGCGAGGUGACGAUACGUGUUGGAAGUGUUUCCAAGGUUGAUAUAAUCAAACGUCGCACGCUCCCUCUACCAUCGGGAUUGGUGUUGAACCUAAAUAAUUGUUAUUUGGUGUUUGCGUUAAGCGUGAACAUGAUUGGAUCGUGUUUAUUGCAAUACGAUUAUUCAUUCAAAGAGAAUAAUGGUUACUCUAUUUGCUUGAGUAAUCACCUUCAAUGGUUUAUUGAAUCUCGAUUGUAGUGUUACACAUUGGUGCCAAAAGAUACGAGUUAAUAAUGAUAGUACCACUUACUUGUGGCACUGCCGCUUGAGUCAUGUUAGUAUAACUUGCAUGAAGAGGCUCCAUGCUGAUGGAUCUUUGUACUCACCUGAUUUCGAAUCACUAGUGACAUGCAAAUCAUACCACAUGAGCAAGGCCUUGUUUUCAUUGAGAUGAAAUAAGAUAGUAACUUGUUGGAAGUGAUACAUUUUGAUGUAUGCAGUCCAAUGGGUGCUGAGGCACGCAGUGGAUAUCAUUAUGUUCUUACUUCACUGACGAUUUGAGUAGAUACUAGAGUAUUUACUUAAUGAAUCACAAGUCUAAAAUGUUGAAAAGUUCAAUUCCGUUUCAGAGUGAAGUUCGUCGUAACAAGAGGAUAAACUGUCUACGAUAUGAUCAUGGAAAUGAAUAUCUGAGUUACGAGUUUUGGUACACAGUUAAGACAAUGUGGAAAUUGUUUCGCAGUUCAUGCCACCUGGAACAUCAUAGUGUGAUGAUGUGUCUGAACGUCAUAGCCACGCACUAUUUGGUAUGCUGCAUACUAUGAUGUCUCUUAUCGAAUUACCACUAUCGUUUAUGGGUUAUGCAUUAGAGACAACCGCACUCACUUUAAAUAGGGCACCGCGUAUUUCCGUUGAGAUGACACAGUAUAGACUGAGGUUUGGAGAAAUCUAAACUGUCGUUUCUUGAAAGUUUGGGGUUUCGACACUUAUGUGAAAAAGUUUCAGUCUGAUAAGCUCGAACCCAAAGCGGAUAAAUGCAUCUUCAUAGGAUAUCCAAAACAGUUGGGUACAUCUCCUAUCUCAGAUCCGAAAGCAAAGUGCUUGUUUCUAGAAACGGAUCCUUUUUCGAGGAAAGGUUUCUCUCGAAAGAAUUGAGUGGGAGGGUAGUAGAACUUGAUGAGGUUACUGAACCAUCACUUCAACCAGUGUGUAGAAGGGCGCAGGAAGUUGUUCAUGUGGCGCCUACACCAAUUGAAGUGGAAGCUGAUGAUGAUGAUCAUUGAGCUUCGAAUCAAGUUACUACAAACCUCGUAGGUCAACAAGGUCGCGUACUGCUGCAGAGUAGUACGGUAACCCUGUCUUGGAGGUCAUGUUGUUGAGCAACAGUGAACCUACGAGUUAUGGAGAAAGCGAUGGUGGGCCCAGAUUCCGACAAAUGGCUGGAAGCCAUGAAAUCCGAGAGAGGAUCCAUGUGUGAAAACAAAGUGUAGACUUUGGUAGAACUACUUGAUGGUCAUAGGACUAUUGAGUAAAAAUGGAUCUUUAAAAGAAGACAGACGAUGAUGGUGAUAAGUCACUAUUAAGAAAAGCUCGACUUGUCGCAAAGAUGUUUUCGAUAAGAUCAAACAGUUGACUAUGAUGAGACUUUCUCACUCGUAGUGAUGCUAAAAGUCUGUUAGAAUUAUGUUAGUUGUUGAUGCAUUAUUUAUGAAAUAUUGCACGUAGGAUGUCAAAACAUUGUUUUCUCGACGGUUUCCUUGAGCAAACAUUGUAUGUGAUACAACCAGAAGGUUUUGUCGAUCCUAAAGAUACUAGCAAGUAUGCAAGCUCCAGUGAUCCUUCAAUGGACUGGUGCAAGCAUCUCGGAGUUGGAAUAUACACUUUGAUGAGAUGAUCAAAGAUUUUGGGUUUCUACAAGGUUUAUGAGAAACUUGUAUUUCCAAAGAAGUGAGUGGGAGCACUAUAGAAUUUCUGAUAGGUAUAUGUGGUUGACAUAUUGUGGAUCAGAAGUAAUGUAGAAUUUCUGUAAAGCAUACAAGGUUGUUUGAAACAAGUUUUCAAAGGAGUACCUGGAUUACGCUACUUGAACGUUGAGCAUCAAAGAUCUAUGGAGAUAGAUCGAAAGCGCUUAAUAGAAGUUUCAACAAGAUGCAUGCCUUGACAAGUUUUUGAAAGAGUUCAAAACAGACCAGCAAAGAAGGAGUUCUUGGUUGCGUUGUGAGGUGUGAAUUUGAGUAAGACUCAAAACCCGACCACGGCAGAAUAAAGAGAAUAGACGAAGGUCGUCUUCUAUGCCUUAGCUGUAGAAUCUAAAGUAUGCCAUGCUGUGUACCGCACCUGAAGUGUGCCUUGACUCAAAGUAUGUUGAGAGGUACAGAGAGUGAUCCAUGAUUGAAUCACUAGCAGCGGUCGAAAUUUAUCCUUAGUAACUAAUGGACUAAGGAAUUUUUCUCGAUUAUGGAGGUGGUUAAAGAGUUUGUCGUAAAGGGUUACGUCAAUGCAAGCUUUGACACUAAUCCGGAUAACUAUGAGUAGUGAAACGGAUUCGUAUAGUAGAGUAGAUAUUUGGAGCAUUUCCGAAUAGCACGUAGUAGCAGCAUCUAUAAGAUGACAUAAAGAUUUUUAAAGAACGCACGAAUCUGAAAGUUUCAGAACCGUUGACUAAAACCUCUCUCACGAGCAAGACGUGAUCAGACCCCAUAACUAUAUGGGUGUUGGAUUCGUUGGAAUCACAUGGUGAUGUGAACUAGAUUAUUGACUCUAGUGCAAGUGGGAGACUGUUGGAAAUAUGCCCUAGAGGCAAUAAUAAAUUAGUUAUUAUUAUAUUUCUUAGUUCAUGAUAAUCGUUUAUUAUCCAUGCUAUAAUUGUAUUGAUUGGAAACACAAUACUUGUGUGGAUACAUAGACAAAACACUGUCCCUAGUAAGCCUCUAGUUGACUAGCUCGUUGAUCAAAGAUGGUCAAGGUUUCCUGGCCAUAGGCAAGUGUUGUCACUUGAUAACGGGAUCACAUCAUUAGGAGAAUCAUGUGAUGGACUAGACCCAAACUAAUAGACGUAGCAUGUUGAUCGUGUCAUUUUGUUGCUACUGUUUUCUGCGUGUCAAGUAUUUGUUCCUAUGACCAUGAGAUCAUAUAACUCACGGACACCGGAGGAAUGCCUUGUGUGUAUCAAACGUCGCAACGUAACUGGGUGACUAUAAAGAUGCUCUACAGGUAUCUCCGAAGGUGUUCGUUGAGUUAGUAUGGAUCAAGACUGGGAUUUGUCACUCCGUGUGACGGAGAGGUAUCUCGGGGCCCACUCGGUAAUACAACAUCACACACAAGCCUUGCAAGCAAUGUGACUUAGUGUAAGUUGCGGGAUCUUGUAUUACGGAACGAGUAAAGAGACUUGCCGGUAAACGAGAUUGAAAUAGGUAUGCGGAUACUAACGAUCGAAUCUCGGGCAAGUAACAUACCGAAGGACAAAGGGAAUGACAUACGGGAUUAUAUGAAUCCUUGGCACUGAGGUUCAAACGAUAAGAUCUUCGUAGAAUAUGUAGGAUCCAAUAUGGGCAUCCAGGUCCCGCUAUUGGAUAUUGACCGAGGAGUCACUCGGGUCAUGUCUACAUAGUUCUCGAACCCGCAGGGUCUGCACACUUAAGGUUCGACGUUGUUUUAUGCGUAUUUGAGUUAUAUGGUUGGUUACCGAAUGUUGUUCGGAGUCCCGGAUGAGAUCCAGGACGUCACGAGGAGCUCCGGAAUGGUCCGGAGGUAAAGAUUGAUAUAUAGGAAGUCCUGUUUUGGUCACCGGAAAAGUUUCGGGCUCAUCGGUAGUGUACCGGGAGUGCCGGGAGGGGUGCCGGGGACCAUCGGGAGGGGUGUCACGCCCCAAGGGGUCUCAUGGGCUAUGGGAAGAGAUAAACCAGCCCCUAGUGGGCUGGAAUAAGUUCCCACUAAGGCCCAUAAGGUUUGAGAAGGAAAAAACACAAGGUGGAAAGAGUUUCCAAGUGGGAAGGUGGAAUCCUACUCCAAGUGGAAUUGGAGUAGGACUCCUCCACCUCCAAUUUCGGCCAAGCCUUGAGGGUUUGAGGCUGCCUCUUCCCUCCCCCUCCCUCCUAUAUAUACUGAGGUAUUAGGGCUGAUUUGAGACAACUUUUGCCACGGCAGCCCGACCACAUAUCUCCACGGUUUUUCCUCUAGAUCGCGUUUCUGCGGAGCUCGGGCGGAGCCCUGCUGAGACAAGGUCAUCACCAACCUCCGGAGCGCCGUCCGCUGCCGGAGAACUCUUCUACCUCUCCGUCUCUCUUGCUGGAUCAAGAAGGCCGAGAUCAUCGUCGAGCUGUACGUGUGCUGAACGCGGAGGUGCCGUCCAUUCGGUACUAGAUCGUGGGACUGAUCGCGGGAUUGUUCGCGGGGCGGAUCGAGGGACGUGAGGACGUUCCACUACAUCAACCGCGUUCACUAACGCUUCUGCUGUACGAUCUACAAGGGUACGUAGAUCACUCAUCCCCUCUCGUAGAUGGACGUCACCAUGAUAGGUCUUCGUGCGCGUAGGAAAAUUUUUGUUUCCCAUGCGACGUUCCCCAACAGGGAUUACCGUACCACUCUGGAGCAGCGCGUGAUCUCGUCGACCUGCGUGGUUCAACAGAAACUUGAACUGGAGUUUCAUGAUCACCAUCAUUAACUUCCUCCUCAACCGGCGUCGCAACGACAGAGGUUUCCCCUUGCCCUGCGCCACCAUCCAGAGGGAUGAGAGGUUCGAUAACCUCGUCAAGUUCUAUCUUCCUCCCACUCAAUUCUCUCGAGAGAAACUCCUUCUCGAGAAAAGCUCCGUUCUUAGCAACAAACACUUUGCCCUCGGAUUUGAGAUAGAAGGUGUACCCAACUGUCUCUUUUGGGUAACCUAUGAAGACGCACUUUUCCGCUUUGGGUUCCAGCGUUUCAGGCUGAAGCUUUUUGACAUAAGCAUCACAUCCCCAAACUUUAAGAAACGACAACUUUGGCCUUUUGCCAUACCACAGUUCGUAUGGUGUCGUCUCAACGGAUUUUGAUGGUGCCCUAUUUAAAGUGAAUGCAGCUGUUUCCAAUGCAUAACCCCAAAAUGAUAAUGGCAAAUCAGUAAGAGACAUCAUAGAUCGCACCAUCUCUAACAAAGUACGAUUACGACGUUCGGACACACCAUUACGCUAUGGUGUUCCAGGCGGUGUCAACUGUGAAACAAUUCCACAUUUUCUUAAGUGAUCACCAAACUCGAAACUCAGAUAUUCACCCCCACGAUCAGACCGUAGGAACUUGAUCUUCUUGUUACGAUGAUUUUCCACUUCACUCUGAAAUUGCUUGAACUUUUCAAAUGUUUCAGACUUGUGCUUCAUCAAGUAGACAUAACCAUACCUACUCAAAUCGUCAGUGAAGGUGAGAAAAUAACGAUAUCCGCCGCGUGCCUCCAUGCUCAUUGGACCACACACAUCGGUAUGUAUGAUUUCCAAUAAGUCACUUGCACGCUCCAUUGUUCCGGAGAACGGAGUCUUAGUCAUCUUGCCCAUGAGGCAUGGUUCGCACGUGUCAAGUGAAUCAAAGUCAAGUGACUCCAAAAGUCCAUCAGCAUGGAGUUUCUUCAUGCGCUUUACACCAAUAUGACCCAAGCGGCAGUGCCACAAAAAUAUGGCGCUAUCAUUGUUUACUCUAACUCUUUUGGUCUCAAUGUUAUGUAUAUGCGUAUCGCUAUCAAGACUCAAUAUGAACAAUCCUCUCACAUUCGGUGCAUGACCAUAAAAGAUGUUACUCAUAGAAAUAGAACAACCAUUAUUCUCUGACUUAAAAGAGUAACCGUCCCGCAAUAAACAAGAUCCAGAUAUAAUGUUCAUGCUCAACGCAUGCACUAAAUAACAAUGAUUUAAGUUCAUCACUAAUCCCGACGGUAGCUGAAGUGACACUGUGCCGACGGCGAUUGCAUCAACCUUGGAACCAUUUCCUACGCGCAUCGUCACUUCAUCUUUCGCCAGCCUUCGUCUAUUCCGCAGUUCCUGUUUCGAGUUGCAAAUAUGAGCAACAGAACCGGUAUCGAAUACCCAGGCACUACUACGAGAGCCGGUUAAGUACACAUCAAUAACAUGUAUAUCAAAUAUACCUGAUUUUUCUUUGAGUCCUCCCCCUUGGACUCGGCCGACCCCCUUGGGGCUCCUUGACUAAGGGGUCCUCGGGCAGCCGACCUAUCUCUACAGGCCAGACUCCUAGGUUACUUUGGGCAGUCGAUGACAUAUACGAGGAAUAUUCCACAAGACUUGGUGAUCAAGACAAGGACUCCUCCGCACUGACAUAGCCGACUAGGACUCUUGUUAUCCUAGGCAUACGGUGCAUUAUAUAAACCGAGGCCAGGCUAGUCGAUAGACAAUCUCAUAUUCAUUAGACACAACGUCUACAUCAUUAGGGUUUUUACCAUAACAUAUGAUCUCGAUGUAGAUCAACUCGGUACUCGAUACUCCAUCAUCAAUAUAAACAAGAGCAUGACAUAGGGUUUUACCUCCAUCAAGAAGGCCCGAACUUGGGUAAACAUCGUCUCCUUCGUCCCUUGUUACCCAUCGAUCCAAGAUCCAUGUUUAGGACUCCCUACCCGAGAUCCGCCGGUUUUGACACCGACAGUGGGCACUGAAUUGCAUCAAAGUACUCGGGUUACGAUUUUUGAUAAAUCUGAUUUCUUGGUAAUUCAACACCAAACUUUUCCCGAAGCAUCUUAGUCAUCUCCAAAGUGGACAUUGAAGUUUCCUGCAGUGGCAUAACAGGAGUAGGAUUACUAGUUGUAGGUAGAAACUAUGGCAUGUAUGCCGAACCAUAAUUCGGCAGUGGUCUAGCAGCGUUUGCACCUAUAGGUAAUGCUUGGUUCGACGUUUCCACCGAACUUGGUAUGCUCAUGAUAGGACUAAUGGGGGCAGCCACAAUCUGAUUUGUUUGAGCAGGAUAAUAAUUCAUCGGCAUGGGAAGUGCCGAUCAAAUAGGUAAAGACAGAUUAGGGUUUUCUACACGAGUUGGCACACCAACAUUACGAGUAGAUGAUUGAGGCAUAUUUUUCCGAGCAUUAGUAUUUUCUAAAGAAGAUUGAUAGACCAAAUUGUUAGCAUCAGCAAUACGACUCUCAUUCUCAGCCCAUUGUUGAGGAGAAAAGGUAGCACUCACAUGGGGUUUAACCUGCUCGGCUUGAAGAGGAGGAAACUUGAUUUCUCCAAUCGGAGUGAUAUUGCCUUGGUGAUCCUUCUUGAAGUUUUCAAGGAACUCCUACAACUCCUUCUCUUCGCGCGCCUUCUUGUACUCCUUGUAAGCUUGGCGAUGAUCGGCCGAUAGUUCAUCAAGCUUGGUCUUAAUGAUGUUAUCAGCGUCUAUCUCAGAUGGGUUGGGAAGAUCAGACAUGAUGGUUGAUGAUAUGUCCCGAGCGGAGUCGCCAAAAAGUGUGUUGACACACGAACACGUCACCAUGUACCCUCGAUGCCAGGGGUGAUGCACCGCAGGUCAUGUCAAAGGAGGCCCGUCUGCUAGCGCGAUACGCAAGACAGCCAGCGGACGCUUUUGCAGACCCAAAACCCCGUGUGCCCGAGAGGGACCCCGUCAGGGAGUGCGACGGCUAUGGGCUGCCCUAGGUUGAAUCGCUCUCCCCUAGAGACUUGGGAUUUGCAGCUCUCAAACUUGAGGAAUAGCGAAGAACGAGAGACAAAAAUAAUGGAGAGAUAAAACGUAGAUAAAAAAGUAGUAUAGAUUGAUUUGUUCGAUUGUGUGUUGUUUCAAUCGACCGUCACGUCCAAUAUAUAUAAGAGGUGGCUGGACUUCCCGUACAAGCAAAUGAUUCAUCUAGGUUUUUUCUUACAAGAAAAUUGCACCAAAUCAUGUCCUAGAGUCCUAUUCUAGUUCAACUCGGAUUCAACCCGAAUCUGGCCCAAACUCAUGUCUUGCUUCUUGCACGGCCUGUAGAAUUUGCACAUGACCUCCGUUUGAGACGAUUCUUAUACCAAAAUCGACCACUUCGGUGAGACAAACAAUUCUUCUAUUGAUCACUUUUUUAAAUGAGGUAAUGUUGAGUACUUUACGAGAUCAUCUUGAACUCCUAGUCGGAUUCGGUCACAUGGCUGACUCGCAUUGUCCUAAUCUUGUACCAUUUCUGCAUGCUGCAUACCAUCUCAGAUAAUGAUGACUCCGAAAGCAAAGUUAACCACUUCGACGAUACACACAACUUUCGUGUUGAACACUUUUUCAUGUGAAGAUAUUUAUAUAACCUUUUGGGUCCAUCUUCAGCUUCCGGUUGGAUUGGCCAACGUUACUCGGAUUCGAACCUCUUCAAUCAGAUAUUAGGAUCCUUCACUCGCAUUGUGCAAUCAUAUUUCUUCAUUCUAAUAACAGUUUUUUUACCUUGACAAGAAACUUUUUAUUUGCCUGACAUCUUUUCAUUCGGCCGACAAACUUUUCACUCGGAUUACCGACUGAAACUUCAAUCUGAUCUUGCUUUGCCUCUCCAGGUUGCAUAUGAGCUCGGAUUGAGACGACGUAUAUCAAGAUCAAAUGGCUCGACGAGACGAAACUCUUUCAUGUUGUAAGUUUUUCCAUUCGAGGCUGUCUUGAAGACCGAAUAGCUUGCGCGCAGGGCCGGUCCUGGGAUUUUGGAGGGCCAGGGAGAAACUAGAUCUAGGGGCCCUUAAGAGAAACACAAGAAAAAUACAAGAACAUACGUAAAAUCGUCAACCAAAGGAAAACCAAUAAUAUCUAUAUUACAAAUCUCUUCUUCACUAAUAUGUCUCAUUAAGCUUUUCUAAUUUCUUUGACCAUAAUCAUCUAUAAUAAAAACCGAUACUUCGUCAUUUAAAUGCUCAAGAUCACUCACUUUUGUUAUCACACAGGAUGUAAAUCCCUCACCUCAUAUGGAUUAAAAAUUAGUUUAUUACUCCACAACAAUUAUCAACAUGUCGCCAAACAAAAAUAAUUGAUAAACCCAAUCAUCUAUGCAUAAACAGUAUCUAAUAAAUAGAUUAUAAGUGGCCAGUUGCAACAAUGAAGAGGCAAUGUUGAUGAUAAUUUUAUAUUUUUUAAUCAAUCAUCAUGAUAAAAUCUCAUACUAAAUAGAUUAUACCUAUAUAAAUAAAUAUCAUAGACAUACCUUCUUUCUUUCUAAUUUUGUAGUAGCGGAUUUCAUCUCCGGAGAGUCGGUAUAAUCAGCAUGUGAGGUAGUGAUUUGUUAUCUCUAGCAGUACGUUCCUCCUACGACUCAGGCCUACUCUCACUCGAGGCACCGCCAUGCACACACAAUAGAUGAAUAUCAAUCGUCGAGGCAGCACCAUGGACGCACAAGAGAUGAAUAUCAAUCGUCGAGGCAGCGCCAUGGAUGCACAAGAGAUGAAUAUCAAUCGUCGCCCGGGGAGAGAUCCAUUCUAUCGUUUUAGAAUCUGUUCAUACUCCUGCAGUACUCUCGAGGAGAGACCCAUUCUCGCGUUUCAGGCUCUGUUCAUACGGCUGCAGUAGUCUCGUGGAUUAAGGAAGUAAAUAAGAUUCUAGAAAAAAGGAAGUAACUCAGGAGCGAAUUCUUUUUCUAUAACAACCCAUAACUAGUCGCAUGCAAUAUCUAAUAUUUUCCCAACCGACCAGCAAGGCCUCUCAAUUUAGCAAGAAGGAAAUCAGGGCAAAGGAGUACUCCUGAAUUCUAGGAUUGUAGAUUUAGGAAGGAAGUCGUAGAUUAAGGAAAGCAUCCCUAAAACAAUGAAGGAAAUCAUAGCAGGAAUGAAAUCAGGGAUAGUACGUAAUAUAAUUGGGCAUUUUGGGGCCCUGCUGGCACCGGGGGCCGGGGGCGGUCGCCCCUCUCGCCCCCCCUCAGGGCCGGGCCUGCUUGCGCGACCCAUCAUACAUCAUCUAGGUGGUUGUCUGAUCCCUCACGCCACCCUUUGACAUCAUCUAGGUGGUUGUUUGAUCCCUCGCGUCGCUUUUUGCCUUAUGGUAGAGUCAUAUUCUGAUGGAUCUAACUUUUGCAUGCAAGCUCGGAUUGGAAUGAUUUUUAUAUCAAAAUCGACCGUUUCGACAAGAAGAAGACAAUCCGUGUAGAACAGUUUCUUAUAUGAAAUCAUCUUGAGGACUUAAUCGGCCGAACAUCACUCGAGAAGUAAAAUUCUGGCAUUUCGAAUGCAAUUUCGGCCCUUAAGAUGAGAUUGGACAACGAUGUCCUAGACAUCAAAAUUGUUCCAUUCGACGUUAUAGAACUUCUUUUUAACACCUUUUCAUUCGAUACCAUCUUAAUUGUAUUUUACACCAUGCCAAAAUCAGGUGUCAACAAACGUUGAAUGGCCUGCUUCCGCUCCGUGCCUGCAAAUUUACGAAUCAACAUUAGAGAUGCCCUCACAUAUUUUUGUAUCCUGAUUAGCCAUUAUCCGAUCUAAGAUUAAUAAUUAUCGGUUCAAUAUUCAUCACACAUGUGACAUAUUAGACAUCCACUCAUACAUCGUGUAUGGCGUACAUAGGAGACAUCCCACGCGGGUCGGCGAAUAAUAGAAUUGUCCACACGUGUGGGCAUAAAUACUUCAUGCCACACGUCCAACAAAUACUACUCAUCCCACCGGAUGCGUGUGGCAUGAAGCAAAUCUGCCCACACGUUCUGACGUCGCUGCGUUAGUUACCCGCGGGACGACACUUUAGUUACCCCCGAAGAUGUCAACUCUAGUUACCUGGAAUGGCAAAUAUAGUUGUAAAAGCAUGUCAACUCUAUAUUUUGGUUAACUAUAGUUACACACGAGAUGACAGUUUAGUUAUCCGGAGGAUAUUGCCAUGUGUGCCUAUCUAGUUGCCGCGUGUGGUCCAACUAUAUUUGUCAUGUUUGGUUAAUCGUAGUUGCCAUGUGUGUUUAUCUGGUUGCCAUGAAUGCGCAACUGCAGUUGCCAUCUAGCAACGAAUCAUAAUUGCCAUGCGUAUCUACAUAGUUGCCACGUAUGUGCAAUUGCACUUGCCAUCUAGCAACGUACGAGCGUCGUGUGGGUGAAGAGUAGUUCGGCCACACACGCGUGAACUAGGUGGUGACUGUGUGGGUAAAAACUGGUUCGCUCAUAUUUUGCAGUUGGCAACCGCGCGUUGUGGGUCGUGUGGGUGAACUUUCCAACGCCCACAGACGACAAUGUCUACGUGGCACUGAAAUUCUAAUAGAUGCGUGUGGGUGAAGUGUAACAUGCGUGACCGUUAUCAUUUUCCAAUAAUUAUUACCAGAUCUAAAAUUAAGAUUUUUUUCUGUGUGUUUUUUUUCGGAAAAAAGAAGGACGGGGUCGUCGUCUUCAACCUUCCUUCCCCUCCUGUUCCUCCACCCCAACCGCGCCAUUACCACUGUGGUCAGUAGUCCAGUAGCCCCCCUCCUCCCCUCCGGAAAGCUCACCGCUCCCCCCCUCCGGAUGGCCUGGUGGAGGCGCUCCGCCUACGACACCUCCGAUUCCACGCCCGCUUUCCCCGCCCGCGCAUCCACCUCCACGCCCGCGUCUCCCACCCGCACCCCCCGCCGCGAUGGCGGAUACCUUCUUCCGGAGACCGAGCACCGGCCCCGUCUGACCAGGCAGGGGCGGCUGCGCCAUGUCGUCGAGGUCGGGAGCUCCUCGCCUCCCCUGGACUAUUCGCUCGCCGCCGCGCCGUCAUCCUCGUAUUCAGCGAGGAGUGAUGUGGUCUGGUCUUGGCUCAUGUCCACGAGCUCGGCGCCGAUCUCGUCGUCGCAGAGUAGCAUGGAGGUGCCGCCGGCUAGGUCCUCGUCGAAACCCAUGCCAUUGCCCCACCCUCUGCCGCUGCCGCACGAGGAGGACGCCGCUCCGUCGUCCUCGGACCAAGCGACGACGGACGCGAUCUGGUCUGAGCUCGCGAACGCGAGCCCAGAGCGGAUCUCGAGUUCACGGAGUAGAAUGGAGGAGACCACACUGGAGGAGACGCCGGCGAGGUCGUCGUCGGAACCCAUGCCGCUGCCCGACAAGGAUGACGCUACAUACUCAGCGAGGAGGGACACGGUCCCGGUGAAGAUGGGGGGCAGUCCUGAUUCCGCUUCGCUUGAGGCAAAUAUGCAGGAUCCCCCCAUCACGGCUUUGCUCGGCCCCAUGGGUCGCCUCCUCCGGCGACUCCAUUCAUUCGAGUCUUCCGACCACCGUCUUCCAGGGGGGCUUACUGCGAACGGGAUCCGGCUUCUCAGAGAAGGUCUAGAAGGAUUGUACGACUGACUCAAGGAUGUGCCGGAUGCAGAUCUGGACCUCGGUGCCACGCCCAAAUGGUGGACCAAGGAAGUCCGGGAACUUGCUUACGACACGGAGGACUUAUUCGACAACGUUAUGCAAUCCGGUGCCGGCACCGGCGAUGGCGUUGCUGUCGGCAGAAGCUCUCUUCUUAGUUGGAUUAUCAAUAAGCGGAAGCAGCGCUUGCCCCAGAUUGCACAGGAUUUCUCACAUUUAAUGGCUCGUUUGGAUGAUGCGAGAGAAAGAUGCAAAAGUUUCCAGUUUGCUCCAGAGACAGCCAUCAAACCUGACCAUGGGCAAGCCAGUACCAGCCGCCACACACCUGAACUGCCCCUCGACCUGCCGGUGUCGGCCGUGUCGAUCUCCAAUGUCCAUGUGAACACCGCUGGCUGUAGCCUAGUUGGUGUAGAGCAACCCAUGAAGAAGCUUGUUAACUUGCUGGCUUUUGGCGAUGACAACCAGAAGCAACUCAAGGUAAUAUCUAUCUCUGGAUCUGCAGGAGUGGGAAAAACUACGGUUGCGAGAACCAUAUAUCAUCGGUAUGGACGGGAGUUCCAGUGCCGGGCUUUUGUAAGGGUGUCCCGAAAUCCCGAUAUGAGGAGGCUUCUCACCAGCGUCCUCUCACAAACUAAAGCACCACGGACUCAUUCCUUUUCUGAUGCGCAGGACCUUAUUGACAGUAUCAUCAAACAUCUUCAAGGAAAAAGGUAUUUCCCUAUUGAUAGUAUCACCUCGUGAGUCAUGAGGUGCAAAGUUUAAUCCGUCGCCGAAAUGAUAUUAUGGAAAUUUUAUUUGGCUGAAGUGGAUUUUAGUAAUUAUCAUAUCGCGCUUCGAAUUUGUCCUUUUCUUUUCUUGUAAGGUUCACAUUUCAUCAUAUGUAUCAUGAACUUCUAAAGGUAUCAUCAAUGUUCUAACAUGGCGUAUCUAUGAGUUUUAUGACAUUUUUUGAGAUGCUGACGUACUCAAACUCCAAACUCAUGGAUCCACCCUUUCAUGUAGACUGUCCAUUUUCUCAAAAGAAGUACAUUGUUCGCUCUCCUCAGAAAACUAAAAAAAAUCAGGAGAUAAGUCUAAUGUUUUUCUCAUAAACAUCGCCAAUUACUCUUUCCUUAGUUGUAUGUGUUCUUGUUCUUAUGUAUUUCUUUUAGAGAUAAAUCAAGUUUUGUAUUAAUUGUGUUUCUUUUGUGUAAGCUUGACCAAAUAUAUUUGUCAUGACUUGCAGCUAUUUCAUUGUAGUUGAUGAUUUAUGGGCAUCAUCAGAAUGGGAUAUUAUUAGCCGUGCUUUUCCUUAUGGUGAUCGUUGCAGCAGAAUACUGACAACCACACAAGUUGAGGAUGUAGCAUUAGCAUGCUCUGGUUAUGAGACAGAAUACAUAUUUGAGAUGAGACCUCUUAAUGAUGGUGAAGCUCGGAAAUUAUUCUUCAAUAAUGUUUUUGGUUCCGAAAGUGAAGAUGCUUGCCCUAAAGAGUUUGAAGUAGUUGCAGAUAGGAUUAUCAGGAAAUGCAGUGGUUUACCAUUAUCAAUUGUAAGUAUAGCAAGCCUGUUGCUCCCAAGCAAGUGGAACCCUGCAAUGUGGGAGAAGGUAGAAAGUUCUCUCCCCUCCAUUUUGAGGAUAGAUCCUACUUCCCAAGGGAUGAAAGAUGUUCUAAUCCUUAUUUACAAUAAGCUUCCAAUUCAUUUGAAGACAUGCUUGCUCUACCUUGGUAUGUAUCCAGAGGGCUGCACUAUCACGAAGGAUGAUUUGGUGAAGCAAUGGGUAGCUGAAAGUUUGGUCAGUGACACCGAUUAUGGUUGCUUCGACGAGCUCGUCAGAAGAGGUAUGAUCCAACCUGUUGACACCAACUACGAUGGGGAGGUGUUGUCAUGUACAGUUAAUCACAUGGUAAUGGAUCUUAUCAGGUACAAAUCUAUUGAGGAUAAUUUCAUCAUUGUUGUGAAAUAUUUUGAAUCAACUCUGCUGCUUCCUGACAAGGUUCGUCGAUUGUCCCUCCAGUUUGGAGGUUCAAAAAGUGCAAAGAUACCAGAAAGCAUCAGAAUGUCCCAAGUUCGAUCACUUCUGUUUUGUGGAUCCUCCAGAUGCGUGCCUUCCAUUCCGGACUAUUGCAUUCUCCAAGUCCUGAUUCUUCAUAUUUGGGCUGAUCAAGAUCAGAUGAGUUUUGACCUCACUAGAAUCAAUGAGCUAUUUCGACUGAGAUAUCUGAUGGUUGAGUGUAAUAUCACCAUCAAUUUGCCAGACAAGAUUAAAGGAUUGCAAUACUUGGAGACACUGCAAUUAGAUGGAAGACUAUCUUCUGUUCCAUCAGAUAUUGGUCAUUUGGAGAAUUUACGGCACCUCUGCCUUCCAAGCCAGCCUAAUGUGAGGGACCUUGACAGGCUGACCAAUCUCCAGGAUCUUCAUCUCACCCUUUCUACAGCACAGCCAAUUGAGAAUCUGGAGGUUACCUUGAAAUACCUGGGCUCAAUUCUCCACAAACUCAACAACCUCAAGUCUAUAAUUAUGGCAGCUGCAGGUUCCUUUCCUGUAAAUACUUCAAGUGUGAGCAUUUCGUGUGAUGGCUUGAGCAGCGUGUCCCCUGUUCUGGCCCAUCUUGAGAAGCUUGAGCUAUUGCCACGGGUUUGCAUCUUUCCCAGCCUCCCAAGGUGGUUUAAGACACUUGACAAACUCUGCACUCUAAAGAUAGCAAUUAGAGAGUUGUCUAACAGUGAAAUGGAUAUCGUUAAAGGAUUGCCUGCCCUCAGUGCUCUCUUGCUGUAUAUCCAGAUAGCGCCGGCAGAGAGGAUUGUCUUUGGCAAGUCCGGAUUUUCAGCUCUCAAGUACUUCAAGUUGAGGUGCACUGAACCUUUGCUGAAAUUCGAGGCUGGUGCAAUGCCUAAUCUUCGGAAGCUCAAGCUACUCUUCAGUGUCCAGGAAGUGCAGCAGCAUGGAGUUGUACCUAUCUGCAUUGAGCACUUGGCAGGGCUUAAAGAGAUAUCUGCUAAAAUCGGGGGUGUAGGUGCUGCUGGCACAGAGUCUGCCUUGAGGAUUUCUGUUAGCAAUGAUUCGAAAAAUCCAAAAAUCAACGGUCAACUGGUGAACUGGAAUUUCUGUGCCGAUGAAGAUAGAAUUAUCACGACACCAGACCAAGCAGUUGUGAUUAUGGAAGAACAAGGUGAGAUCCUGGAAAACACAGACUACGGGUACAAAGGGGAUGAUGGGGACCCACAACCUGAUAGCGGGUAUGGAUUUUUCCUUUCUUUUAUUUAUUGAUCUUCAACCUAUUUUUCUUGUGUGAUGCUAAACGGUUGCUGUAAUCAGGAUUUCUAUGCUGCCGGGGGCCUCUCCCUCGUUUCCUCAGAGACCCACUGACAGGCUAUACGGCCAGAAGCUCCUUUCUGCGUGGUCCAGGGCCAGGCGCACCUUGAAAGCCAGGCCCCAGACCUUGAAAGCCGGCAAUGAGGGCCACAACGGCCUCCUCCGGUGGCACAAUCUUGCACAAUGCAACGCUGGUGAGCUCUCCAUGGCUUAUGUCCAGGCUAAUAAUCUGAUGGAGGACCAUUGUCGCGUAGAGUCGUCUCCUACCCUCGGCACCUUUGUCGGUGUCUUUGAUGGUCACGGUGGCAACGAAGCUGCCCGCUUCACUUCUGAGCAUCUCUUCCCUAAUCUCCAAUCCGAAGCCACGUCUAACUGGCAGGGCGUGACAGAUGAAACCAUCAGGAAGGCUUUCCUGGACACAGAUGAAAGCUACAUCGCUCAUGUAGAGAAACAAUGGUCAGUCAAGCCCCAGCUUGCCGCCGUUGGGUCAUGCUGCCUCGUCGGCAUCGUGUGCCAGCGGACUCUCUUCAUCGCAAACCUCGGGAACUCCCGAGCUGUUCUUGGAAAAGCUGAUCUCAGUGGGCAGAUUUCCUCAGUGCAGCUGUCGACUGAACAUAAUGCCUCUGACGAGAGUGUCAGGCAGGAGCUCUGGGCUCAGCACCCUGAUGAUCCGCAUAUUGUGGUGUUUAAGGAUAAUGUCUGGAGAGUGAAAGGCAUCAUACAGGUCGUUCUUAUCUUAAUGUUUGGUUCUGUAUUGUUGUACGUGUAUUCAUGUUCAGUGCUUACGCGGUGGAUGAUGCAGGUUUCAAGAACAAUAGGUGACGCAUACUUGAAACACCAGCGGUUUAACAGGGAACCGCUCCAUAGUAUGUUUAAGCUCCGGGAACCAUUCAGCCGGCCUAUAUUGAGUGCCAGCCCAUCUAUCAUGUCACACAGUCUUCAACCAAGUGAUCGUUUCAUCAUAUUUGCCUCCGAUGGCCUGUGGGAACACUUGAGUAAUGAGACAGCCGUCAAGAUUGUUCACAAACAUGGGCGUACUGUAAGCCUCCACACUUGUAUAUUUUCUCUCAUUCGGCUUGUUUAUGUAAUAAUGCUUCUUGGUUUUCAACUGUUGCCUAAGAUGAUCUAAAAUCGACCAAUUUGUGAAAUCUCUAUGGCCAUAACAUUUACCAUCAAACACGUCUAUUAAAUCUGUAUGCCUUCAUUCAAACCUUUUAAUGCAAACUUAUAAACAUUGUUACAGUAGGGAAGUUUUGCUUUGCAUUAGAAAACUAGGAGUACCUGGGGAAUUGUUGUUAACUCUUUCCUUACUUCAUCCAGGCCAUGGAAGUAGUUAUCUACAUGCUAAAUAUGUACCGGGCCAUUCAUUGUAGGUACAUACAAGUAAUGAAGUCUAGCUACUUACAAGAAAAGAACACCAGUUAUUUCUAUUAUUUCAAGUUCCUAGGGAUUCCUGCCAUAUGCAUUUCUGUUUAGUGCUCUUGAUACUCUUGGUUUGUACUAUAACGCUAUGUCUGAAGCAGCCAAGUAAAGAUAAACAGAUAUGGCUUGCAAUUUGAGAUGCUCUGUAGUCCAUGUAAUGUGAACCAUAAAUUUAAUUCACUUGGUGCAAGGAUAGUUUUUGUAUUUAUUUAAUUAUUUAAUUUCCAAGAGAAAAAUUGUAUUUUUUUUAACUGGCAUGCCUUUUUUUUAUUCAGGGAAUUGCAAAAAGGCUUGUAAAAGCAGCUCUACAGGAAGCAGCGCGGAAACGUGACAUGCGUUUCUCAGAUCUCAAGAAGAUAGAUAGGGGCGUUCGGAGGCAUUUUCAUGAUGACAUAACUGUAGUUGUCUUAUUUAUAGAUCAUGGCGGCCUAUCAUUGAAAGAUCAUUCACAAGAAAGUCUGGCCCUUUCCAUUAGUGCACCUUCGUGCAUCGGCGAUCUGGCCUGGUCGUAACGUUGGUUUUACUGUGCUCACCCGUCAAACUACGUAUGAUGAUUAUUGGUUCAUAACUUUGAUGCUGCUGUGCUCGUCUGUCAAAGUAUGUAGGAUGAUGUCUAUUGUCUAAUCCCAAUGCUUUAUUAUGUUCCAUUCCAUAUAUAAAAUGGUCUCUAAAACCCCUUUCUCCGAAGAAGGUGGCUUUAACACAGCAUUUUCUACCGGGGAAAGCUGGGGUAUGACAUGCCCUUGAUCAUGCUUACCCGCGUAAUCCAGUGAACAUAGUUUUUGAACUAGUACUACUUGGGUUACCUUGACCAUGCUGGGGGCUGAGGGCUAUUCUGCUGUGGAGAGGUGUGGCAUUGUUUUUGGAAGUACAAGCUGGUUGGUUUGUAAAUAGAGAAUACUGCAAUAGCGAACUUGGAUGUCUUUUCAUAAAUGGUUUGCGUUUCUGUGUUCUGCUUUGUACUACUAGUACCUGAGUAGAGUUUUUGGCUGUGCCCGAUGACUGUUUGAGUGUUCAGCUUGGUUGUUCCUGUAUCAUGUAUCGCUAUAACCGGAUGCCUUUUUUUUAGGUAAACGCUUCUAGACGGCGCGUCGGCCGGCGCGCGCAACGUUCCAUCCCGCACAUCGCCCGCCUGCGUCUCGCUGCUUACACCACGCGCAUAGUUUUUUUUCCCUGUGUCUUAUCUUCUUCCACCUCCCGAAUUUUUAUCUAAACGCAGCCCUUGUCGCCAGGAUGUGAGGCGGCCAGUGGCCACAGAAAAACAACAACCACGAACGGAACAUGUAGCCAGGCGGCAUGCACAUCCUAUUUAUAUUUGUAUUAUAUACUCCCUUCGUUCCUAAAUAUAAGAUCUUUUAAAGAUUGUACUAUAAACUACAUACGGAUGUACAUAGAUAUAUUUUAGAGUAUAGAUUCACUUAUUUUGCUCUGUAUGUAGUCUCCUAAUGAAAUUCCUAAAAGGUCUUAUAUUUUGGAACGGAGUGAGUAUAAGCUGGUGAUGCCAUACACAAUCCUCUUCCUCCUGUGUUAUGUUUUGGAUGCAUGCAGUCUUCUUUUUUAUUUUUUGUAACCACAUGCAUUGGUAUUUCCUCACCGAAUGCAAACACAGCAACCGUGCAUGCCUGGCGGCAGGCCCUAGCCCUGUCUCUCGUUCUAUCCCGCACCUGGCUGCGGCAGGGGCUGCCGCCUUGGCAUGCGACGGCAGGCGUUACGUGUCAGCUGGCACACCCAUCGUCACGGUUAGGCUGGUCUGAUCUGGUAAUUUGUCUUAGAGAUGAUAUUUUUGUCAAUUCCAUUCGUCAGUUAGUCUUUUGGACAAAAAUUCCCACCUCCCUCCCUUUAUCCUCUUCCUCCCGUCACUCGCACCUCCUCCAUCUCUCUUUCUUUCUCCAGCUAGAGAAAUCCCCUCCAUGAGAUUCAGCACCGGCCGCUCCUACUAGUGUCGGCCAUGACCGCUCAGCCAACCCCCUUGCCCCUCCCAUCCUAGACCCGGAUGCUAGAGUUGCAACCACGGCCCCGUUGCCGGCAUGGUUUUGGUGCGUGUUACACCCAUGGCGAGGUAGUUCUGCGACCGGCGUCGUGCACUGCUAUGGCUACAACGUUGCGAUGCUACAACCGACAACUGGCUGUGCUCGAACCAUAUAUGCGGUGUGCUGGAACCGUGGGAAAAAAAAUGAUACAUGGAAGGACUACGUGAUGGGGGAACUGGCUGUCGUGAUGGGGGAACUGGCUGUCGAAGCUGCAUUCAGCUACUUCUUUUGCUACAUCCGACAUCAAUUUUUGCUGGAAGUAGUCAAGUAUCUGCUAUGGAAAAAGCUUCAAGCGAAAAAAGAUUCCAUCCGAAAGAAAAUGCUUCAGCCGUUUGUUGAAAAAGCUUCAACCGACUAUGAAAAAGCUUCAUCCGGCUAGAGAAAAAGCUUCGAAGUGGCAUGAGGAAAAUCUUCCACCGCGAAAAAAGCUUCAAUGGUGGAAAAUGCUUCAAGCGACGGUGGAAAAACUUCAACUGGUGAGAGGAAAUGCUUCAAGCGGCAAAUGACGGAAAAGCUUCCACAUGUGAAAAAAGCUUCAACUAGGGAGCACUGAUGGUAUGAGCGGACGACAACACGGUGGUGGCACGACGGACGUGCUACGCCGACGACGGGACUAGGUGCUGCAACGUUUGAGGCACGGGGCAUAUUUUCCGUUGAUUUUGCUACGAGGAGCGAUAGCGUCCUGCUGGAGCCGGCCGACGAUCGGCGACGGGGCGGGAAGUGACCAACUGCAAUCUGCUGCGAGAGGGGAGGGGGGAGGGGGGGGGGGCUAUGUGGGAAACUACCCACAGACGACAUAGGCCGUGGGCCAGCUGGCUAAUCGGGCGGCCAUAGACGCACUCAUCGGAUGGUUACGCUUCCCGACGCAUGUCACUCUCUUUUUUUAUCGGUUUCAUUUAAAAUGAAAGCAAGAGCAGAGAGCUCCUUAUAAACUGAAAAAAAAAUCGACUGCUGUCAUUAUGUUUUUUUUUCUGCUAAGGAAUAAACCAAGCACUCAAUUCUCGAAGAGAAAAACCACUCAAAUCAUUCACACAUGGAAGAACAUUAUUUGGAUCCAGUCGCCUGCGUGCGUGAUGGAUGGAUGUAUUAGCUCAAUUAGGUGGUGUAGUCCUUGAGGAUGUCGAGGGUGAGCUCGCUGGCGUCGGUGGCCUGCACGUCGAUCUGCACGCCGUCCAGCUCCUUCUUGAGCCCCUCCGUGGAGCUGGCGUACACCAUCUUGCUCCUCGAGUCGGCCGCCUCCGGCGACCAGUGGAUGAAGAAGAUCUUGCUCCGCGGCGUGUCCCCCGCCGAGUCCUCCGACACGAAGUCCAGGUCGUAGACGGCGUAGCGGCAGUCGUCGGCCGGCAUCGCCGCCGCCAGGUCGUCGAAGCUGGCCUCCAGGCCGCCCACCUUGUCGACCACCACCUGCUGCGCGUCCGCGUCGUCGUCCAUCUUGUACACCACGAACCGGUGCUUGCGCUCCGCCCGCAGCUCCUGGAACACCUUCACGCACUCCUCGCUCACCGCCACUCCCGACACAGAGUUCGCCUGCGCACCCAACCAAACUUUUAUGUAAAUUAAUCACGAACUAAUUCGAACUGAUCAAGAAGAAGAAGCAGAGCAGGUCGUAAUAGUGCUCACCAUUGUUGAUGGAUCCGGAGGUUGGCUCGAGCGAGGGAAAAUCUGUGUGUGCUGAUGCUGAGACAGGAGCUGCUCGUAUGAUGAAAGCUGAUGGUUGGCUGUGAUGAUGUGUUGUUGAUUGAGCAGUGUCUCGUGUGGUGAUUUUAUAGGAUGGGCGUGACCAUGUCGGCGAGAUAAAGUCAUGGAGGUGUACACGUACGUGUGGGCGCUCGGACGUCGCCGUCGACAUCGAUGGUGCCGACUGUUCUGGACGGGUGGAUGAUGGAGCGGGAAGAAGAAUCAUUGCAGUGAGUCACGCUGAAUAGUUUAAACUUAGGGAGGUCGACGGCGUGGUGUGGUGUGUGGCCAGUUCUGUUCCGCUCGCGUGGUCGGCAGGGUGCGAGGGAUGUGUCCUUUCGAUUGGCUUUAUCCUUACUAGCAAAAAAAAAAAAAAAAAGCCAUGCGUUGCAACGAAAAAGAAAAUAACACACGCUCUGAACUCAAUAUAUUUUCACAUGACAUCAUAUUUAUGUUGCCGACGAUGGUUUUAGUACUCACACAAUAAAAACGCGUUUGAAUGUACAAUCACUCGAAAUAAGAUGAAAAAUAUGUUGUUUCUCCCCACGAGGUUUUUCAAAGGUGAGCAUGUGUGGUUAACGAUGUUUUCUUUCCUCUCAAUUUGGUUUUAAUUUAACGGAUGUUUAUUGCAAUUCGUAUCGUCGCCGGAAAGAGAGAGAAAAAAGGACCGUACACUACAGAUUAAGUUUGCACCAAAAAUAAUAUUUAAGAAGUAUUCAACAGCUAAAAAUAACAUCCUAUUUAGAUUCUACAUAUUUUUUAAUCAAAUUUCAUAUAUAACAUGUUAAAAUCGGAGUUACGGUUUAAAAGAUAUGGAUAAUUUUGUUUUAGAUAAAAUUUGGAUUUAUUAACUGAAAAGUUAGGUUUUUUUUUUGUUAAAAUACGAAGCACGGAUUGAUUACGUGAAACAUCAGGGGGUUUUCUGAACAAUGCAAAAAAGGAUUCGUUUUCUGACUUAAAUCCGGACUGCGGGUUGAUUUCAGGAAACGUCGGGGGCUUUUUUUUUUGUAAAAGUGGCACCACGAAACGUUUCCUCACUUAAAAAAGGACCGCGGGUUGAUUAACUAAAAACGGAGGGACUUUUUCACAAAAAUGCCAGGACGGACGACCAGAAAUCAUAUUUGCUUUAUUAUUAGGGAGAGAUUCGGUCCAGAUCAGCGGCGGCAAUAAGGGCAACUAACGUACUCUAACGGAACGUUUAGAUUCGUACUGACAAAAAAUUAACCUAGUGCGUCGACCCAAACAUACGUGCGUUCGCUUUUUGUCCGCGUGCCGAUCCAUUCCCGGCUCAAUUUUAAGCUUGAUUUGCAUCAGCACGGACACGAAACAGACGUGCGUGACGCGCGCCUACUCCCCUCCCUGGCCCGUCAAUCGGCAGCAAAGCGGACACUUUUUCCUCCCACUUUCCCCAAACCCUCUCGCUCGCUCCCGCGCCUGCUCCCACCGCCAUGGGCGACGAACUCGAGGCUGCCACCGGCCUCGCCUCCCUCGCCUCGUACAACACCGCCCCCGCAGGUAGAGGCAAGCCUCGCACCUCCUGCAAGACCGCCGCACCGCCCAAGAAGAAGAAGAAGAAGAAGAAGAAGGAGUUGACGCCCGAUGAGCGUGGAGUUGACGCCCAAGCCCUUCCAUCUCUCCCAUUGCCGGACUGUCAUCAACGGGGAGGAGAAGUUCAAGGCGCAAUAUGCCGCCCUCUUGGCGGGUGGGGGGCGAGCUGUGGAGGACCAUGGUGACGGCGAGAAGGCUCGACCGCGGGGGAAGACCAACUCGAAGAAGGAGGACAAGCGGGACGCGACGUCAACCGCCUGGCUUCAAAAGUGGACGACAUGAUAAGCAAGAAAGACUUGAGGGAGGAGAAGCACCGGCAAGAAAAGGAAGAGCAAAUGAACGCCUUCAUGAAAAUUCAAAGGAGGAGGCUCGAGAUGGACGCGGAGAAGCAAGCCAAGAUGCUUGAGUUGGAGGAGGCGAAAAAAGCCAAGAUGCUCGAGAUCGAGGCCGCCAAUGCCAAGACCAAGGCGAAAGAAGUGGCUCUGCAAGCAUGAAGAUGGGUGUGGAGAUCAUGAAGGUUGAUCUAAACACUGUCUCGAGGAAGAAGCUAUGGUUUGAGAAGAUGCAGGCUGAAAUGCUCAAGUUCGACCAGUUAUGAUCUGCGACGGAGAUCAUGUCCCUUUUUUGUAUGCUGACAAGUGUACUGGCAUGACCACGGACCGACAUGGCGUGGUCGAAUUCCCGCUCCUUUUGGUGUGCUGGCAUGUGUGUCGGCCGCUGGCAAGUGUGCCAGCAUGAACCACUUGGUGGUUUUCUGUAGGCUGUAAUGUAUGCCUGCUGCUGGCAUCGUGUCGACAUGAACUCUUGGGCGUUGCCAUGAUCUAUGGUCAGGAGCCUUUUUAUCUAAAUGUGCGACAUUAAGUGAGUCGUCCGCGUUUGGGGCACGAUCGACCCAAAAAGAAAACAGGGCGGACGCCAAGCGGGCAGCCGACCCAAACGAUAAAAGGCGGACAAAGCGCGCGUACGUUUGGAUCGCCCCGUUUGAGUUGCUCUAAGAGUAAGAGCAACUCCAAUGGGGCGACCCAUUUCGUCCGUCUGCAUCCGUUUGGGUCGGCGCGGACAAAAGUGGACGCUCAAUGCGUCGACCCAAAGGCAAAUCGCGUCCGCCUCGCGUCCGUGCCGACCCAUUUCCGGCCCUAAAUUGCGCCUGGAAUGGGUCGGGUCGGACGCGAAGCGGACGCGCCGCGCGUCUCCUCGACGUCCGCCGCGUUCCCACCUGUAGGCCACCCAACCGCCAUCGGUCGUCUUAUUUAUGACGACCACCGACACCGGGCCCACUUGUCAGCCUCAGGAAGCGUCCUUUUUUAAGCACGCGUGCGACGAGGGGCCAGCCUCAUCCACUUCUCCCGUCCACAUCUGGCCCCCCACCACUCCCUUUACUUCCUCACCGGCGACAGGAAACCCUAGCCCGCCAUGGGCAUCUUCAGCAGCAACAAUGGCAAGCGCAAGGGCAAGGGCACCCCCGACGGCGAGGAGCAGAUGCGCUAUGAGGCCAUGCUCCAGCGCAAUGCGGAGGCGCUCCGGCUCGAGGAGGAGGAGGAUGAGCGCGUGCGGCUAGCCGCAAUGCCGCCGCCCCAGCAGAUGCCGUAGGAUGCUGUCGUGGCAGCGUACCAGGCGGCCUUCGGGUGGGCUGGCCCUACUCUCGCCUUCAUCGACCUCACCGGCGAUGGCGACGGCGACGUCGACGCCAAGGGCAAGGGUAAGGCCGACGACGUCUAGGGCAGCGUGUGGGGCGGUAGAAGGCGGGCGCAAACUUUUUUUUUAAUAUUUUAAUUAUGUUUAAGUGGAUUUUGGUCGUCGUUUGACCGGCCACUUAUAUGUUUAAUUAUGCUUAUUUUAAGUUUAUUUUGUGCAAGCAUUUUUUUUCAUACCGACAUAUUUGGGUCAGCCUCACCGUUGGACGGUCAAGCUGACCCAUUUUAGAAUGCGGACGCGCACGUCCGUCUGGCCGACCCAAACGGACGAAAAUCGGACAAAGCGCGUGUCCGUUUAGGUCGCCGCGUUGGAGUUGCUCUAACUUUUGAUUUUGCACACAUUUUAUUUUAUCACAGUCAGCCGAGUAGUAGCAUGCCAGGAAGGAUCAUGGUGGUUCCGGACAAAAAGACCUCAUGUAUCCUCAGCCUAAAAAAAGAUUGGAUAUGUGGCAUUUUAGAAGAUCCAUAGUGGUGCUUAUCCCCGGCUUGUUGCUUUAGACUAAGGAGUGGUUGUGAGUGGCUCUACAGAUCGCUUUUUCGUCAAUAAAUGCACCACAUAAGUAAGCUUUGAGGUUUAGAUGACACUCAUUUGUUCAUUUAGUUGGAUGGAGCGUAACUUUCACCUAGAUGUAGGAACUAACCAAGGCAAAGCUCACUUAUACCAUGCUGUCUUGUUACCUUUUUUAAUUGAUUAUUUGUUGAUAGUCUUUCGCUUUUUUGUUUUGUUCUAGGGAAGUUCAUCACCGUACAUAUGAAAAAAAUUUGUAUUGAUACAUGGAGUUAUGUAGGUAACUUUAGUUAUUGUACCUUUUCUCCUUUCAGUAUUUUCUUUGGAAUCAACAUCCGGUACAAAUGCUGCUGAAGUAUACCGAGUAGCACAACAACUUCUAAAGCAUUCAUCUAUUUUCCGUGCUUUGUCGGAUGUUUCAAUGAAACAAUGACAUGUAACUACCGUAUCUUGUUGUUCUGGAGAUUGUGUAUAUUUGAACAUUAUUGUUUUCUUGCAAUGAAGAUUAGCAAAAAAAUUACACGUCAAGUUGUCGUCUUUGGAUUAGUUGUUCGACCAUCGACAACAUGAACUUAAUAAAGAUAGUGAUGAUCGCUUCAGUUUGUUCAUGUGAUCUUGUUUUUCUUUCAGCCCAACAAACGCUAUUAUUGGUUAUGAAACUUGUAUGAUAAUGAAAAAACAUGUUUGAUAAUUAUCUGAUGGUAGUUCAAACGUGCAACUGUGCAAAUUUACUAGUCUUAUAAAAAGGCAGAAGAAAAUAGGAAACCCGGGACUCCCUCCUAACCACUUGGAUACACUUGAGCUCGUGUUUCUUUAGUUGGGCGUGCCCUACUUGAGACAUAAAGUAGAAGGGUGUGCCCUAGUUUUUCUUUUCUUUCUCUAUUUUCAUCAGUGUUAUUCGGUUUUCUUCCUUCUUUCGUUUUUAUGCUCUUAUUUAUUCUUUUUUUUGGUUUAUUUCAUUUGUUUCUUCGUUUUAUUUGUUUUUUCUUGUUUUCUUUUGUUUCCUCUCUUCUCUUCUUCUUUGGUUUUAGUUUAUUUUUCAUUUUUAAAUUUUUUACAUUUAGUUUAUUCUAGUUUUAGUUUAAUUCUUUCUACAUUUGUUUCAUUUUCAUCAGCGUUAGUCGGAUUUUUUUGGGCUCAUAUUUUAUUUUUUCAGUUUUUACUAUUUAUUUUUUCGUAUAUUUUUAUUCUGCAUUUUUUAUAUGUCAAAACAUUUUUCUAAUAGACAUUUAAACUUAUUGUGAUAUGAGUUUAACAGUUUUUAAUGCAUGGUCAAUAUAUUUUUCUAUACACAUGGUUAACAUUUUUUAAAUGAUUGAUCAACGAUCUUGAAUAAAAAACACUGUUUUUUACAAUGCACACUUAACAUUUAUCAAGUGCUUGACUAAUAUUUUAUAUAUGCAAUAUUAAUGUUUUUGAACACAUGGUCAACAUAUUUUCUAUACACAUUUAAUAUUUUCUGAAUGUUUGUCUAACAUUUUUGGAAAUGCUUGAUUACGAUUAUAUAUAUAUAUAUAUAAUGAAAAUAUUUCAUAUUUUUUUAAUAGACUACCAACAUUGCUUAUACAAAUUCAACAUUUUUAAAUGCUUGAUGAAUUUUUUUCAAAUACUUCUUUAACAUUUUUUCCAAAUGCUUAGUUAACAUUUUGAUAUACAUGAAAAAGAAGUUCAUCAUUUUUUAAUACAUGGUCAAUUUUUUACUAUAAAUAUUUAAUAUUUUUCAAAUUCUUGAUAAAAAAUUUGGAAUGCUUGAUUAACAUUUUUAUAUACAUGAUUAAAAACUUCAUCAUUUUUAAUGCAUGUAAAACAAAAAUUCUAUACACUUUUAAUUUUUUUCAAAUGCUUGAUCAAUGUUUUCAAAUACUUGUUCAUAAAACAUCAAAAUACUUGAUUAACAUUUUUCAAAUACAAUAUCUAAAAAAUUAUACACAUUUUUAAUACAUUUUUCAUAUACGUGAUAAACACUUUCUUUAUGCACAUCUACCAUUUUUCACAUGCUCGGUUAACAUAUUUUCAAUAUUUUAAUUCACUUUUUAGAGAUAUAUUUAAGAUAUUUUAUAGUAUAAGUAAAAUUUAAAUAAGAAAGGAAAAAACGAAAGAAAAAAUGUAAUAAAAACAGGAAAAAGGAGGAUAUGGCCACCCGUGCUGUUGGGCCGGCACAUCUUGGUCUCUUAUUCAGAGAGGGUUCCUUCCAUCUCGCUAAAGGUGAGACAUAGAGGUUCUCCAUGGAGAGAGGACUUCGACCGGCGAAGGCUAUACCGUCAUACUGAAAUGUAACUGAACGCACCCCGCAAAAAAAAUGUGACUGAACGUGAUUGCGUUUGACAACUAUGGGGGUUAGACAGAAGCUGCUCUCUCGCUGAAGGAAUCACCGUUCGUGCAGGUAGCUGGACCGGCUCAUGACCAUCCUUCUUUAAAAAGAAAAGACUGAGAAAAGAUGCAAUCAUGGAGGGUUCAACACCGGCAACUCAAGAUUGAAUGACGUCAAUGCUGGCCACUCUGCCCACCUGGGGUUCGUUGUUAGUUUUUUUGGUUAGUAGUAGGUGGCGUCUUUCUUGAGCUAAGAAGAGCCAUUUUUCUCUGUUUUUCCUUUAUUUUUUGUUUUUUUUGUUUUGCCUUCUCCGUAUUUUUAUUCCUUUUUCAUUUUUAUAUAAUGAUAAAAAACUCAUAAUUUCUUAAUACAUGGCCAAAAGUUUUUAUAUACACCAUUAAAAUGUUCAAAAUGCUUGUUUAACAUUUUCCAAAUGCUUGUUAAACAUUUUUUAAAAGUAUGUAUGAAAAUUUUAUACACAUGAUCACAUAAUUUCUUCAUUUUUCAAAGACAUGAUCAACAUUUGUUUUAUACACCUUCAACAUUUUAUGAAUGCCUGAUUAAGAUUUUUAGAACACUUGUUAUUUUUUUCCAAUGCUUAAGUAGCAUUUUUUCAAAUAAUUGUUCAAACUUUUUCAAAUACUUUUUUGACAUUUUAUGAAUGCUUAAUUAGAGAUUAGAGAUUACGAUUUCUUUUCUCUCGAUGCAACGCACAGACCAUUUUGCUAGUACAAACCUAUAAAUAUGUCGAUCAAAUUUAAAUGUUCAUGUACGAACUUUGUAUUUCCGUUAAGAAAUUAAUUCAAAGAGGGAUGCCCCGUUGAGAAAAAAGAUGUAUGAUUCCCAUUGGGCCGAUUUGUCAACGAAGAAACCACAUGUGAUUACGAGAUAAAGAAAAUUCGCAGAAAAACAUAAGCUGCGACCAAGUUCUUUUUCCUUUCGAAAAGGAGGACAAAUACAAGGAGGAGCUUGAUCCCUUCAAAAGUUCCAAUUACACUCCAGAUCUCUUAUUGCCAGAAUAGGGAGAGAUCUUUUUGGUCUCAAGAAACGAAACAGAUUUGCCAUACAAUCAUAUCUAUUCACCCGUUAUAGAUCGAUCUAACAGACGGUGGUGGAGGAAACGGGCUGGAAGCUGAAGUUGGUGCUCGACUCGUAGAUGAAGCUAACCGACCAGGCAGACCCCACUGGGCGGCCGCCGAAGAGGAUGCAGUUGGCGCCGUCGCUGUCCCGCCUGAUGGCGCUGGCCGGGAAGACAUUGAUGGUGUAGUUGAAGCCCGGGCACGCCAGCUUGAUGUUCUUCUGCGCGCAGUUGCACGUGUUGAUCACGCUCACGAAGUGCUGAGGUCUUCCUCCCGGGCCAGCCUCUAUGUUCGUGUUGACGACGAGAUCCGAAGCUCUGCACAACGAUGCAUCUGCAUUGCCUGCGUGAACACCUGGAAAGGAAAAGAGUCUCAGUGGAUGGCAUGGGGAUUCAUGAACAGUGGAUGGCAUGGGGAGUAAUAGGAUUGUCGACUUGGAGAUUGUUUGGAAUACUAUACCUGUGUUGGCAAUGCAAAAGAACAAGCCGGCGACAAGGAUCGCUACUAGUUUGGAGUCCAUGCCGAAGUUACAAUGCCUUUUUGUUGUUCCACAUCGCCUAUGGCUGUUCUAGCAGGCUAUUUAUAGGCCAACGAACCUGAGGAAGUUGGUUGGUGCAUGUAGUAGUAGCAGAUGAUGCGUUGUAGUAAUUACCUUGCUUACACGAUCUUGGGACGUGUUGUGAGGAAAGAGAUUGAUACUCAUUUAAUGUCCACACGAUGUACAAGCCCAGAUUUAGAUCUGAUUUAAAACAUAUACUCUGUUGGUUCUUGUACCUAGGCUAUAUAUGGUAUAGGUGCACUGUUUCAAUCUAGGAUGUAUUCUUUGUUUGAGGAAAGCACUUCGUUCACCUAAUCACGUUCACCAGAUUAAUUGGUAGAGCUUUAGUUAAUUCCCUAAAAGAGACUUGCAUGCCUUUGCUAAGUACUUACUCCCUCCCUUUUUAUCUACUUUGCAUAUUAGAUUUGUCUAGAGUCAAAAAAAUUAAAUUUUGACCAAGUUUAUACAAAAAAAUAUUAACAUCCAUGAUACCAAAUCAACACCAUUAGAGUCAUCAUUCAAUAUAUUAUCAUACCAUAUUUAUUUUUAUUAUGAAACUUAGUUUUUUUUAUAAACAGGUCAACCAUUAUAAAGUUUGACUUAGGUCAAAGCAAAUAUGCGGAAUAAAUGAAAACAGAGGGAAUACAUCCAUAGUAGAGUCAAUAAAAUGCUCACACCGCUCAGGCGGCUCGCAUGCAACCCUAGCCUCCCCCCGUGCCCUCCUACCUAUUAAGUCGCCGUCGAAAGAAGCCGGCAUGCUAAGCCAACCAGGCUGCUGACGGCGGUGGGCUCGUCACCUUGCCGCAGGGAGCCCUCCAGCUAGGGAGCGGCGCGGCCCUAGAUAGUGUGCACUCCAACGGAGCCCAAAUUCCAUGAAGGACCCCCCCCCCCCCCCCAAUGCCUGGUGGUGGUUUGCCGUGUCAGCAUGACACGAUGGUGGAUCAUUUGACCAUUUUCCCGUCUGCAGCGGAAGGUGUUCUAGUCAUCCAAUGGUGUGACCGAGAUCCUAUUUCAUGUCUUGGUUAUAGGGGACAUAUGGCGGUGAUGGCUCGCACCUCAAGGUGCGACAAAGGAGUGGAUGGCGCCCUAAGGCUGCCCGUAAUGGGAGUAUCUCAUAGGUAGUAUCAUGCAUGCCAACUAGGCAAUUUCGAUGAGGUGGCACAGAAUUAAAUGAAGAAAGAGAGGGUUGAGUAUCAUAUCAUGAUACCGUAUCAUAUUAAAUGAUGUGCUACUAUGUGUCUUGCAUGUCAAUAAAUGAACUAUACUAUGAUACUAACAUAUUAUACUAUGCAUUACGGAUGUAGUAUCAUACACUAGUAUCAUAUGCAUGAUACUAACAUAUGAUACUACCCAUUACAACCAGCCUAAUCCGCUGAGAAUUGGCAUCCCCUACUACGUAUAUGUCUUGUUCUUCAUGAUCCCUUUGGCGCAGAUACCGAUGGUGAUGCAACCGAUGGAGUCAUAGGCUACGCAACUUGGCCAAAGAGGCCAUUGGAGGUGGCACAUGCGAUGUGGCCAUGUGGUCCCUUAUGACAGUUUACCCUCCGCACCCUGCCAAUGCGAGGGGUGAACUUUAGCAGGUAUCCAAUGUGACUAUUUCAUUCUUGUUUUCGGAAUUUGGUGGCAACAUGGACAUUAAUUAGAGCAAGACUUCUUCUUGGCAAGUUGGUGGUGGCAACUCCUUUGGGAGCUUCGUUUUUGGUGGUGCUCUUUGAGUACCAAGCAUGGAGUUUUGGGGUGAAAACUCUACUCUGACACUUAUUAAAGCAAGUAUAAUAAGAUACAGUCAGCAGACUGUAAGGAUUAAAAUACUAUAUUUUUGCUGAGUUGGAUGAGAAAGAAGACAAGAGAAAAGGGAAGCGGGCUCUUCGUGAAGAGCUAGCUCUAGCACGUGCUCCUAGGUGCUUUGUGAGAAUGAAAGGUGGGCCAUAUAUAAUAAAAAUAGUAUUCUUUUAUAGCUAACCAUUGUACAAGAUAACUGUAAGAUGGGCUAUAAGAUGGCUUAUAGCCAGCAGUUGACUAUACUAUUAACCAUGCUCUUAGUUGUACUUGGUAGAGGGGUACUAUUAACCAUGCUCUUAGUUGUACUUGGUAGAGGGGGCUAUGCUCCCUUGUAGAAGACACUAGCCGGAGUCUGCUCAGACCUUCUUAGAAAGGUGAAAAAUCAAUGAUCUGUACUACUCCUUCCGUUUUAAAAUAAAUGUCUUAACUUUAUACUAGAUUUAGUCAAAAUUGUAUUAAAUUUGAGACACUAUUUUUGAGACGAACGCAGUAUAUGAUUGGAUAUGUCCAAUAUGACGUUCAUGCAUGAUUACUUUCCAGUUGGUGUCGCUAUUGGGGGACCUUCUUGGAGUUAUGGCGUUUCGUAUGGUGGUAGUAGUUUUUAUUGUUGUGCUACAACAGUUUGUUUCCCUCGUCUUACUUUGUCAGGUCUCUCUUUCUUUCCUUUUUGUUUUUGGUUGUGUUCAUCUUAGAUGUCUCGACAUCUAUGGAUAUCAUGUUGUUGAAAAGGUUGUGUGUAAUUUAAAUCAGCUUGAUAAUAAUAUAAUACCCUUUUAAAAAAUCUGAACAACAGAAUUAAAAUAAAAAAUGAUUGUUUUCCACUUAACUAUAGAAAUGACCGAUCAAUAUUUUGAUAUCCCUUUUUUGCAAGAAAUCUUUCAAUCUAUUCAUCAACUAUCAAGGCAGUACAAACAACAUCAAAAGUAAAAAAUUCAUGUUCAAAAAUUAGUCCAGUCGACCAGUUAACCUGUCGAUUAAUUCCUACUCGUAGGGUCACCGAGUAGUGGAUUAACUGAUAAAUAACCCGAUUAAUGGAUUAAAUGACUGAUUAACUUACCGAUUAGCCUAUUAACUGAGCAGUUACCAGUUAACGAUUCCAUCAACAAUGAAAAAAAAACAUAUAGGUCCGUUUACCAACUAACGACGACUACAAGCACUAGAGCAAGCCAAAGGUGUGCCGCCGUUCUCGCCUCACCCUCACCCGAACCACAAUCAAAAAGUAGUCGUGAUAAGAGUGUAAGACCCUACAAGGCCAGGCACUCGAGCAACAAUCGUCACAAAUGAAGAAAAGCUUAAAUUAGAGGGAUAAAACAUGUAGCCCACAAUCUAACGGAGACCGGAUGCACGUGGAUCCAUCAAAGACAAAUGCCGAUCGAAUCCCAUGAGAUCCACUGGAGACAAAUGCAUGCUAGGCGGACAGAAACACAUUCCAUAUUUUGAUAUCUCAAAAUCCAAAUUUACUUUGGUCUUCGAAUAUCAAGUUGCCUUCCAGUAAAAAACAAGAAUAUCAAACUAGCAAGAUUUGCUUUAAUUCUCGCCCCCACUAAAUGCAUUUGACAUUGAUGCGGCAACGGUUUGACAACAGUGGCUCGCAGUCAUCCCACAAGAUGCUAAAAAACAAUCAAUAAAGUGGAAAGAAAAAUGGAACGAAAAGGCCAUAUAUUUGAAGAUAUUUGUAAACAAGAAAAGCAUCACACUUGUUCCUCCGAGUUAAAAUUGUACACCGGGCUAGUUGGAUCAAAAGAGACGAGCAACCCAAUCAGUUAACGUGUAUACAUAAUCUCCGAACCAAUGAAUGAAUGAAUGAAUCAAGUCACCAAAUAUGUCCACAAAAGUACACGAAUGAAUGAACCAACUAACGAUCAAUACCUAGCUAAGCUACGAGUAUGUGUGUCUGUGUGCAGCGACGUACAAAUCUACACAGGUCGAUCACGAACUCUGUAGCAUAAGUAAAGUUAGCUAAUCAUCAACCUAGACGAACAGCUCGAGCAGGACGGGCGGCGGCUGCGCCACCGCGGCGGAGGCGGCCUCCUGCUCGCGGUGGCGGCGCAUGUGGCCCCCGAGCGCCUGCCCCAUCUCGAACCCUUGCCCGCAGACGUGGCACUGGUGCGCCUGCUUCUGGUCGGUGGCCUUCUUCUGCUCCGGCCCGGUCCCGGUCCCGGCGAGGGCGAGCGCGAGCCCGUUGCGGCCGCGGAGGUGGCUGGUGCGGUGGCCGCCGAGCGCCUGGAACGUCAGGAAGGAGCGGUCGCACGUCUUGCACAUGAACUCCCCACCGGCGGCGGCGGCGGCGCGGCGCGUCCUCUUGGUGCUCCGGUCGGCGACGGCGCCGAGGGAGAGCGAGAGGGAGAGGGACACGAGCUGCUCCGCCGAUGAUGCUCUCUGGUGCUUCGUCAUGGAGGUACUAUAUACGAGCUGCGAUGGAUCGACUGCUGAUCAACCAAACCAGUGGAUUCGGAGCGAAGGUGGCUGUUCGUGUCGUGAAGUUGCGAUGCUGUUGGGAUGGGUGUGUGCGGCUGGCCUUAUAUAUACGGCGUGGAAGGCGACGUAGGACGGUACGAGGGGCUAGCAGCCAGGCAGUUUGGCCACCGGUCACGUGCGCUCCACGUCGGGGCGGACGUCUGCGAGGCCAGGACUCACUCGACGUGGAUGCGCGUCGCCAUCGCUGGGCCGUCCCUCGCUCCCUUCCUUGCCCACCACUCACCGGGACGCGCUUGGAUUAAUUGACGCCGACGUACGUGCGUUCGCGCCGGCUUCGUUCACACAAUGCUGGUGGACGGAGGGAUCUUGGCCCAGCGGUGCUGCUUCGUGCUCCGGAAAAGAGAAGCAGCCGAAAGGCGCCGGCUGGAUGCCAAAAGAGUGUGCGCCGGGUCAAGUCUGACCCGGGAGACGUGGUCUCCCGCCCGACGAAAGAGAACGACAAUGGGCAUGGCGAACCAGACUAGUAUUUACUGUAUAAACGGUCCAGGCUUACCAGAUUUGGCCUAGUUUUUGUGGUCGGUGGGUCGUCUUGGAGAGAAGCCAGGUAUGGAUAGAAUGUCUUGGUCGUGAGCUUGUGUUACCUGUGUAUCGAUCGUGCGGAAUUUUCCGCGUGCGCCACGUACGCGCUUGCUCAGAAUAUGCCGUGCAUUGUAAACAUCCGAUCCAGGAACGUGGUGCUUGCGUGCACGUGUGUACGAGCGUGUUUCGUGUGCAUGUAAUUAAGAUUUGACACGUAAGGUACUAGUACUACGGAGUACGGAGUAUAUAUACUCCUAAAAAAGCAUGUAUUGUAUGCUAGUAAGAAAGUCCUUGCACAUUGACGUACGUACACACUAGAACUACCGUCAGUUCAGAUGAUCUCUGUCUCGGUUUGCGUACUAGCACGCGUGGAUCCCCAACCAACUUGCCGAGAAGCAACAUGUUGCAUCCAUGUCGCACCGAUGUGCCGAGGCCGUGUGCCAGUCAUCGGCCCUGUUUGGAUCCAUAGGCUAGAGUUAGUUUGAGCUAGUUGGGGCUCAAAUAGCUCUAAAGUAUCCAAACAUGAGAGUUAGAUUGAAGCUAGUUGCAUCUAACCCAUUCAAAAAAACUAGCCCAUCCAAGAGGUGAUAAUUGGAGCUAGUUUUCAUGGUGCCUACUAAAAAGUCAUUUUUCUCUCUCUAUCCACUAGAUAAUAGGUGUUAAUUGAAGCUAGUUUUCAAGGGACUCACUAAAAAAUAACUUUCCUCUCUCCAUCAAGUACAACUAAUCUAACCCUAUCAUCCAAACACCUUUUUGGCUAGAGUUAGUUUAGGGUUAGUCAUGAGCUAGAAACUAACUCUAACCUCUAGCUAAGUUAGAGUAUCCAAACAGGGCCAUUGACAUACGUCUACUGGUACGUACGUGAAGCGUCUGGCAGAUGAUCAAUUGAUGCCGACAAAGCGCGUGCUUGCUGUUUUGUGGGUACGUAGCACUCGACGCGUUACAACUUACAACGUACGUCUCUCUUUUAUAAUUUGUCCACAUGAAGGUAUUCUACUAGCCUUCCUUUCUUUUUCUAGUCGUGCCUUCUUCUUUUUUUAAUGCGUUGAAAAUGAUUUAGUAAGAGCAACUUUUAGUGGAUUACCAAAUACACCACACAUGUCUCAACUUGUCUGACGCGAUCACUUCGACUCCUAAACUUAUGGAAUAAAUAAGACUAAUGUCAUAACUUAUUCGAAUGUUUAAAUAUGGCGCCUUCAUCCGUAUUCGAACAUAUGCACUACCCACAAGGAGUGCUACAGUGUCGGUGGCCCACACGUCAAUGGAUGCGAGAGGAGCAGGCUGGUUGUUUUACAGAAGGAUCCUUGAACUUCAAUUCUUUUUGCAUAAGCUUUUAUCAUUUUAUUCAAAUAUGCCAAGCCGCAUUGAUACCAUAUAUACCUAGGUCCAGGACAGCAGCAACACAUCGGAUUACAUAAUGAUAAGAAAAAAGAUGAGUGGCAUCCGAAGUAUUCAAACCCAGUACCUGGGUGCACAACAUGCACACAUGUGCUAACCACUACGGCAAGAGUAAUUGUCUGCGUUAUUUGGAGGUAUUUAUCAAGGAUAUCGGUGAAAUAAUAAAUAUUCUUAAAAAAAAGUCGACUCACGGGAAAUUGAUUUUUUAAGAAGUUCUCAAGUUUGAAAAAAAGAACUAUUCAACAUAUUACCUGGCAUCAACUUACAAAAGUAUUAGUGCAUUUGAAAAAUAUUGAAUAUAUUUUAGGAAAAUUCUCAUGUAUAUUAAAAAAUUAUAAACGUGUUUUCGAAAAAUGUUCGUCAUGCAUUAAAAGACAAUACAACAUCUAUUUUACAAAAUGUUCAACAUGUCUUACAACAAUUACUGUGUAAAAUUAUUCUUAUAUAUUUACAAACACGCUUAACAAAUUUAUAUAAAUAAUAUUUUUUACACAAUGAUUUUAAUACAUGUUAAACAGUUUUCAAAAUAUAACAUUGUUGAUAUUUAAUAAUUAAGUAUUCUAAAAGUACAGCGAAGAUACAAAAUAAUUCGGCGUGCUUGUGGUCCUGAAUGAAGAAACGGAAAUUUUACGCAAUAUUUUAUAAUACACAUUGAACUGUUUAAAUUGGAAUAAAUUUUAGAAAAAUCUCAUGUUUACCUCUUCGAACGACAAAUGAUAAAAACAGAAUAAAAACUAUAUAAAUAGAAAAUAGUUGCACAUUACUAAUUAUUGUAUUUUUAUUGGAAAAAAUAGAUAUCAUAAAAAUCAAACAGUAUCUUGACUAAAAAACAGAAUAUAAAUUGCAGAGCGAUAGAUAGACUAUAUAAAUUUCCAGCUAACACGAGUACACAAUGUACUAGCAGUCUCGGUGGCUAGCGUGGGUGCUAUUUAACCUUUAGGUCUCCGGGUUGAAAUCCAUUCAACGACACAGUUUAUCAUUUUCUUUAUUAGCAUUUCAGAGCAAGGGCCUAUUUGUGACAUUUAAUUAAACAUUAGGGGUUUUCUGCAUAAUAUACUCCCACACAUUUUACUUGGUGCAGAGAUCACACCCAUUGAAAUGUGGGCCAGCCGUCAGCUGUGACGCCCUGAUGACAACACAUACAAUGGCAUAUCAGGCGGAGGUACCGUAUAUGCACCGUGCGACAAGUUGCAUGUAGCACCACCUUUGUAUUUUAUAAGUUUGAACAAUGAACUGACUUCAUUAGACAAGUUAAGGCAUCCACGAUGUAUUUGACUCUACUACUCCCUCCUUUCCGGUUUAUAUGGCUCAAAUCUAAAAUAUCAUCAACCAAUAAGGUGAAUUAUGAGUGAAUGACCCUAGUUUUAGCUAGCCAAUGAAAUAUUUCUCACAUAUUCAACUUCCGAGGCAGUAAAUGUAGCAUCCACUUUUUCAUUGGACUUGCAUGAUGGAUGUAAAAAAACGAUGCAUGCAUAGCCAUUCAUUUUUUUCUCUAAACUCUAUGAAUUAAAUAUGACGUGGGACUCAAAGCACUUUAGCUCAAUUAUACUCAAAAUGAGCCUAAUAUAAUGAAAAUCUGAAAUUUUUAAGAUGAGCCUUACAAACCGGAAAGAAGAAAGUAAGUGUUUAAUCUGAAAGCUCCCUAGAAACACCCUUUCCAGCUGCCAAAACUUGAACUCUCCAACAAAAUAAAAGGUAAACUCCUAGGCAACCAACAACUGCUCAUUCCGCCACCUUCCCCAACACCGGCGUCAUUAUGAUUGCUUGACGUCAACCCGUCGUCUGCCGCCUCUACGUGUGUUGGCAGGUCCUGAUGCAUCCCAAGAUCAGCCACCGCGAGAUCCAAUGCGGUGGGCUCAAGGUCUAGCACGGACAUGACUCCCUACAUGGUGGUCUUGUGCACUUUGGGGAGGAGCCACCGCAAUGGUCCGGCCCCCGAUGCAUGUUACACCCAAAAGGUGUUCAACGGAAAGGGAAGCCCAUUUUUUCCAUAUAUUUUUUUCAUUUUCAGUGCAAUUGUAAUUGAUUGUUUUUUUACGGUAAAUUGAAAUUAAUUGUUUCAGCAAUGUAACUGUUGAAUGCAACACAGACUAGCUUAAUAUUCGCAGUACUCGCCGUCAUGCCUUACUUUAGCUAUAUCUGCUUUCUAUGGUGUGGUGAGUAUAUACUGAGUAGUGGACAAAAAUUAAUCGAUAUUCAGAAGUGACUAUAGCUUAGUAUAUACUGUAGAUAUUGAUGUAAGUUCGUAAUUACAAGGUCGAUCAAUUAACCUUUCUCAUUCUAAAGAGAAGUACAAGUCCCGGGUUAAGAAUCUGAGAGACCCAGCUAGCAGGCUAGACGAACAGCUCCAGCAAGACGGGCAGCCGAUCGUCGGCCGCCACUUGAUCUGACAGCGCGACCCACCGGCCGAGCGCCAUGUCCUCGCGGUGCCGGCGCAUGUGGCCGCCGAGCGCCUGGCCCGUCUCGAAGCCCAGCCCACAGAUGUGACAAUCGUGAUGCUGCUCGUCCUCCUGCUGGCCCUGGCGACGCCGACGCCGAGCUCCAGCCCAUGGUGGCCGCGGAGGUGGCUGGUCCGGUGCCCGCCCAGCGCCUGGAACGUUGCGAAGGCCCGGCCGCAAGUCUUGCAGACGAACUCUCCCUCCCCCGACAUCGCCACCACUCUCCCCCCGCCGCGUCCUCUUCCUGGGCGCCGUCGCCGGCGCACCAGU